This 269232-nucleotide long non-coding RNA is filed under the name Medicago truncatula (barrel medic). Lineage: Eukaryota; Viridiplantae; Streptophyta; Magnoliopsida; Fabales; Fabaceae. The record is from RNAcentral.
AAAAAAAAAAAAAAAAAAAACUAGCAUUGUGGUCCCAACUCCAAACAACAAAGUCAAACAAUAUAAUAUAGGUUGGAAAACAAGGCCGACAAUGCAUCAAACUAUACUAUUCUGUCACGGGACGGCUAUCUGGUUGAAGAAGACAUUCUUCAUAUCAGGCUAUCACACUAGCCACUUGAAUUUAUAUUAAUUAAUUAAUUAAAUUCUCAAACAAUUUUUGCUACAAGUGUAAUUAAAAUCAGACAAUACUACGAUUUUUAGGAAACCAAUUAUGCAUGCAAAGUCUGUUAUAGAGACCAAGCCAAGCCACACCCGUUUCAAAAAUAAGCUGCACUUGGCAAGUUCGUCUCAAAUGUUUGAAGCAACUUCCAAACAUUCAUGAUUUCAAUUCAAGUAUUAAACCAUAUUUGGUUUGUCCAUAUUCACGGCGUAUAUAUAACUUGUGAAGUGUAACAUCAAAACACAAAAAAAAAAAAAAAAAGGCUUAUGGGUUGUGGCAAUCUGAUAAAAACAGAUACGUUUCGUACUAAGCAAUUCCCUUUUAAAUUAAGCAGCUAUACGUUACAGCAAACUUACCACAUAGCCAUAUGAUACAAGAAAGAGUGGACUAAGCCAAAAUAAUUACACACUAUGUAUCACUAGAACACGGCAUUGAUGCAAACUUCAUACUUGUCUUCAUCCUAUAGCUAGCCAAAUGCAGAAAGUUUUGUAUUAUUCAGUCACACUCAGACUUGUCUUUAUUCCUCUUUUGAUCAAAUCAUAUAUUACUUCGCUACAAUCCAUAAUAACACUCCACAUUUAUUACAAAUAUGUGACUAAUUAUCUAAAAGCAUAUUAUUUAUAUCCAUAAAAAAUGAAGAACGAGUAGAAUGUCUGAAGUGUUGAUCUGGGAGCUGUUCUGCCACCAACAAGUAGAAAAGUCCCAUUACUCCAGUGUGCUCCUUGGUGCUGCUGUAGUUAGACACUAGAGUUAAAGUUUCACCAUCAACUAUCUUGACAGAACCUGGUUUAGGAUAACAUGUGGACAUUCCUACAAUGUAGCCUGUCUCAUUCCCAGCUUCAUUUCCAUUUCCGUAACUUGGUAUAGAGGAACAUAUAACUCUGCCAUCCUGAAAACAUGAUCCACAUAUUUCGCAAAACAAGCUAUUAAUCUAUUAUACCAUAUUUAACUUCUUAAACAAGCUACUAUACACCUUUUUCUUGUUAAUAAAAGCAUUUGUUAGCCUCAAUUGAAAACUAUCACAUGAUCAAAUAGAAGUGAUUAUAUUUAAUCACAAAUGUGUCUCGGGUCCAACAUGUGUCAGACACUCGAACACAUCUUUAAUCUUAAGUGUCGGUGCUAUACAUGAUGUAAAUCGGGAGUCUCUCUUAAGGAGCAGAAUCGUUAUCGAUUAGAUCCUUCAAUGAUUUCUUUUUUCAAUAAACUUAUGCCACUAAAAAGUGAUAUCUAUUCAAAUCAAAAUAUUUUUGAGUAUUACUGUAAGUUGUAACUUGUCGCUAACUGUUGCAAUUGAAAAUUGUAAAUUACCUGCCCGUAUAGAGUUGAUCCAAUUCCACCUGAAUGCUGAUGAGCAACACCAUAGAUCACAUAGCCACCAGUUUGUAGUGGGAGACUUGUCCUCUUCACAUCAACACAACCAUUUCUUUCUUUAUGGUCUGUGCCGCAAGAUUCAACUUGAUACUCAGUCUGAAACAAAUAAAUUCAUGUUGCUCACUAUAUACCCAACAAAGUAAUGGACUAGUUUUAUGUUUUAGAGUUAAAUUGAGUUGACAAAAACUACAAGUAAGGAUUCUCUGCAGUCUACAGACUUUACAUACACGCAAUAAGCACAUUAAUGACUGUUGGAUCAAGAUUGAAGGGUCUAGGGAUUCCAAACCCAGUGUCAUUGAUUUUAAAAUAAUCAAAAGCUAAAUAUUCUGUGAACUUUUUGAUCUUGAUCCAUCAUCAACCGAUGAUUUGUCUGCGUGAAUCUAGGGUAGCCCAACUACACGGAAUCUAUUUCUAAAAACUAAUGUUUCUUAAUGAAUUCAUUUACCUUGCAAUCAUGGUUUGAGUUCAAUCCUUUUGAAUCAUCUGAUGGUUUCAAAGUAUCAGUAACAUCAAGUAUAUAUAUCUUAACAGGCACUAUAAAAUCAUCCCAAUCAACCCAUUUUACAGUGUAUCUUAGGUAGAGACUUCUCUUUGGACCCUCAAAACCUUCCUUCAACUUGCAUUGUGUAUGGUCAUAACAACAUAACAAACCUCCUUUAUAAUCUGGCCCAAUAGACCUUCCAUAUUCAUCCACUGUAACAUUAUAAAGGUCGCACUUGCACUCAGUGCACCCUAAUUUAUCCUCUGCGCCUCGCGUAUCAAUGGCAUGAACAUUAAGCAACCAUUUAUCCUCAAACCCUUGUGGAAUCUCUUCAGGAUUACCUAUCUCUAUACCGAAAGGAUCUGGAAUAUCUGUUGUCGUUCCUCGUGUUUCUGACCCAAGUCCAAAGUAUUGUGAAAUAGCAUUUCCCUGGCAUAUGCCACUGUUCCUUACAAGAACAUGAUCAGAGUUUUGAAGCAUCAUGUGGCUAACAUCUUCUGUGUGUGUGACAUAUUUUCUUUGAUAAUGUCUUUGAACAAGCCAAUGAUGGAGAUAGGUUUCAUGGAGAGGUAUAGGAUUACCAGCAUCAUCAACUACUUCAGCAUUGAAACUCUUUAGUGCUAUAUGCCCUCUUGGAAAAUCAAUAUCAUAAUAAUGUUUAUUGAUAACUGAUCCAGGUCCAAGUUCAAACUUAGGGGACAGAAAAACAGCUGAUUUGAUUUUAUCUUCGGCCUUCACAAAGGAACUUGAGCAUGUUGUACCAAACAAUAGUAGAAGUAUUGCCUCUAAAAAUACAAAAUCUCUAGAUACAAAACACAUGCUGAUCUGUCAUGGAGUUUUUUUAUUAGUAAUUCAUAAUUAUUGAUUAAAACAAAACAAAACAUCUUUCCUUUAAAAUAUUAUUAACUACAGUACAAAGUAAACGAGGUCGUGGAUUAAUACUUAAAAAAUAUUUAAAAAUCUUUUUUUUUUUUUUUUUGUGGCCGGGUUUCGAACUCCAUAUCUUGUAUAUUUUAUGUAUUGUCAAUAUCAAUUGAUCUAAACUCACGAGGACAAAUAUUUAAAAAUCUAACGACGAAAUAUGUCGUUUUUUUUUAUUUUUUUAUUUUUUUAUAGUAAAUGUUAAUAAUCUUCAUCAUUUUUAUAAUUGAAAUAAUAUUUCUUUUUAGUAAGUAACAUAAUUGCUAGACUUACACACUAACGGUGUAGAGAAGUGGAAAAUCUUUAGUUUAAACCUUUGCCCCUGUAGUUAAAUGUUCUUAGAACUAUCAAUUAAGCUGCAUUUAUAAGAUUGAAAUAAUAAUUUAACUGAUAUUCAUUUUAUUUAAAACAACGAAAAAUAAAUAUUUAACUUGUAUUCAACCAACAUUAAUCAAGUCACUGUUUUAGCCGUAAAUAAGACAAAUGUCACAAAUUUUUAUUUCUAAAUAGUGUUGUUAAUAAUCGUUAAUAUUUCAGAUAAUCUUAAGCAUCGGUUCAUGAUAUAAAGAAAAAUUUGUCCAUAAAAUUUCCGUGAGCUUAGAUCAGUUGGUAGGGAUAUUGCAUGUUAUAUGUAGGGGCCGGGGUUCGAACUCCGAACACCCCAUUUCUACACAUUUAAUUGUGUGAGCUCUAUCCACUAGGCUACUUGACAUAAAGAAAAAUUUGUCCAUAAAAACACUCGACUGACAUAAACUAAUGAUCAAAACACUAGUAUUUUUUUAUUACUCCCUCUCACCAUUUAUAUGACAUCUUUUCCAUUUCUUUUUAAAAAUAUUUCCACUAUUUCUUUGUCAUGUAAUUUAAGACUUUUUAAAAAAAAUAUUAAGAAUUUUUUUUGAGAAAGGGGAAUCUAUUAUUAAUAAGUGGCACUAAAAUAUUUUUUUAAUGGCAAAAUAUAUUACUCUCUCCCUUUUAUAUCUUAAACACCAUUUUAUUAGAGCUAAAGGUUGCUUACAUAUAAGGGGAUUAAAUCCCAAGUAUUACACCAAAAAGAGAAAAAUAAAAACACCAAAAAAAACUCCAAAGAAAAACAAUCAGCACCCUUAAAAUGUCGGAUCACCUAACAAUAGCUCCUAAAAAACCAACACCACCGACAAUGGACAAUUAAGCAACCGAUAAUGAUUUUGCACUAAAGUAUUUUUACAAUUGUCUUCGAGAAGACUCAAAUUAAUACCUUAAAAUCAUGUACAAUAUCAAACUUUUACCACUAAACUAGCACAUCGAAGUAUUUUUUCACAAAAUUUCAUGUGCAUUGAUAAUUUUUUUUUAUAGAAAUGCUCCCUUUUAAUUUACCAAUAAAAAAAUAGAUACAUAUUGUCUUUUAUGAUAUUAAUAGUUUAUAGGGAAAAAUAUGUAACACGACACACAUUUCAGUCAAACUUACUACUCCAUAUAUAAUUUUUCUUAGGCUUAAAUGCACUUUUGACCCCCUAUGUUUGCUAUGGUAGAAAUUUUAGCCUCCUAUUAAAAAAAAAAAAAAAAUUCAGCCCCCUAACUUCAUCUGCUUUUGCAACCCAUAAGCCCCCUCUGAUUUUGACUUGGUCAAAGGUUACUGUGUAAUUUAAAAUAAAAAUAACAAAAAAAAGAAAUUAAAAAUAAUUAAUAGCCUUAGGAUUAAAAAUCGGUGAUCAAGAUUUAAAGAACUCACAUGCUCCCUCUCUUAACUAAUUUUCCCUUCUCCACUCAUUACUACUUCAUGUUCUCCUUCUGAACAACACAAACCCACCCAGAAAAGUCAAGCUCGAUCAGUCUCCAUAUCAUCAACACAUAACCAGAAACUAGAAAACUCCAUCACCUUCAUAUCCAUCGACACAAAACCAAAAAACCUAGAACAAGGACAAGAACAUCAUCUUCAUAACUCAUCACCCCAAAAAAAUCAAACCCUUCGAUUCUAAAUUCAAAUUCAUCAACUAAUCAAACCCAAAAAAACUCAAAGGUGCGAAUAAAUACUCAUGGUGAGUGGCUUGUGGUAAAUCGUAAAAAGAAGAAAACUCCACCAAUUACAGUGAAGAAAAAAUAGAUGGGACAAUUAAUUAGAAACUCAAAAAACUUGGGUGCAUUCAAGUUGCAAUUAAAGGAGGAAUUAAGUCAAAUGAUAAUUAUGAAGAAGGAAGGGAUAAGGCGCAAAUCAUGUCCGAUGGAGGAAGUGAGAAACCACAAAAAACGUGGUGAUGUGGAACCACAAUAGCAGAAUUUUAUGGAACACCGCGCCGGUGUUCUCAACCUUCCAUUAUUUUUUGUUUGAAAUUGAUUUUUCUAAUCUAGAUCUGGAUGAAAAAUAGAGGAAGAAAGAGAAGCGAUUGAAGAGGUGACGGUGGCCGUGUUUUACAUAAAGGGUGACCCUUUAGUGAAGGGAAGUGGCGGUGGAUAGUCAUGGUGGUGGUGGAAUUUCUCUAUGAAGAUGAUGUGAGAACAAGAGAAUAGAAGAAGAAAUGGGGUUUAUUAGAAAGAAGGGACACAAUAACACUUACAUUGAAUCUUUUAAUGUUGACCAUUGAUUUAAUCCUAAGGCUAUUAAUUAUUCUUAUCAUUCUUUUUCAUUUAAAUUUAAUUUAGUAAUAGCCUUUGAUCAGGUCAAAAUUAGAGGGGGUCAAAGAAGGGUGAAGUUAGGGGGCUGAAAAGUGAUUUUUUUAAUAGGGGACCAAAAUUGUUACCAUGACAAAUAUAGGGGCCAAAAAUGCAUUUAAACCUUUUUGUUAAUAUUCAUAAUUUUAUGUAGAGGUUCCUGCUUCCUAUGAUAAGGGACGAAUGAAGUAUAGACAAAGCCAUGAAUAACAUUAGACGCUGAUUAGAGAAACGUGAGUGAAAAAGGGUGGAGUAUAGUGCAGGUAUAUUGAAGAACAAAUAUAUGAAAAACUAAGGGGGGUGUAUUGAAUUGGGAUUUCAAGGGAUUUUAAAAGACUUUUUUAGAAUGAAAAAGUCUAGUGGUAUUCAAUCAAGACUUUUAUAAAAUUUAAACAAAUCUUGUGGUAUUCAAUCAAGACAAUCAUGACUUUUUUUUUAAGGCAACAAAAUCCGUUGGUAUUCAAUUGAGAUUUCUCAUGACUUAUGAAUUGUCCAUUGGUAUUCAAAAGUCUAUAGAUUUUGAUGGAUUCUUGGAUGGAAUGGAUUUUGUGAGACUUUUUAGUUAAAAAUAUCUCUUCCAACAAUCUCACAGAAACCCUUGAGAUUUUGCCAUUGUCUUGCAAACCUUUCUGCCGUCAUCUUCCAUGCCAGUUUUUUCUUUUCUCUAUCAAAUUCUUCAACUUCCAUUUCUUGUGUCUGAUUCUCUUUUUUUUUUUCCAUUACUUUUUUUUUGUUUCAAUUACUUUUUUUUAUCUGUAUACUCUUUUUGUCCAUAUCAAUUACUAUUAUUUGUUUUUGUCUGAUUCUUGCCAAUGCAAUUUUUUUUGUUCGGUUAAUUUUUUUUGUUCAAUACUAUGCUAUGCUAAUCUUCCCCGUCCCCAUCGUCCCUCAGAUUAUUUUUUCAUUGGCAAAUUCGUCAACGCCGAUUGCUUUUUUCCUUCCCACGUUCAACGGUGUCGAUGGAACGCGAUUAACCAAUCGUCCUUACUUUUUUUUUUUUUUUUUUUUUUUUUUAUCAAAUCAAUGUUUUUUACUCAAAAGCAUAAUUAUUUUUAUAGUUUUUGUCUUCUUUUUGUUCGAUUAAUUUUUUUUGUCUGAUUCUUGUCAAUGCAAUUUUUUUUUGUUUGAUACUUGAUUUUUGUUUAUUAUUAUUAUGAGUGUUAAGUUUAUUAUUGGUAUUUUUUUUCUUGUUAUUCCUAUUGAAUAUAUAUAUUGGUAUAUAGUUACUAUACUUUUGGCAAUUAGGAAAAAAAAACUGUUCUUGUGAAAUAACUAGUUUGUUAUAUAUGUAUAUAUUAGUGAUUAAAUGGGGGAUUCACAACAAGAAAAUAAUAGAGGGAAGGGUAAGGACAAAGAUGGCUAUGUAGCUUGGACCAUGGAGGAAACUAGUGAGUUGUUGUACCUUUUGGUGGAUGCUAUAAAUAGAGGGUUACGUGAUGCCAAUGGGUCCCUUAGUAAACAAAAUGUAGAGCGAGCUAUCCUUCCUCAGCUCAAUGCCAAAACUGAAUCACAUAAAACUUAUAAUCAUUACUUGAGCCGAAUGAAGUGGUUUAGAAAUCAAUACAACAAGAUGUCAACGUUUAUGCGUAACAACUCUGGUUUUGGAUGGGAUUCCGUUGCGAAGACUUACACGGCUACUGAAGAAGUAUGGAAUAAUUACUUAAAGGUGAGCUAAGUUCAAAAUCGUUUAAAAGUAUGAUUGAUUUUUAUUUUUUUUUUGUAAUAUUUAUAGUAUAUUAAUAGUGAAUUUUUUUUGUUUUUUAGUCCCAUCCAUCUCACAAAAAUCUUAAAGGAAAAAGUAUGAUUGAUUAUGAUUAUUUGAAGAUUGUUGUUGGAGGUGGAGUGUCUAGCGGAAAUAAUUCUAUAGCAUUAGACCCUGAGGAUACUGAUGCAACAACUUUUGAGCAAGAAAGUGAAAGUUUUGGAAUGGAAGAUUUUUCAUAUGAUCCCAAUAGUGAUACAUUCAUAGCACCAGAUAACUUUUGGUUGUACUUUUGUUAAAGUAUUUGGUUUGCUUUUUUUUUUUUGUUUAACUAAUGGUUGUAUUUGGAUUGAAGAAUUUAGUUCUGUAUGUUUUGUGAGACUAAUGUGGUUAAAAUUUAAUUAUAUUUUCAUUAUAGUAUUUUAUAUAUUACUUUGCAUUGACUCUUACACUACCUUAAAUAUUGUCUUAUAAUCAUGGCAAUGACAUAGAGGACGAAGAAAUUGAUUAUGAAGGAAUGAGUGAAGAUAUAGAUACUGAAGCUAUAGAUGAUGAUGAUGAUGAUGACGAAGAUGAUGAUGAUACAAAUGAUGAAGAAACAGAUGAAGAAUUGUAUGAAGCCAUAUACAUGUAUAUGAUGGCAAUUCAUGCUUUAAUGCACGUGGUAAAUCAGUUUUUGAAUAUGAUGCGUGGUGAACAUGUUGAACGUCCAUUAACUCGACGACGAAUUACAAGUAAGGGAUAUGACUAUAUACAUAAGUCAUUGAAUGGGGAUUCUGAAAUCUUUCGACAAGUAUAUAGAAUGUAUCCUGAUGUAUUCCGAAAGUUAUGCAUGAUUAUAAGAGAAAAAACACCUUUGGUGGAUACAAGAUUUAUUUGUAUUGAAGAAAUGCUUGCGUCGUUCUUACAGAUUGUCGGUCAGAAUACUCGAUAUUGUAUAAUUAGAAAUACAUUUGGCCGAUCACAAUUUGCUGCAAGUGAAAAUUUUCACAAGAUUUUGAAGGCUUUGAACUCAAUAGCACCUGAUUUGAUGGCUAAACCAACCUCAAGCGUGCCUGCAAAAAUAAGGGAAAGCACAAGAUUUUAUCCUUACUUCAAGGUAUGUGAUCAUUAUCUAAUUAUAAGAGAAUUGUAAAUAUAAUCAUCUUUAUUAUAAUAAUAUUUUUUUUAUGGUUAUAUAUGAAUACACUUUUAGGAUUGCAUUGGAGCUAUUGAUGGUACGCAUAUUCCUGCAUUGGUAAGAGGACGAGAUGUAAGCAGUUAUCGUGAUCGUCAUGGAAGGAUAUCACAAAAUGUAUUAGCUGCUUGUAAUUUUGAUUUGGAGUUCAUGUACGUUCUCAGCGGGUGGGAGGGUUCAGCCCAUGAUUCCAAGUUGCUAAAUGAUGCUUUGAAAAGGAAGAAUGGACUAAAAGUGCCCCACGGUAAGUAAUUAAUUUUUAAAAUAUACUGAUGUUGUUUUUCUUUCACUUUCAUACUUAUUUUAUAUGUAUUUUAAAUUUAAUUAGGUAAAUAUUUUCUGGUGGAUUGCGGAUUUGCUAAUCGACGCAAAUUUUUAGCUCCACAUCGAGGUGUGCGAUAUCAUCUACAAGAUUUUGCAGGUCACGGUAAUGACCCUGAAAAUGAAAAAGAGUUAUUCAAUCUUCGGCAUGCGUCUUUAAGGAAUGUGGUUGAGAGAAUAUUUGGUAUUUUUAAAUCGCGUUUCACAAUUUUUAAGUCAGCACCUCCAUUUUUGUUUAAGACACAAGCAGAACUUGUGUUGGCAUGUGCAGCACUUCAUAACUUUCUUCGCAAAGAAUGUCGUUCCGAUGAAUUUCCAAUUGAACCUUCUAACGAGUCUUCAUCUUCAUCUUCAAUGUUACCUAUUCAUGAAGACAAUAAUGAUGAACUCAAUGUUCAAACACAAGAGCAAGAACGAGAAGAUGCUAAUAUAUGGAGGACUAAUUUAGGUUUAGAUAUGUGGAGAGAUGUACAAGGAAUACCGUGAUACUACUCUAAACGGUGAUUCAGUGAAUCACAUUUCCCUUUUCAUAUUGGGAGAUGCUAAUAUCUAAAGAUAAUCUUGUUUUAAGAAACUUCAUUACCAGCAAGACAUAUUUUGCUUUUUUCCUAGUUUGUUAUUUACGAAAUAUAUUUUGUUUUAUCUUUUUGUUAUGCAGUUAUUUGUUUUUCUCUUUUUGAUGUACCGGUACAAGCUCGAUUUUGAAUCUAGAGAUCACUUUGUUUCGGAAAAAAAAAAUUAUUUGUUUACUAUUUCUAUCAUUCACGGUUGUAAGUUUGUUCUUUUUCCGCUAAAGUUCAUUGAAUCCUUUGAAAUAUUAAAAUCUCAUAAAAUCCUUUGAAAUCCUUAAAAUUCAGUGUGAUAAAUCCCAUAAAAUCCUUUGAAAUCCUUAAAAGUCAGUUUGAUAAAUCCCUUAAAGUCUUUUAAAAUCUUACAGAAUCAAUACAAUCCCACAAAGUCUUUUAAAAUCUUAAAGACUUUUUUUGUUAAAAAAGUCUUUUAAAAUCCUAAUCCAAUACACCCCCCUAAAGUAAAAAAAUGUAACUUCACACCAAAUUAAAUUGAGAUAUGAGUCAUUUGAAACAAACGUGUAAAGUUGUGAGAAAAAAAAUUAAUGAACACAAAAUUAAGAGAAUAGAACCUGGAUACGACAGAGUUUGAGCUUUGUUUGAUGAGAAAAUUAGAGUGUGGUGUUAAACUAGAUUCACUUAUACUUAUAGAUGAAACAAAUUCAAACUAGAAGAGAAGAUGUAUAGGGCUUGAGUUGCGUAUCUCACAUGAGAAAGUUCUUCACAGUCACACUAGUCAUUAUAUGCACGUUUUCUUCAUAAUUUAUUUUGAAAAUUGUUUUUCUCUAUUUUAAAAUUGUUCAUUUUCUAUAGUUAAUUCCGACAUUUUUCAGCUAGACUAAACUCUCAUUCUAUAAUGAGUAAUUUUUUUUUUGACAAUUUAUUCUUAAUUUUGUUGAAGAGUAUAUAUUCAAUAUUUAACUUGCAAUUGAGUUCUUAUUAAUUUUUAGUUAAUUAAUUUAAUGUUUUGAUUUUUUAAAGUCCACUUCGGCUAGAUGACAAUACUUCCAACUUACAAGUCAUCAAAAUUUCCCAACAAGGUGUAUUAUUUGAGGAAAACAAAUUGAGACUAUGGAAUAAAAAACAAGGUACUUAAGGGGUCAAAAUUGCAUAAUUGAAAAAAUGGUAUAUUUUCAAAUUGAACACUUGAAAAACCUAGAGAGAAAAAAUUGCAUCUAAACCUAAUUUUUUUAAUAGUACACUAAUUAUUUAUAGUGUUUUAUAUUUUAGGCUUAACAAUAAUUUUGUCCCCUAUUUUUACUAAACAUACACUAAAACACUUGAGGUUUUAAGGUGAACAGCAAUCUAGGAUGAGUUUUACACUGUGUUUGAUAGAAGAGAAAUAAGAAAGAGAGAAAGAGGGAAGAGAGAAGUUGGAUAGAGAGAAGCAACUUCUCCUGUUUAGUUGAGAAUAGAGAUUAAAGAGAGAGACCAAAUAUGGUGGAACCCAUGCCUGUUUUAUUUCUUUCUUGAAUUGCGAAGAAAUAGAGUAGAGAUGUGAACUUUUUUUGCUCUUUUCCAAAACUAUCCCUGGUAUUGUGGCUAAUAUAAAACUAUUGUCCUUUUUUUUUUUUGUUAACACUGUUGUAUUGUUUUCAUGGUUUUUGUUGUAGCAAGGUAAAAACAAAAACUAAUACGCAACUCUCUUUCCUUUACCUCUUGAUUGGAAUCCUCUUAUAUUAUAAUAAAUAAAUUAAACUAGUAGUUAGUUAACUCUAAUGAAAUAGUUUAACCGAUUAAAUUGUAAAAUUGUAAAUAAAUAAUUAAUUAAGCAAAUAAGUUAUCAAAUUUCUUUGUAAAAAAAUUACUUAGUUUCUUAAUUAAAUUAAUGUAAAAAAUUAUAAGUUAUCAGUUUUUAUAAGAAUUCAUAUAUAAUAAAAUUGUAUAUUAAAGUUUAGUAAGGAUAUUUUGGUCUUUUCAAAAGUUUAACACACUUCUCUCUUCUCUAUUUCUCUCAUUUAUCUCUUAUACUAAACAAUAGGUCAAAUCUACUCUAUUUCUCACCUAUUUCUCUCUUCCUAUACUCUCUCUUCACAACUUCUCUCUUUAUAACUUCUCUCCUAAACCAAACACACCCUUAAAGUUUGGAGAAGGCUAACAACUUUCACUUAAGGCAUUGUUUAGGGCUUGCUGUUAAGGUAUAUACAAAGUUUACAAAAGUAAGUUUAAUUAAAUAUAGUUUUUCAAAAUUAAGUUUGAUUAAAAUGAGUUUGUUCUCGUGUGCUUUUUCUUUGGAUAAGUAAACCAAGGCAUUUCAAUUAUGUUGCCACUUCUUAUUUACUGUUACCUAUCAUAUGCAUUUGGUAUGUUGCGGUUUACUGCUAUUGAUCAUUCUGUUUGUCAAAAAAUCUAUUUGAUAAACAAUAAUGAAGAGGAUGUAAAAUUAGUUGGCUAGAGCUCAGUUAGUUAACUAGCUGGUAGUUUCAGUUACAAUACUGUCUUGGUUACACUACACUGCCUCUCAAUAGUAGCCAUUACAAGUCCAGGGCUCGCGACAUGAAACACGCCUUGGCAUCGUUGCAAUAGCAUGGUUCAAUCGAGGAUUCUUUAAUUCUCUUGCUCCCAAUAUCAAACAAAGUGCGAUUUACAUUACGAUUACAAUGAAGCAACUACAUAGUAGAACAAACUUAUUGCAUAGCCAUACGAUACAAAAAAGAGUGGAAUAAGUACAAAAUACAAACUAUAUAUCACAAAAAUGGCAUCAAGCUUGUCUUUCUCCUAUAGCUAGCAGAAUACAGAUAGAAGUGUAAUUGAUCAGUUACACUUGUCAAACUUAUUCUUCUUUGAUCAAUCAUAUAUUACUUUGACACCAUCCAUGAAACUCCACUUAUAUUAUCAUAUAUGUAACUAAUUAUCUAAAAGUAUAUUAUUUAUAUCCAUAAAAAAUGAAGAACGAGUAGAAUGUCUGAAGUGUUGGUAUGGGAGCUGUUCUGCCACCAAUAGGUAGAAAAGUCCCAUUACUCCGGUGUGCUCCUUGGUGCUGUUGUAGUUAGACUCUAGAGUUAAAGUUUCACCAUCAAUAAUCUUGACAGAACCUGGUUUAGGAUAACAAGUGGACAUUCCUACAAUGUAUCCCGCUUCAUUUCCUGCUUCGCUUCCAUUUCCAUAACUUGGUAUAGAGGAACAUAUAACCCUUCCAUCCUGAAAACAUAAUCCACAAAUUUCACAAAACAAGCCACUACACAAUGUUUAACUUCUUGAUCAAAAGUAAAAUUGUUAGAAUAGCAACUCCGGUUCAAAAGUAAACAGAUAUGAAAAACACAAAAAGAGAACAUACGAAAUUCGAUAAUGGCGUUCGGUCAAUUAUGUCUACCGUUUAGUUUAACAUAUUACAACUCGUGUAUAAAUACUAAGGUCAAGUUUACAAGAUAGCCCUUGAACCAUACCCGUGUUAAUAAACUCAACAAAAAGAAACAUUGACGGUCCUCAAUAGCUAAUAAAUCAAACUAUUUUCUUGUUAGCUAAACAUUUCUUACUAUCAAUUGAAAACAAUCACGUGCUAAGACUAAAAAAAAAGGUGAUAAUUUAUAGUUUAUUUUUAGAGGAAGAAUCAUUAUUAGAAAAUGAUAUAUCAGUUAUACAAUUGUUCUCGAGGGGGUUUGAACUCUGUCUCUUGAAGUCACAAUGUCAAAAUAUUCCCAUUGAGCCGACACCAAGCAUUUAAGAAUGACUUAAGUUACCUGUCCAUAUAGAGUUGAUCCAAUUCCGCCUGAAUGUUGAUGAGCAGCACCAUAGAUCAUAUAGCCACCAGUUUGAAAUGGGAGACUUGUCCUCUUCACAUGAACACAGGAAUUUCCCUCCUUAUGGUCUGUGCUGCAAGAUUCAACUUGAUACUCAUUCUGAAACAAAGAAAACCAUGUUGCUCACUAUAUACCCAAAGUUUUAUGUUUUAGAGUUAAAUUGAGAUUUACACAAACAAAGUACGUGUAUGGAUUCCCUGCAGUCGAGAGACUCUACAUUCAUACAAUCAGUAACACAAUAACUGUUGGAUCAAGAUUGACGAUAAUAAAUUCCAUGCCUGCAGUAUUUUGGAUUUUAGAACAAUCGAAAUCUGUAUAUUUUGUGAAUUGUCUGAUCCUGAUCCAACAGUACACUGAUGGAUUGAUUGCGUGAAUGCAGGGCAUCCCAACUACACGGAACCCAUUUCGACAAACAUGUUUCGUAAUGAAUGCAUUUACCUUGCAGUCAUGAUCUGAGUUCAUUCCUUUUGAAUUAUCUGAUAGUUUCAAAGUAUCAGUAACAUCAAGUAUAUAUAUCUUAACAGGCACUAUAAAAUCAUCCCAAUCAACCCAUUUAACAGUGUAUCUUAAGUAGAGGCUUCUCUUUGGACCCUCAAAACCUUCCUUCAACUUGCACUGUUUAGAAUCAUAACAACAUAACAAACCUCCUUUAUAAUCUGGCCUAAUAGACCUUCCAUAUUCAUCCACUGUAACAUUAUAAAGCUCACACUUACACUCAGUGCACCCUAAUUUAUCCUUUGUGCCUCGCGUAUCGAUGGCAUGAACAUUAAGCAACCAUUUUUCGUGAAACCCUUCUGGAAUCUCUUCAGGAUUGCCUAUCUCUAUACCGAAAGGAUCCGGAAUAUCGGUCGCCGUUCCACGUGUUUCGGAUCCAAGGCCAAAGUAUUGUCCAAGAGUAUUUCCUUGACAUAUGCCACUGUUCCUUAUAAGCACAUUAUCAGAGUUUUGUGUUGCAUGUUUACUUUGAUGAUAUCUUACAACAAGCCAAUGAUGGAGAUAAGUUUCAUGGAGAGGUACAGGAUUCCCUGAUUCGUCAACUACUUCAGCAUUGAAACUCUUGAGUGCUACAUGACCUCUUGGAAAACCAAUAUCAUAAUAAUAUCCAUUGACAACUGAUCCAGGUCCUAGCUCAAAUUUCGGGGACAAAAAUACAGCUGAUUUUAUCUUAGCUUCAGUCUUCAUAGAAGAACCUGAGCAUUGUAUACAUAACAACAGCAGAAACAUUGCCCAUAAUAAUACCAAAUCUCUAGCUACAAAACUCAUGUUGAUCUGUCAGGGAAGAAAUUAUUAGUUAUUAACUAACUAAUUGUUGAUUAAAGACAUACCAAAACAAGAUAAAUAAGCAUGGUUGGAUCUAACACAAAACUGAUUUGUGGAGUGAGGAGUGUCUCUCUUUAUAAACUCUAUUCGUUAGACGUUAUCUUUAGUCUAUCUAUGUGGGACUUGGUUUUUCCAAAACACUGAGUGACCCGAAUCGAUAUGCUCUGAUUUCAUAUUAGAUUUUUAUAUUAGACUUCAUUCAUCCUUACAAAAUCGGUUUAUGAAGUGGGGUGUAAGUCUUUUAUAAACUACUAAAAUCUAAAUUAAUGUUAUGAAUGAAUACAAUUGUGGUGGUCACAGAACAAUUUUAAAACAUUAAUUAUAACAUAAACUUAUGAGCAGACAACUUUUUAUGAUGAAAGUAAAAAGGUUUACCUGGAUAAAUUUAUAGGGAUAUAACAAGCAAUAGGCAGAAACAACAUGUAAGAGAUUGCGUACCUCAAAAAGUUUGACGAAAACUUAGAGUGUGUGUAGGUCGGUAUCAACAUUCAAAGUAUAUUUAUAGAUUAUUAAUGAAUGAAAGUGUACUAAAGAGCCACCUCAUCACGUGAGAACGUUCAACUAAAUCUGUCCUUUCAAACUUGGAGGAGAAGUAAAGUCCAAACGAGGUAUUUGGAUUAAAUUAUUUGUCUGUUUUGUUAUUUCUUCAAUUGGAUAUGCGUUGGAAAAUCUAUGGUCGACAACUUAAGGCAUUCACCACCUAGUCGACACACUUGUUAUGGUUUGGCUAUAGCCGGCCACUCUAGAAUUUAAAAAAAAGAAAAAUGAGAAAUUUCUUUUUUGACGAUUGAAAUUAGUUGUUAAUAUGUUUAGCGAUUGAAAUUGUGAUUGAUAUUUCAAACAUUAAAGUAUAAGAUAUUAAAAAUUGGUCGCUACUUACUGACAAUGUAUACAUUAUACGGUCUAAAAAUUCAAUUUUGAUAUUUUUAUUCAAAAUAGUCUAUCCUAAAAUUAUAAAUUAUACAAUUUAAUUCCAACAAUCACAAUGAUCGCAAAUUUCUAAAAUUAUUAGAAGGGAGUUUUUUUUUUUUAUUUAUUUAAGGACUAGAAGGGAGUUUAUUUCUAGAGUUUAGAGCAUAUAUGAUAUCGAUUAUUAUGAUAAAAUAUAUGUAUUUUAUAUAGCAUUUCCUCUCAAAUGAAAAAACAGAAGAUACAUCAAGAUCACGAAACUUUAAUUCAUCGUUUAAUCUUAAAAUUUAGUAUUUCUACAAGUAUAUUUAAAACAAAAUUUAGAAGAAGAAACUCUAUUAAAAUUUUAGAUAAUUCAACGAGUUUAAAUUAAAGAAUAAGAAUUUAAAUAUGUUGGGUUCAAAUCUGAACAAAAUAAUAAAUAUUAAUAUAACAACUAAUUAUCAAUACAACCUUAACAAAAUAGAAAUUUUUGAGAGAAACUUUAACAAGUUUUUUUUUUUUUUUUUUGACAAAACUUUAACAAUACGGAUUAAACACGGAAACCAAAUACGGAUAAUUAUAGGUAAAUUUAUAAAUGCCCUAUAAAAUAAUUUGAAACAUCCAAAUACGGAUUAAACACGGAAACCAAAUUCUAUGUAUUAUGUUGUCACUUUUAUAUGCUGGGUCAGCCAUGACGUUUUAGAGCGACAACUACAAGGAGGUAGACAAUUUUGUUAGGAAAUAAAAACAAUAUUUUGAAAAGGACAAUAAAUCGAAUCAUCAACAUUUUCCAGGGUACAAAAAUCAAAUAGAAGUGAGAAAGUCAGAGGCACAAUUGGACCAGAGAUGAAUACUAUUGAAAAACAUCAAAACAUACCAAAAGUAUAACAUAACUUAUUUGAAUAAUAUAUCUGUCAAAAGUUCUUUUCAACUUCUAAUUAUAAAAAGUACUAUAUAAGAUAAUUUGGUGAAUGAAAUCCCUCAAAUGAAAAAUAGAGAACAAAAAAAGUAUGUUUGAAGUCAAACUUAAUUUGUUUUACAUUUUUCAUUUUCAAAGACAAAAACAACUUAUAAUUAAAAAAAAGUGUCACGCUAACUUGUGUUUUCAAGAUUACAUUUCUACUUUAAUUUUUUUUUUUUUUUUUUUGACAAAAUGUUUAAUUUUUUAUCAUGUAUCUUUAAGGUACAAGUUAUGCCUUCCGGCACAAGUUACCAUUUACUUUAAAAUAAAUGUCCUCAAAUACAAGAUGCGAGGAAAAUCUAACAGAUUUAAGCUGACUAAGCAAAAAAACAAAUUACGAAAACAAAGCAUCCCAACGAUUACUACGUUCAUUGUAGCACGCAAUCACUUUAACAAAUUGUGCCAUUCUCCAAUCACACAUACAAGACUCAACCUACAUAAUUAUGCAGAUCACUCUAAUGAGAGACCCUGCACAAAUCCUUUCCCAAAAACUUGCAGCCACACUUAAAUAAUUAAACCUUGCACCAAUUACAUAAAUGAAAGUACAUUAGGUUAUGAAAAAGUACUUCUGUUUUAAAUGCAAUUUGUCUACUUCAAACUACACUUAGAAAAUUCACUUUUUCUAAUCUCAUUAGGAUAUGAAAAUUGCAUAAAUUAUGUUGGCUUAAAUGUACUUUUGGUCACCCAAAUUCACUUUUUUUUUUUUUUUUUCUGAAUUUUUCAUCCUCAUAGCAUUUUUGGAUUUAGGUUUGUGGUCUAUCCAUUAAUGACGUGGUAGAGCUUAUAUGGCCCCAUUAAACAUCCAUACUGAUACCAUAAAAAAAGGACCUAAGCAAAAAUAACCUAAAGCAAUGUAUUGUGGCAAAAUUGGUUACUGUUGACGUAUGUUUUCGUAAGCAUAGCUUUCCCUUUCAAGCCAAAUGGAGCUUCUUCAUCAGCUCACAAUUAGGACUCUAAUCAGAUACAUUUCAUACUAAAUGGAAGUCCCUUUUGCAUUACAAUUGCAAUGAAGCAGGUACAUGGUAGAACAAACUUCUCACAUUAUCACAUAGCUAGCUGAAUAGAGAGAAGUGUAAGUAUUCGGUUGCCCUUAACAAUUAAUCACUCAUAUUUUACUUUGAUACCAUCAAUGACACGCCAUUUAUAUUAUGAUUUAAGUAACUAAUUAUCUAAAAGUAUAUUAUUUGUCCAUAAAAAAUGAAGAACGAGUAGAAUGUUCUGCCACCAAUAGGUAGAAAAAUCCCAUUACACCAGUGUGUUCUUGGCUAUUGUUGUAGUUAGACUCUAGAGUUAAAGUUUCACCAUCAAUAAUCUUGAUUGAACCUGGUUUAGGAUAACAUGUGGACAUUCCUACAAUGUAUCCCACUUCAUUUCCUGCUUCGCUUCCAUUUCCAUAACUUGGUUUGGAAGAACAUAUAACCCUCCCAUCCUGAAAACAUAAUCCAUCAAUUUCACAAAACAAGUUAUUGAUCUAUUAUACCAUGUUUAACUUCUUAAACAAACCAGUAUACAAUGAAAACAAGCACCGAUAGUCCUCAACUGCUAAUUAUUCACACCAUUUACUUGUUAAUUAAACAUUUGCUAACCUCAAUCGAAAACUAUUACAUGAACAAAUAGAAGGGAUUAUAUAUAAUCACAAAGUAGUGUUGUCUCGGAGUCCGACUAUACAUCUUUAAUCUCAAGUGUCGGUACUUCCAAGUAUUUAAGAAUUAGUAUAAUCUAUCUUUAACUAUUGGAAAUUACCUGUCCAUAUAGGGUGGAUCCAAUUCCACCUGAAUGCUGAUGUGCAACACCAUAGAUCACAUAUCCACCAGUUUGAAAUGGGAGACUUGUCCUCUUCACAUGAACACACCCAUUUUCCUCCCUAUGGUCUGUGCUGCAAGAUUCAACUUGAUACUCAAUCUGAAACAAAGAAAUCCAUGUUGCUCACUAUGAUACCCAACAAUGGGCUAGUGUUACAUUUAAGAGUUAAAUCGAGAUUGAGACAAAUAAAUUACUAAUUUGGAUUCCUAGCAGCCGAGAGACUCUACAUUCACGCAAUCAGCACAGACUGUUGGACCAAAGAUCAGAAGGUCCUAGAUUUCAAGCUCGGUAUUUUGGAUUUUAAUCAAAAUAAUCAAUAUUCGUAUAUUUUGUGAACUGACUGGUCUUGAUCCAACAUUCAUUGAUGCAUUGACUGUGUGUUUCUUGAUGAAUUCAUUUACCUUGCAAUCAUGAUCAAAGUUCGUUCCUUUUGAGUUAUCUGAUUGUUUCAUACUAUCGGUAACAUCAAUUACAUAUAUCUUAAGAGGCACUAUAAAAUCAUCCCAAUCAACCCAUUUAACAGUGUAUCUUAAGUAGAGGCUUCUCUUUGGACCCUCAAAACCUUCCUUCAACUUGCACUGUGUACAAUCAUAACAACAUAACCAACCUCCUUUAUAAUCUGGCCUUAUAGACCUUCCAUAUUCAUCCACCGUAACAUUAUAAAGCUCGCACUUACACUCAGUGCACCCUAACUUAUCCUCUACGCCACGUGUAUCAAUGGCAUGAACAUUAAGCACCCAUUUAUCCUCGGACCCUUCUGAAACCUCUGCAGGAUUACCUAUCUCUAUACCAAAAGGAUCCGGAAUAUCUGUUGCUGUUCCUCGUGUUUCGGAUCCAAUGCCAAAGUAUUGUCCAAGAGUAUUUCCCUGACAUAUGCCACUGUUCCUCACUUUCACAAUAUUAGAACUUUGAAGCAUCCUUUUGCCAUCAUUUCUUGUGUGUGUGACAUGUUUACUUUGAUGAUAUCUUCCAACACCCCAAUGAUGGAGAUAAGUUUCAUGGAGAGGUAUAGGAUUACCAACUUCAUCAACUACUUCAGCAUUGAAACUCUUGAGUGCAAUAUGACCUCUUGGAAAAUCAAUAUCAUAAUAUUCUUUAUUGAUAACUGAUCCAGGUCCUAACUCGAAUUUUGGGGACAAAAAUACAGCUGAUUUUAUUUUAUUUUCAGCAUUCAAAAAAGAACUUAAGCAUGGUGAGCCAAACAAUAGCAGAAGUAUUGCCACUGAAAAAUGAAACUCUCUAGGUACAAACCACAUGUUGAUCUGCCAGAAAAAUAUUUAUUAGUGAUUCACUAAAUGUUGAUUAAAGAAAUAUUAAAUAGAUACAGAUUGCAACAAUUGUAUUAUUUUCAUAAAAUUUUCUGACAAGAUACUUCAAGAGAAGGCAAUCAGAGAUGAGUAUAAUGAUCAACAGGUAAAUCUAGAGGUAGAAAAUAAAUCACAAAGAGACGUUAAAAAAUUUAAUGUUUUGACUGCUGUUUGCAAAGAAUAUUUUUAAAACCUUAAUUAUGACAUAAACUUAUGACCAAACAUGUUUUGACCAAACAUUUUUUCUUUUUUUUUGAAGGAACCAAACAUGUUUUUUAGAAACAUGAAAUUGGCAGCAGGAGCAUGUAAAAGAAAAGAACAUGAAAUUAAGUUGUGUACCUCAGAAAGAUAAUCUGGAAACGACUCUUAAGUUCUUUGAAGUAUGUUGUAGUCUUUGUGGCUUAAGUUCUAUCUUAAGCAUUUCUUUUUUAUUUUUUUGCUAAUCUAUCUUAAGCAUUUCUUGUUCUUAAUAGAUAGUAUUAAUAUAUUUAUUUCUUUGCCUCUUCAAAAAAAGUAUGCUGUCGUUUUUAUGUGCUGGGUCAGCCAUGAUGUAUUACAGCAACAUUUUUUAGUUUAUCUUGGAGGUAGGUAAGUCAAAGUGAGGUUUAUCUAACUUAACCUUGGUUAUAACCGGUUAUGUCAUUUGUCUUAGAGUUUCAGAGUUGAAUUUUUAAGCAAGGACAAAAGUUAUGGUGCAUAAGCCAUUUCCUUCUGCACAGUUCAUAAACACUUCACAACCAUCAGAUUUCUUUUAUUUUGUGUUUGUCAUUUCUCUCUCUACUCUUUUGAAAAACAAAUUUUCUCUCACUCUCUCUAAGAAACUGAUCUGGGAUGAAGUUUCAUCUUCUACACACCUCCGGCCGCCCUAGGGCAGCGGUGGCGCCGCCGGAGUAUUAGGAAAUGGCUCCGAUUUCAAAAAAAAAUUCACUUUUAAAAAUCAUUUUCCUUCUAUAAUCCAACUUCAGACUCGGUUUUCAGAGAUAAACAACCAAACAGUGUAGAUCUAGGUUUUAACUUUGUUCCCAUUCCUUUCGUUUGCGUUCGAUUUCCUUCUUCUUCUGCUCCUUCGCCGCCGCUUUCUUAUAUGCUUUCUUUGCUUCCCAUCUCUGCUGUCUCGCUAGCUACUUCUUCGUGUUCUUGGGGAGUUCUGAAGUGGGUUGUGAUGGUUCUGGGUUUGGAGGUGGAACUGUGGAUUCGGGUUCGUGAUUUUCACCAUAACUGCACGAAUUUCCGCACCCAUGGGCGGGAUUUACUGCUGGAAACCAUUAAGUACAUCUAAUAGUUUUGGAGUACAACUGCCGGAAACCAUUAAGUAGAUCUAAUGGUUUUCCACGGCAAAAUGGUUUUGGCAUUCCGGUACGGUGAUGCUAACAGUGAUGAUGAUGAACGACGGUGUUGAUGAUGAGAUUUAAGAUUCUGGAAACCAUUUCCACAACAAAAUGGGUUUGUAGUACAACUCACAGAAACCAUUUACACAGCAAAAUGGUUUUGGCAUUCCGGUACGGUGAUGAUGAUCAAUGACGGUGUUGAUGAUGAGAUUGAAGAUUCCAGUGGUGAUGAUGAUGAACGACGGUGAUAAUUCAGUUUGUUUUCACGUUUUGUUUGUUUUGUUUUGUUUGGUUUUCUUUGGGGGUGUAGGAAACAAUUAUGUUGGGAUUUAUGCACCAUAACCGAUCUCAUUUUUAAGUGGUGAUGGAAAACGUUAUAUUUAUCUUUUUUUUUUUAAAGAAACAAACUCAAUUCAUUUCAUUAUAAAUCAUGGACCAGAUACAUGACAGUACAUCAUUGUAGAGGUGGGAGCUAGCAUUACAUAUGCUAUCUUUGAUAGUUCAUGAGCGACCCUGUUAGCUUGCCUCUGCCUAAACUUGACAUGAGAAUUUAGAAAAUUGUUUUGAAACAAUUGCUUACAGACAUAUAUAAUACAACCGAACUCAGUGACAUCAUUUAUACAUGUUCUAAAGGAAUCAACAACCUUCUUAGAAUCUAACACAAAGUCUACAUUAUCAAACUGAAGGUUUGCCACCCAAUCAAGUGUCGUACAUAAACUCAUUGCUUCACCCGCAUUGACGUCACAAAGCGGGGAGAACCAGGUACUUUUUGCAAGCAUAAAAUUACCCUCUUCGCCUCUAAGACAUUCCAAGUCCUACCUUAUUAAGCGACGAGGAGAACGAGGCAUCUAUUUUUCAUUUAUACCUUCUAGGGGCCGGUUUUACCCAUUGUUACCAAGCUAUAAGAGUCGGCCCAUGUGGAUCAGAACUAGAGGGAGUUACACUACCUAAACGAAUGACUUGUGCAUGUCUCCAUUCAUCCAUCAACUACUUUGCACGCUCUAUAACCUGCACAUUAGUCUCGUUAGUUUGUUGCCAAAGUUUCAGGUUUCUGUGUUCCCAUAGGCUCCAUAGUAUUGCUGCAAAAUUUUCACUCUGUAUUGGAGUAAGUUGUUGCUACAAAGUAAAAAUAACAGAAUUCAUAUUAUAAUCCUGACGAAGCACACGAUCAAUCUUAUCCCAUAAAUUCACGGCAUGCCAAACUUGCACAGCACUCAAGCAUUCCAAUAAAACAUGAAUGAUGUCCUCGUAAUUAUUUCUACAAAUUACACAUUCGGUUGGACAAGACACACCUCUACUACUACGUUGUGCUCGAGUGGGGAAACGAAACAGCCCAGACACACGCCACAAGAGAUUUUUUAUCUUGGGGGGAGAUUUAAUGUUCCAAAUUAAGUCCCAACGACCAGAUUUAUGCAAAUGAAUAUUGUCAACAAUUUCAUUCAUACAUAUUCUGUAAGCACUGCGAACGAAAUACCUACCAUUUUUUCAGCCUUUCCAAACCAAUUUUUCACAGUCAAAUGGGCAGUAUGUUGAUCAAAUAAGUUAUAAAUUAAAAGAGCAUUUCAUACUCUUUGCUGCUCUCUUUCACAUCGUUCACAUUCAAUGGGAAACAUGGUUACUUAUCUAAACAUUUCUCUCUCAAGUUUACUUUACUAUUAUGGUUUUUUGGGAGUUUCUUCGCUGCUCUCUUUCACAAUGCCUCCAGUUCUUCUUCUUUCACUAAUUUUUUCCUUCCCACAGUUGUUACAUGGUAGAACAGACUUCUAGCAUAGCCAUAUGAAACAAUAUAGUGGAUUCAGCCAAAAUUACAAAUUUGUUUUUCUCCUAUAGCUAGCUGAAUACACAGAAAUGUAAAUUAUUCAGUUACCCUUUUCAAUCAUCAUGUCUUUAUUCAUCUUUGAUAAAUCAAUCAUAUUUUACUUUGAUACCAUCAAUGACACGCUAUUUAUAUUAUCAUAUGUGUAACUAAUUAUCUGAAAACUUUACAUCCACUACAAAAGAAGAACGAGAAGUAAGUCUAAGUUGUUGGUAUGGGAGUUGUUCUGCCACCAAUAGGUAGAAAAGUCCCAUUACUCCAGUGUGCUCCCUGGUGCUGUUGUAGUUAGACUCUAGGGUUAAAGUUUCACCAUCAAUAAUCUUGACAGAACCUGGUUUAGGAUAACAUGUGGACAUUCCUACAAUAUAGGUUGCCUCAUUUCCUGCUUCAUUUCCGGUUCCAUAACUUGGUAUAGAAGAACAUAUAACCCUCCCAUCCUGAAAACAUAAUCCACAAAUAUCACAAAACUAGUAAAUGUAAAAAAUACAGUGGUUACUUCUUGAUCAAAAGUAUAAGAAACACUGAUAGUACUAAAUUGCAAAUAUAUGAUGCUAUUCUCUUCUUUGUUAAACAUUUUCUACCCUUGAUUGAAAACUAUUACAUGAACAAAUAGAGGUGAUUAUAUAUGAUAAAAAAUGUCAAUAUUGUCUCGGUGUCCGACACUACGACACAUCUUUAAUCUCAAGUAUCAAUGCUAUAUUAGGUGUAAAUAUAGAAUCCCUCUUAAGGGGCAGAAUCAUGAUUGAUUAUACCCUUCCAGAUUGUAGUGGGAGACUUGUCCUUUUCACAUGAACACACCCAUUUCCCUCCUAUUGAUCUGUGCUGCAAGAUUCAACUGAUACUCAACCUGAAACAAAGAAAUCUACGUUGCUCGCAAUAUACCUAACAAACUACUGGACUAGUGUUAUAUAUGUUUUAAGAGUUAAACUAAGAUUGAGAAAAACAAACAAUGAGCAUGGAUUCCCUGCAGUCGUGAAACUCUACAUUCAGGCAAUCAUCGCAACAAUCACUGAUUAAUUGACUAACUAAAUGCUGAGUAUAUUCUACUACACGGAAUCUAUUUCCACAAACUAAAUGUUUCUUGAUGAAUGCAUUUACCUUGCAAUCAUGAUCUGAUUUCAUUCCUUUUGAAUCAUCUGAUAGUUUCAAACUACCAGUGACAUCAAUUAUAUAUAUCUUAACGGGCACUAUAAAAUCAUCCCAAUCAACCCACUUUACUGUGCAUCUUAAGUAAAGGCUUCUCUUAGGUCCUUCGAAACCUUCCUUCAACUUGCACCGUGUAGAAUCAUAACAACAUAACAAACCUCCUUUAUAAUCUGGCCUAAUAGAUUUUCCAUACUCAUCCACUGUAACAUUAUAAAGGUCACACUUACAUUCAGUGCACCCUAAUUUAUCCUCUGUGCCACGCGUAUCGAUGGCAUGAACAUUAAGCAACCAUUUCUCCUCAAACCCUUCUGGAAUCUCUUCAGGACUACCUGUCUCUAUACCAAAAGGAUCUGGAAUAUCUGUUGUCGUUCCUCGUGUUUCUGAUCCAAGGCCAAAGUAUUGUGGAAUGGUAUUUCCCUGGCAUAUGCCACUGUUCCUUACAAGAACAUGAUCAUAGUUUUGAAGCAUCAUGUGGCUACCAUCUUCUGUGUGUGUGACAUAUUUUCUUUGAUAAUGUCAUUCAACAAGCCAAUGAUGGAGAUAGGUUUCAUGGAGGGGUAUAGGAUUACCAUCUUCAUCAACAACUUCAGCAUUGAAACUCUUGAGUGCUAUAUGAUCACUUGGAAAAUCAAUAUAAUAAUAAAAUCUAUUGAUAACUGAUCCAGGUCCAAGUUCAAACUUAGGGGACAGAAAAACAGCUGAUUUUAUUUUAUUUUCAGUCUUCUCAAAAGAACUUAAGCAUGGUGUGCCAAACAAUAAUAGAAGUAUUGCUACUGACAAUUCAAAAUCUCUAGGUACAAACCACAUGUUGAUGAUCUGCCAGAAAAAUAUUUACAAGUAAUUAACUAAUUUUUUAUUAAAGAAAUAUUAAACAGAUGCAGAAUCAAGCUUUCAUUAAACAAGGAAGACAAUGUUUGCAAAUUGCACAUGCACAACAAUAUUAAAAAAGGCAAGAUAAACUACACAAAUAUGCAUGAAAAAACAUAGUUUGAACACAAUCAAUACGGAGCAAAAGCAUGCAGAAGAGAAGAUGGAAUGGCUUGAGUUGCGUUCCUCAGAAAGAUAGUUUGGAAAUGGCAGAGUUGAGCUUUGUUUGACGAGAAAACUAGCUACUAUUCGAAGUAUUUUUAUAUAGAAAAUGUACCUGAGACCCACCUCAUCAUCAUCACAUGAUAAUGUUCUUCACAAUCUUUCAUUUCACACUCGGGAAAGCAAUAUCAGAAUUUAUUAUUAGCAUGACUUCUUCAUUCUUUCAUUUUAAUAUAGGUCUAUACUUGUACCGCUCAAAGUAAUGGGAAAGUCUAUGUCAAUGUUUCAUAAAUAAAUUCAAUUGUUGAUAUUAUAUUACAUGUAUUAUAUCACAUGUAUUUCUUAUUAUGGGCUUUGAAAAUAUCAUAUCACAUGUAUUAUAUUAUUUGUUUGUAAAAAAAGUAUUAGUAUAUUAUAUUAUAUUUUUACCUCUUUUUAAUUGCAUUUUCUUUUUAUAUAUAGAGAAAGAAUGAAUGUUUUUAGCUUUUGAUAUAAUUAUAUCUUUUUCUUGUAGUCGUCAAAAAGAAUUUCUUUUUUUCUUUCUAAUAAUGGAAUUGCAUUAACUACUCAAACGGAUGGAAUUUGCACCAAGGGAAUCAUUACAUAUGAGAAUAUCUAACAAAGAUUUCUCUAUUACAGCUAAGUAGAAUGAGCUCGAUAUGCAAGAUGGUUUGCACAUUUAUUUGCAUCGCAGUUAAUAUGAUAUAACUCAAGUGCAUAUUUGGAGUAUGGUGCAAGUACAUGGCAGAUAAGAAAUAUUGGUAUAACCAUGUUGAAUCGUAUUCAUCGCUACUUUGAAAUCAAAUUCAAUUAACACGUGUAUUAGGUGCUGAGAUUGAACAAGUCCAAAGCCGGAAAGAAUUGUCCACGGCUCAGUUGAAAGUUUAUUUGAAGAGGUAAUUUAAAGCAUAAAAUCAUACACAAAUUUACCUUGUUGGUCACGAAUCAAGCCACCACAAGCCAAGCUUCCGACGCUGGUAAAAUAUGAUCCAUCUACAUUGAGUUUGAGUCGUCCAAGAGGAUGGAUCAAAUUAUGCUUCUGAUGUGCAUUGUGGAUUUCCUCUAUAUGUCUUGGGCAGUUGCAACUCAAUUACAAACAAGAUCAUGAACAAGAUUUUUAACUGAAUUUCAUAGCUUAUCUCCCGUAUCUAAUUGAUAAUGUAGAUUUUUACCCUAUUCAUUGUGAAUAUUUUUAUGGGUAUCUAUUAGGUACGAGUCCAAUUGUCAUCCAUAAGAUGUGUUCUAAAGUUACAUGCUAAGAAAUUCAAUUUAGAAUAUAUAAUUAUGAAAGAUAUGUACAUUUAAUUCUUUAAAGUUUACAAAUUUUUCAUUUCAAUACAAAAUUUAUACUUUGUCAAAAAAACAAAAAAAAAAUACAAAAUUUAUACUUUUAUAUUCUUUAAUAUCUAUCUUUAAGGUCCAGUUAACAAGACCCUAAAAUAUAUACAUUUUAUAUAACACUUCCUCUCAUAGAAAGAAAGGGAAAAAAAAAAUCAAGAUCACGACUUUUUAUUCAUUUUUUAAUCUUAAUAUUAUAUUUUAAAUAUUAUUUUAUAUUAAAUAUUUUUAUACUCACUUGUAUGAUGAUUAAAAAUUGGUAUUUGAGGGGAAAAAACAUCUUAAAAUUUAGAAAGAUAAAUAUCUAGUACAAUAAUAUCCUAUUAAAAGAAAGAGUAAUUCACAAUAUAUGUUUAUAUUAAUUUAUUAUGAAUGGCUUCCUGAUUAUUGUCACAAUUGUGCUACAAUUGGUCAUGACAUUGGUCGAUGUAAGUGGUUGCAUAAAAAUCAGAAUGUUUCCAACUAGGUUGCUAAGAAACAAAAAGUUGAAAAUAGAAACUAUAAGGAGAUGCAUUCCAAGCUGGAAAUGAAAAGGUUUGCAAGGGUAAGACAUUAUCUCGUGACGAUACUGUGCAACAUCCUCAGCGGGCUAGACAACAUGAGGCUGCACAAACUUAGCCUCAGAUUGUCUUGCAACAAUUGACUAAUGAUAUUGUGCAACCAACACGAUGUAGCAAAAUUGUUGUAGAUGAGGACCCACUUAUCUUAGAUAUAAUAAGGUCCAAAUAUAUGACAAUUAUUGUGCAUGUGGGAGAUGCUAUUGAGUUGGUGGAAGAGGCAUUUUCUAUAGCUGUUGAAACUCUUCUUGUGCAGCCUGUGCAGGUGAAACACACCUUAGUUCAUGAUUGUGAGAUUGUGAAACAUAACGGGGACCAACAGAGGAAUUCUUUGUGUAUCAAUGUCCCUUGGUGUGAUGCGGCGACCAAUAUGGACUACAGUCAGGAUCACACACGAAGUGAAUUUGAGCAGGAAUUGGGAACUGAUAGUUCCAUAGUUGUGACAGACUCUAACUUGUCAAACUUUAGUGCUAAUGUAAUUCAUGAAAUGCAAGUUUUAAGGGCUUAUUCCUACCGUAACCCAACAAGCUAUGGAUUUUCUAAGUGAUUCCUCGUUUAACAUGGGUCAGAAAGAAGAUACUGUUGAUUUGACAGGAAACACAAGUCAGCCAUUUCAAUUGGUGGAACAUAGAAAGAGGGAGAACAAGACGCAGCAGCCUCAUACGAGCAAAGGGUUCAAGAUGGGUGAUUCCAGCUGUUCGCAUCGCUAGUUCUUUGAUGGGAGUUCACUUUCAUACUUUUUAGGCCUUUUAACUGUUUUAGUUCUUUUUCCGCUUUUGUUUUUCUAGAGGGUUUUGGUUUAAUCACCCUUCCCUCUUUAUACUUUCUUUCUUUAUUUUAAUCUAUGAUCAGGAUUCUGCAGUAGGUGAUCCCUCUGCACCUCAUAUAGUAUAUUGUCGCUUUAUAUGCUGGGUCAGCCAUAUGAACCAAAAAAUAGUGAAUUAAGCCAAAAAUACAAAUUUGUUUUUCUCCUAUAUCUAGCAGAAUACACAGAGAAGUGUAAUUAUUCAGUUACCCUUUCCAAUCAUGUCUUUAUUCAUCUUUGAUAAAUCGAUCAUAUCUUACCAUAAUACCAUCAAUGACACGCCACUUAUAUCAUCAUAUAUGUAACUAACUAUCAGAAAAAUUUACGUCGGCGACAAAAGAAGAACGAGAAAAAAGUCUGAGUUGUUGAUAUGGGAGCUGUUCUGCCACCAAUAUGUAGAAAAGCCCCAUUACUCCGGUGUGCUCCUUGGUGCUGUUGUAGUUAGACUCUAGAGUCAAAGUUUCACCAUCAAUUAUCUUAACAGAACCUGGUUUAGGAUAACAUGUGGACAUUCCUACAAUGUAGCCUGAUUCAUUUCCUGCUUCACUUCCCUUUCCGUAAUUUGGUAUAGAAGAACAUAUAACCCUCCCAUCCUGAAAACAUAAUCCACAAAUUUCACAAAACAAGCUAAUAUACAAAUACAAUGUUUAACUUCUGGGUCAAAUGUAUAAGAAACAUCGAUGGUACUAAAUUGCAAAUAUAUGACACCAUUCUCUUCUUUAUUAAACAUUUGUUACCCUCUAUCGAAAACUAUUACAUGAUCAAAUAGAGGUGAUUAUAUAUGAUAAAAAAUGCCAAUAUUGUCUCGGUGUCCGACACGUGUUACACAUCUUUAAUCUCAAGUGUCGGUGCUAUAUUGAGUGUAAAUAUGGAAUCCCUCUUAAGAGGCAGAAUCAUUAUUGAUUAGACCCUUCCAAGUAUUUAAGAAUUACUGCAAUCUAUAUGUACUGUGACUAUUGCAAAUUACCUGUCCAAAUAGGGUUGAUCCAAUUCCACCUGAAUGCUGAUGAGCAACACCAUAGAUCACAUAGCCACCGGUUUGUAGUGGGAGACUUGUCCUUUUUACAUGAACACACCCAUUUCCCUCCUUUUGAUCUAUGCUGCAAGAUUUAACUUCAUACUCAACCUGAAACAAAGAAAUCUAUGUUGCUCGCAUUAUACCCAACAACUUAAUGGACUAGUGUUAUAUAUGUUUUAAGAGUUAAACUAAGAUUGAGAUAAACAAACAACAAAUAUGGAUUCCCUGCAGUUGAUAGACUCUCACUCUACAUUAAUUCAAGCAAUCAUCACAACCGUCACCAUUCCACAAACUAAAUGUUUCUUAAUGAAUUUACUUACCUUGCAAUCAUGGUCUGAGUUCAAUUCUUUUGAAUCAUCUGAUGGUUUCAAAGUAUCAGUAACAUCAAUUAUAUAUAUCUUAACAGGCACUAUAAAAUCAUCCCAAUCAACCCAUUUCACUGUGUAUCUUAAGUAGAGGUUUCUCUUUGGACCCUCAAAACCUUCCUUCAACUUGCACCGUGUAUGAUCAUAACAACAUAACAUACCUCCUUUAUAAUCAGGCCUUACAGACCUUCCGUACUCAUCCACCGUAACAUUAUAAAGCUCGCACUUACACUCGGUGCACCCUAACUUAUCCUCUGCACCUCGUGUAUCGAUGGCAUGAACAUUAACCAUCCAUUUCUCAUCAAACCCUUCUGGAACCUCUGCAGGAUUACCUACCUCUAUACCAAAAGGGUCCGGAAUAUCUGUCAGUGUUCCUCUUGUUUCGGAUCCAAGGCCAAAGUAUUGUCCAAGAUAAUUUCCCUGGCAUAUGCCACUGUUUCUCACAAGAACAUGAUCAGAGUUUUGUAGCAUCAUGUGGCUAUCAUUUUCUGUGUGUGUAACAUGUUUUCUUUGAUGAUAUCUUCCAACAACCCAAUGAUGGAGAUAAGUUUCAUGGAGAGGUAUAGGAUUUCCAGAUUCAUCAACUACUUCAGCAUGGAAAUCCUUGAUUGCUAUAUGGCCUCUUGGAAAAUCAAUAUCAUAAUAAUAUCUAUUGACAACUGAUCCAGGUCCUAGCUCAAAUUUCGGGGACAAAAAAACAGCUGAUUUUAUCUUAUCUUCAGUCUUCACAAAAGAACUUGAGCAUGGUGUGCCAAUCAGAAGGAGAAAUAUGGCCAAUGAAAAUACCAAAACUCCAGAUACAGAACACAUAUUGAUCUGUCAGGAAAAUAGUUACUAGUAAUUAACUAAUUGUUGAUUAAAGAAAUAUUAAACAGGUGCAGAUUGCAACAAAUGUAUUAUUUUCAUAUAAAAUUCGGACAUGAUAGUACUACAAGAGAAUUAUGCAAUCAGAUAUAAGUAUAAUAAUGAUCAAAGUAGUCUUUAGGAAGCCUUUGAUGAAUUCAAUCAAGCUUACAAUAAACAAGGCAGGAAGAGUUUGCAAAAUGCAUAGGCACAGCAAUAUUAAAAAGAGCAAGAUAAUAUACAAUGAUGAUCAAGAUGUUAAAUCACAGUCACGUUGUAAUGCAAUAAUAUUAAUACCGUUGAUGCAAGUUCAAUUGCAAUAACAAAGAGAUAUUAAAAUUUUUAAUUUUGUGUAGUGUGAUCAAUGAAAAGAAGAGAAGAUCAUGGAAAGGCUUGAGUUGCGUUACCUGCGUACCUCAGAAAUGUAGUAGUUUGGAAACGACAGAGUUAAGGUUUGUUUGAUGAGAGAAUCACUUGUAUUUAUUAUAGAUGAAUGAACGAAUGAAAGUGUCUACUAGAGAGCCACCUGCUCACAUGACACAAUCUUUCAUUUCACACUUCAAUAUCCAUUAUUAAUAUCGUUUUUUUGGUUAUUUAAUCCAAAAAGUACUUAAUGCUUAACAUUUCCCACGAUGAGGAUCCUGAUCAUUCUAAAUUAGAAAAUAAAAGUUAUCCAAAAAAAAUAGAAAAAUAGAAAACGAAUGCAAACAAUCCGUUUUUUAAGAUCAUAUCGGCAAAUUUGAUAUUAUAAGAUUGUGUAAUCAAUGUAUAUUAGUAUUUUUCUAUUAAAAAAAAUGGUAUAUUAGGAUUUUAUUUGAAAUCCUAUAAAUAUACCAAUUUGUAGCAUUUUCUUUUUGAAGGAACCGAUUUGUAGCAGAUCAUUUUUUGUAAAUUCUCGUAGUUUACUUGGAGGCAAGCAUAGUAGGCGUAGGCUGCUUAUUCUUUAGCACGUAGUGACAUCUCUAGGCUCUAGCUAGCCCCAUGUCUUCUUUAUACAAAUAUAAUAUUAAGGUCUUAAGUUUUGUUCCCCUUAAGAUGUCAGGAUUGAUUACGCCGGUGCCAAUUUCAGCAGGUUGGUUCAUACAAAGUUUUCCUCCCCACAAGUGGCUGGUGAAUUCGGACUCAUCAGAUUAGUCAGUCUUCUCUUUUGGCCACAUACCGAGUUUAAAGAAAAAAUAAUUUUUUUAUGAUUAAAAAAUCGUAAUUUAAGGUUAAAUUUUUCAAGGCAAACUAAAAAGGGAUGUUCAAAGGUUCAGUCGAUCGCUCAAUCGCAAGCAGCAAAAACUACACGGAAAGUGAACACGAAUCAGAAAAAGACGUUUAUUGAAUUUAUUCCAAAACAAAUAUUGGGAUAGCACAGUUUAUUUAAUUUAAUAAAAGAAGAAGCAAAAACUAUCAUAAAUACUAUUUUCCCCCACCAGUUCCCAAGUCCACACGGAUAUGCACCUGUGCUUGACUUCCUUCUACUUUCUUCCCAUGUGUUGAUUCUUUUUUUUACAACAUUGAGAUGAUGGAUCACAUUGGACAUGAAAACUCUUCGUUAAGCUCCCCAUUAAAAUCCAGACCAAAGGAUAUCGGGAUGAACUGGCAUGUUAAUCUUCCUUACAGCAUAUAUCGAACUGCAUACACAGAAAAGGAGGGAAAAUUCCACUGGAUCAGAGACAGAAAAGGAAGUUGCAGAAUAAUAUAACUAUAAACAGGAAAUAACACACCACAUUCAACCCACUUUAGGAAAUUGUAGUGAUACAUUAAAAUUGAUAAUUGAUGUCUGCAAUUCACUUGUAUAAUUUAACAGAACAUCUACUGACCUAUUUUACUAACAUCUAAUAGAGUAGUGCCACAACACACAUUGAGAUACCAAAUGCAAAAUCAGAAAUUUUCUCUAUCGGGACAAAUGGCCCUUUGAAGUUGGAAGAAGAAUCUUAAACAAACAUACCCAUGUUUGUUUCAACUUCCAACAGAAGUGCAAGGGGCGGGAGUCAAUACGAGGGAAGUGAACUCAAAAACAAGCAUUACUAUCAUUUGGUUUGCAUAAAAAAUAACCUGAUGGAACUGCAAUAGUGGAAAUGACAAUACCAAAAGUCUCUAAAAUGACAUAAAAAAUGAGCUGAUACGCUAUUUUAUUCUAAAUACUAAAUUUAUCCAUCACAUUUUUUAAUUCAGAACUACUUCACAAAGUGGUUUUUUAUGUUUUUUUAUAUAACAGAAAUGUCAGCACAAAAUACCAAUUCCUUUCUUUCAACUAUUCUACCCAACCAAGCAAGUAAAGAGAACACUUGACUUUUCAUACUCGCAUUCUUUUAAAUUUAGUUGCUAUGGUGGAUCCAUUUUUCACACAAUUAAAAUCUUAUACUCGUAUCCUUCCCAUUUAUCUCAUAUGAGAUUUUCAUUUUCAUAAGAAAACAAUAAAGAGCCUGACAUUAGAUGAGAUACGGCCUGAAAAUGUGUUUAUAAGUGGUGAGCAGUCUUUGCUUCGCCUAUUAAAUUGGUUUUGUAAGAAUUGAAUCAGUUCAACCCAAAUUCUAAGAUGGUAUCAGAGUUAGAGCUCUAAGAAAUUGGUUUAUGACGUCUUUUGGGAGAAGAAGAAUUUGAUUGUCCAAACAAAUAAUGAUACUGCUUAAUGCAAUUAUCAUAAAUUGUUUUACAUGCAUGUGUUUUGCAAUAAGAUAUGCAUUGGAGGAAAGCUACGAGAUGGACAAACCUUAAAAGUUAUCGGAUUUGCAAAACCAAACAAUGGUGGCGCAAUGAUGCAACUCUAAGAGAAAAACAUGUUGUAAUUGACUAUAACAAUAAAUUGAUCCUGUUAAUGUCUUAAUGACAUACUUAAACAUUAUAAAAAGGUUUAUGUUAGGCAUGGUUAGCCAAUUAUACCCUUCUACACUCUAUUUACUGAUGACGGUCAGACAAGUUAUUAAUGUAUUUGUUUCUUUACGAUCGAAAUAUUAAGUCAUAUCCAUCUUUGUUAAUUUCAACCUCUUUAAUCAAAUCCCCCUACAUAUUUCAGACCAAUAAACGUCAUCCUCACCGAGACAACGAGCAAUCACACAAAACCACAAUGUCCAUCUCCCACAAGGUCAAAAAUAAUAUUCUCAAUAUAUGGUUGCAUCUACUUGGGAAUUUGGAGAAUAAAAUCAAAAUUGACAGUGUUGGAGUCUUGGAGAAACAUCGUGCACAUUUUCAAUAGAAUAAUCAUUCGAUUUGCUGAAUCGUCAGCUUAUUGGAAAAUUAAUCUUAAAAGAUAUUGUAGAAAUAGAUUUUAGGCAUGAUUCUCUGAAGAUAAAAAAUUUAGUACUGAAAAAUUACAUGAUGUUUUGCCCACCCUGCGAAUUUUGCUUAUACUCUCCAGACUCCUAACUAGUAUUGCUAAUAUUUUCGACUUUGAAGAGAAGAACAUUGUAAUUUUUUGGCGAUCACAUGUUAUCACGCUAAAGAUAAGUUUAUUGACCUAAGGUUUGUAGAAAUUUGAUUGAAGAGAUUGAAUAUAACAAAGAUAUAUAUGACUUAAUACUUAGGUGUCGUAAGAAAUAAAUGUAUUAAAACGUGUCUAGCACUCUAGCCAUCAAGAAAAAGAAGACUAGAAAAAGAUAAGUGGAUGGUCAUGUCUGGCAUGAGCCUUAUUAUUAUGACUUCUAAUUAUGGAAUGAAAGUGAUCAAUUUUUUGUUACAAUAAUUCACAACACAUUUUCCGCUUUGAGGUGCGCCACCACACCACCUCUUUUUUGCUUGGUGUUGCAUUUGGGAAAGAAAAAAAAUCACUAUACAUAGAUAACUUUUAAGGUUGUCAAUCUCGUGCCUUCUAUCCAUCCUCGAUGCAUAUCUAAUUGCAAUGAAGUAGUGGUAUCAUUCUAAUAUAGUCAAAUUAUUAAACCACUAUAUCUAUGGCAACAUUCAUUUUAAACUAUCAUACAAUCAUACAUAGUCAAAUUAUUAAAAAUGUUUGGACAGCCACAAAAAAAAAAAAAAAAAUCAAUGUGUCAACACAUCAUUAAAAUAUGCAUCAAAUUCAAACUCGUUAACAAACCACAUGGUAUGCAAGCAAAUGGCUAAGAACAUGUCAACCUUAAAACUUCCAACACUCUUGCUUGCAAACCUUAUCGCGUAGCACUAAAAUAACACAUUAGCACCAUUACUGAAUCAUCAAUUUCAAAUUUCUCAAUAUUUAACCAUCAAGAUUUUCAAGCAUGAGCGAUAAAAGUCCAUUAAAAAGAUAGCUAGUUCCCUUACCUUUGAAUGUGACUCUCAUCUUGAGAGAGGCUUCUGAAGCAAUGCAGUCAAGUAAAGCUCUCCAUGCUUAACACCACCAGCAUCAGUCUUAUUCCCCGUUGCCCACUUCACUUUCUUGUAACCCAUUUUCGCAAUCAAAGGCUUAUACACUUUAUCAAGAUCCACACCCUUACUAAAAAAAUGAUCCAACCACAAAUACCCUCCACCUCUCAACACUCUAUCAACAUCAAACAACAAAAACUCCAACAUUGUCACCGGAAUCCAUCGAUUCACCGCCCUCCCACACCGAACAAUAUCUACAACACCGUCAAACAUCGGUAACCGCUGCUGCAACGGAACAUGAAGCGGCACAAGUCCCCUUAACGCAACUGCCUCACUGUAAGGCGCCACAACAUUCAUUGUCGUUGUAACCACCGUAACAUUCCUCACCUUCAUUGCCGCCGCAAAUGAGCCGGUACCACCACCAACGUCAAGUCCCAAACGUAAAACUGAUUUCGCUGAUUUCGCGAUCUGAAGAAGCUGUUGAACUGGGAGAUCUAAGUCAGAAUUAUAGCUAGUAAACUUAGAAACUUCACGAGAAGGUUCAAAUCCGAGAUUAGGGUUUUGACGGUUAAAACAAUCGAAUGAUUUACAUGAGUAACGAUCCCAGAUAACAGAGGAAUCAGGUAAGGAAGAAGGAAAAGGAUUUUUCGGAAGAGAACUCGACGAAGUUUGUUUCUUCGGCGUCGGAGAGAAACAUCUCCGGCGAGGGAGAGGAUGACAACCGCGAAGAAUUAAGCUUUCAGCGAGCUCUGAAUCAGAAGGACAAAUCGAGAACGGUGUGUAGGUCAUGUACUUAUGAAGAAGAUCAGGGUGGUUAUGACAAGAAGAAGCAAUUGGUGAGAUGUGUGAGUAGAGGAGUAGAUCUGAAGGGAUUGAUGAUUUUGUGUUGGUGUUGGGGUUGGUGUUCUGGAGGCGCGUGAGGUGGUUGAUGGUGGCGCGUAUGGUGUGAAGUUGACGGAGGAGUUCAUCGGGUAUCGGUGGAAGUGGUUUUGGGGAUUUAGGGGAUUGGAGAGUUGUGGAGAGAUGGUAGAGGGAGAGAAUGUUGGUUGCUACCAUUGCUAUUAGGAGAAGAAGAUUUAGUGUCAUGGUGCUGAAUGUGAAACCCAUUUGGUUUCUUUCUUUGCUUUUUCUUCUUCUUCUUCUUCUUAAGCUCAGUGUAGAGUAGAGUAACUCACUAUCUUGUCCUUAUUUGUUUUGGUUAAUUGGGAUUUGAAAAGCUUAGAAUGAUAUUUUAAGAUUAACAAGUGGGGUUUGUGAGUUGACUAAUUGGAAUUAGAGUAUUUCAUGUGAGUGAGUGUUGGUGAGAGAAGUGAGCUAGUACUGGAGUAGUAGGUAGGUGUGUAGUGUCAGAGGUGAACUAUCUCUGGUGGUGCUAACAUUUAUGAUAUGUGAUGUGAUUCUAAGCUAAGUUUGCUUGAUUUAUGAAUCAUGAUCUAGUAGUACUAGUAGUAGUAAUAUAUGUGGGACCAAUCUGGGUUAAGUGUUUAUUUACUGUCUUGAUGAUGAUGUAAAUAUAAACUUAGAAUUAUGGAUACUUCUCUGUUUAUGUAUUUAUCUAGUGAACAUUGAACAAUAGGACAAAAGAAUUGGUUAUCACUUUCAGCUUUUGGCAUGUAGACACAUAUUUUCUUGCGUUUCUUUUGUUUUUCAGUGGUAUCAUAUUUGUUUUAAAUUGUAACUUAACGAGGAAGAAUAAAAAAAAUAACUUGGUUGAAUGGAUGAAAUAGGAGAAAAUGCGAAGGGCAAAACAGCGGUAUGCACGUGAAUUUCGUCAUGGAUCAUGUCGGGAGUGUUUAAUAUUCAUUUGAUUUCGUUAAUCGUUCUAUCUUUGGAAAUGUUUUACUACUUUAAAAGUCUUUAACGUAAAGUCGUGAAUUAGUGUUAACCGUGUUUGAAGGAAGGAUGUAAUAAUCAAAUCAAAGUAGUACAUAUUAUAUCGGUAUUUAAAUUGCAAAGAAAAAGCUUCUUUAUUUUUAAAUAAAAAGAAAAACAAGUACAAUAAAAGCCUAAAAUUUGAGCUGAACACGAGGCAUCAAGUCCCAACACUGAUUUUAACUCUAAUGAGAAAGUGUGUCAAAAGGUAACACCUAAUCUUAAAGAGCGUUUGAGCUUGACCAACAAAUUUGCACAAUGUUUGCCCCUCAUGUUAGAAAUAUGCUCCUUUAACCCGAAAAUCUUCAAUAACAAAGAAGCGUAUACAUGCAUAUGUGAGUGAUUCGGAUGUUGAAGAAGAUUGAGGACUUCUAGAGAAUCUCUAUUGAUUACUAACAUCAAAUCAUGGUAAACCUCAAAUAGUUCAGCAAAAAGGGCAUCUUCCUGCCCCUCGUUAGAAGAGAAUCCAGCCAUUCAAUUUUCAUUGUUGUCACGAAGUAAACCACCAUAAAUCAAUGUCAUCGGAAGCACCACAACUUUAAUUAAUAUUCAACUUAACGCGUUCAUCCAUUUAACAAUGUGACGAUUAAUGUGGUGCUCAAAGAAGUGAAUAUUAACAAAAGUUAGGUUAAUACGCAUAAUGUCUAUAAAAUGAAUGACAUUUUGGGUUUUCCAUUUCUUGUCGCCAAAAGUAUGGUUAUUUAUGAAGUGUCAAAUCCACCAAAUAGCUAUUGCAAACAUGUUAGCAAAAGGUCCUUCGUAUAUGUUUUUAAGGAUGUGAAGCUGAAGAAAUAUGGAUGAUUAACACUACAUAUUUGUUGCCAAACUUCCUUCGUUGGAGUACAAUCUCUGACGUAGUGAAGCACAUCUUCAUCAUGUGUUCCAUACUGUUGACAGAUAAAAGAUGUUGCCAAGUUGCAGUAUAAUGUCGAAGCUUGUUAGUUGGGAUCACAUUGUGCAUUGAAAGCUAGAGGAAAUGUUUCACUUUGGCCCGAACUGACAAUUUCUAAAUCAAAUCUCAACUUUCAUUAUCAUUCAACUCUCUAUAACGAGAUAAAAGCCAACUAUAGGUUGUGGAGCAAUAAUACCUUCUUGUUUGAGAAGCUCCACAAACCUAUAUAUCCUGAAUAGUAUCAUCAAAGUCCAAAGGAUGGGGAUUGAUCAACAAUCGUGUUGAGUUUGUUUGGAACCAUUGUCAUCAGUUUAUUCCAAUCUCAUGAUCAAACUAGAAUUAGGAGCAUCCGAAAUGUUGACUAAAUCAACCAUGUGACAAAGCGCUCCUAGCCCCGUCUAGUUAUCAAACUAGAAUUAGGAGCAUCCGUCACCGAUGCGGAAUCGAAAGCCUUGUCUCAAGGCUUCCAAUGCCUUUAAAAUACUUCUCGAGGUUAGAGAAAUGUUUCCUUCAACUUUAAUGUUCCAAAUGUCGCCACAUUUUAUGUACUUGUGAGAUAAAACCCUCACCAAAGUUCCAGAGGAUCAUAAUGAAGGUUCCAAACUAACUUCCCAAGAAGAGCAAUAUUACACAGUCUAGUUUCCCUAAUGGUGAGGCCUCCAAAAUUCUUAGGGGAAGUAACAGUAGACUACUUAACUCUAUUUUGCUUCCUAUUACGACAUGUGCCACCUCAAACAAAGCUCUUGGUGACUCUAUCGAUCUUAACACAAGUAUUUUGUGGGUAAAUAAUGCAUCUACAUGGUAUAAAUAGGCAUUGUCGUAGUAACUGAUUUGGCUAGGCAAACCCGCCCCACUUUAUUAAGGAAAUUACCUUUCCAAGUUGAGAGUCUUCUAUGCAUCUUCUCUAAAAUAUAAACAUAGAAAAAAACGUUUAAUUGGCGAGUAAGGUCAAACAAACUCAUAGGGGAAUCAUUAUAUAGUUGGGAAAUUGCUCAUAUAACUUAAGAAAUUGCUCGUUGACACCCUAAAAAUACUUUAAUACCUCAAUGAUGGUUAACUAUUGUUGGGUUAUCAUAUGUAGACAUCACAAUAUUCUUGACAAAAUUGUUGUUUUUUAAUGACAAAAACUUGCUUUUUUUUUUCUUUCAUUUCUAAUCAUUCACGGUAUGAUUCACCACAAACUUAGUGCUUGUUUGGUUUCCCGUUUGUAAGCCUAGGACGUGUGUUUCCAUUGACAUAAUCAAUUAUACCACUAAAACAACUUGUUUGGUUCUCAAAAUUUUGACGUGAUUUUCAUUCCAAAAUCGUAUCAAGUUGAAGCAACUAUUUCUAGCUUUUGCGUUCACGGUAAGAUUUAAUUAUACAGUUAAUUAGCGUUUUCCUUUAUUACACUCAACUUAGUUAUGGAAGAACCAAACAUGUCGUUUGCCAUGGUUGAAAGUUGGUACUCCUUUCUUUUACGCUUAGUUAUGGAAGAAAAACCUGUAUCCACAAUUAUCCACUUGAACCACCCCCAGAUAUGACAGGUUUUCUCCGCCUUGAAUAGGUUUGGGGUUUUUCUAAUUUCAAAACACGGGUACAGGACGGGUAGAAUAUUACAUUAUUACUAUUUUAUUGAUCCUUUUAUAUAAAAAUAGAAACUCAAACCUUAAACCAUUUCACUCACGUAGUCAGAGUGUAACUCUCAGACGACACUUACUCGAGUUCUCUCUUUUCUCCUUCAUCACAGCCACCAAUCACCAUCACACCCUCGGUCAAUGAAAUGUUAAAGGGGAAUUGUUAAAGGGUCAUAUUUUUUGAGACGUUCAAGUGAGCAUAUUGAUGGAUAAUGCAUUAUGCAUUACAAUAUUUCCCUCGGGCUAAACAAUAUUUUUGUUUUUUAUAAUAAAAAAAAAAAUUCACCACGGGUACGGAGAUUGAGUGGGGAUACCUGAACCCGAUGAGAUUCAAUUUCUAAUCUUCGUUGGAUAUGGGUAGAGUAAUGGGUGAAUAUUAUGAGUUGCGGAUGGGGACGAGAAAAGUAAAACUCGUCCCCACCACGCGCCCAUUGUCAUGCCUAUUUACGUUGUGCUCCAUUAUCGUGGAUAUAAAUAUUGUUUGAUUUUUUUUCUGUUUACACUCUUUAAUUCUUGUAUUUUAUUAAAAAAAUCAACAUGAAAAAAUAUUAAAAAUGACUCUUAUGAAUUUAUCUUUUAAAAAAAUGAAUUUAUGAACUGAUAAAAAUGAAUUUAUGACUUUAGAUAAGUUAAAAUAAUUAUUUAAAAUGAUAAUUCAGAUAUUCAGUUUUAAAUAAAAUGAAAAGGAUAAUUUGGUCAUUGUUCAUUUAAAAUAAAUUUGUAUUCAAACAACAUAACUCAUAAGUAUCACUUUUAAGUGAGUAUAUUCAAACAUAAAUUAAUUCACAUCAAACUCAAUUUUAAGCAAAAUUAAUUUUCUCAAACUCAAUUAUAUCAAAAUCAAUUUUCUCACAGUCAAACGAAACACAUACUUAUUCACACAUUCAUUCAUUCCAUCAUCCACACAUUCCUUGUCUAAAAAUCAAUUCUACCUAAAAUUACGCAAAUACGCAAAAUCAGAAUCCAUUCUCCCAAAAUCAUUCAAAUGUCAUAGAAAAAUAUGCAAAUGUCACAACAAUGUCAUUAAUUUACACCAAGAACAAUAUUGUCAUAGAAAAACGAUAAUUUACGAUCGCGAAAAUUCUAAAAAAACAAGUACUCCUAAAACUACUGCCUCCUCCUUCGGGUUAUCUGAAGCGUGGUUGUUGAGGAGACCCUAGAAGUACUCCACUGAAUGACCGUCACACACCUGCUCCUCCGCCAUGGCAUAGACGGUCCAUAUGAUCUGGAGUAUGUUGGGACGAUCUCUGGCAUGAUCAUUCUCAAUAAUGACGUCCUCAUUAGGCGGUCUAGGAGGUGGUAGCUCAACAACCUUUGUAGGUGGGAUCAUCAACAGAAUAGAGACUCUGUAGAACCAUAUAGUGUACCCCGUUUCAGUCUGCCACGAAUCCACUGCCACCAGACCCCGCUUAGCCAAUGGUAUGACAUGAAUCACGAAGUCCUGGAAGACAUGGAGUAUUUAGGAUGAAUGAAAGGGAGACAACAAAGUCCGGAUGUAUGGGAAUGUUCUGCACACGUCCGUACUGCCUCUUCCUCUGCUCCUGCAAGUGACGGUGCUUUGUGCCAUUGUUGGACAUAGUCCAACCAGAGUAUUGAUUUGGUUCAUCCAUUCUUUGGAUCUUAAAAUAAAAAAUCGAGACUCAAACCAAAUUAAAUCAACUUAGGUUGGUUCAGUUCGAUAUUUUUGAACGAGAACCAAACCAAAUUAAAUCAGUUUAGGUUGGUUCGGUUCAGUAUUCUUGAACCAAACCAGACAAAAUAUAUUUUUUCGAUUUGGUUGGAUUUAAUUAAAUUUUCUAUUUCGGUUUGGUGCAUAUACAAAUAUAGAGAUGGUGGGAGAAGUUUUGUGCUAUUAAUUAAUGGUGACAGAAGAAGAUAAAAUAGAGAUGGGAUGCAACUGUGAGUAGGUGUGUAUGUAAGAGAUGGGAGGGCACACGCUGCACACAAAUGAUGGGGAAUUAAUUAGGGCUAGAUGCAUCCAGUUUUUUUUUUUUUUUUUUUUUUGCAUCCAGCUUUAAUCACUUGAUAUUUCUCAUUAAAUGGUAGUAACUUCCCAUUCCAUCAUUUCCCUCUUUUUUAUUAAAUCUUUUCAUCAAUCAAACACAUAACAUGCCCAAUUGAACUCGACGAUUCUAUUUUGUUGUUGAGCAAUGCUUUGAAGAGAAUUAGAGAAUGAAAGACAUUGAAGAAAGAAAAGCAUCUCCUCCUUCUCCUUCUCCUCUGUCGAAGUCGAAAUAUGAUUAUUACGGAAUUUGCUUUAUCGGAGGUAUGCUUAGUUCCGGCGCCACCCAUCUCGCUAUAACACCUCUCGAUGUACUCAAAGUCAACAUGCAAGUCAAUCCAGAAAAAUACAAGAACAAUGGAAUUCUCUCCGGCAUUGCCACCAUUUGGAAAGAGGAAGGUUCUUAUGCUCUUUGGAGAGGUUGGUCUGGCAAAUUAUGUGGAUAUGGUAUUCAAGGAGGGUUCAAAUACGGUCUUUAUGAGUAUUUCAAAAACUUCUAUGCCGCCGACGAUGAUCGUGCAUUGAUUAAGCUUAAUAGAAAUUCUAUAUUCUUUCUCAGUGGUUUGUCUGCACAGCUUUUAGCUGAUGUUACUUUAGCUCCUUUUGAAGCUGUUAAGAUCCGUGUUCAAAUUCAACGUAAUUUUGCUAAGGGUUUAGUGGAUGGGUUUCCGUUAGUAUAUAGAAAUGAAGGCCUUGCUGGUUUCUAUAGGGGCCUUGUUCCGUUGUGGAGCCGCAAUCUUCCCUGUAAGUAAGUAAGAUCCUAUAUUCGUAUCUAGCUAGCAUGUUCAUUCAUCAACCGUGCUAUUAUUACCAAUGGAAUCAGACAGUUUUAUUAAUCAUUAGUUGCGCUGGAUGUGUUUAUACUAGUAAUCAUUGUGUGGGUUUGUUCAUAUUUGUAAUUAUGUAAUUAUUCAUUAAUUGCGUUGGAUGUGUGGUCAUUCUAGACGGGAUAAAAUUAGAAAAGACAACAUUAGAGAGAGAGAGAGUUAGGGUAGCACCUAUAAUAGAGAGGAUGGUGGAAACUAAGCUUAGGUGGUUUGACCAUGUUGAGAUAAGUCUUGUAGAUGCCGUGAUAAGGAGAGUAGAUCGUAUGGAGGAUAGUCAGACCAUUAGAGGCAGAGGUAGACAUGUAGAUGCUGUCACCCACAGUUUUUUUACUUUUUUUUUUCUUCCUCGGCAUCAUGUUCACAGGCAAGCAUGAUAUCCUCUUUGUCCGUCUAAACGAAAAGACAGAUUUUACCCCACACAAAUUCUUGUUUUGACAAUAGGACUAUAGAGAUCAACAGGAGGUGAAGUUCUCUUUGCCGUCACUCAAGGCACUUGAUUGAGGGUACUUGUAAAAUGCACUAUAAUACUUAAAUUAACGUUAGCAAGAGAUUUUAGUGACAAAAGAGUAUGAAGAUGAGAGAUGGAUUGACCCAUCUAGGAGGGAUACCAUUUUAUACAGAUCUUUUGACGUAGUUUGAAUAGGAUUGCUCCACUUUUGCUAUCUGGAUACAAGUCUAUGGGUAAGUUCAAAUACUUGAAAUAUCUCUGGAUAAGUGAUUUGUAGAAAUCUGUUUUCAGGUCAUCAAUGUCCUUGGCAUAUCACUUACUAACUUCUCUAUUCUAUUGUCCUUCUAUUGACUACUUAAGGCGGACUUCCAAGAUCCUAUUUAUAUUUAAGCCUUGUUUUGGAUUUGUGUCAAAACAAUAAUUUGGAUUUGUGAGUGGUCCUUGUUAUGGUAGCAACAAAAAGAUUAUUCAAUUUGAUAUGUACAUAAUUCACUCUUUUUAGUUUCCAUUACUAUUCAGGUAACAUUUCACAGAAAAGUCCUCAUAUCAUGCUAAUUAGCAUCUGAGAUUUUGAGUAUUGAAAUUGGGGAUCUUCUGAUGAUAAAAAAGAGUUUGGUCAUUGACUCUUCUUGUAGUAUAUAGUUUCUAUUCAAUUAAACCAGACAACUUGACGUUUUAUGGAGAGUUGUGAUAGAACAGAGGAAUUGUAAAAUGGGGAGUGAUGUUAUUCUAUUGAAAAUAUGAAAUGAGGUGUGAUUACAAGUUUCCAGAGCAGAAUUGCUCCUCAGAGAAGAAAGAAAAUUCUAUUUCUUUGCCUAACCUCUUAGGGUCCUAACAGAAUGCAAUGAUCAUGAGUGACAGUCUCGAAACAAAAGCCCUUUAUAGUUAUUAAAAUCAAGUACUUUUUAACACAAAUGUACCAUAACCAUUUCCAUGUUGCACACCGUUAAUGACAUUUAUGCUUUCUUAAUCUUUGGUUUGACAGUCUCGAUGGUCAUGUUUUCAACAUUUGAGCAUUCAGUGGACUUAAUAUAUAGAAAAAUUAUGCAUAGAAGAAAGGAGGAUUGUUCUACAGCACAACAACUUGGUGUGACGUGCUUAGCAGCCUAUACAGCUGGUGCUGUUGGUACUGUAAUUUCCAACCCGGCUGACAAUGUCAUGACUAGUCUUUAUAAAAAAAAGGCUGAAUCUGCUAUGCAGGUAGGAUUUCAUGUUAUGCCCUGAUUCAUUUAGAAUAUGAAAAAUCAAUCAAAUUAACUAUAUUGGUUUUGCUUACUUUCAGGCUAUCAAGAGCAUUGGGUUCAUAAAUCUGUUCACUAGAAGUCUUCCUAUUCGCAUUGCACUUCUAGGACCAGUUGUAACUUUGCAGUGGUUUCUAUAUGACACUAUAAAAGUGCUAUCUGGAUUGUAAGUGACUAUUUUUUUUAUCAGUUUUCUUGUACUACAGAACUUUUUUAGUCAGUUUUCCUAUAUUAUAGUAGGCAAUAUAAAUGUUUUGUGAAAACUCGAAACUUAAGGUUCAAUGUGAUCCGCUUGAUGACUUAUGAUAUAGAAGUUGAAGCCUGAACAAUCAUAAUUAUAGAUUCAUGUUGAUAUAGGUUGUGUUUCUGUUGUUGAGCUAUCAUUUCAGUAGAUGCUAUUUCUUCCAUGAUAUGUAAUGGUAAUUUGAAAUAUUUCAAAUUCUUCAGUAAUUAAUAAAUUAGGGAAAAAUAUAAUUCACCCCUGUGAGAUACACUUUUCUAAGAAAAACUUGUAUAAAGAAUUUUUACCAACAUUAGAGCCAUUUUUUUUUCAUGUGUAACUGAAAUUUUUCUGUCAAAUCUAAUAUCCCAGAGUACAAGUGACAUGCAUGUGAUAUGACUCCACCAUUGAUGGAGAAACAUAAUAUACAGUGUCUUAUGUUCUAAAUUUCAAUUUUGUACUUGUAUAUAUGCAUCAUAUUACCAUAUGACAACUGACCAAUUCAGUGCAAACAAUUGAGCACCAAAUUAAGCACCUCUUCAUGAAACCUAGAUCUAAACGACCUAUAUUUGCAUCAUACUUGAACCCAAAUGCAGCACCAAAUUGAGCACUAAAUGCAGAAGCAAAAUCAGACCAUUCCACUCACCAUAUUUCAGCACCAACAGAACCAUCCAAGAAACAUCUUCGGAAAUGCAUAUCCUGGUUAGGAUUUAACCCCAGGUGCCAUUAGUGGCCCGCUCAUCAUUCCAACACCAUCAAUUUAAGAUUUGCUCGACAUUUCUGUCAUAUUUUUCCAGCUUUAUCAGACUAGAUUCAAUGGAUCCUCUCCUUGUCUGAGACUUUAGGAUUUUGUGAAUUCUUCAACAGUUGAAGGCAUGGAGGUUCCCACCAUGGCACCACAACAGAGAUUUAGAGUUACAAAAAAGCAACACAUAUUUCGUUUGCUUCUGCUGUGUUUUUUAUUUUAUUUUAAAGCUAACAUAAGGUGUACGUCAGCGAGUCAGAUUUGGAGUAUAGGGCAUAUAUCUUUCCAUGUUUAUCCGUCAAUGGAAUGUUGGCGAAGUUAACAUUGCACUUGGAAGUUAAAUGUUCAUGGCACGCAAAUGUUCGAUUGAACUUAAAUACAUUGAUUCAAGUGUCACGUUUUCAAUUGAAAUCAAAUGCCUGGGGUGUUUAGUUUAGUGUUAGGGAAACUUCUGAAAGGUAGCUUUUUAGUUAACUAUGUAUCUCACCGUGGGUAAACUGUAAUUUGAACAAAUUUUGACAUCAUAUUCCUAGUUUCAUGCUAAGCUUCCAAUAGUCUUGUUCUGGAUGAAGAGAAUAUUGUCUCUAGUAUAUUUUGUAUGUUUGCUUGUUUUAGUAUGUGCCCCACCAUAAAGAAAUUUGUGUAGUGCAUGUUGUUUUGUCAUAUAUAUGUCUCAUCAAGCAUGUCUAGUUUUAUACCGGACCGCGGUUGUGUGCAGUCGGGAGGUGUAGUGACUGUACUGCAGUCGUUUACGUAUGGACCUUCUGAUCAAGAUUGGACAGUUUAGAUGUGCUGACUGCAUACAGUAAGACUGCACUGAAUCCAAAUCUUUAAAUACCACCAUUUGGUUUUAUAAGGAUAUUACAUUGCCAAGUAUACGUGUGCUCUCUAUGCACACUACCUUGGUUAUGAUGUGCAUAACUGUUCAUUGGUGAAUUUUUUUUUAUCUUCUAAUAUUCUUUAUGCCAAUCAAAUAUUAAUUCUCUUUUAUGUCUUUUACACUGUAGCCCUACCAGUGGAGGACUUGCAAGAGACCAGAAGGAAAGUUAAAUUGUAGCUUGUGCUCAAGUAUCUGCGGAGCGUGGUGGUUUGUUCUUGCGGGUCUGAUUUGUUUUAUAGUACUAUUUAUUUUUCAUUAAAGUGAGAUAAGGAUAUGUUCGCUGUUCUUAAAUAAGACUGUAAUAAGCUUUUCUCAUAUAAAAAAAAAAAAAAAAAAGACUGUAAUAAGCAAUAUUUUUUUUCCUGUCUAAGCUCAUAGGGAUUUGUUCGUUGUUCACAGAGUCACUAUAUGGAAAAAUGACUUUGCAUUUGUACAUGUAAAUACAAAAUAGGAUUGAAUAAGAUUUUGGUGCCUAUUGUUGGGAAUUCGAUAGAAAACACACCAAUAACAAACUUGAUGUGUGGAGUAAGGGAUAGUCAAGCAACCAAAACAAGUAUGGAACAAUUAUAAACAGCGAGAGAAAAAGGAAGAGAGAACACAAAAGUCUCCCGCCUAAUUCUACCCAAAGUCUCAAUCUCUUAAUAGUGUUUUCCAAGGUGAAUCAACCCUCAAACCCUAGUGUUUGUUGCCAAAAGACAAACUCUACACAAACCCUAGUUUUGUUGUUGCCUUUCUAAACCCUUGUUUCAGCCUCUUCUAUCUCAAGGUUUACACUGAUACAAUGUCUAUAUUUAUAGUAAAAGAAUCCUCAAUAAAACUGGAACAAAUCUAGGCCCGAAAAUACGUUUCUGUUUUAUUUUCUGCUGUCAAAAUCGGCCACCGAAUGCUCUAAAUCGGCCAUCGAUUUUUGCCGAACCAAAGGCCAAAAAAACAGUCCAAAAUCGGCUAUCGUGCUUUGAAAAUCGGCCACCGAUUUUCUGCUACCAGAAUUUCAAUUUCUUCAAUUUUGAGGCACUUUCACAACACCUAUGAUAAACCAAUUUGAUGAUUGUUUUGGGUUCAUAUAAGUUUUUUUUUUUCAUCUGUGAUUAUUAAAAAGAAAUAUUUGCGUUUUGGUCUAUGUCGUUGGCUUUUACCUGUUAAAUGGCAACGUACAUUUCCAAAAAAAUAAAAUAAAACUAGACUUAAACAGAGGCGGUUCAUGGACAACAAUUAUAAAACACAUGACAAUAAUGUAGUUGGUGUUAUGAUGUUAAAUUUAAAAAAAUGGUCUUUUGACAGAAAAUAUGAGUAUGAGUUAGGAUCAUUGUUAGUAUGAAUAAAAUAUUUUAGUAUGCAAUCAACCAUUUUUUUUAGUGUAAAAUGAUAUAUCUCAAAGAAGUUAGAAACAUCUUAUAGUACAAUCAACCGAAACAAAUUCAAAUCUUUCAACAACGCCACUGCCUUCUCCAGAUCCAAAUCUACAACUGUCAAGAAAGAAGGAUUGUUAAAAAAAAAGUUUCAAAUUUAACAUUCAAUGAAAUCUAUACUUUAUGAUAAACACGUUUCAUAAUAUAGGUUUGAUUCCAAACCUUAGUUGGAGUCGCACCAAGUAGUACUCAUAGCUCCAAAAUAUCAACAAUACUCAUCAGUAAUGUGAUCUGCCAAACUUUCAAAAUUGUAUCAAUGCAGAUGAAGUUCCUUAGUGAGAGUAAGAUCUACUCCAUCUAGAUAGAAAAUGCAUGGAAUAAUCUCACCAUUACAAAGUCUCCAACACUGUAACACAUAAUAGAGUAAACAUAUAGAGAAUGAAAAGUGGUUAAUAACCAAAGAAUGAAAUUAGAAUGUGAAGUGUGAACUGUGGAAAUAGACUACAUUAGUCAAAUUUCUUGCAGUUUCAAUCUCAAUUCAAACCUAUGUUGUACAUUGAUGAUUAGAUGAUCAUGAUUUUAAGUUGCAUUGUAAAUCAAAUUUUAGAAUUAAAACACAAUUUUUUCUUGGCGUUGUGAGCGAACAACAUUUAAACCGAUCAGCAAAGGUUGCACGAUGUGAAAGGCGUGGAAGAUUAAGGGAAAGAAUAUAUGUAAUGUGGGUUGUUUGAAAUGAAAAGGUCCAACACUGGUACUAGAAUAACCAAACAAGAACUAUAUAUAUAUAUAUAUAUAUAUAUAUAUAUAUAUAUGUAGGUGUUAUCUUCGAUUGUUAUAGAAUACAAACGAAAGUAAUUUUGAAAAUAGAAGAGCGCGUGAGAGGGAUGGGGGUGGGGAUAUCACGACCCAUUUAUGCAUUUUAGCCCACCAUAUAGAGGUGGGCCGGGCUGGUCCAGCUCAGCUCUAGCAUUUAGCCUAAAUCAAGUAAAAUCAGUCUGUAUAAGCAAAAAGAGGGGGUGUAACAGAAUCAAUCUACCUAUCGAAUUACAUGCAUCAAGAUUUUGGGUCGUAAAGAAGCGCUUAUUCCAAACGCGAUCUGUGGUGGUGCUGCUGCUUCAGAAGAAUCAAAGGCAAAACCAAAAACCCCCAUUCAUUUCACAGUCCAGUUAGGGUUUCUUCUUCUGCUAACCUAACCAAAUGGUAACUUCCCAUUCAAUCAUUUUCCUCUUUAUUGUUCAAUCUUUUCAUCAAUCAAACCAUUUUUAAUCUUCAAAUGGAAAAAGCGUAGAUGAAUUUUUUUUAUGAAACCAUUUUUUAAAUAGCAGAUUUUACAUGUUAGGGUUAUGUGGUGCUGAAAAUCAUGUUACGUUUGAGCUUUUUAUGUACUGCUUUAAUGAUUAGGAAUGAUUAAAUAGCAAAUUUUGUGUUAAGGUUUUAUGCUGUAAUAGUGCAGAUUUUUUUUUUUUUUUUUUUAUCAUAAUUGUUGCUUCUUUGUUGUUUAUAUAUCAACUGGUAAUUUCAGGCUGAUCCUGAGCUUGAAGCAAUCAGACAGAGAAGGAUGCAGGAGCUUAUGGGCCGACAUGGCACUGCGGUAUUUAUCGUUGUCAUACUCCUAUGUUUUGUUUAUCGUUAUUCUUUCGCAUGAGAGAGUGAGACUUUGAUUGUGAUUUUGUUGAUAUUGCAGGGAAAUCAGCCAAACCCUGAACAACAGAGUGCUCAGGAAGAUGCAAAGAGGUUAGUUUAUGAAUAUAGAUUUCUUGCGCUGUUAUUCUGAUUAUUCGACUCAGUCGCAUAGAUUUAGUUCCAAGAACUUGUUCAUCCACUUAUCUUUAUGAUAUGCUUGCAUGUUUUUUUUUUCCUUUGGAGUGACGUCGAUUUUUUAUUUGAAUUGAAAAAUAAUUAAUUUAGGGAGGCAGAGGAGAGAAGACAAAUGAUGCUUAGUCAGAUAUUGUCUGCUGAAGCACGAGAAAGACGUAAGUAUAUAACAUAAUCUUUCCUUAGAUUUUAUUUGACUUUUAUUGAUUAUAGUACUCUUGUUUUUUCCUUUUAAUUUUUUUUUAAUGACAAAUGUUAGUAUAGUUGUUAGAUUAGUAUUUCUCGUUGUCCGGGUUUGAACCAAGAACCCCCAACUUCUUAUCCCUUAGCUCAAACCAGUUGAGCUACCCAUCCUAGUCCGAAUAAUGAUUGUUUUAUUAUAUCAUGGUUAUAUAUUUUGCUGUACUUUUACUACUGGCAGAAGUUAGAAGCAAAACUUUGUCAUUUGCCAUUGCCUAAUUAAUAUUCAAAUCUUAUCUUCAGUCAGGCUUUAACGAGGAUAUAAGUUUAUAGCACACAGCUGCUAGUAUUUUCUUGAACUUCCAUAUAUUGUAAAUGUAUCAUUGGGAUUCUGUAAGAUUUUUGACAAACCAGACUUAAUUCAUAGAAGUUGUUCACAAUUAUAAAACAUACAUCAUAUGCCAGAAUAGAAUAUAUAAGAUAUUAAGAAGUGCCCAUUUUGCUUGUACUAUCUUGUUAUGAAUAAAGUCUUCCAUCAGACUUUAGAUCAAAGUUAAUAAAUAAUGUUAGUGUAUUUGGGCGUUACUGCGUACUCCCUGUGCCUAAACAGCGUAGUUUUUACUCAAGGUACAUUUGAAGUCUGAAGUCUAUCUUGGAAAAAUUCAAAAAAGUAACUUUUGUGAUGUCUUUGUUUUUCUGAUACUUCAUACUUGUAGUUUGGUAAGUAGAAAUUACUUGUAAUUUUUCUUCCUCUCUACCCCCUGUUCUCUUUUUGUCCCCGUGUGCACAGUUGUGUCUUCUAGGUAGUUACCCUAUGAGGACAUCACAGAAUAGAUACCCUAUGGUUGACCUCGAUGCCUGCUUCUCGUCCUAGCAUUAAGGGGUACAGGAUAAUAGCAUUUUGUUGGGGCUGGUAUGCUUUUUUAAAGCCUGCUAAUCUGAAAUAUAGCUGGUUUUUUUAACAACAACAAAAAAGGAAGAUGGAUUUAGGAGGUGAUAAGUUGUCGUAUGAAUGUACUCAAUGUAGUAGGGUUGAAAAUUUGAUGGAAUUAUUUUGCCUCAAACUUACAUAGGUAUGAAGACAUUAGUGUAAUUGUCUUGGUUAUUUGUAGACACGAUAAGAUAAAUCACAUUUGAGUUUCAAAAUUAUAUAUAUUUAAACAUCGAAAGAACAUGUUUGCCAAUGUACCUCUGAAUUUUCCGAUGAAAAUUUGAAGGAAUGAAGUAUUUUACUGCAUGGAGUUGACUUCUUUCGCUCUUUUAAAUUUGUGAUUUAAUUGUGUUCAGUUGCUCGAAUUGCUUUGGUGAAACCAGAGAAAGCAAAAGGUGUUGAAGAUGUUAUAUUGAGAGCUGCUCAAAUGGGUCAGAUAGCUGAAAAGGUAUAUUGGAUCAUGUCUAUUGCUGCAAUCUUUCUCAUUCUUAUCACAAGUUAUUGGUAAUAUUUUGUUGCAUAUAUUGUCAUACGAUUUGUGAGGUUCUAGUUAUACAAUCGAUUUGUUUGAUCAGUUGUCGGGCCGAGAAAGGUCCUCUAUCUAGGAUAUAUAAAAAUGUUGGCAACAAUUCCACGAAUGGUAUAACGUGGUUUUCUAAUAUUAGAGGUUUAGUGUUCUUAUCUAUCGUGUAACUUACAUGCAAAGCCCUACUAUUUUGUUUAUAAUGAUCUUUGAUAUAAAAGUUUUCGGAAUCCUAUACUACAGUAGGGAACUAGACACAUGAUAUCUUAAUAUGGAACAUUAGAUCUUACCUCAUAUGGUUAUUCUUUAGAAAUUACAAUUAAAGUAUACUAUUACAAUGCAAGUAAAAUAAAGUACUGUCGCCUUUUUUCCCCCUUUUCUUGCGAGCUAUUAUCAUAUAGAAACCUGAAAAGGUGAGUCUGCGCUGCAAUUGGAAAUACUGGAAGGCUUUUUCCUGCAAACCCACAUAGCAAAAACUAGGGGUGGGCAUUGGGUCGGUUCGGGUUCAAACCCCCCAAACCGAGACAACCCACGAGUUAUGAACAAUAACCCUAUUGAACCAAGUUUUUGAUUCGGGUAGUUCGGGUUCGGUUACUUCGGGUUUCGGGUAAAACCGGUUCGGGUCAACAGGUUGAUGAAGAUGAUGACAAAUCCAGAAAAACAAUCUCCUCAAACAGCCCCUCCUUUAGUAGAAACAACAACAACCAGUUUUUUCUUCACCAUUUUUAGAUCCACACAAUUUAAUUUAUUUUUAGAAUUAAUUUACUUGUAGAUGAACACAUGUAUUUGUGAAAGAAGGAAGGAAGAAUGAUGUUUCGAACAAUUGUGAGCUAAGGAAGGAAGAAUGAAGAAAGAAGAAGAAGAAAUGAGGAACAUGUGAGAAGAAGAAAAUCGUGAGAGAGAGAAACAAAAUGAUCUAGAUCUAGAUCUAGUUUUUCUUUUCAUUUUCAAUUGGGGAUUUUUGUUUUAUGUUAUGGUGUUGGACUGAAAUAGUGAAACAUAUUUGGGCCUGCUGAGAAACGUAUUUUUUAUUCAAGCUAGGUUGAAAAAACUAAUAAUAAAUAUUAAAGUAAUAAUAAUAUCGGUUUGAUCGGGUUCCGACAGGUUCAAAAUAAACACCCGAACCGAACCGAAUAUACCCAUAACAACCCGUAAUAUUAACCCGGACAACCCGUAACCUGUUUUAACCGGAACCGAAUGUAUAAAAUUAUGUCGGGUUGAUCGGGUUAAUUCGGGUUGAUCCGUAUUUGCCCACACCUAGCGAAAACUAUCCAAUAAAUCUUUCUUUUUCAACUCAUCUGAAUUAAAGUUGGUGCUUGAAAUACUGAAGUAGCAACUCAGAUGGAUACUUUGUAGAAGGACUGCAAAGGCAGAAUCAGUAGCAGGCUUGAAGCACUUUGUGUCAGAGAAGGGAAAUUGCCUUCCCACUGCAAAGCGCGCUGAUUGUGGGUAUGCAUUUAGGUUUUUUUUUUUUUUUUUUUUUUGAGGUGGAGGUGUGUUUGUUUAUCCUUGGUUUGUUCAGGUUUGUGAGUGUGUUUCAAGAAUUUGGUACUGGACUUGUAAUGAAUAGUUGCACAAAAGUAGUGCAGUUCUACAUUUGGAUUUGUGAUUAUGACAACCUUGUUUGUCAGUAAGAUGCUUAAAGUCAGAAGUAUCAGUUAGGCAGUCUAAGGGUUGGUUGAGAAUGAGUUGAUUAGGUGGCUUUUCUAUAAUGUGUUUAAAUUGCAAGGAUUUGGUUUUUUGAUGGUGACUUAUGUGAGCCAACUUCAGGUCACUGGAAGUUUCAGUAUAUUUGACAGUUCUAAUAGUAUUAGUGUUGAUAUAUAAAUCUAUGAGAUGAUGGUUUUACAUUGUUUUCCUUAGCCUGUUUCAUUUUGUAAUGCCCCGUCCCCCCUAUUUUCUUGAAUAAUAAAAGCCAUUAAAUUUUCCUUCCAAAAACUGAAACUAAGAAAUUACUAGUUCCAAUUGUAUUUCUUUUUUGUUGCUUAUAUACAGAUAUCAUGUCCCGGUGGACAUCAAGUAAUUAGUCCAUAUGAAGCAUUAUUGUACCUAGAUAACAUCCAUGACUCAUUUAUGAAAUUGAAUUAUUAGGUUACUGAAGAAAGACUCAUAACACUGCUGGAGCAGAUUAACAGCCAAACAGCAAAGCAGACAAAAGUUACAGUAAGUUGUAGAAUAUUAGCUGCAUUGUUCCGUAUUCAUUUAUCAGUUUUUUUACUUACUUUUCAUUAUUUUUUUUCGUUUACUUUUUCAGAUAACGAGACGUCGAAGUGUUCUUGAGGAUGAUGAUUAGCUUUCACGGUCUCUUAGCUGGGUUUAUUGACUAUUGACUUCAUGCUUUAUUAUGUAUGUAUAUGUGUAUUUGAUGGACAAAUUAUUUUAUGUUUUACAUUGAAAUUUAAAUUUGAGGCGUCUUGCCUGCCACCAAAUUAAACUGCAUAUUUGAUUUAUGUGCGCGAAUGAAUGGAUGUGAAAGGUUUGUUAAUUGUGGAAUGGAAAGGUUUUCGUCCAAUGGCUCAUGCCAUGAGGCAUUACUACAGCUGUUUCUUCUGCCUCAUUGACGGGUAUUUUUUUAUUUAUUUUAUGCAGAGUAAGGAGAAUAUUUAUUUAAUCUGUGUUGUUUGAUUAUAAUUGUUGCCUUGUGGUUGGCGAAUUUUUAGUUGAACAAAUUUGUCACAUCUAGCUUGAGCAUACGAAACUAAUGAUUAAAAAUUUGGCAAUCAUUUGGCGAUUAAAGGUACUUUGCAUUCGACCCUAAAAACAAAAAAGCUCUAAAUAUCCCAAUAUCUGGUAUAACUGAUUUGGAAGCACGAUACAUGGAUGGCAUUGGUCUCUGUCUUUUGAUAAAUAAAAACAUGUCUGAGUCAGUUAAUUCGUUAAAGUUUAGGUUGACAAGUGAAUAUGUCCAUACAAUUAUAGAUAGAUUAACACGUAUCUGAACUCAAGUUUAUCUAUACGCAUGCAUAUAAUUUUUUUUUGUGACAUAUGAGAACAUAUUCAAAUGAUCUUAUGGUAUUUUUUUUCAUAAUUUAUAUUAUUAAUAAAUGAGUUUUUUUUUAUCAUGCUAAUACCGAGUUUAGAUGUGUAGAGUAAAAUUUUCUAUACUUAUAUUAAAUAGGGAAUGUAUUUUAACCAUUUUCAUGGUCGAAUAACAUAUUAUUAUUAUUUGAUAAUAAUUACUUUAUUAUCUAAAUUUAGUUUGGAUUGUCAUAAUUAAUUGAAAUGUUGCUUAUUUUUUGCUGCUACAAAUAGAAAUAUUGUUUUAAUCAGUCAGAAUUUAGUUAGAAAACAUGUUUCUCUAAGGUUCAUAUAUUCAGAGAGGCUCCGUGAACAAGAUAAAAAAGCAGAGUCAACUAUGGGAUAGAUUGCUAAGCAUAUUUUGUAGGACUAAGAAGUAAAUGAAGUCUAAUCAACUAUUAAUGUAAGCACCUACUGUAUCAGGUCACAUUCUCUUCCUUAAUUACGUGUAAUAUUUUAGGGUCCAAUUCCGUGUAACACAUGAACUCAACACAACACCAUAAAGCAAAAACACAAUGACCUGCCAGAACAUGGCCUAUGACGAUAUCCUCUUUUUCUUCUAUAUUUUACUCUAGUUGAUCAAUGAUUAUUAUUUUGAACCCAAAAGUUCUUACUUCUUAGUUUAUCUUCUCUUGUUCCAAUCAUCACAAUAAUUUGCACCAUUCACGAUUCACACGACCACGACCACGACCACGACCCAAGUCUAUAAUAAUCUUCAAAAUCUCUCUCUCACAACACAUCACACGGUUCACAUUUAUCCCACUCGCCACUCAUAAGCGCGUGACCUUAACACAAUAAAAAUGAAUGGCACCAAUAACAUAAGUUAAACAAAAACACAACAUUAUCACCCCCAACAUAACAACGUCAACACCGUCCCCAUUUUUUUGUACCUUCGAAACAAAAAUGAUCGUACUUCAAUCAAAUCAUAACAACUUCCAUCCCCACAUAACACGUUCAUUCAUUGUGAAAACAUAAAACAACUUAAAUAUAAAAAGCGCUUAAUAUUUCUGUGAUUUCUUUCUUUAUUCAAUGAACAAUCUUUCUCUGUUCUGAAACCGACCCACAUCAAGAAAAGCGGUUUAAUCCAAUAAAGUCACAAUCUUUCUUUCUUUUGAAUCCAUUUUCUACAACCCCACAUGGAAAAGGAGCCACUGCUCCCAUCAUAUUUCAGCCCCAGAAAGAAGCUUUCACCAUUACCAUCUCAACUUUUUCCUUUACCAGAAAACGAUGAAAUGGUUCUUCCUGUUACCCCUUCUGAGUUCAAGGAUCGUCUCAUUUUUGGUCCUUCACCAAGAGACCCUUCACCUUUGUCUGAUGCCUUAACACUUUCACGUAAUUCACCAAGUUCCUCUUCACAUGAUUUUGAUUCAUCACAACAGUCUCAACAACAACAAUUGUCUUCUUGGUUAAUUGAUCCUAAUUAUCCAUGGAGGAAAACAAAUUUACAUCGGUCGAGAACCGCGCCAGCGAUGGCUGUUAUUAGUGAUUUUAAUCAUCAUGCAUCUGAUAAAAGACCUCAAUUUGGUAGUCAAUCUAUUGUUCAUCAAGCUGUUAUUCUUCUUGUUCUUUAUUUGGCUUUAGGGGUUGUUAUUUAUUGGUUUAAUCGGCAUAAUUUUACAGCAACUGAAACUCAUCCUAUAGUUGAUGCAUUGUAUUUUUGUAUAGUUACAAUGUGUACAAUAGGGUAUGGUGAUAUUACACCUAAUAGUACUGCAACCAAGAUUUUCUCUAUAUUGUUUGUGUUGAUUGGUUUUGGUUUUAUUGAUAUACUGCUAAGUGGAAUGGUUAGUUAUGUUCUUGAUUUGCAAGAGAAUCAUUUGUUGAGGACAGUGAAGGGAAGAGGGGCGAAGGAUGGGAGGUCAUAUAUAGUUGAUGUGAAGAAAGGGAGGAUGAGGAUUAGGAUGAAGGUGGCAUUGGCAUUGGGGGUAGUGGUACUUUGUAUUGGACUCGGUGUCACGGUUAUGCAUUUUGUUGAAAGGCUUGGAUGGGUAGAUUCUUUUUAUCUUUCGGUUAUGUCUGUUACGACAGUUGGGUAUGGUGAUCAUGCUUUCAAGACUUUGCAUGGUCGUAUCUUCGCCGCAAUAUGGUUGCUCGUGUCUACGCUUGCGGUUGCCCGAGCGUUCCUUUAUUUGGCUGAGGCGAGAGUGGAUAAGCGGCAUAGGAGGAUGGCUAAGUGGAUUCUUGGUCAGGAUAUGACCGUUGCUGAGUUUCUUGCUGCUGACAUGGACAAUAAUGGAUUUGUGAGGUAUGGAUUAAUACGUUCCCAUUGCAUAAAGUUUAAGUUAUUUUUUAUACCAAUAAUAUGUUUCCAUUGCAUAAAGGUUAAAUUAUUUUUUAUACCAAUAAAUAAAUGUUUCUGUCUGUGAAAGUAGAACAUGAAAUAUACACUAGUUAGGUAUUCAAUAUACUUUUUCUUUUCGUAACCAACAUGCUUUUCGGACUUUAUUCUGAAGUGUGAAUUUUGUAUCUGCACAACUGCAUACAAACAUUUUCAAUAUACUUUAAUCUCUGCUAUUCAAUUCAAUUCAGAGAAAUUGUUUGUGGUUGACUAUCUGUUUACUGAAUUUAUAAUCUCUAUAUCAUAUCAUAUCAUAUGAGACAUGAUGUUACCAUAGAGCAUGUGGUGUCCGUACUACACCUAUAUGUAGGACUAGUCCUUGCUUGAGUGUUGAGCUUUCCCCCGAAAGGUAUCAUCAUGUUAAUGGUCAGGGACAAAAUGAUAUUAGCAACGGGACUAAAAUACUGAUAACAUGAGUAGUAUGGGUAGAAACUGUGUGCUGAACCUCGGUGGUUAUUAUAGUAGCGUUCAAUGACUGACUAUGAAUGUGAAACCUGGUGAAGUAAUUUUCCUGAGGUCUGCAUGCCUUGCUCAUACCCCAUGGUAAUAUAUUGCGUAUGAAAUAACUUUGUAUAUAGUGCUUCGUUGAUGCCCAUGUUUAUACUUCUCCUAGAAUUCAGGACUAUUUAAAUUGAGCAUCUGUAAUCAUGCAUAGCCUACAGAGAGUGCGCUAGUAUUAGAUUACUGUGUUUUGAAAACCGCCUUUCCAGAUUUGUAUUUGAGAGAAAAAAAGCAUCUUGAGUGUGUGCUUGAAAAUUUGACAGGGAAGUAGAAAGUGAAUUGAUUCAUAGUCCGUCAUAGAUGGGAUAAAUUCAACUUCCUGUUUCAAGGUUGACAGCUAGUAGUUAUUAUGUGCAGUACUUGGAGGUUGAUGAAGCUUCCUUUGUUCACCCUACUUCCUAAGAGCAGUAGAUUUAGUUGCUAGUUAGUGGUUGGUUGUAUAUGUAUGUUUUUUGUAUUUGGUUGGUAGGAUGACCACAUUUGGAGGUCUAAUGUUAUAAGGUUCAAUCUGUUAGACCAUAUAAUCAUUGGAAAAGGAGACAACACAUGAUAUAUUUGUUAGAAUAUAUAUAAAAAAAAUCUCAUAAAAUUUGGCAGGAGUAUUUUAGGUUUUCUCUUAGGAUUAGUUUCCGUGUUUCUUCACAUUAUAUUAUUUGUUUCCUUUAGUUAGUACUAGGAGCCUAGAGUAUAAUAGAAAAUCAUAAUCACAAUUCAAAACCUUUUGUCCUUCUCUUCCCUCCAUCCUCAUAUAAAACUCUAUAACUACAACACAUUCUCAGUGCGGUAUCAUCCUUUAUGAUCUGUUUCCCAAAUUUCUUGAAGUCUGGUACUAUAAUAACUUAACAAUGUCAUUAUCUCCACUAUUCUUUUAUUGUUAGUUGAGCCUAAAUUUCAGCCACGUUUUAUCUCGCAAGUCCUCUCAUUGUUAGCCGAUUUUUCACCUUCUACUUCUGCAUGUCUCGAAAGCCUUAGAUUAGUUCUCACUGUCGCGCUCUUUUUUGGUAGCCUUCCACUAUCUUGGAUAAAAUUUAAACCUGACUGUUCCAAAUGCAAUCUGGCCUCGACUAUCCCAGAUGAAGUUUGAUCCCAAUUGUUCCAAAUUCAGUCCAGCCUGAACUAUUUUAGAUGUAGAUUGGCCUUGGAUAUUUCAGAUUAGCGAUGAACCAGCUGUAGUUCAUAUCAAUAUCCUAUUGUGAGUUAUACCAAUAGUGAUUUCUCCUAUCGUAUUGAUAAGGCAUGCUAUGAUGGAAUAUCCGUGCUGUGAUGCAGAUGAGCCUUGGUUUCAAUUUCUUUUAUUAUUAUUGGUAUACUAAAUUUUCUUGUGGUUUAAUGCUUCUAAAUGUUGUUCUUGGUGGAUUUGGAGAAGUUUUAAUCCUUGCUGUAUAAUUGUGAUGAUCAUCUUCAGUCCAAUAAUGCAAAGGAUAAGGGAAUAUUACCGGUUUCGCAGGUGAACCAUGAAUUUGAGGGGUUAAUAGAACUUAGAAGCAUAUUGGAGGAGGCGAAAGGGGGCACACAUGGUGAAGGAUUCAGGUUAUGAUUGUUAGGCAAGGUGUGGGCCCCACGAGGGGUGAGGGAAGUCGGGAAUCUGUAAUGAGAGGGAGAGGAGGAAUAGGAGCAAUGUAGUCAAGAUUGUGUGCCAGCACGUAAGAUCGUAUGAUCCUACAAUCAUUGGCCAUAGAAGCGUGCUGCGAUUCAGGCAAGAUGCCGGAGGUGCGCUAUCACGAGUUCGGAGCAGGAUCCUAAUGUGUUUCGUGUUGGGUUACCUAUUCCGCAACGGGCCUUGCUGAAACGGGUCAGGUUUUGCGGAAGAAACAAAUAGUUUUAAAACGCAUAAAACCCUUCAUCCAUCCCCCCUUCUUACUUCAAACAGAUCCCUAACUCCCUGAGACGCCGUCCUCUGAUUCUCACCCUCCUUGCGACACUGUUCUCUCUUCCUCCCCUGUUUUCAAUCAGCUUCACUUGGUUUUUAUGAACUUAUGGAAUGAUGGUUAUGGAUUUUUAAUUAACUUAGUUUAAUGUUGGGAUUUAGAGGAAAUCACAUGUUUAUGUGUGUGUUUGUAUAUAUAUAAGUACAAUUUUACCCUUUUAUGAUUCAUGUUACAAUCUUUCACUGCCUUCCCAAUCCUACUUAGGGCAUUGUGUUUGACUAUAUUGAAAAGGAGAGGCAGAGAGGUUUUAUCAUUGAGGUUGUGGCUUAUGCUUUGGCAGGAAUACAGCCGGAUCCUUGAUUUCCUUGGUCAUUUUCCUUUUUCAUUUCUGAUACCCAGAUACUUCAUUUCGGUAUAUAGAGUGAUGCACCCUCCUUGCGACACUGUAUUCAUUUACUUCAUUUGGAAUAUUACUUCUCUUAGUUAUUAUUCUUUGAUUGCUGUUUCUAUUAGAUUGUUUUCCCUGAAAUUCGCAUCGAUGUUUAUUCCAGUGAGUCUCAUACGAACCAGUUCUUGGUGUUGAUGGUCUUCCCAACCAUCUUGCUAAGUUGUCUUUCCAGUAAUGCUCACCUCUCUGGCGUCUCCAUUAUCCCUGAGUUUCCUUUCUAGCUAUGUUUGAAGCCCAAAUUAUAUGUUCAUGUUUAAGGAUUUAUUUGUAACAAGUUCAAAACUUAAUAAGCUUUAGCUUUAGCUUAAUAAACUUAACAAGCUCAUAAAUAUGCCCAUUUUACUAUUGUGUUCCCACGUUGUAAAAAUUAACAUAACAGUUUCCAUUUUUUUUAGUAAUAAGUCAUAAGGUCUAUCAAUGUAACCACCCACUUCUUUGAAAAGAAUCCUAGGAAUAAAAAUUGGCAACCAAACACUUUUCUUAAAAAUUCCUAGGAAUAAAUUCUCAUUAUAUUUUCCUGGGAAAGUUAAUUCCAGGGAGAAAUUUUUGCAUCCGGGAAACAAACACCCCCUUAGAAUUGGUUUCCAUGCUUCUUUAUAUUUCACGAUUUGCUUCUUUAUUCAGUUAAGAUUAGGAAUCUAGUUGUUAUAAUGAUUAAUUUUCUUGUUUUAUUAGGACUAAGAAUCAAGUAUUAAUAUUUAUAUAACUGUUAGUGCUUAGUCUUUAUAUUUCAUGAUUAGUUUCCUUAUUUAGUAAUUGAUAGAUUUUUGGCAAGUGUACCAAAUACUAUCGAAGUAGUAAAAAUAUUGUUCCCACGAGGACUGUGUUAAUCUCAAUUUAGAAAUAAAGUAAAUAUUUAGGAUGUAUAAAUUAUUUUGUUUAGAUUUUAUUUGAUUGCAUAAAAUUAAAUAACAUAAAAUAAAGAUUGAGCUAGAAAAUAUAGAUUUGGUUAGAAAAUAUGAAGAGAGAUGAGAUCAGGUCUUUCGAAUCAUCUAUGUUCCCCUAAUUGGUAUACUGCAUCUAUUCUUAUGAAUGAUUUUCUAGUUCCAUGAUAGUAAACAAAAUAGUCAUAAUCAAUCCCUUGAGUUAGGACUCUCUUCUCAAACUACAGCCCCUAAUUCCUUAGGUGGUCUAAUAAUCUUUGAAGGUUUUAGCACGUUAACCUAAUAUCACUAACAAAGGAUUAUCCAUUCCUAGACUAACCCUGUUUAUUAGAACAAUUCAAUAUUCUAUCAGUAGAAAGCUAUGGUCAGUAGUCAUUCAUUCUCACUAAAUCAGGUUUAUAUUUGAUCAGGAUAUAAAAAGCAUUAAGAACAAUUGAAUUGAAUAAAAACUAGAUUGUCAUUCACAAUAAAUAGAGUUUCACAGCAACAUGGUUCAACAAGGGUUACAAAGAAUCAUCUCAGACCUAAUCUCUAAGAGAUUUAGCUACUCAUAAUUGAGUUUACAAAUAGCAUAAUCAUUAGUGGAAUCAAAACAUACAUGAUCUGAUAGAAGGUUGAAGAAAUUGCCCUCCUAGCCGUCUUUAGGUCUCAAAAUCGCACUUUGCUCUCUCCAAUUCGUAACACUUGUCUUUGGAAUAGACUUCAGCUUAAAUAGGCACAGAAUUUCGCCUAAAAUUGUGUCACGUUUUAAGUAAAUCGUGCCACGAUUCUCCUUGAAUCGCAAAUCACUGAAUUAGGGUUUCCUCAGAUCGUGCCACGAUUAUACGAUUAUGCCAUCGUGACACGAUUUCUUCAAUGUCGAAGCUUGAUUUUGGUCUUCUAAAAUCGUGUCACGUUUUUACCAAAUCGUGACACGAUUCUCUUCUUUGUAUUUUCUUCAGUUUUCUACUAUUUUGCUGCAUAAAUUGCCUUGUGAACUCCAAUUUGUGAUCAAAAUACAUAUAAAAAGACUCUAAAAAUAGCGAAUGACUGACUGUCAUCAAUAAUGAUUAGGCAUGUAGUUGCUAUAUCUAUUCUAUGGAUAGGUCUGAGUGAAAUGCUACUAGGAGCUGUUUAAGUUGAUGUUUGUAGUAAUUAUAAACCACUAGACGAUAUAACUUGCACUAAUUUACCAGUCUAUCUGCAUGUUGUUAUUUUUCAUUCAUACGGUUACAAAUGGACGGAGAUGGUAGAGUCCUUUUAGUUAGAGGUUUGGGUAUAUGGGGAUUGGAUCCGUGAAACAUCCAUAAAGGAAGGUAAACUAAAUGAAGGAAAGUCCUAUAGUUAGAGGUAGAGGGAGAUUAAGAAAAACUGCAAGUCAUAUUAAGUAUUUGGAUUUUAAAAACUGUAUUCCUCUUGGCAAGUUGUGCAUGCUUGUCAAAUAGUGAAAAAAAAAAGUAUAGAACAAAAAAAUUAUUAAGCAUAUGGGCUUGCCACAACAAAAUAUGUGAAACAGUCGAGAUCCAGAGACAUUUUGGACAGGAUAUGGCAUAAGAAGCGAUGGGCUGACAGCGAAGCAACAAGACUUAACAACCCUUUCUUACUGCUGCCAGUGUAUGACUUGAAAAGAACAAAUCUUCAUAUGUGAAUCACUAGCAUUUUCUAAGAGAGGAAGAAAAAAGCUCGAGGGAUAUUGAAACCAUAUCGUUUUAAGUUUAUGAUUAAAAUUGCUCAAGGUGUUGAAUUUUAUGAUCAGGUCGUACUCAUAAGAGGUUAGUUGUUUUGGUGCCUUCUCCCAUAUAUAUCAGCCCGCAAAACAUUUUAUAUAGAAAAAAAGAAGACUGAGGCUACAUGACAUCUAGGCUUAUUUAUUGUGUGUAUCGUAUCAGUUUCUUAUGACAUUAGUACUUGGCCAAUUUUGGGUGCUUCACUGGAAUACUGGAUAAUACAUAAUUGAAUUCUUUUGACAAUGGAAAGCCUGAUCAAGUGCCUUUUCUUGUUUGAACCAUGUUCUUUAACUUUUAUCCUAGUAAUACUUGUUAAUUUAUUUUGAUUGAAUUUGAUUACACUUAUCUAGUGCAUUUGCUGAAUAUGUUAAGUUUUUGGUUAUGCAGUAAAUCAGAAUACGUUAUAUACAAGCUCAAGGAGAUGGGAAAAGUGACGGAGAAGGACAUCAUGCAGAUCAGUGAGAAGUUUGAUAGACUAGAUACCGGAAACUGUGGAAAAAUAACACUUGGUGAUCUCAUGGAGGGUCAUAGUUGAUGAGCUUGAUCAGCAUCGGGGCUAUCCAAGGAGCAAGGGGAGUCUAAAUCCAUUGUUGUCACAUAAAAAUGGGACUGCCAGAUCCUCAAGUUGCAUGCUGAUUAGUGUAGACCACAUUUGAUGGAAACUUUUUCUUUUGAGGGUUAGGAAGGAUAAUAGAUUAUCAAGUAACAUACUGGUGAUUUCCCCUCCCAUACCCUUUUGUCGCACAAUGAGUAACUUGACGAGGCACGAUAUGCUGGUGAAAUUCUGAGUUCUUUUGCCGGCAUUUUGCAAUUGAUCUUAAUGGAAUUCCGGUAUUAUCAAUUACAGUAUAGUUAGGUUGAUGAGAUGGCUUGUGGUAAUGGAGGGGGCAAUUUUGGUUGGUUAAAUAAUUAUUUUGUACAUAUUCUUUUUGAAAAUGUAUGUCUUUAUUCUUUAUGAUAUCUCUUGAUUAAUUGUGCAAAUCAAUAUGGAACAUCUUGGUAUUGUUUUUGCCAAGAUGAUUCAAUUAGCCAAGGUUGUAGUUCCCGUUUAGCUGCUGAGUCGCGAGAUAUUACUUCCAGUUGUAAUUGUUUUAGAAUGCUUUAUAUUGUGCACAUGCCUUCCAAAGCAAGUAAUAUGAAAUUUUUAAGGUGAUCAGUCGUUUCUAAUAGGUUACCAUCUCUUUAAAGUCGUUUCUAAUGCAACAAAUACUGUUGAGAUUUGGCAUGAAACUGUCAUAACAAAGGUCUCAAGAUUUGAGUUUGUCCUAGAGAAUCUUGAAAUCUCCUUGGACCUUGGUUAAGUCAGCAUUUGACCAAACUGUUAAAAGUAAGAAAAUACUAGUGUCUUCCAAUGAUGCUCUCUCUCUCUCUCUCUCUCUCUAUAUAUAUAUAUAUAUAUAUAAUUGUCAUAGAUCUACUGUAUACCACGGAAACAUGCAUUAUUGGGAUUACAAGGGAAAAAUAUUCAUGGCUAGGCCACAUACAUAAGCUAACCAGGACAAAAACUUAAGAUGUAGAUUCAUUUUAUAUUCCUCCCUGACUGAUCCUAUCGGGGAAUAAUAAUUAAGCGUUUUAGAAGGAGACUUCGGAUUGUAUGCACUCACAAAUUUCACACAUUCACGCGGUUAACAAAAUUAUUAGUUGUUGAAUUAAAAUCGGAUGAUUUAAUUCUUUUUUUUUUUAAAAAAAAUCUAAAAUAGUGAGUUUAAAAUUUAGAUUGUCUAAUUUCAAUCAAACAAUGACUAAAAUACCAACUAUAUAGAUGUGAGAGAUUGUUGAUUGUAGGCAAUCUAAAAUUACUAGAUGAGUGAGUGCAUUUCAGUGGUGGGCUAAAAAAUUUAUCUAAAAAGCCUGACAUCUUUGACAAAUUUUGAACAUUCCAAAAAUUUAAACCUUUUGACUUGUCAAGCUAUAUAGCCCUUUCAUACUUUUGAGCAACUUGAUUGUUCUUCCACAACUAGUUUAUAAAUUUAUACAACAUAUAUAAUUAAGUUCUGGUUGCAUCUUUUGUAGUGGUUUCAUUUUGAUGGAAGAAGCAUCAAGUAAGCCACCAAACAAAAAGAAAAUGACAAAAACACAUAGUACUAGUCAAAGGUACACAUUAUCUAUGACUUGUGCAGUCUUUUGACCAUUAAGAAAAAUAUUGAAAGCAUAUUAAACAACAAAGUUCAAGGUAAACUCACCUUGGCAGCAUUCUCCAUGUUAAUUGUUUGACAAAGUUAUCUUUGGCACAAUUGGAAGAGGUUAAUUGAGUGAGAUAAAAUAAAACAAACAAGUCAUAGAUUCUUAAGUGAUUAAAAAACAUGUGAAUGUGACUGAUUGUUAGCAUAAAGUAGGCUAGUUGGAAUUAGGUAAGUAUUAUCAUUAACCAAUUGAAUUUUGGACUAUUAUUUAAAUGAUAGACUAUGCUUUUUUGGUUUUCAUUCAUAGUAUGAAAAGGGACUUAAUUUGUAGUACUAUAGAUAAAAAGAAAGAAUUAGGUGUGGUUUUUUGAUUUUGUUCUCAAAAGGCUGCUUUCAUUAUGUUUUCUUUUAACAUUUUCUUUUUAUUUUGUUUAGCUUGUUUUUGUAUAAGCAACAAUCAUUAUUUAUGUUUCCAUCUUGGAAAAACAAACAAAAUAGCAAUGAUAGUGGGUAAUUAUGUUUAUGAGAAUUCAACCAAAUUCAUUGUUGAAUAGAAAGUUCAACAUAAUUGGGUUUUACUAGUACAUCUGUGACUUAGUAAACGUUUGUAAAUUUCAAAAGCUUCUUUUGGGUUUUGGAAGAAUCAAUCAAACCAAUCUCAGUUGCAUGAUCUUGAUUUCUCACUGUGUUCUAGAAGUUUAUUACUUGAGUUUUUUUAACAACGUUAGUUAGAUAUAGUUAAAGAUUUGUUAGUAUUGAUUGCAAUUUUGAUUGUUGUAAAUACAUAUACUUAAUUAGGAUCAAAUACAUAUACUUAAUUUAUUAUAUACCUUAUAACUAAAUGAAAUUUUGCAAGCUUUUUAUCGCCCCAAAAUUUUGAAGUUUUAAGCCCUAAUUUGGAUCGUUUGGCCCUUUACCCGACUCAAGCUUGUUGUAAAUGUGCUUUGACUUGCGAAGAUUUCAUCUUUUUUAUUUCUCAAAGUGGUGUCCCACGCGACUGUAAUUUUUGUUUAGUUAAUUAUUACUAUUAGUGAUAUUUUGGUAAAUUAUUGUAUUCCUCGCUCACAACUCUAAAUCCUAACAUUUUAAAAUAAUUGAUAUUCAUUUAAAAGACCGAUAUACGGUUUUUCAUACAAACUCACCAUGGAUCAAAACCCAUAUGAAAUAGUUAAAAGGAUGAGUCAAGUAUAAAUCCCCCACUUAUAUAUGUAACACUAUUUCACAUUUUAAGUAUUGACAUGGUUUUUCAUCUGUUUAAUCACACUGAAAAUGGCACGGAUCAUGAAAGUGAUUGAAACAAUCUGUGAAAUGAGUAUCACAUUUGCAUAUAACAGAAAUCAGAACAAAAGUUGACAAUUCUUUAAGAAGGAAGGGAGAAAGGCAUACGGUAAAAAAGUGACCAGACAUGACUACGUCAAAUUAAACUUUAACUACUAUAGUACAAUUUUUUACAAUUAACGAUUCUGACUAAUACGUACUUAAUUAUUAAUUUAGAAAAAAAGGACUAUUUCUUUCUCGAUCAUGCUAAGUGGAAAGUAUUAUAGUAGGUAGAACAGUCAAUAAUAUGCUUGACUUAUGAAAGAAUCAAAUCAAAGAGGAACCUUUCACAUUAUUAAAGACUCAACUCUAAUGUGGAAGCAUUGGAAGCCGUGCUGCCGUAUACUAUGAAUAAAUAUAUUUAUACUUAUACAUCAACGAUUAUAUGAUAAAAUAUAUUAAAAAAAUUAGGGCAAGUUGGAACAUUCCAAGUGGCGAAAAUGUGUCUAUGAUUGAUAAAAUGUUUGACUUUAGCCUUCAAGUCAAAUUGGAAAUAAUUAUUAAGAAGAAAAAAUUUAAAUGAGUUAGAGGCCAAAAAGUGAUUAGUGAUGUGGAUUGAUUUACUAGCAUAUAUUAUGCUGUAAGACUAGGAAAUAGUCAUCAAAACUUGUGGAAUACUUCUUUAUCCACACAAAAAAAAAAAAAAAAAAAAACUUGUGGAGUACAGAAAACUUGUUAUUCAAGUUAAAUUCAGUGCACUAUGUAGAAAGGCUUUUCUACUAGAUAAGAAUUGCUUUGUCUAAUGAAAUUUUCUAUGAGUCACCCCUCCCUCUCUCUCUCUCUAUUAUUGCUAAAGUUUCAUUGAAUUUGAAAGCAAUAAUUUGUCAAGAAUAUGAUCAAUAAAACUCUUUCCCAUCUUAAUUUUUUGAGGAAGAAAACCCACUAUUAUAGUUAAUAUAACAGAGUGAGAUUAAGUCAUCUAAGCUUGGGCGGUUGCGGUAUAAAAUUGCUAGUACUUAAUUAGCUCUUUCUUACUUUAGGCUUCAUCAUAGAGGGGACAUGAGAUUGAGAGAAAUCACAAACCAAGAUUAAACUAAUGAUAAUGAUAAUUUUGUCUAGUGUAUUAGUCAACCCCAUUUACUUUUAGAACUUGGGAUGAGUUUAACCCAAUUCUUACAAAUUCGAUUUGUAACCUUGAGUAUUUCAUUUAUAAGUUCAUUUUUAAUUCUCAUUUUAUCAAAUGUAAGACUAUUAACACAAGUAUACCUCACAUUUAAGAUUGAACACAUGGAGCAUAACUCGAGUGAUUUGAUAAUGUCGAUUCUAAAAACAAGUGGUUUAACGAAUUAUAGAUAGACUCCAAUAUUAUCCUAAAAUUUAGGUUAGCCUAACUCACCUUACAAAACAAUUGUGUUAUUUAAACACCAUAUAUAUUCGUAUUGUAUGUGACCCAAUACAUAUUUUUUUUUCUAUCUCUCACUUUUUUUUCUUUCUUUUCAACAACUCUCACAACUAAAGAGUAGUAAUUUAUUUUGACAUGAAAAAUUUGAUUUCUAAGAAUAUUAACUUCAUCCAAAUUUGUUGGACUAAUUAAAGGUACGGUUUCUGAGAUUAACCGAAUUGUACUUGCCACCAACAACGAUGUUAAGAUAGCACUUUCACAGUCCUUUUAGUUUGAUUAAUGGUGUAUAGUAUUUUGCGUGACAAUCACAUAUUCCUACUUGCUCAUGCAACCGUUAUAAAUGCAAAUUAUAGGUUGUACCGUUGUAAGUUGGUUCACCGGCCUAGCUUUAGAGUAUUGAUUGAUUGAUAAGAAACUUGUAAUUUUCUGUGUAAAUUAAUGUGCUUGUUCUAUAACUAUAACUUCAGAAAUUGAAAAUUAUAUGCAGCAUAAAGUAUAAAGCAGGGUUCUACUUCUAAUAUUCUAUGCAUGUGACAAGUUCUUUUAAAAAAAAGUUUGUGCCAGUCUUCCCUUUGGUGGAGUAUUGUGGAGUUAAAUUUUGUCACAUUAUGAAAAAAUUUGCCCUAAAAAAAUAGGUGUUGUUCAAAGUUCAAACCAUAUACAUGCAUAUAUAUUAUCUUCUUGCUUGUCACUGAUGGACCCUAAACCAUGUGAUAUGCCACGUGACAGUCAUGGUGACCUAUAUCCAACUUCUCUUCAAUUUCUUUCUUGAAUAUUACAUUCCAUCAGCUUGACUUUGUGACAUGCAUGUUAUCUUUAACAUAAUCUUCUUUAAUUUCUAUUUCUAUUUCUAUUAAUAUACAUGUUGUACCAAACCAACAUUCUAUGCAUAUUUUGAUGCAUCAUCACAUUACGCCUCUAAAAUUAAUUUUCACCUGCAAAUACCUCACAGCUAGCAUAUCCUAAUAUCAAUCACACUGACAUCAAUGUCAUCAUGUUCAACGUGUGACAACUAUAUUAUUGCCUCAAACCCCACCUUAAUUAGUGUAUAAUAUUAGCAUGAAGCAUGGUCAAUUAGGGUCCGAGCCACACAAAUCAAAUUACAUCAUCAUGUAGCAAAUAGCAGUAUUUGUUAUACACGUUUUUUUCUUGACCAAGUUAUAUGUUAUAUAUGCUAUUAAAUACACCAUGUUAUUCAAAAAAUUAAAUUAAUCACAGAAAUUUAUUAGAAGAAAAUUGUUAAAUUUCUUUCUCAUUUCGUCACUUUUUUUUUUGGAUAUAUCUCGUCACAAAAUGAGUUUUUCUAUUUACACCCCAUGUUUUUCUGGUUACACCCAAAUUUUUUUAAAUUUUUUUUUAUAAUACUAAAAUUGCCCUUUUAUAUAAAUUUUCUUAAAACCCUAAUUUUAUUCAUUGUCAGUGAGUUUCACCCUCUUUCACCCCACAAAGCGAUCGAUCAAACAAUUUGAUGUUCAAUAUCAAUCUCCAUGAAAAUUAAAGAGUGAAUCAAAAAUUUUUUUCAUCCAUACUCAAUUGGAUAUAAGUAAGUGAAUUUCUUCUUCUAUUUGCUAGUUUCAAUUUUUUUUUUCCUUCAACUGCACUGAUGCACUGUACGAUUACGGUUUUAAUUUACAUUGACAAGGUUAACUUAAAUUCAGUUUAAGUAGGUUCAUGUAAACAUGAACCUACUUAAACUGAGUUUACAUGAACCUACUUAAACUGAGUUUACAUGAACAUACUUAAACUGAGUUUACAUGAACAUACUUAAACUGAGUUUACAUGAACAAGGAAAACUCAAAAUCAGAACUGAGAACCCAUAACAAGAAAAACACAAUGGAUUGAAGAACAACACUUGCUAACCUGAUUUGCUUCGAAUUUUCUUUGAAAUCAUGAAUGGACGUGAGAAAGUAUGGUUUUGAAAAUCUUCGCAGAACACAAUCGAUCGAUUGGAGAAUUAUGGUUUUGGAAGAAGGGUUUUAGGGUGUAACCAAAAAAGAAGGAAUAGGCUUUUUGAAAAUCAAAUUUUAUGAAAGGUUAAUCUUGUCAUUUUUUGGUGCAACCAUGAUUAACUAGGGUGCAAGUAGAAAAACUCUCACAAAAUUUAGUAACAAAGAAAUUGGAAAUGUAUUUCACUUUUUUAUAUCCAACUUUGUCAGUACUUUUAUUCUUUGUAUUGUCAAUCAACAUAUAUAUCAUACUUUUUUUAAGUAAAUAUAUAUGGAAUACACGCAUGUUAGGUCUUUUUUAUUUUUAAAACAGCAUAUAUAUAUAUAUAUAUAUAUAUAUAUAUAUAUAUUAAAUCUCACUCACACAUGCCGUGGGAAAAAAAACAUACAAAAGGCACCGUAAAUAUGCAGUAACCACACCAAAGAAAAGAAAGACACCGUGAUUGAUUGCCAAGAUAAACGCUCUCAUUAGUAGAAUAAACAAGAUGAAAUCCAAGUUAUCACAAUAAACAAUUCUUUAGGUUCCAACGUCAUUAGUAGAAUAAACAAGAUGAAAUCUUAAAUCUACUCAAACUCUAUUGCCAAGACAACACAUUAUUCUCCUCAACCAUUUCAUCAAUCUACAUGGUAUUAUUAUUGAAUGAUAUCAUUAUAGAUUUUCAAAUUACCCAAAUCGAUGCAUGCCAAAUCAACCACCAAUCCUUUCUAAGUUUCAUGUUCCUCGCCUCCCCACUUCAACUUUCAAAAUGAACAAACAAAUUUUGAGGGGUAAUGAUAUUCAUUAGGCACAUUAUUUUGGACCACAAAAGUUUCCACGCACCCAUCACAAAAGACACAAUUUAAAUUUGCCACCAAUGGAAUACUAUUUCUUCUAACAAGAUCUCUCGUUGGGAUACGAUUAUGAAAUAGCUUCCAAGAAAAAACCAAAACCUUACUAUUUUGUUUGUAGACCAUCCCUAAGUAACUUUUCGUUACUCCAUUUGUACCAAAUAAAACAGGUUAACCACUUUUUGUCACUUUCAUGUUUAACCAUGACAUAAAUACUCAUAUUCAUAUACGAAAUUGAGCCACUUUAAAAACAAAUUCCCUGGUCUUUUUUCUGUUCAAAUUGAUACCUAUAAAAUCAAUUUUACGAAAGUAAAAAAAUAUGGCCAAGCCUAAGUAAUGUGACCCAUGAAAGUGACCUAUCCAUGCCUUAAAUUUGGGGGGCUGGAGGCAUCCCGAGUGUGUCGACAUCUCAAUGAACCUAACAAAUAACCUGCUCUCUUCAAUAUUGAUAACGACUUCCAUCAUAACCUAUCACCAAAUACUCUAUAUUUUAUGUCACUUAUAAACUAAUUUUGGUCAAAAAUCUCUUCUUUUUUUUCAUUGUUUUUUUAUUCGUUUAAUUUAGAACAAUUCCAAGUCAAUUCUUCCUUUGAAAAUUUGUAUAAAGAUAAAAGGGGAAUAUGGUGUCCCCUUUAAGCAACCGCACCCAUCCAAUUAACUCUAAUAUGAUAUGCUCAAUUCUCUUUCAUUUGUCAUUUCUCUUUUAGUAGUCUUCAAAGAGGUACUUAAGCUUCCCAUAAUUGACGUAUUCAUGUUUUCACUUUUUCACAACCAAUCAUAUUGCUAAAUUAAGCUUCUAGAUAGAUGUUCAGAGCUUAUUUGAGUUCAAUUUAUGUAUGUAUAUCUACACAUGACGAACUUGUAAUCAUUUUUACGUCACGUAUGACUUAUUUACUUUUUUUUACUUGAUUUGCAUUGUUUCAUCAUAUACUUUGGUUUCACUACAUAUAUAAAUUAUACUAUUCAAGUUUGAAUAUUGAAUGAAACAAUCUUAAGCUGAAUUUUAGACUUCAAAUUAACAGAAUCCAUUUCAUUUGAAAAUCAUAUAGUUAAGAUCAAAAACUAAUUGAAUAUAAAAAUCUUAGAAAUUUUAAGUUUGAUUGGCACAAGUACCUUGUAAGAAAAUUUCAUUUAAAAUUUGAAUUAAUUUUAAAAUAAAUUAAUAUAAAAAUAUAAUAUAACAUUAAAUAAUUGGAUGUUGAUACAUAUUCAAUCAACUUUAGAGAUAAUGUUGUGUUCACCAAAAUAAUUUAAAAAAAAGAAAACAGUUUGAGCCCAACUUUUUUUUUUUUUUUGAGAGGAACUUGUUAUAUAGUAUUAUUUGGCAAAAAUAUUUUUUUUAGGGAAUUUAGCGACAAUAUAUUGUCACUAUCUUAUUAGGAGAAAAGAGAUUAGAUGUGUGUGUUUAUUUUUUUAGUUGGUAAAACGCUUUAUCGAUGGUUGUCAGCUCGAGCCGUGAAAGGGAGCAAGUGGAGAAUACUAUUGUUAUGGACAUUCUCUGACACUCACUAUCUUAUUAGAUGAAAUCAUGUGGGUACCAGACUUUGAGAAUGAAUCCCAAAUAAAAUGGUGAGACUCGCAUGAGUUUCAUCAAAUAAGAGAAUAAAUAUCAUAGAGUGUUCAUAUCAUUUUUCGAGAACAUAAGAGAUUGUUCCUAACAUUUGUCAUUCAUAUUAAGAUCUAACAAAAGCAUAUCUAAAAUUGGGAAAUUGUAUCAAUUAAAAAAAAGACUAAAAUUGGUUCGUCCUAUCUUAUGGAAGAUUGUUUUGGUUUUUGGGGUGUGUGACGUGGGGAGAAGAUGAUUGUAUACUUGUUCCUCUCCAUUAUUCUUUUUUCUAUAUUGACUGCUUAAUCCUAUGAAUGUAAUUGAUGGUAUUGUUAUGCAAUACAAGAAGUUUCCCAUUUCUAGUGAAGUCAAAGGGGAAAGAACUUAGCCCUCCUGCAUUCUUAGAGCAGCAAGAAGUUUUGUCAUGAUAAUGUCUUCUUGGAGAUUGGUUAAAUUAAUUAAAAAGUGAUUUUUUCUUCUUGAGGUAUAUUUGUAUGGGAUCUGAUCCAUAUACUAUUUACUCCAUAAUCUAAGCUAAUUGCAUUAGCACCAAAGAGAUAAAAGUGGGGACAAAGUGAAUCUUUAUUUCAUCCUGAUGGAUUUUAAAGGUUGUCCUUGAUCUUUUCCACGUCAUAAUUAAUGACAAAGUCUGUAUAAUAUAGAAGGACUGGUCUUAUAACUGUAACUAUCAACAUAUUGAUCUAUCCAUAUAUUUAAUUAACCACGUUAUCAUAUCAGUGAGGAACAGUCAUAUGAGUUUUUUUUUUUUUUUUUAAAAUAACAAUCCCAUAUGAGAUAUAUAGCUAUCCAAUUUAGUGGAUGUAUUGAUUCAUAUAUAUGCUAUUUGACUUUUUUCAUGGUUAAUAUAUGAGUAAUAUUGACCUCAAAAGAAGUUAAUGGUUAAUAUAUGGUUUUUUUUUUGUACUACAAAAAACCAAAGAUUUUUAAUGGUACUAUAGAAAACGCAGGAGACAAUCUGCUUCCCCUUUACACACACCGUAAUGAACUAUAUGAUAAGUAUAUUAAAUAAUCUUUUUUUUUUAACAAUAAAAAAUGGGACAUGUUUUAACAAAGCUAGGCUUCUCCAAAAUACAGUGUGUACUACAGAGACUUCAAAUAAUUACAAAGUAGCAAUGUUAGGCAAAGAUAUUAGCCAAUUCCUAAACAGGCCAUGUAAUUUGACCACCAUAAAUGAAAACCGUAAGCAAAAACGACGUUACUAGCUUUUAGCCACCAAAGAGAGUGCCGCUUUACUUUAUCUAAUAACUGAUCUAUGGAACUAGUUGUAUUGUUAAACAACCUAUGAUUACGAUCAUUCCAUAUGAUCCACGUAAAAAACAACCGAACAAGCUGCAAAAAAGAGCGCCUUGCUCGCAUACCACCUGCAGAAUGAGUGAACUGAAAGAAAUGAUCUGAGACAUGAAAAGGGUCUGGGCCUGAGACUCCAAGCCAAGACCGCACCUUAUGCCAAAGAGUGCCAUAAAAAUCACAGAUAUGAAUAAAUGUUGAGAAGUCUCAAUAACACCACACCCCGACAAACAGCCAGCCGCGGCUCCGGGAAGAACUCCACGAUGCACCAAGUUUGUCCGAGUUGGCAGCCGGUCCCGUAACAACCUCCAAGCAAAAAUGGAAACUUUAAUAGGAACGUGAAUAUACCAAACUAGAGCCUCGACACUAUCCACCUGAGGGCUGUCCUGAGAAGUUAAAAGUUGAUAAGCGUUGCUAACGGUGUAACCUGCAGAAAGGUCCAGCUGUCAUCGCCAAGUAUAUGUCACAUUAAGCUGCAAAGAAACAUUACGAAGUAAAAUGAUACACUCCCCAAGCAUGUCCUCCUCCCAAACCCACAAUUGCCUUCUCCACCUCCAACCCGCCCCCCAACAUCCCAACCAUACGACGACAUAUAAGACACCGUACAAGAUUUACCAACCGCAAGCUCAAAAAGGCGACUGAAACGCACUCGAAACGACACUCCUCCUAACCAAAGGUCAUGCCAAAAUAACGUAUCAGCCCCAUCACCCACCAUCCGGGUAAGACCCUCUUGAAACCAACCACCUUCUACCCCACCUAAACCCUCUUGCCCCCAACCUCCAACCUCCCAUUCACCUCACCAUAUCUCGCCACCAACACCCUAUACCAAAAACUCCUCCUCUCCACUAAUAACCGCCAACACCAUUUCCCUAAUAACGCCUCAUUAAACUCCCUCAACCUCCGCACUCCCAAACCACCAUACUCCCUCCUAGAACAAAUAGAGGUCCAAUUGACCCAAGAAAUUUUUUUGUGAUCCUUACAACCCCCCAAAAAAAUUUAGAAAAAAUAGAUUCAAUGGAAAAAAUUAUACCUGACGGAGCCUUGAAGAAGGAAAGAGCAUAGACAGGUAGAGAGGUCAAAACAGACUUGAGAAGGACUAAACGGCCACCAAAUGACAGAAACCGACUUUUAAACUCAUACAGUCUCGAUUUAAAUAAUCUUGUUUUGUUGGAAAUAAAUAAUCUUGUUUUGACUUCGAGCAAAAAAAAGUUUCUUUUAGAGAACAUUAAUUAUGAAUGGAUUAAUUGUAAUUUUGCAUUAAAAAAACAUAAGAAAGGUAAUUUUGCAAGUGGCAUCAAAAUUUUCAUUUUUUUUUUUUGAAGCAAAUCAAAAUUUCCAUUGAGCAUCAUGUGUGUCCACAUUUACACCACCAUUUAUAUACAUCUUCACCGGCAUCUCUUGCUAACACAGAGGACCGUACAAGUGUCAUCAUAUUAUAUGCUUUUAGUAAAGGUAUACUACAUUCAUAUUCAUAUAAUUAUUAAAACCUUCUGCCUUGUCAAGAUUUCUCAAUAUUGCUAUAGUCACAAAAUCUGAUUCCAUGUUAGAAAUUAGACUAUAAUAAUUCUAUAUAUAUGCGGUCUCGCAAGGCCAAAAGGUAAUUAUUAUUGUUGUUGAACCAAAAACAGUCUCAGAUUGCCUUUACGUAAAGCAUCUUGCUGUGCUAUAAAAAAGAAAAACAGAUAGUGAAAAGGAAAGCACUAAAAAGGUAGGAGAUGACCAAGUCCAAGUUGUAAUUCAAUAGUUCAAUUCAAAGCUUAAUAAGGAGCCACAGCAUGGACACGCAAGUACUAAACUAUAGUUAGUGAGGCAAAGUUAGCUGAGAUAUUUAUGUAUCAUUUGAAGCUAAUUUAUUUAUUUAUUUUAACUAAUUUCGGUUAUUUAAUUCAUCAAACAAUUUUAUUUUUUUAUUUUUUUGGUCAAGAUUCAUCAAACAAUUUUUUUUUUUUUUUGGUAGAAUUCAUCAAACAAUUUUAACUAACAAGAAAAAUGAUAACCAGGGGGGAAAUUUAUAUUUCUAAAAAUAUCCUCUGAAAUAAAAGGAAUAGUCGAAUUCCACCCGACAAAACCCUAGAUAAAAAUGUCAUGAUUAACUAACUAACUUGUCAGCACAUGUCUUGAUGCUAGCAAAAUUUGAUGUUUUCUUAGAAUCCUAUAGUAUAACUAUUUCAGCUAUUAUGAUUUUUGAUUGUAUUAUCACAUUUGAUAUUUGAGAUAGAAAUGUUUAUACUGGAUUUGUGUUGCCCUGGAUAUAUUUUACGAAAAGUUGUUAUAAUAUACUUCACUAUUUAUUUCAUAUGAGUGUUGGUAAAAAAAAAUUAUCAUAACUAAUGAGGUAAAAAACAUAAAUUACAAAUAAUAACCAGCAGAGCUUAAUUUGAAACUAUAUAUUAUAAUAUAUAUAUAUAUAAUUGGCAAUUUUAUUUGUCAAUUAAAUAGAAAUUAUAUCAUUGUGAGCUUACCUCAAUUGAUAUGGACAAUGCAUAAUAUAUGCAGGGUCUGGGUUCGAACCCCGACCACAAAAAAAAAUGGAAAUUAUAAAGCAUGCAUUGAUCUCUAACUAAUCCAAGUUUAGAGUUGAACUAGUUAGACAUAUACACCCUCCGGUCAUUUUUAUACGCAAAAUUUUAUAUUUUAGAUUCAUUCAAUUAAUGAUGUAUAUGGUCUUUAUUAUAAACCACAUACUUCAAUUAAUGAAUGAAUCUAAAAUAUAAAAUUUUACUUGUAAUAGAGACCAGAGCGUGUAUUCCUUAUUUAUGGGAAACCAAAUGAUCACCACAUAGUGAUAGAGUGGCAAAGUCUUGGUAAUUACAAACGAAGUUAACAUGCUUUUUACUUAAAUAAUAUUGUCUGAUUUAGGUUUUAUGCAAGUGGUCACACUUGAAAAGUAUAUAAAUGUUUAGAGCAUCCACAAUGGUGAGGUCUUCACCAUUUAAGAUCUAGUACUUAAUAGGUAUUUCUAUUGUGGGAAAAAAAAUUGGGGGUCUUCUAAGAUCCAGUGCCUAACUUAAGACCCUUAUUUUUUAGUGGUCCCCACACACUUUUUUUAUUAAAAUAAUGUUAGUGGUGGAAUGUAAACGAGGAAUAGUUAGCUAUGGAACCUAUUUAGACUUUUUGCCAUAAGAUCUCCUUUGGAGUGGAUGAGUACCUAUUAGGUACUGUUAUUAAAAAAUAAUAAAAAAGUGAUGUGUACAAGUGAGACCCGUUUAAGACCUUCAAAUUGAGAGUCUACAUUGUAGAUGCUCUAAACCAUCUUCGAUUGCACAUGUCUCUUCUAUCUUAACCAAGUUCAUGUGUUCGAAUUCAAUCUAGAACACGUAGCAACGUUAUAACUUUUAGGUAGAGUUUAUCGUCCAUUUAAGUUCCACGAUACUUGAGAGAUUAAUCACAAUAGUUAUGCGCAUAGAGGAUAAUCAGUUUACACUAAAAUCGUCUCGAAUUGCAAAGACAAAUCGUUUGAACCGAAUAAAAUAAAAUAAAAACAUAUUCUCUCUCAAAUAAUAUAUAAUAUUACUGCAUUUUGACCGGUGAAUUUGAAAUCAACAAAUUUGAUAUUUUAUUUGAAUAUAUAUCAACAUAUACAAUUUUAUCAAAUCAUUGCUCUAAAUUAAGAUUGGAGAGGUGGGAAAUCAAUCAUGCUCAAAACUUGAAUGGUUUACAAAGAAUAGAUGCUGACGUUGGCUCCCCAUCAGCACAGCAAGACAAACCGUCUUCACCCACGUGCUUGUCACUGUUUCAGGCUUCGGUCAAAUGCCGGUGCCAGUCUCAGACACGUGUGUUCCUUUCUAUUAUUCCAAAACCAAAGUUCCUAUUUUUCAAUUUUACAACUAAGUCGAAAUGUUUGAAUCAUUGACUACUACAGUUUCUAAACAUCUUCUUCUCAACUCAACCUCCUCUUCAAGCUGUGUGCAUCAUAGCUCCACGUUAAUUUGAAGCUUUUCUUUUUCCCCAUGUGAUAUAUAAUUAUAUAUAUAAAUGGUCCAAUGUGAAUAUCAUAUAUCUUGAUAAAAAAAUUAACUUAACCUUUAGACAUUAGUAAUGCGUGUAUUAUAAACAUGAUUGUAUUAUAAUUAGAGGAGUUGAUGUGGGAGUACAAAAGUUUAAUAAUAAGACAAUAUUAUUUGGACGGAUGAUAAAUAAAAUUUAAUUAUUUAAAUUACGAAACUUUAUAUGUCAUAUACUACAUGACAACAAUUGCUGAGAUUUUUUUUAACUCGAAUCCAUCAACGUUCCUUAUAUGUAUGAAAGUAAAUUUGACAUUAUUGGAAAAAUGUGAGACCAGGUAAAAGCAAUAUAGUAGAGUCAACCAUGUUAUAUUUGACUAUUAGUUUUUAAAUCAACAUAAAGACCGGAAAUACAAACCAGUGAAUGAAGAAGAUUUUAUUACAUGGGAUUGGAUUCCAUUCAACUGUACCUUUUCACUGCUUAAAUAAAUUAGAAUUAUUGGUUUCAUGUGGUACAUUAUGUUUUCGGCAAUCCAAGAGAACACAAAAGAAUAUGUCAAAAAAAAAAAAAGAGAACACAAAAGAAGUUUUUGUUUUUUGGUUUAGUUUUUUUAGAAGACUCCAAAUUGGGCUGAACCGUCAAAAACUUUUUUAAAAAUGAUCAAUUUAAUUUAUUUCCAACUUUUAGUGUUUCAAAGGGUUAAAUCAUUUCCUCCAAAAAAAAAGGUAAUCAAAUCAAGAUUCUACCAGAUAUUAAUUAAGAUUAUAUUAGAGUAAAUUUUAUAUCAUGGCAGUAUAUAAAUUUGUUAUACGCAGCAAAAGACCAUAUUUUGUCUUGUAAAAUGCUUAUAUUAUUGUUAAAAAAAAUGCUUAUAUCACUGUACUAAUUAAAAAAAGAAUUCUUAUAUUAUAUUUUAAUUUGGACCCGGAGGUGAUGAUUUGAUAAAUUUGGUCACCCUAUAUGACUAGGUUGUAUCUUUUGUUAAUAGUGUAUAUAUCUUAUGGUUGGUUAAUAAUAUGAUUUAAUUCGUAUACAUAUCAUAUAAAGAAUUUUACAUGAAAAUAAUGUAUUAAAAUUAGAAUAUUAACAAUAUAUGCCUUUUGAUUUAUUUACAUAUAGGUGAGGCUGCAAAUGCAAAGUGACAUUAAUCUCCCUAUCUGCUUAACUAAUAUUGAUGAGUUUCCUUAAUGGAAGUAAGAUGGUCUAAAAAUGUUUCCAUAUGAGAAAGCAUGCACUUUCUACUCUUUUGAUUGGAGGGUAUUUUGUCAACCUCCUUUUUAAAAGUGACCUAGCAAUUCUCUGUUCAAACCCAAAGACUUUGCUAUUUUCUUUUAUUCUUAUAUAUAAUAUAACACACACACACACAAACACAUAAAUAACUCAUCAAGAGAUAAGACUUCAAAACAAACCAACCUCACUACACACUCUUCUCUUUUGCUUCUAUAUAUCUUUCUCUUUCUUCUUCAUGUCUGAUGAACCUAAACCUUAUUUCCAAGACUUUAUGCUAGAUCAAGGAUCUAACAUGUACUCAUGUGAAAAACAAUUUUCAACCUUUCAUAACUUAGAUUCAUCACAACCUAAUUACUUUGAUCCAUCAUCUUAUAAUAUGAGUUUCACAGAAAGUUUACAAGGAGGAAACAUGGAUCACUACAAUUCACCACUUGCAACUUCUUUUGGAGUACUAUCUCCUUCUUCAUCAGAGGUUUUUUCAUCUGUUGAUCAAGGAAAUCAAAAACCUUCAGCUGGAGAAUUAGGUGGUGGUGAUCAAACCCUUGCUACACUUAACUCAUCUAUCUCUAAUUCCUCAUCUUCUGAAGCUGGAGGAGUAGAAGAAGAAGAUUCAGGAAAGAGAAAGAAAAAUAUUGGACAGGUUAAAGAAGAACCAGGACAAGAAAGCUCUAAAAAUGGGUAAAUCUUUUCUUCCUUUUCUUAUCUCAUCAAACCCUUGAAUUUAAUGGUGCAACAUGUAGUUAUUAAUAUUAUUACUUAAUAUAUGUUUUUGAAUGAAAUAAAGGAACAACAAGGUGGAUAAGAAGAAAGGAGAGAAGAAGCAAAAAGAACCAAGGUUUGCUUUCAUGACAAAGAGUGAAGUUGAUCAGCUAGAAGAUGGAUACAGAUGGAGAAAAUAUGGACAGAAAGCUGUUAAGAAUAGUCCAUACCCUAGGUAAUUAUAAACAGUUGCAUUCAAUGGAAGAUCCAUUACCACUAUUAAAACAAAGUCAAUAAUUUUACAUAAAACUAAAUAUCAUAUACUAACUCACCUAUACUACUAUACUCUAUAGAUCUGCUUGAUGUGGAUGUUAAUUACUAGUUAAUUAAUAUUUCAUCAAAUUCAAUUCAAAUUUCUUUAUACAUAUAUUCAAAUCUUAUUUAUUUAUUUACACCCCAUGUUCCCAAGAGAGACAUUAAUAUAUAUUAAUUGAAUCAUAGCUAGUAAAAACAAAAGGAAAUGAAAGGAAAGUCAAAAGGAAAUUAAAACCAUGUUCAAAUUACAUCAAGUAUACAACUCUCUCUAGCUAGGGUCUACUCUAGAUACCAUCAAAACAAUGGCUUGUAUAUAUUUCUUAGCAUUAAUUAAUUUGAUGAAUGAUUUGAUAAUGAGAAAUUGCAUUUGAUAUUGCAGGAGCUAUUACAGGUGUACAACACAGAAAUGUACAGUGAAAAAACGCGUAGAAAGAUCAUAUGAAGACCCAACAACUGUGAUAACAACAUAUGAAGGUCAGCAUAAUCAUCCUGUCCCCACUUCCCUAAGAGGCAAUGCGGCUGCAAUGUUCACACCUUCUAAUUUGCUAUCUACACCUACACCUUUCUCAUAUGGGUCAAACUUCCCUCAAGAUCUUCUUCUCCACAUGCACCACCACAACACCUUCAAUAUCACCCAACCAACAACACAUACUACUAAUAACGUUGCUGGUUCCGUUUACUCACACAACAACAUUAACAACUCAUUUCUUCAACAAUAUCAACAACAACUUCCUCCUGAUCAAUAUGGACUCCUUCAAGACAUUGUCCCUUCCAUGUUCCUCAACAGGACCAAUCACAACUAAUCAUUAAUCAAGAUCCAUUCAUAUGUACUCUCUUUAUCUCUCUCAAUCAUCUUUUUUGUACAUAUAUUUAUAUAGUUUAAGUAUGUAAUUUGCAUAGCUAGUUUCAUUUAGUUAUGACUUAUCAUGACAUCUGCUAUAUAUACAUAUAUGGCCAGCUAUGUGAUGGAUGGUAAGUGGGAACUGUUUUUGUUUUCUUAAGGAAAAAAUCAUCGAGUACCUAUGUAUUAAUCCUAGGGAGAGGUUAUUUAGAGGACAACAUAUCUUUUUAUACAUAUAUGCAUGCAGCUUGGCAGCCCAUUUAAUUGGGAUUUUCAUGCUAUAUAUGUGGAGUAUUAGUACUAUGUAACAUCAUCUAUGACAAUUGAGAUAUUAAUUAAUAACUUUCAUAUGGGUUAGGGGAAGAAAAAUGUUACUUGACUUUGCUUUGUUCUAAUAAUUUUGUCUAAUGUGCACAAGUAAAAUAGUUUUUGAAUUAUGUAUAUGUAUGUGUUCUAUCAUUUGAUCAACAAAUCACAUCGUAUCUCUUUUAAUCUAAUGAUCAAAACAAUUUUUCAUAGUAUAAAAUUUGUCUCACUUGUACCAAAUAAAACUGACCUAUUAUUUCAAUGUUUCUAUUCCAUACCUAUUUUAGAACCUGUCGAUUGUAUAUAUGUUGAACUAUUUUGAAUUCUAAUCAACCACACACAUAGUGUGUUUAUUUUAUUGAAGCUUCAAAGUGUACGACAUAAAUGAGACAAAUUGGGUAUGUCUGCUAUUUAUUGGUCGACCAUUAUUUUUUCCAUUCUAUGAGUUUCUCGCGCACUCUAUUCGGAUCUUAAAAUCUGAAAUGUUUCAAUGCGUUUUUGGAGGUUUUUAUACAAUAUUUAUGCCGUUUGUAUUCUAUAAUCCGAACUUCAUAGAACGCGUGAGAAACUCAUAAUGUGAAAAAAGAAACAAUCUUAUUGGUUUGCGUAUUAAGUAUGAUCACUCUGAUAUGACCACUAUGGAUAAUGGGUCAACCCUCCCGAUAUAUAAUUAUUUUGUUUAUUCACGCAUUUCAUAUUUUUAUGUUACUUCGAUAUAUUAGUUUUUUCACGAUUAUCUAUUUGGUGAGAUAUAAUUGAACACAAUUGUAAUUUCUUUUACAUUAACACUUAAUAUCAAUUGAACUCAAGUUUUAUUUAUUUAACUGAACCAAAUUAAUUAUUAUAAACUUUGAAAAUAUUGUAGGUCUUCCUGGUGCUAACAAUUUAUGUGUUGGUUAGAUCAAUGGGACUAAACUCCCUUUUAAUAUUUGACAUGUCAUUUUAAAGAAUUUGACUCUAUAUGAUAUUAUAUUUCAAUUCUAGUUUAUAAUAAUACAUUUUUUGUCAAAAAAAAAAAUAAUACAUUUAAAUAUACACAAAAUUAAUGUAGAUUAAUGAGUUUAAAUAGAAAAAGUUAACAAAUUUAUAAUUUUAUCCAAAUUACAAAAUUUAAUAUAAUAAUAGAAAUAAAGUUGUUAUUCGUAUUUAUUUAAAUAGAUCAGCCUGAUAAGUUUAGAAGACUUUUUUUUUAUGGUCCCUAGACCGAGCUGACAAGCUUAGAAAACUUUUUUUAUCUAUCAAGAAACUCACAAAAUGAAGAAGAAAAAAUAUGGAAACCCCAGAUCCACCCAAGUAUAUAGUUAAAUACUCCCUAACAAACAAAACAAUUAAUUUAAUGGAGCCACACACCGCUCAUAAUAUAAACAACACCUCCCUUCUAUAAGAGUUUGAGUGUUGUGUGUGAACUAGAAAACUAUUUAUACAAAUUUCUCUCAAAAAACUAUUUGAUAUACCUCGUGAUAUAGUAAAUCACAUUUAAGAUUUCCAUUUAAUUUAUACAAAUUUCUCUCAAAAUAUAUACAACAAUAACAAGAAUAUGUUAAUAGUAUUCUAUAGGUUAUAAGGUAUGUUUGUAUUAGAAAAAUAAUUAUCAAGACGAUCAAAAUUAUCACGUUUUAGGAAAAUUUUAAAAUGUUUGCAACAUAAUUUCAAUUCAUUUUCAUUGCUAAAUAAAAAUUCCAAUGGAUUUUAUCAUAGACCCUAUAUUACUCAAAUCUUAUGUUUGGUGAACGAUAUGUUUGGUUCGCGAUAUAUAUACUUUUUUUUGCUAAACUUUUAUUGGUUAAUUUUAUCUUCCACUUACUAUUAAAAAAUAACAUGUUGAUUUUUUUAAAAAAAAAUAUGUAAUUGAAAUGAAGUAACAAAACACAAAUAGAUAAUGUUCCCUAAAAAAACGGGAAUAGCGUUUCUUGGAUUGGAUUUUUCAUUAUCCCAAAUUUAUCUUUCACUUAAACUAUUUUAUUUACUAUUUUAUCUUUUUUAUAAUAUUAUUUAAAUUAUUAAUUAAAUCUCAUUAUAAUAGGAACUAUUUCAUCACAGAAUAUGUCAAAAUUGAUAUCUCUUUAUCCAAUUAAGCGCAUUAGAAAAGCGGAUAGACGAAACAUGUUAGUGUCAUGUUCUGUCUAUUUACGAGCACGUUAGUGCCAUGCUCGUCUAUUUGCUAGUUAAAAUAUAAUGAAUCAUAAAAUACAUCCAUUCUAUUUCUAAAUUACUCAACAAUACAGUAGUAUUCAGAAAUCUAGAUUAUCUAUAUUUUUCAAGUGCUUAAAUUUUGAACUUUUCACUACUUUAACCCCUCGAUUUUCAAAGUAAAAUUAUUUUUGGUUCCCCUCAAAAUAAUUAUAAAUUGCUCAAUUAGAAGAGAGACGUGCAUUAGGUGAAGCGUGUGUUUGGUUCUGCGGUGGAGAAAAUUGAUUUUGAUUGAGUGCUUGUUUGGUUCCGCGUUUGGAAGCCUCAAACACGAGUUUGCUUUUUGAAACGUGGUUUCAGCAUACUUUUUCAUGUUUGGGCAGCUUCAGAAGCGAUUCUAUAAAACGUGAAUAUAGUCCCAAACUCACGUUUGUGAGAAGCCACAAUUCGGAGCUUUUGCGGCAACUUGAUUUUGAUAAUUAAUUUUGUCAUUGUCAUGACAAUUUCAUUUUCCUAAUUACCCUUUUUAUUUUCCCACAGUUGUAAAUCGUUUCCUUCAAUCCAACAAAACUGCCAGCGAUGAUUUUUUUCAUUGAUCAAUUUUGUUUUCAUGGUGCUGCUUCAAGCUUCAGGUUGCACAGGUUUCAUGGUGCUGCAACCUUCAACGCUCUCUCUCUCUUUCUCUAGGUUAGAGAAGAGGUUGAAAUUGGGCUUCAAAAGCCCGUUACUUUCUUAUUUUUGUAAAAGCCCAUUAAUAUUUUGCUUAUUCCUUUAAAAAAAACGUUUGACACAAUUUGGUAAUUAAUGAGUAAAAAAAUUAUUGUAAUAUAUCUAACUAAAAUUAAACUAUCUAUAAUUUAUACAAAUUUUUUUUACUGGAAUAUGCUUUUUAUUUUAAAUUUUUUAUUUCUUUAUGAAUAAUCAAAUUAAUAAUGCAACAAAAUUUAAAUAACUAUAAAAUAGAAAUGAAUUUAAAAAAAAUUUAAUACCCAUUUUGGUAAUUAUGCAUUCAAAAUCAAUUUUGAUCCAAGUUAUCCAAACAACAUGAAUUUAUAAGAAUCACUUUUGCUUUAAGGUAUCCAAACAUAAAUCAAUUCGCAUUCAACUCACUUUUAACAAAAAUCAAUUCUAACAAAAUCAAUUCUGUCAAAAUCAAUUAUCUCCACCGUAGAACCAAACACACACUGAAUUGAUUUUACAUAAUUGAUUUUAGCUAAAAGUGAAUUGAAUGUAAAGUGGUUUACGUGUAUGAAAAAUGUUGUUUGGAUAUUUUAUGUUAAAAUUACUUUUGGGUAUGUAAAUGACCAAAAUGAGUUUUCUUGUGUGGAUUUUAAACUAGAUUUCAUUUCUUUCUUUUUUUUUCUACAAAUUUAAUUCCCAUUUUUAAUUCUUUAAUUUUAUGUUGCAAUAUUAAAUUUAAUACAAUUAUAUAGAGAUCAUUAAAAAAAAGUAUUUUUUUACUAAAUUAAAAAGAAACAGUUGGUAACUUAAAUUCAUAUUAUUAUUUUAUAAAAUAAAAAUUAAUGGGAUCUCACGGAUAGAGCCAUCUUAGUUGAGAAAGGCUUUACGAUGGAUCUGUCUAGAGAAAGAAAAAAGAAAGAAAAAAAAAAACAAUUUUCCACAAGAGGGUCUUCUUCAACCUUAUUUCUGCAACACACAAUUCUAUUGUUGUGUGUGUUUAGAGCAACAAAUUUCUCAGAUAGGUGAAAGUAAUUUUCAAAUAUAAAAGGUAUGUGAAAAGGAAGUGAUCAGAUCCAAAGGCAAAAGGGACAAAUGGAUGUAGUGCAGUUCCACGGUGGGGAGACUCGAUUUCAAGAAGCUGGUAAGAGCAGCUUCAAGAAUAAUCGAUUCUGAAAAUGAAAAAUACGGUGGCGGUAGAGUUUGGGUGGAGAACCAAACAUGUCGAAAGCUCGUUUUAUGAUGUUGGACGUGCGUUGGAUGGCUCUCACCGCAUAACCAAAUAGGGGCUAAGUGUUUCUAAAAUUACAUUCAUUCAUUUUCAAAUAGCCCAAAUCAUUGUGUCAAAUAAUCACAGUCCAUUUCCAUUCAAUCCUUGAGGCACUGGUGCAAGUGCUAAAAAUAACGCUUUUGAUAGAGGACCAUCUGGAGGGGAUUUUGAUCUCUCACACAGAUAUGGUAUAUUUAUAUUUAUAUACUGAUUAUUUUGAUAUAAUUAGAUUAUGGAAAGACAUCCAUAUAAUAUCGGAUAUAUAAAUUCAUUAACUCCUAUAAGAAAAAUCAAUUCUAGAAUUUCCUGAGUUUCCAAAAACUUAGAGAGAUGAUAUUAACAUCUACUAUUUUGACAACCUUAUAUAUAUAUAGAGGUAUUUUCGUAGAAGCAAAAGAAAAGAAAAAAAAAAAAGCUUCAAAAUACUACUAUGUCAAUAUAUCAUCAUAGGAGUAUUAAUUGUUAAGACAACUCAUAUUUAUAGGUUGUUGGAAAAGUUGUCACAAAAAUUAUAUCAAUAUAUCGUAACUCGAAACUUAUGACCAUAGUCUUUUGAUUAUGGAAGACUUACUCGUACAUAAUUGGAAAACUAAAAAACUGAGUCAGUAAUUCUAAAAGACGGUCCAAACUAAAUGAAAAAUUGCUUUUUAGACUAAAUGAUUUGUUAUCACGCAUAUGAAAAUAACAUUCAAUGUCCUCAAUGGUAGUUAACUACAAUUCACUGCUUAUUUUUCUCUUUUGGAGCGAAUGAUGGUUAACUAGCGUUGAAUAGGGUUGGGAAUAGGCCAGGCCGGCCUACAGGGGCCUAUGGCCUGGCCUGUUUAAGCCUGGUCUGGCCUGGCCUGUUUAUUAAAAAGGCUAGGCUUAGGCUUUUUAAAAAGCCUAUUUAAGUAAAUAGGCCAGGCUUAGGCUAUAAAAAAAGCCAAUGAAUCCUAAUAGGCCGGCCUGUUUAUGCAUGUUAGGCUUCAUAGUGGACUUUUUAAAUAGGCUUUAAAGCUUUAUAGUGAAAUAUGUUUUUAAGGCCUUAUAGUGAUAGACAAAUCUUACACUGGAAUAGGCUUUGAAGCCUAUUAAGCCUAUUUAAAAGUAGAUAAAAUGGAAUGUUUAGUGACUUUAAUAGUAAGUAGGCCUGUAAAUAGGCUUUCAGGCCAGGCCAGACUUUUAAAUAGGCCAGGCCAGGCCAAAAUAAUAGGCCUAUGAAAGGCCAUAGGCCAGGCUCAGGCCUGCAAAAUUUUUCGUAGGCCAGGCUCAGGCCUAUCAAAGCCUGGCCUGGCCUGGCCUAUUCCCAACCCUACCGUUGAAGUAUUUUGGUCAUUUUCAUGUGAGUGAUAGCAAAUCAUUUAGGAUAAACAACAAUUUUCAACUAAAUGGAACACCCGAAUGCAAGGCCCAAAAUAAUUUACCUCUCCGAAUUAUUAUAACAUUUGCAUGUAAAUUAUUGAGCUUUUAUUUUAGAAUAUUAAUACUCUUCUCACUUUUAAAUUUUUUCUAAAACAUCCCAUAAUUACCCAUUUACUUCGAUUGGCAGUUAACUUUCGUUUAUUAUACUUUUCAAACCGAUUUUAGAAAGUGGCGGAAUCGAUUUUUAAAAUGUCGAGUGACGCUUAACUGUCACUGGAGACUUGAAAAAAGAUAUACUUGAGAAUUGAGAAUAGUAACUUUCUUUAUAAUUUCAAGGUGACAACUACAUUACUCAUCAAUAAAAGGUGGAUAGAAUUAUCCACGCAUUGAGUUGACACCAAUAAAAAUCAUUCACUUAUCUUUUACUAUUUAUGUUAUAGAUACUAACGUCAAGACAUGAACUAAUGUGCCUGUAUUUUUGUUUUUCUAUUUUUCUAUUGGGCAUCCUUGUAUGCUUAUUCUUUCAUAUUUGGUUAUAUAUAUUUUUGAAAUAUAUCACAAUCAAAGAAAAGAUCAAACUUAUAUUGUUCUGAUCGUAGUGAAAUUGGUCAUAUUAUAGUAGAAUUUAACUAAUUCUUUUAAAUAAAAAUUUAAAUAAUAUUAUACAAAAGAUAAAAUUGUAAUUUGAACGGUUUAAAUGAAGGGUAUGAUUAGAAGAUAAAAAGCCAGUCCAAAAUCAUACAUUUUCUUUAUACAUAGGUAUAAAUGACAUAAAUAAUGGAAGACAGAUGAAUGAUCUUUUUUAUUCGAUGCAAGGGAGGCUGUUAGGCCAAACUACAAACAAACAUGAAGAUUAAAAUAGACAUUGGCUGCAUCCUGCCAUAAAAGGUUAACACAAUCCGGUGGUGGAUGAUCUAAGUAGUAACCUGUAGGUAUUGAAAGUGCAUAAUCCACAAGUGAGUCAGCUACCUGGUUUGCCUACCUAUAAAUGUGAGAAACGGUAACGUGUUAAUCCUUCAUCAUACAACGAUUAACGAGGGAGACAAUGGAAAAGCAAUGAUGAAUCGAGGGACACCCCUUAUUAAUCAAAGGCACCGCAAUAGCUAAGUCAGAUUCAAAUGAAUGAUUUAAAUUGGUGUCAACUCAACCUUGAUAAUUCUACUCAUCUUUUAUCGAUUUCUUUUACGUAACCCACCAUUCGUUGUUGUUAAAAAAUAUUUAUCGAUAACUCUAUUCACUUCUUAUUGAUUUUUUUACAAACACCCCCCUCCCCCGGCAUUGAUGAAUUUUUAAUCAUUUAUGUCAUUUUAUACAUACACAUAAUACUUUUCCCAUCUUUAAUUACUUUCAUAUUAAAAUGUAAACCAUAUUUCUAAAAAACCAUUAAAUUACUAAACAAUCAUCUCAUUUUCUCUUCUUUUUUCACUAUGUGUUUUUUUCAUCAACUAACAAUUUAUUUAUUUUUAAAUAUGGAAACAAAAGUGUUCCAGUUUAUUUUUUCAAAACAAAAAAUUGAAGCAUUAAAUUACGUCUCGUAAUUUUUCUUAGAGUUAAACAACUCUUUUUGAUAAAUUAAUAUGUAUGUUUAUUGUUUUGAAUUUUUUUUUUUUGACAAGAGGGUUUCAUUUUGCGUGUUAACCCUUUGAUUUUCAUGAGAAAAGAGAUAUGUUAAUCCAAAAUUUGACUGAAAGAUAAAAAAAAAAGCAAAAAUGAUAUAUAUUAUUAACAAAUGAGCGUCAUUAAUAGCACAAAAUGUGUCAAAAAGAACCUGAAAAGUAUAUAGUCAUGAAAGUCACAACAAUAGAGACAAAAUUACAAAUGGAUUAACCGAUGCGCAGACAAACAAACGAGCUCGACCACCACAUAUGAAAAUUAUAACGAAUAUUAUUAAUAUUAGUUGUCUUCAUUCACCAAUAGGAAAAUAAUUUCACUUUAUCUAGGAAAAUGUGAUAAAAAAUUAUUUCAUCAAUAAAUCGAACUCACAUUCUAAUCAACAAUUCAUGCCGGAACUCAUUAAUAACUUGAUAUCAAUUACUUCCUCCGUCCUAAAAUAAGUACGCCACCUGUUUGAUUUACACAUGUUAAGAAAAAUGUAUAAGUGAAAGAGAGAAAAAUGAUUUUAAGUUUCAUUGUCAAUUAUUGGUGCAUUCAUCAUGAUCAUAAAUGCAAAGUUGAAGAUAUUAAAACGAGAGUGGUGGAAUUAUUAAUUAUAAUAUAUAAUUGUAAAAAUGUAAUUAAUAUUACAUUGAAAAGGGAUAUAAAUUAAUUUUAUGGCAAUAAUUUUUUACAAAUUGGUCGCUUGGUGUAGGAUGGAGGGAGUACUUGGUUUGACAAGAGGGUUUAGUUAUGAUGUUGGUUGGUAAUAAUUUUAGUACGUAAUUAACCCAAUUCCAUUUGAUGAUAAGGACAUGAUUAAUAUUAGAAACAUAAAAAGGAAAGUGAAGGAAAGAAUGAAACAAAAAAAAGCAUCAAAUUAAUUGAACACUAAUCAUCAUUAUUUUAUGAUAAUAGAACACUAAUCAUUCUCAAACCAAUAUAUAUUCACAUUGAAAAACAUAAUUUAGUUAUUAGAUUUGGAAUGCUAUUUUAACCUGUUAGUUAAAUUAAAUUAAACAUAACAAAGUGUAUAUAUUAAUUUUCUUAGUAGUGUAAGAAAAUGUAUAUUUGAAGCAAGUUAAGAAAACAAAGUAGCAACCAAAUUGAAUUGAAUUAAACACUGGUCACACUCUAUUUCAUUUUCAUAUAGUAUUUGAUAUUAUCUAUCUUCAUAUCUAAAUCUAAACUGGUAUAGUUAGUUUGUUUGAAAAGCUUCUUCUAAGUUUCCAAUUCAACCACUGAGAGAGAGACAUCCCCUCCGACAUUUUCUCUAUUCUUCAAGCAAACUCUUCCUCUUCUCUUCAGAUCUUAGGGUUUCUCUUUCUCUUUCUCUGCUAUCUAUUUAUCAUCACUCUUUCAUACGCUUUCUUCACAAAUUCUCCUAAUUCUUUCAAUUCUUCAUUUUUGGUAUGUAUCUUUAUAUUUCUCAGAUUUUCAUUUCCAAUGCGUCUUUCUUCUCUGAUCUCUAUUUUUUUUUUAAUCAAUUUUCUAGAUUGGAGGAUUGGAGAUGGUUGUUUCCGGACCAAUUACGCCGGGACAGGUGUGUUUUUCUCUAAUUCUUUGAUUUCAAAGUUGAAUCCAGAAUUCAUUAUUUUGAGGUUUGGGAUUAAUUGUACUGAAUGAUUGUUUCAGUUGAUCUGUGAUAGUUCCUAGUUGUGAUUUUUGUGAUCUGGAUUGUCUUGAAAGAUAUUUUAAUUUGUUAAUUAAGUAGAUGUAAGUUGUGUAGCUAAAUCUGAUGCAUUAUGAUCAUAAUUUUGAGAAUAUCAAUCAAUUUUAACUUCAAAUUCUCUGAUGUUCAACUCAAGUUUCAGCAUUUUCGCGUGGAGUAUAAGAAAACUUUUAUUUAUUCAUUUAAUAUUUAUGAUAGUUGUGGGAUGAUGUUGCCAACUUUGUGAUUGAGCUUUGUUUAUUAUGCAUUCAGGUGUCUUUCUUGCUUGGAGUUAUUCCAGUUUUUGUUACAUGGAUAUAUUCAGAAUACUUAGAGUACAAAAGAACCUCAUCUCCUACUAAAGUGUAAGUUUUUUUAACACUGUCAUAGGAAAGCAAAUUAUUGACUUCAAUUGAUUCGAGUUUAUUAAGUUUACUAGUGCAAUAUAUAUAUAUAUAUCAAGGACAACUUUUUUCUCUUCUGUUUGGCUUUUUCUUCUCGUGAUUGGAUUGAUGAAGUUGAAGAGGGUGACCAUAAUGCUUUAGAUAAGUAUGUUAAUAAACAUUGAAAUCUUGUGCUUCCACUUCAUUGUAUUUCAAUUUUGAUGUGAUUGGUAAAAGAAAAAUCUACUAGAUAAGUCUUUCAUGAGGUAUUUGGGAACCAACAGUGAUCCUUAAAUCAAGUAGCAGAAUUUAGCGUUUACUUAUCAAUUUUUCGACACCCGUGUUAUUUACAAAUCUGAAACUGCACUUUGUGUCUUUAUUUUGAAAAAUAAUAAUAGGUAAAUUACUGAAUGGAUUGAUAGUAGUAUAUUUAGCAAAUCUGAGAUUAAGAUUUAAUAAAAAGAAAUUAGAUGAUGAGUAAAGCUUUGAACUUUUGGACUUUGGAUACCAACCAGUCAGGGUCAGUGGAGUAAACAUACAUGAACUCUUCUUGUCUCAUAUGGGAUUAAAAAUUUAAAACCACUACUAUCCUGCAAUCAAAACUGCAAUCGUAUGAUAAUUUGGCAUCAGAAGGUUUCAUGGUGUGAACAUAAACACCUACUAAUAUGGAUAUUAUGUUUCCCAUCUUGGAUCUACUUAUGUUUUUGUUUAAGCGACUAAACUUGAUAUAAGUAAUCAUUUUCUUCAUUGAUGCACUUUUAUGGUUUGAACUUCCUACUUCAAAAAUUGAAUUUCAUGCUAUGAAAGUUUUUGACACAUGGAAUGUAUGAAAUUACUUAUCUGCAAAUAUUUUCUAAAUCUGAACAAUUCUCCUGGUGGACUGCAGUCAUUCAGAUAUUAAUCUUGAUGAGUUGGGGAAGGAUACAAUUAAGGAAGAUGAUCGGGCCAUUUUGCUGGAAGCAGGGCUUACAAGAUCUGCAUCAGCAAAAUUACAUGCAUCAUCUGUCAAAUUGAAUUUGAUUCGGUAAUUUUCUAUGACAUGCAAUGUCAGGGGCUUCUUUUAAGUCUUUUACUUCUAUAUUUUAUAUUUUAAGAUCCUUGUCUUUUUACUUGUUUUGUCUAGGUUCUUGACCAUGGAUGAUUCUUUCUUGCUAGAAAAUCGGGCAACUUUGAGGGCAAUGUAUGUCAUUGUUUUGUAAAUUACCACUAAGUUAUUAUAUGUUACACUUCUGAAUCCUAAAAACAUAUUGGUAAUUUUUCUAUAGGGCUGAGUUUGGGCUGAUUCUGUUUUAUUUCUACAUAUGUGAUCGAACCGACAUACUUGGAGAUUCUACAAAGGUACACAAAUACCACUUAUUAUAUUUCCACUUGUUUUUGCUUCGAUCAGGAACAUGAAAUAUCUUUAUAUGGUAAAGUGAUUUUCAUAGAGAAACUUGUUCUACGACAACUUCAAUUUUUGUUUGCUUCUUUGUAAUUGUUUGGUUUCUCGUUUAAGUUUUCACAAUUUUUGUUGUUAUUAAUGCUUUGAGUUUUCUUUAGAAUAUUUAUAUAUGAAUUCUUUAGAAUUGUUUUCUUUAGAAUAACUAUUCAAGUGAUUGAAAAGGAUGCUAUCUCAUAAAAUGUCCACCUUGACUAAUUUUCACUGGUGGAUUUUACAAUAGCCCAGUUCACAAUUCAGUGUUUUAGUUUGUUUGGGUGAGUGUCUAUCAAACAUGAUUUUGAAUGAACCUGAUUUUGUAAAAUUGAGUUUACGGUGAAGUGAUUUAUAUUUUGAUGUUUUAAUAUAAAAGCAAGUUUGAUGUACAAUUCAGUGUAAUUUUUUUCCAAAAAAAAAAAAAAAAUCAGUGUAAAUAUUUUAACCGAACACAAACUACUUUUUAUCACUUCUUGUUAAACCAAGGUUUGGUAGCAAAAUCAAUUCUGACGUUUUACAAGCAAACAUGACAUUUUUUAAUAAAAACAAGUUUGUCCUAUGUAAAAGCAAGUUUGGGAAGCUCAAAUGCUCCCCCAUUAUGCAAUUAGCCGUAUACACGUCGAUGUAUCAUUUUUUGUUGUUGUUGUUGUUGUAUUUCUGUUGGUUCUUUUUCACUAGGCUUUCGUGAUAUAUUCUGCGACAAGCUUCGCUUGUGUAGAGAUAUCUUGUUACAUGUUUUACUUUUACCUUGUCAAUUUUUACUCUUAGCUUAGUUCACACUUCACACUUCUGGACUUCAUAUCCAAUGAACUUUAUGCAUCAAUUUUUUGUUCAAACAAAGCUAUCAGGCUUGUUUAGAUAUACUGCUGCACAGGUUUGAUUUUGAAAUACUUAUAUCCACUGGGUCUAUAGAUAUAAUAUUGAAAUAAACAGUAGUCUUUUAUGUGUUUAAAUUUAAUAAAUCACCAUAUGGUCAAAAGUUUCCAUUUGCAGUUUAUUAUUUUCUUACCUGCUUUUCCUUCCUUUUUUUGACAGAACUAUAAUCGGGAUCUUUUCAUUUUCCUCUUCAUUCUUCUGCUUAUAGUUUCAGCAAUGACUUCUUUGAAAAAGCAUAAUGACACAUCAUCAUUUUCUGCACGAAGCAUGCUUUACCUUAAUCGACAUCAAACAGAAGAAUGGAAAGGAUGGAUGCAGGUGGGUGCUCCUUUUUGGCUGAUCUGAAAACUUGUAAAUAGAGAUUCUAUAUUAUUGCUUACCUCCUAAAAGUUAUGGUUAAAAGUAUUUACUCUACCUUUUCCGUUCAUUGACAUUUUAUUUAUGAACUGACAUUGUUUUACCUGGAUACAUCAUGCCUGAUGUGAAAAAUCAUCUCAGUUCUAUUUGGAUUUCUCAUUCUUAUGUUACUUUUUUACUUUGCUUCUUUUGUUACUUUUUUUAGUAUGGAUUAUGAUUUAUUUCAUAGCUGUUGCCGGGAAAAUAUUAUGGAAUACUGAAGCUAUUUGAUGAUAUGUGAUGGAAAUUGAUGCUUUCAGUUAUUAAAAUGAAGAAAGAAAAAAAAAAAAAAAAAACUAAAGUCGACGUAGCUUGGUGUAGUCUUGGCGCGUGUUACUUUCAAAAUGCAAUAUUUCAUCCAAACUUACACUUUUUUAUAAUAUGAUUUUGAAUCUGUCAGGUACUUCUAACUAUUUAUUGAUGUUAUUGUUCUGUGUGUUCAGGUCCUUUUUCUAAUGUAUCAUUAUUUUGCUGCUACGGAGAUAUACAAUUCAAUACGUGUUUUCAUUGCCGCGUAUGUUUGGAUGACUGGGUUUGGCAACUUCUCCUAUUAUUAUAUCAGAAAAGAUUUUAGCCUUCCACGCUUUGCUCAGGUGAUAUAGAUUUCUUGACCCUGAGAACCAUUUUUAUGCAACAUAUUUUUUCAGCUGGUGUUGUCCACUGCCUGUCCUUAACUUGCUACUCUUUUUGCUUAAACAAUAACUCAUUAAAGUGCCUUGCAGAUGAUGUGGCGGCUUAACUUUUUCGUGGCCUUCUGUUGUAUCGUUCUCAACAACGACUAUAUGCUCUAUUAUAUAUGUCCAAUGCACACGCUUUUUACUUUGAUGGUGUAUGGAGCAUUGGGUAUAUAUAACAAGUACAAUGAAAUUGCCUCAGUGAUGGCCGUAAAGUUUCUGGCAUGCUUUCUUGUGGUGAUCUUGAUUUGGGAAAUCCCAGGAUUUUUUGAAUUAUUCUGGAGCCCAUUUGCAUUCUUUUUGGGUUAGUAAUACACGCAAAUUGUUCUUCUGUAUAUUAGUUUUUUUCUUCUUCUUGCGACUUUCCUUACCAACACGUCAUACCUGAGAUUUCCAGUUCGUUUCAUUCAACUGAUUCAUAGCCUCGAGCCAGUUUCUUUCCCAUGAUCUACUAUUUAUGCUUGAAAUUGAACAGUUUCAUUGCCUUUCAAGACUCGAGUUGUGCAGGCCCCCCUUCUGUUAUUUACAAUAGUUAUUGCCAACCCGAUUACAAAAUUGUAUUGGUUAAGUGACUGUUGUGUGUGUGUGUGUGUGUGUGUGUGUGUGUAUGUGUGUAUUAGAUGUUUUCCCCCUUUUAAGAACAAGCUGUAUACACUCUCGUUUCAGUGCAUGUUUUUUAUUGUCGUUUUGCACUUUUCAAAUUGAUUUGCUAUAAUAAGAAUGGUAAUCUGGUAUCCUUUUUACUGCAAGUUCAUAAUAGUAAUCUUCAUAUGGCAGGUUAUACUGAUCCUGCAAAGCCUGAUGUUCCCCGAAUGCAUGAGUGGCAUUUCCGAUCUGGGCUUGAUCGCUACAUUUGGAUAGUUGGAAUGAUUUAUGCCUACUUCCAUCCAAAUGUAAUAUCAUAUACUAGCUUGUGUUGUAGUGUGUAAUUUUUUAUAAUGAUUUCCAGCAAUUUUUAAUUUGACAUAUUUUACCAUUUCAGGUUGAGAAAUGGAUGGAAAAAUUGGAAGAGAGUGAAACCAAGAGAAGAGUAACAAUCAAAACCAGCAUUGUGUCAGCUGCUUUAUUUGUGAGUUACAUGUCUUCUUAUUGUAAAACCGUUUGCUUAUUCAUGGUUUUAUCUGCUCUUUUGUAUGUAGACCAAAAAGACUAAGCAAGAACGUUUCUUUUUCUUUUUUCUUUCUAGGUUGGGUAUAUGUGGUAUGAAUACAUAUACAAGCUGGACAAGGUUUCAUAUAACAAACUCCACCCAUAUACCUCGUGGAUUCCAAUCACGUGGGUGUUAUCAAUUUCUCUUUUACUUUUUAGCCUGUUCUUCAUGUUUUAUUUGUUUCCUUCGUUUCUGCUUGAAAGAUAGCAAUCAUAGAAUCAUGUAGUUAAACAUUUUUUCCAGCUCCAUCUAUUGAUUUUCUAACUAUUAUUAUUAUUUUUCAGCGUUUAUAUUUGCUUGAGGAAUUUCACUCAGCACUUACGGAAUUUCUCUUUGACCCUCUUUGCGUACGUUUUCUUCACCUUAAUUAUUGAAAUUCCAUGUUGGGUGGUUUUGACGGAUUUUGCAUUUAUUUGGUUACACCUAUUUUCUACUAAUAUUUGUUUCUUAAUUUCUCCCGUUUUUUGUAUGGAUUUUCAGAUGGCUUGGCAAGAUUACUUUGGAGACUUACAUUUCACAGUUCCACAUUUGGUUGAGGUGUGUAUGCAUAUUAAUCUUUUAAAUUCUUUCACCAUCCUCUCGGCCUCAAUUAAUUUAUAAAUAUGGGAAGUGUGGUUUUUGUUUCAUUUGGAUGACCAGUCAUUACUGCAUUUUAUGUCUGUGAGAUAACAUUAAGGCUUUGUUUGGGAGUUUGGAGGGGAGGGCUUUAGGGGCUUGGAAAUAUAUAGAAAAAUGGACAAAAAAUUCACAUUUUUUGAAAGAACAGUUUUUUAGAGAAUGAUAAACUAAUACUUAUGAUUAAUAUACUUUUAAUUUUAAGAAUAUUAUAACAACAUAGAUUGGAUUUGAAAAAUUCAUAUAAACCCUCCAUAACCCCCCCAAAACCCUCCCCCAAUACAAUUUUUGAGUUCCCCCAAAUGAGGAGGAUUUUUUAUUAUGAGUAAAAAAUUAACCUCCAAAGCCCUCUCCUCCCAAUGUCUUCUAUUUCUUCCACUUGCUCCUUCCUUUUUUCCAAAACCCUCUCCUCCCCUCCCCUCCCAACUCCCAAACAAAGCCUAGAGGGCUGUGAGGCAAAUAUCCAGUCAGUUGAGAUACGUGCUCAAAUGAUUUAUGUAUUAUAUCAUUCAUGUGUUUCCUACUUUCCUUACUUUAGAUUAAUGAAUUGAAAAUAUUAUGAUCCCUAGUGAUGAUGACCCAGACCAAUAGACAAUAGCGCACAUGUAAUUUUAAGAUUUCUUGAUCAUGAUCGAUCUCAAUAGUUGCUGAAGUGGGUCGUGGUUUUAGAGAUUGCAAUUAUCAUGAAUAGAAAAACUUCAGGAUGUAUGUUGUCCACUUUUUUAUUGCGAAGUUGUGUCUCUGUUGUAGUGUUGUUUCUAUAAUAUGUCUUUGUAUAUUGGAUCAUGAACAAAAUUUGGAAAAAUUAUAUGGUUCAAAACAUGAAAGAAUUUUCCCUUAGUAAGAUGUGUAAUUGAUAAUAUCCUCUUUGCAUACAGAUCAAAUAUGCCAAAUGGACAGCCGAAGUGGCUUCUUUCUUUUAUCCCAGAGUACCCCAUGCUCAACUUCAUGCUUACUACUGCUAUAUACGUCUUGGUAUGGAUCUUUCCUUCUUUCAUUUUUCUUCUUCUACUGCUAGUCAGUCUUAAGAGCACCAGUUCAGAAAUUAAAAACUAGAAGUACAUGAAAAAGUAUUAGAUUUAAUACAUUGCUAACUUAGGAAAGUUGUACUUUUUAAUAACUUCAUUUCAUUUUUAUUCUUUAACUAGUGUGCUUAGGUCACUUUUUGCAUCCAUCUUUUUUAUUUAUCUUUAAGUUUCAGGAAAGAUGUCCUGAUUAAGUCGCACCUUUUGUGCUGCAAUUCUAUCUUGACAUUAUUUUGCAGGUAUCUCAUCGACUUUUUGAAUUAACAAAUACCCUCAAGACAGUGUUUGUACCCACAAAAGACAAUCGGCGGCUUUUGCAUAACUUUAUUACUGGGGUUGCCAUUUCUGUUUCUUUAUAUUGCAUCGCUCUGAUUCUGCUCCAGAUCCCUCAUUCAACGGUAAGCCUCUAUUUGCUCAUGAAGGGUUUGUGGAAAGUUUUAGGGAAGGAUAAUUAAAAUCAGUUUUUUAUUUUUUAUUUGAUACUGAUAGGUUUGAAAUGAACCCCAAAGAGUUUACAUAGAGAGUUCAAUUUGGAUUGACUGUGCGGAAAGGAAGCUAGGUGGAUUAAAAUAAGAAUACAUGAGAAUGUGGGAUCUAAUUUUUUUGGAGCUAUGUUCCUAUAGUUGUUGGAAGUCCCAUUCACUGCAUCAGAUAUAAAUAUUGGCGUUGGUUUGUGUUGGAGGUUGGCAUAUGAAGAGGGAAUUAACCCCAAAGGAGUUUAGACCAAUUUUCUGUAGCUUCAUUUGUGCGCACACGUAUAAGGAGGAAAGAGUAGGAUCGUGUUACAAAUUUGUUGUCUUGGCUUCGAAGAAAUUCAAGAUUCAUUAUUACCCGUUUGUGUUCAAUUUCUGUAAUCAUUUUUUGACUUGUUACAUAUGUGAAGGAUAACAAAAUAUAUGUAUAUUCAUUUGACAAUCUUAGCAGAAACGCAUUGCCAUACCCUUGUAAAAAUAGUUUUGUUUCUGUUUUACAAUACAAUAGUUUUGUUUUAAUGGCCAUGAUUGCUUGUGUUACCAUUUAAUUGCGAGCCAAUACUGGAAUAUGUGGUUCGUUGUGAACUAUCAUUACACUUGGAUUUUCCAAAUGUUUAUUUUCGGGUUCUAAAGAUUAAAUUUCUUGGCGGCAAACUGGAUACGGAAUAAUACACAAGUAAACUUUUUUCAACUCUUUUUGACCUUGUUAACAAAUUAUAAUCACUGCUGUAUAUACUGUUGAAUUGUAUCUUAACUCGAUUUCAAUUAACAAUUUAGUCAUUUAUCUUUUUUACGUGUCAUUUGGGUCAUUCAUUCAUGUUUGCAUAUGAAAUUUACAAGCUUCAAACCUAUGGUUUUCUUUUGGGGCAUAACAUAAAUACAAGACUAAGAUUUGAUGGGGAAGGAAAAAUAUAGAUUUGAAGCUUGAAAUUCGUAUCUGAACAUGGAUGAUAAAUUAAAAUGACAUGAAAAAAGAUAAGGAAUGAUAAAUUAAAAUGAUAUGAAAAAAGAUAAGGUUCUGUUAACUGGUGCCCCCAUGGCAUUGGUUAAGGAAUCUAUAAAUAGAAUUUUCUGUUUUGAAAAUAUAAACUGUCACUUUUUAUUAAGUAAUAUUACAUCCGUCCCUAAUUAUAAGACCCUUUUGGAAAAAAAAAAUGUCUUUUUUUAUAAGAGCUCUUUGCUAUUUUCAACUACAUUAAUUAUUUCUUUACAUACAUAGUCCUAUUUAUUGUACAAACAACUUUAAUACAAAUACUCACUUUCUUAAUUCAUGUGAUUUUAGCAUAAGGGUCCUAUAAUUAGUGACGGAGGUACUCCCUCCGUCCCAUAAUAACUGAACCACUUGCAACAAAAUAUUGUUUCUGAAAAAUUGACUCAUUUCACUUUUCAAUACAAUAUUAAUUACUUUUUUCCAAUUAUAACACUAAUUAAUACUACUUUCAUCACUCUCAAUUCAAUAUAUUCUACUUUGCAUUUAUGAUAAAGAAGAAUGCACCAAUAGUUGAUAAGGGCACUCAAACCCAUUUUUCUCUCUCUUUCACUUAUACACUUUUUCUUAAUAAAUGUGAAAUAAGCCAGGAGCUCAAUUAAAAUGGGUCGGUGGGAGUAGUAAUUACAUUACUUUUAAAUGAAUCUAUAAAUAGAAUUUUCUGUCUUGGAAAUAUAAACUGUCACUUCUUAUUAAGUAAUAAUUACAUUACUUUUUAAUAAAAACUUACUUUAUUUGAUGCUUAACUAAUGUCUCUGGCGCACUGGUUAACAUUCUCCAAAAAGAUAAAGGACUAGAUCGCUAAGUUAGGGGACGGCAUGAGCAAUUUUGCCAACAAAUUAUAAUCUUUACUUGAAAAGGCUGAAUUUUCCUUUUGUUAAAAAAAGAUAACUUGUUGAACUCAAUUCUUCAUUUCUCUUUUGCAAGACCUUUUGACGGUGGCAUUUAGGGUGGGAAGAGGAAAGAGUUUCCCACCACGGGAAAGUGUUUUUUGACCAUUAAAUUAGAGAGGAGUACCGAUUUUAUCAUAAGUUGUGCACACUAUAUUAUUUUUCGUCUUUCAUGUCGUCUUCUACCUCAUCAAUAUUGAUUUUUCAGAUCGGGAAGUUUAGAUUCACAUUUACGGUGGAGACUGGAGAAAUUUACAUUCAACUUCUAUUGAAUGUUCAAUUCAAGUCUCUCUUGAGUGAAGCCCUGCAAUCUUUAAACUAUUUCUUCAAACCCAAACCCUUUUACAAUUGAUUCCUUUAAAUUAUGCACAAAAUUAACUGUUAAAUUGCUGAAAACCAUUGAUUAAUUAACAUAAAUGGGAAAACAAAAAUGAACAGAAGUUAUCAAUUAUUUUUUUUGAUGUGGAGGAUUAAUGUUGGAAAUGAGUUAAGAACUUAAGAGACGAAAUGCAAUUAUGAGGCUACUCUUUCCAUUGUAGGAGUUUUAACCUUUCAUUCAUUCUUAGAUUUUUUUUUUUCUAUUUAAUACUGUUCUGGUUUUUUUUUUUAAAUAAAACCUCAAAAAAUUUAUAUCUUAUUCAAAAUAUUGUUCGUGAGUUUUUUUUUCCAGCAAUGUUCUAGAGUUCACUUCAAACCCAGAUUUGUUUUUAAUAAGAGAAAUGAGUUUUUUUUCUGCAAUUGUUUCAUUGCCUUGCAUAAGAUCAUUGUUGCUGCUUAGGGAUGCUAUUGCCUGUUGGGACGGUGGUGGUAGGUGAGGGGGAUGGAGGAGAGAGAAUGGUGGUGGGAGAUAGUGUGAAAAAAAAAAAUUAUCUAGUAUUGAAAGUCUAUUAUAAAAUUAUGUUAUUCAUUUAAUCUAAUGGUCAAAAAUCACUUUCCUAUAAUGGGAAACUCUUUUCCCUUCCCACCCUAAAUGCUACCCCUUUUGACUUGACCCACAGCAGAUUCACGACAAUUACAAUAAAAUACAACGGAAGAAACUAUUUGUAAAAGUACUAAAACCUGAGUUGCGAAUAAACUCAAAUAUAUUUCAAUGUCAGCGAAAAUUACUACUGUAAUCUACAACAAUGUGAUGUAAGGAAGAAAAUGCCCACAAGGAAGAUUGUUUUCUUGCAUCAAGAAUAGAAAAAAUAAAGAAAGGGGGAUAAAUUGAAACGAUUAAAAACUGUUUCCUGUGUGAAUAUUGAGACGGAGAACCUCAGCAAGUACAACCGUGUCUGAACUCUGAAGGUUAAAUUUAAUAUUUACAUCUAAGUGCUUUUGUUUGUAUGUAUAGAAUGGAAAAAAAAUCUGGUCCCAAAUUCAAUGACUACCAUGAGUUCAACAAAUUGUUUAUUGUUUUGAGAGAUAAAUCAAGGUUCGAUGUUUACCAAAAUCCUUGUUCUGAACUAGUCCUCUACAAUUAUAAGUCCUGAAGUUCUGCAAUUUAUAAGAUGGUAAACCGAUGUUGUCGUAUCUGAAACCUGCAUUCAUGCAUACUUUGCAAAUGCUAGACCAACGGGACAUAGCCUUGCUCUUGCAAAACUGCUGUCAAUGAAUUUAAACCAGCAUAGAUAAAAUCAGUUUGGGGAUGGGUCCUAUCACCCGUUAGAAAUACAUGCACACCAUUCAUGAGUUCAAUCCAGCUACAACCUGGUCUCUUUUUCACAUUUUGUUGCCUCAUUGUAUGUCUCAACUCAGAUACUUGUUCGUAUCGACCAACUACUCCAUAAACAUUUGACAUCAACACAUAAUUUCCACAAUGACCUGGCUCAAGUUCAAUCACCUUACUUGCUGCAAUCUCAGCCAAAUCUGUAUCUUUGUAGAUACGGCAUGCUGCUAGCAAAGCCCUCCAUCCGACAGGAUCAGCUUUAAAGGGCAUUGUUAGCAUUAAAUCAUAAGCCUCCACGAGCUUCCCUGCUCUACAAAGCAUGUCAAUCACACAUGUGUAGUGUUCAACGGAUGGCGGUACCCCAUAUUUUGAAUCCAUUUCAGCUAAAAAUUCGAGCCCUUCCUUCACCAUGCCAGCAUGGCUACAUGCAGACAAUAAUCCAACAAAACUGAUUUCAUUCGGUACCAAUUGAGCUUGACGCAUACGAGUAAACGUAUCUAAUGCCUCAUCACCAUAACCAUGCAUUCCAUAACCAGUGAUCAUGAUGUUCCAUGAGGCCACAUCCUUCUCUGUCAUGUUAUCAAAAACCAUGCGAGCAUCUCUCAUACUUCCGCAUUUUGCAUACAUGUCCAUCAAAGCAUUGUUCAAUAGAACAUCAUCAAAGUCAUUGUUUCUUCCUUCCUUACCCAACCCAUUUACUAUCAUAUACCCAUGUAUCUCUCUACCAUGCAUCAAGGCUGCUAGAUGAGUGCAAGCCGGAAGUACUGUUGUAACUGUAACCAAAUCAGGCUGAACCUUAUUGCCAAGCAUCCUAUCAAAAAGCUUCAAAGUUCCGUAAUGAUCACCACACCGUUGAUGAACUGAUAUGAUCGAAUUCCAUGAAAACAUAUCCUUCUCAUCCAUAACCUCAAAUACAUUCAAAGCAUCACUAGCACAUUUGCAUUUCCCAUACAUAUCAAUCAGUGCAUUCAAAACAACAACACUGGAAUGAUAACCCAUUUUCGUCAAAAAUCCAUGAACAGCCUGUCCGUUGUCAAAGUCUCCUAUCACAGAAUAUAUCGACAAAACACCGGUAACCGUAUAUCUACAAGGAACCACCCCAUUUUCCACCAUCCUCCUGAACAUCCCCAAAGCCUCCUCAAAGCACCCAAUCUGUGCAUAUCCAUUAACCAUCGAAUUCCAAAGCACAACAUCUCUAACAGGCAAUUCCUCAAACACCUCAUGUGCAUCCACAACCAACCAAAAUUUCAAAUAAGUAGUAACCAAAGCACUUCCAACAAAAACAUCCAAUUCCAACCCAAAUUUAAACAACAAUCCAUGAAUCUUCUUAACCUCAAAAACAUCUCCAGCAUCACCACAAGCUCUGAUCACACACGGGAACGUGAAUUUAUCAGGAAUAACAACACCCAGAAGGCGCAUUUGCUUGUAAAGACCAAACGAGUGUUGAGAGAGUCCGUUUGAAACGAAUCCAGCAAUGAUUGCAUUGUAAGCGAAUACAUUUUUGUCAUGAUGGGUUGGGUAGUUGAAAACUUUGAGAGCAUAGUUGAUGAGGGUGCAUUUGGAGUACAUAUUGAUGAUGCUGGUGAUGGCGAGUGGGGAUGCAAAGAAACCAUUUUUGAGCAAAUGGGUGUGGAGUUGUUUGCCUUUGGUGAGGUUUGUGGUUUGUGCACAUUGUUGAAGGGAUGUAAUGCAUGUUCCUAUGUCGUAUGAGGCUGAGUAACAGUGAAACGAGCGAAUCUGUUGUUGUUUUGGGAGGACAAGUCUUGAGAUUGUUGUCCCAUUCAUUUAUGUGCUUGCUUUCUUAGAGCAUCAAUUAUUAUCGACAUCAAUAUAUAUAUAUAUAUGGCUUAAACAGGAAAUUUACCAAUGCAAAGAAUAAAAUGUUACACCCCUCAAAAUACCCUAAGCUUGAAUAGAGCUUGGGUAAAAGUACUUGAUUGAGUUUAUGUAAAGGCAAAUGAAUUGAUUUUCGUGAGGUUGUGUAACAUUUAGAAAGUCAGAAUUUAUAUGCAUUAUGGAAUGGAUUUUUGCGAGUUUACAAAAAUGUACUUGAAUUGACUUCAUGUACAAUCCUUACAAAAACAACGCACAAAUUAUUUUUUAGAGAAUGCUAAUAGAAGAUACUAUACAAGUUUCGUUAACCUUUGACAAGUUUUGAAGAAGAAAGUUGAAAAACGAAUAAUUUUUUUUUAAAAUUAAGUGAGACAAAUGGAAUUUUAGAAAUUAUAGCUAUUUAAUUUUUGAUUGAGAGGUGACGGGAAAUUAAGGGGUGUAACUAUGAUAAAGUUUUGACAAAAAUUUUGAAAUUAAAAAUGUUUGGUGAACUAUAUAAAGCGUAUAACAUAUACAUCUUAAAAGAAAAAAAUUAUGAGAGAAAGCAAUGCGAUAAGAAGAGAAAAGUAAAUGUAAGAUGAGGAGUUGAAUAGAUGUCACAUAUUAUGAUGGGGGUGCUCUCUUGGCUGACUGUGUGCUACACAGAUAGGGAUUGCCAUUUGUCAUAAUCGAGAUUACACGAAUGGGAUUGCUUAAUAGCAGUGAAUAUCUUCAUUGGUUUUAGUAGCCAUAACUUACAUGUUCGUGCUUCAACCAUUCUCUAAAUCUUUGAGGCCUUACAUUAAGAAGAUAAUUUUACUUUGGCGCAUAUUUUGCAUGACCAAAAUACGUGUGCAAAUUUUAUAGCUAAAGAAAGGCUUCCAUUUAAAUUUUUCUGUUAUUUGGAACCGUCCCCACAAGACAUGAAGUCAUUCCCCCCUAAAGACAAGCUUGGAACUUAGGUUCCCUUUAGUUAUCCUUUUUCUCUUUUUUUCCUUUUGUUAUUGGUAACCCUAUCAAAAAAAGACUUUAAUUAAACGAGACUAAACAGACAAAAAUAUAGCUUAGGCAUAUAUAUUUGGGUGACAAAGGAAGAAAGCCACAUGUGAUAUUAUGGUUGGCCAAUAUCACCAACCACAAUGUCAGGUAAGUGCUACAUGCACUCUAGGUUGCUUUGAGAUUUAGAAAGAGACAAACAUGGCAUUGCAUCCGGCGUUAUGGGAGAAUGCAGCGUGCUUGCACAUUGCAACUUGCAAGUCAAGUAAGUCAAACAAACAAACACAUAUAAAUGAUCAACCACUCUAGUUAGUCAACGAGAUCAACGGUGGGGAACCUUCACCUGACCACAACAAUAAGGUGAGAGAUGACAUGGCAAAGUAGGAUCUAGACUUCACUCACACUCUCCUCUCAAGUAAGUACCCACCAGCACCGUUAAAUAAAUUUUUGUCUCUCUCUCUUCACGGUUCCGAUAAAUUAAAUUAAUUAAAUAAAAAAAUUGGAUUCCUUUAUUUUAUGCUAAUUGGAUUCUUUCUUUCACAAGCAAAGAAAAAUUAUCUUCUAUAUAUAAUUAUAAAAUAUUAAUAAAUAUCCCCAUGCGGGAUGCGGCAGAAACGGAUUUUUGCCUCUCUAACUGAACCCAAAGACGAACAAAGAAGAAGAAGAAGAAAGAGCUGUUCCUUUUUCUUCUUCAAAUUGAAAAAAUGGCUUCGAAGCUAGCAACAUGUUUUGUAUGCUGCAAUUUGAGCAGCGGCUUCAACAACUGUAACAAUAAUUAUAAUCAGCCUACCCGCCGCGUAAUGUGCUCUCCAUUUCCAUCUUCCUGCAAAAUCCGACACCUCCGUAUUCUCAGGUAAUUUACCUAUCAAUCAAUAUUCCCAUUUUCCAUUAUUAUUAAUCUGUUAAUCAAUUUUGUUUGUCUACAGUUCUCAGCAGCAGAAAAGACAAUAUCACAAGAAAACAUCAUCAUCAUCAUCAUCAUCAUCACAACCAUCUUCCAUUGAUGGAGGAAGAACUAUCGAUCCGAAAUCUAAUCAUGAUCAUUCUCCACACAAUUCCACACCAUCGGUAUCCUCUUCAAACUCACCUUGCAAUUUAUCAUAAAUGCUACCUCGGAUAGAUAGAUACUUAGUUUGAUUAAGUGCUUAUGCUUUUGUAUUACCUCAUUUUUCAAUUCAAGACUAAAUCCUGCAGCUCGCUACUUUCUUUAGAUUAUUCCAAUGACUUCUUAAAAUUAGAGAGAGCAUACUGAAACAACUUAUGAAAUGUUCAUAAAUCGCUUUUAGCUUAGUUCCAAGAUAUCUAAUCAAAAUAGUUUGACUUUAUUGUUAUAGAAAGAGCUUACACAUAAGAACUUAUUUGAUGAGCGCUUAUGCUAUAAACACUUAGUUAAGCUGUUUGUUCAAACUAUGUCUUAAGGUGAAAACAACUCAUGAGUCAUGACAUAUCAUAGUAAGUUUCAUUCUUGUGUUUUGCCAAACACUUAAAAGUGUUUAUGUAAUAAGAUAAUUAUUAAAUAAACGCUUCUGAACACUUUCGUAGAAUGGAUAAAUUUAGCUCUUCAAUAUGAUUCAAGAGGUUAAAAAGUUGGCUUUUAGUGCCAUUAACUAAUUAUUCAAUUAUGAAAUAGGCCUUGAAUGUAAACGGAGCAGAGCAGGCUGAACAGUUGUCUGGUGGUCAAUUGGAAGAUUUGUUAUCCAUGAUAAAAAAUGCAGAGAAAAGUAAGAUCUUCUUCUGGAGUACUUGUAUGUUUCCUUUUUAAAUGUAUAUAUUUUCUGUUAAAUGUCUUGUCACCUGUUAUUAAGAAUUGUAUGUUUUUCUUCCAGACAUCCUUCUUAUAAAUCAGGCUAGAGUUCGUGCACUUGAAGAUCUUCAAAAGGUUCUUGCCGAAAAGAAAGCGUUACAAGCAGAAGUUAACGACUUAGAGAUGAGGUUGGCUGAGACUGAUGCGCGGAUUGAAGUUGCUGACCAGGAAAAGACGCAUGUGGAACUCAUGGAGGGCCAGUUGGAGAAACUGCGUAAUGAGUUGGCUGAAAAGGGUAGUACUGAAGAAAGCAAUGCUGAAUUGCAUGACCUUCAUAAUGAUAGGAUCCAUUCCCUUACUGAGGAGCUUAAUUCGGUAAGAGAAGAAAAUGCCUCUCUGAAGAAUGCCAUAGAAUCAUUUAAAAUACAGCUCAAUGAUGUCAAGAACAAUGAUGAACGUUUAGUGGUAUUGGAAAAGGAGCGCUUAUAUUUGGAAUCAACCCUAAAAGACUUGGAAUCAAAACUGUCAAUAUCUCCGGAAGAUGUAUCUGAACUGUCCACACUUAGAGUUGAAUGCAAGCAUUUAUCAGAUAAGGUUGAAAACUUGCAAUUAUUGCUAGAUAAAGCAACGGAACAAGCCAACCAAGCCGUUAUAGUGCUUGAAGAAAACCAGGAUCUUCAAAGGAAGGUUGAUAAAUUGGAAACAUCCCUUGAAGAAGCUAACGUCUAUAAGCUAUCAUCUGAUAAACUGCUGAAGUAUAAUGAACUAAUGCAGCAAAAGAUAAAACUACUGGAGAACAGCCUGCAAAAAUCAGAUGAAGAUAUAAACUCUUAUAUUCAGUUGUAUCAACAGUCAGUGAACGAAUUUCAAGAUACACUCGAUAUUCUUAAAAAAGAAAGCAAGAGAAAGACGCUGGAUGAACCAGUGGAAGAUAUGCCAUGGGAAUUCUGGAGUCAAUUGUUGCUUCUAAUUGAUGGCUGGACACUUGAAAAGAAGAUAGCAGUAGAUGACGCAAAGCUUUUGAGAGAAAAGGUGUGGAAAAAAGACAAGAGUAUUAGUGAUGUAUAUAUGGCUUGCAAAGGUCAAAAUGAAGACGGGGCUAUAUCUGCAUUUCUUGGCCUUACAUCGUCUGCAACGAGGUAUUAAAUUCUAAUUGUGUGUUGCAUUUUAUAUAUCUUCCAUUAUCUUAUGCAUCCCUUACUUUUUAUCUUUAGUCCAGGAUUAUAUGUGAUUCAUAUUGCAGCAGAGAUGGCACCAGUGGCUAAGGUGAAUUCAUUGUUUCCAUAUCCCUGUUUUUCUCUGUUAUGAACUCAUUUUAUCUUAUCCCUGAUGUUUCUAAUUCUUUCAACAUGAUCUUAUCCCUUCACCUACAAUCUGUACUUUUACUGUAUAACUAACACCCACUUAAAUGAUGCUAAAGAGGCAUGUCAGAAGCACCUUACUCUGUAAAUAAGGGGGAUACUAGGUGUGAGUUUUGAAUUGAACUAAAUUUUCAAACAUCGUUAAAACACGGUCUCUUGUAUCGUUUUUUCUCCCUCGUGCCAAUUUUUGAAAUCUUUUUAGGAAAUAAGUAGCAUGUGGUUAAAAGUCAGACACUUGUACUGUUCAUAACCAUUACGAAUGGGAGUUGUUCUAAUCGUAACAUCCCAAUUUUUUGACAGUGGGCCUUUGCUUGAAUAUGUCAAAAAAUAUUAUAGUAUGUUGACCCUAUCUUAGAUUGUCUCCUAAAAUUAGUUUCCAUAAUUCCUUAAACAUCAUUAUUUGUAUCGUUGUUUAAUUAAGAUUAGGAGUUUAGUAUUAGUAUAAAUAAGGAUCACUGCUUUGUCUUGUGCAAUAACACCCAAUAUAUCAUUUAUGCCAUAUCGAUAUAAUUUUAUUAUCGAGUAUACCUUUUCCUCCCUUUAUACCUAAAAGAAUAAAUAUUUUAUAACUUUUGCAUGGUAUUAAAGUUGUAUCGUUCUCCAUGAUAUGUCCUGUCAUCAUUCUACUGUCGAGUUCCCAAAACUCUAGAACACUGCGGUAAAAAUGACUAGUACCAUACCUUUCCAUAUUGUUCUUCCAAGGAUGGUGCAUGAUCUUCUGCUUUCAAUUAAUCUGUUUUUCUUAUUACUUACUGAUAUUUAGAUUGAGUUGUUUCUGUAACAGGUUGGUGGCUUGGGGGAUGUUGUCUGUGGUCUAAGUAAAGCAUUGCAAAAGAAGGGACACCUUGUUGAAAUCGUACUUCCCAAAUAUGACUGCAUGCAAUAUGACCGCAUUGGUGAUUUGAGAGUAUGCUAUUUAUUGAGUAAAGAGUCAAAGAUGUUGAGUAUUGGUGUUUGGUAUCUUCAACAACUUGUGAUAAUUUGAUUAUCCUUGCAGGCUUUGGAUGUGGUAAUAGAGUCAUACUUUGAUGGUCAAUUAUUCAAAAAUAAAAUCUGGGUUGGCACUGUUGAAGGUCAAUAGUUAAAUAUUUCCGUUUAAGUUGAAUGUCUUUAUAUAUGGUUUACUAACUUCACUUUACUUAUGCAGGCCUUCCUGUUUAUUUCAUUGAGCCCCAUCAUCCUGAUAAGUUCUUUUGGAGAGGAGACUUUUAUGGCGAGCGUGAUGAUUUUAGAAGAUUUUCAUAUUUUAGCCGUGUAGCACUUGAGUUUCUUCUUCAAGCUGGCAAGAAGCCAGAUAUCAUUCAUUGUCAUGAUUGGCAGACAGCAUUUGUUGUAUGACCUCUUAAUUCGUUUUUUACCAAACUUUUGCUCUUUGAGUAACUUACAGACUAAACUUUAUUAUGCUACUUUGCCAGGCUCCUUUAUACUGGGACAUAUAUGCCCCAAAAGGAUUAAAUUCAGCUAGGAUAUGCUUUACAUGCCACAACUUUGAGUACCAAGGGACUGCAGCAGCUUCAGAGUUGGAAUCAUGUGGUCUUGAUAGCCACCAUCUAAACAGACCAGAUAGAAUGCAGGACAACUCAGCACAUGAUAGAGUCAAUUCUGUCAAGGUAUACUAAUAUGAUGAUUAUCUAUUCUGCCAUUUAUGAGCAAAUAUAACAAAAAAGUAAUAGUUUACCUUCCAAUGUUUUAGGGUGGAGUUGUGUACUCAAACAUUGUAACAACAGUUUCCCCUACUUACGCCCAAGAAGUGAGAACUGCGGAGGUAUUGUUCAUUUCUUGCUCUUAUGCAUAUUAGGUAUUUUUUGGUUUAUCAAAAUAUCAAUUUUUUAAUUCAUGUAAUAAUAAAGCAAGCAGCACACAUAACAGAACCAGCACAAGGUCAACUUUGAAUAACAACUUUCCCUAUAAUUGCAUCUAUGCUGACUAGAUUGCAUCUAUCUGAAUGGUUAUAGAUCUAUAACCAUUCAGAUACCUUCAUCUAAAACGGAGAAUUUUUCCUUGACACAGUAUUUGGCUUUUGAGUCCUUAUGACCAAGUGUUGAAGAAUUUGAUGCAUAAUACUUCUUGCUUUUUGAUUGAACUAUAAUUCUAGCAGAGUUUCUUUCGAGUGGGCUUAUGCUUUGUCCAUUCUUUAAGCCAAAUAGAUUUCAAGUUAGUGAUUUGUUAUAGAUCUAAAACCAUUCAUGUGCUUUUACUAAUAGCAUAAGCUUGUUGAAGAUUUGAUUCUUAAGAAUAGACAAAGGUUUUGUUUCUAAUAAUAAAUGGAAGACUAUUGCAUAUAUUUUUGUACUAGCUAUUUGGCAUUUGACAUUGUUACGCGCAAUAUAAGGGUACCAGGAGUCCAAUUUGAUGUGCAAGUCGACAUAGGCCGGAAUGAAUUUGUUAUUGAUCUUUGAAUUUGACAGUAUAUCUUGUACAGAAAAAAUAAUGGAGAAUCACACAUAAUUCAUGAUAAAUGCUUGAAGUUUGGACUAUUUUAUGAGCUCUCUUUACAACGUUUCAAUUUGAAAAGUGGGUCUCAUGAAUGAUAUUAUUGUACAAAAUGCAGGGAGGUAAAGGCCUCCAUUCAACCCUCUCUACCCACUCCAAAAAGUUCAUCGGUGUUCUUAAUGGUAUUGACACUGAUAUAUGGAAUCCUGCUACUGAUCCAUUUCUUGAAGUCCAGUACAGUGCAAAUGAUCUUCAAGGGAAAGCAGAGAAUAAGGAAGCCUUGAGAAAGAAUCUAGGUCUUUCUUCUGCAGAUGUUAAGAGGCCGUUGGUAAUUAUAUAAUUCUUAUUUCAUAGGACAAUUUGUUUGUUACAAUAUAUUAUAGUUUGCUCUUCACUCAGUUUUUUUUUUUGUUUGUUUUGAAAUUGAUGCUAUAUUUUAUCUCAUGAAAGAUUCAAGCUUUGUCAAUUUUCUUUCAUUCCCCCAAAGUGCUACCAAAAAGCAGAGUGUGUGCGCAUUUUUGGCCUAUUGGACUUGAGAUUUUGAGACUUUAGAUUGGUUCUAGACAAACCAUAUGGAGGUGGUCUCAGUCUAUAGUUUUGUCUGAAACUUUCUAAUGAUAGUGAAUAGUGCUGGUGGUUGCCAAAAAAAAGUCUGUGAAUGUGUUGCGAGGGAUGCCGUGAUAGAGUUUGCAGGACUUCACCUCUGAAAAAUGAUAAUCAAUAUUUACCUCCAGUCCAAAUUUUAGGAAUUUACAUAUUUCCAAAAUAUUAUAAGUUCCUAUAUUCUAUUCAAUUAAUUUUUGUAUGUUGCUUUAAGGUCUCAUUUGCUUCUUUGUUGGAAGACAUCAUUUAUAUAUAUGGUUAAGUGAUGUCUUAACUUGAAAUUUCUAAUUAUUUGUCUCUCAUUUAGCAAUUAAUCAUUCCCGACUUAUUCUAAGAAAUUAGAAAUUAAGAUGCUUUAAUAGUAUGAUCUUUCUAUUCUCUUCUAUGAUAGGUUGGCUGCAUAACAAGGUUGGUUCCACAAAAAGGUGUUCAUCUUAUAAGACAUGCAAUAUAUCUAACAUUGGAGCUGGGAGGUCAAUUUGUUCUACUUGGCUCAAGUCCAGUUCCACAUAUUCAGGUCAUAUUUUCGUUCCUUAUAGCUGAAACUUAGUGAUAUUAUACUCCACUUUAGAAUGGAGUCAGCUAAAACAGUAUAACAGAAGAAAGUCAACUUAGAAUAAAUGUGGAAUUCUUUCUCGGCACAAAAAAAAAAGUACUAUCUUACAUAGAUUACGUUUCAGUUAACUAUUACUAUAUAUAACCAGAGGUCCCAGUGAAUAUUGUUAUGAGAAAAAAUAAUGAUACUAAAAAAACUGGAGAAAAUUGAUAUACCUUUCUGACUGAUUUAGUUUAGAAAUGUACUACUAAGUAUUCUGGUGACAUUUACUUAAAAGCUAAUUUCUAUGUGCAAAUUAAGUUGUAGUAAUCAAGAAUUUUUUUAGUUAAGCAACUAGAACAGGGGUAUUGGUGUGAGAUAUCAUAUGGGUUAGUUUGCGGCAUUAAGGGUUCACACCUCUGAAUUGUCACUGUAACCAAAAGAUAAUACAUAAAUCUGGGAAUUCAUGGAAGCAUAAUUAUUGAACUGGAUUAUAGCUUAUAUAUAUAUAUAUAUAUAUAUAUAUAUAUAUAUAUAUAUAUGCAUACAGACGUAUAUUAUAUAUUUGGAUGCAUAGGUUAAAGGAUACGACAUUUUUAAAUAAAACUAAGGUGAGAAUACGCCAAUAAAACUAAUGAUUUCUGUAUUAAUAAUUGACUGUUCAUACCAAUGCACACCCCUAUGUAUUAUAACUGAGGGUGUAUGCGUAGAACAGUCAACUAAUGAUUUCACUAUUACAAUCAAAAUAUUAAUAUAAUACAGUUAUUUAUAUAUAUUCUCGCAUAAACUCUUACUUUCUGUGAAAAGAAAUAUUACUGAGAUAUUUAUUUUUUAUUUUUUAAUGUUUUGGAAGUAGACUGUUAAUGGAGUUGAUUUUCUUCGAUAUGCCCAUUCAUUCCCCAUAUUUUCUGUCAACUGAUUAUCAGUUUUCUAUUCUCUAGAGAGAAUUUGAAGGCAUUGCCAACCAUUUCAAGAAUCAUGACAACAUAAGGCUGAUAUUGAAGUAUGACGAAUCUCUCUCCCAUACCAUUUAUGCUGCGUCUGACAUGUUCAUCAUUCCAUCGAUCUUUGAACCUUGUGGCCUAACACAGGUAUGGCUGCUCAUGAAUUUCGAAGAUUAAAAUUACUUAUUGUAGUGUCAACGAUUAAUGCAAAUCCAUGUUCCAUUCUUACGUGAUACAUGUUUCCAGUAAAAAACUGUUUUAUUUUUUAGAAAUUGGUAUCUUGAUUAUAGAUGCUUAUAUAUUUUCUGUUACUCUACUAUCAAACGAUAUCCAUUUUGUCAAACUUAAUUCAUAGCUAAGUGUGCCACCAAAAUCCAUUUUCUGCACCAGAAUGAAGUAAAAUUACGCGAUAAAGAAUCCAACUGUACAAAGAUGAUCAUAUAAGUGAAUGAAAAGCAGACAAUAUGAAAAGCUUAAAUUAAGGUUUUUUUUAUACUUUACACAGUUUCCUAAUAUAUUUCCUGCAGAUGAUUUCAAUGAGAUAUGGUGCUGUACCUAUCGCCAGAAAAACUGGUGGCCUAAAUGACAGGUUAGCAUAGCACAUGACAUGAAAGUGUACUUCUUGUUUCUGAAAAUUAACUCCAUUCUGUCUCAUUUUGCAGUGUUUUUGACAUUGAUGACGAUACAAUACCUUCACAGUUUCGGAAUGGAUUUACAUUUUUGAAUGCUGAUGAGAAGGUAAAGUAAAAUAUCUUGUUUUUACAGUCCAACAUCACAGAUGCUGUCAUGUUUUUCAUGAUAGAGUAGGUUUGGGUCACGCCCCCGCUUCCAUCUUUAGCUGGGAUGAAAAAUUGUACUGAUUAAAAUUAUCUAAUGAUUGCAAUAUUUAAUUUGUAUUUUCAGUAUUUAUGAUACAAGAGAGUGUGAGAGUGAAAUCCUAAUUGCAACUUUAGUCUUUGUAGCUUGGAUUAUGGAUGAUUUUGAUCUCAACUUUUUUUAAGCCAAACAAGUUCCUCUGUUUUUAAAAUUAAUCAAAUUUGGUCCUAUUUUAAUCAUGUAUGACAGAUUGUUGUCAUGCCUGCUAUAGAUCCGUAAUGCAAAGCUUUAUUAAACCUAUUUUCCGUAACCUACCUUAUUCACCUUCAACAUUCCCAUCUAACAAAUAAACAUUACUUUAUGCUGUUUAUUGCUCUGGUAAACUCUAAUGACACAAUUUUGACAGGGAAUAGAUGGUGCCUUAGUACGCGCAAUUAAUCUCUUCAGGGACGACCCUGAGAGUUGGAAGCAACUUGUUCAGAAGGACAUGAACAUUGAUUUUAGCUGGGACUCUUCAGCAGCACAAUAUGAGGAGCUCUACUUAAAGUCUGUGACUAGAGGAAGAGCGGUAAAACGUACUUAAUUUAGCAAAAUGAGGUUUUCCUGUGCUAUCCUUUCAAUCUCAUUAGUUUUCAACAGAGAUGGUAGAUCAGAUUUAAUGCACAAACAGAAGGAUUUAUCUGACCAUAUACCUUGCAUGCAAGAACAUCUCUAAUUGAGAAUGAUUACAAAGACUACUUUGAAUGUGACGUGGCUGCCUAUAACGUGCCGCUAGAUUAGUCUCCAUGAAGCAACAUUUCUCACUUUUGAUGAAUUCUAGGUGAUAUUUCAACUUCACUAUACAUAGCAAGACUGUGUAGUUAUUAUUCAUUAUUUCGCCACUUUAAUACGUUUUUAGAAUAUGUCAACAGUGUACAAAGGCCAUACAUGUAAAUCGUUACAACUUAGUUUUCAACUGGAAAGAAUGUAUAAUUUAAUCAAAUUCCAAACAAAAUAAAAAUCCUUACAAUACUAUACCAACUCUGUUGGUUAUCAUCCUGUGAUACUAAAAGCGCAUGCAAGCUCCCGUUUAACUUUUUGUUAUCGCGGUUUUAGAGAUGGCAUUGUGAGAGAAAAACAAGUAAAAUGUCAUGCCACAAGUAAACGGAGUUAUCAUACAGGAGUGUGUGUCAUGUACAGAAAUAAAUAGGAGAGUCUAGUGUUAACUUAAACUAGAGGAAGUCAAAUCUGUUUUGUUAGAAGAAAUCUUAGGGAAGGUAGUGCAAUUUUCUCUACAUAAAAAACACUAGUUUACACGAAAUUGACUUCACAACAAUAAAUAAAUUCGUAAUAUUAUGGACUGAAUAUUGGAGUAUGAAGAACAAACAAUAAAGUUUAGAAUGGUACAGAUUAAAAUAGGGAUAGAGAGUUGAUUUCACUAGUUAAGAUUAAAAUUGAAGGCAUAAGAAAGAAAGUUGUGGUAAUACUUUUCAUAUGAAAUGAUAGUAGUCUCGUUUUAGAUUGGAUGCACAUAUGUGAAGAAGACGUAUAUAAACACAAGAAGAAUAGACUAUGAAUAAUUAUUUAGUAGUUAGAUACAAAAAAGAAAAACUAUAGUUAGCGUGAAAUGUUAAUGCAUAUGCAUCAUGAAAGAAAAAAACUACAGUGAAUUGUUUUCAACUAGCUUAACUAUAGUUUUGCACCAAAGUAACUAAGUGAAGAACAUUCGUGUCAAACUCCAACACGUCGUUGCAGACAAUGAUUCCUAGUGAUCAACUUCAGUGUUUGGGUGGACAUUAUUGGAUCAACUUAAUUUUGUAUAAUCGAUUUGGAUCAACUUAAUUUUAUAUAAUCGAUUUUAACUGCAAAUGAGUUUGAAACUGACCAGUAUCAAGAUUUGAGCCACUUACAUUCAAAAGCUGUAUAGAUUUGCUUUUAUUUGAAUUACAUUUGACUCCUAUAAAAAAAAAAUGCAUUUGGCUAGUACCAAUUUUUAUUUAUUCCAAACACACAUAAACAUAAAAUAGCGGUAAAAUAUUGUAAAUAUGUUGUGGAUUGUUUCUAUUUUAAUGGGAGUUAACUAAUUUUUUAAUUGAUUUCAAUAAUAUUAUAAAAAGAGGUAUGUUAUUUUAAUGGUCUUUUUGUACAAGUGUUCAGACACUUUUUUAUUUAUUGAGUCAAUGCUAUAAGUUACAAACAAUAGUUUUCAUAAAAUUUUGAUUUUGAUUUAAUGCAUAUAUAUUUUUUCACUUUUAUAGUGUAACAAAAAAACUAUAUUUAUCUAUUUCGAUGACACCAACUAUAUAAUAAAUAUAAUAUAAAUUCUUAUUAAAUAGAAAAUAUAAUAUAAUAUAAAUUUUCAUUUUUUAUGAAUGACGCCAACAAUAAUAUAACAAUUUUAUAGACAAGUUUAUUUAAAGAUAUAAUUAUAAUUGAAAAAGCCAUACUAAAACCUAUAUUUAACUUGUGUACUCCUACAAUGUAUUUUUGUUUACAAUAUUUCCAAAAUAUCUCUACAAAUAUCAAUUUAUUUUAAAAAAAAAUCCGCUUUACAUAAGUUGAUUGUAUGCAUUUGUAAAAAAGUUUGACAUCGUUAGUGUACAUAAAUUAAUCUUGUUUUUCUUCUCGACAGCUAAAAUUUUUGAAUUGUCUAAAUUUUAUAGAAAGCUAAAAUUUAUAAUUAUCAAGAACAUAUUUUUAAUUAUAAAAAAUUGUAUAAAAUCAGAAAAUGAAACAUUAAUUGUGAUAAAUAAAUUGUAAAAUUAGAAUUUACAUAAAAUGCAGAGGGUGUGAAUUACUUGCGGGGGUGUAGCAAAAAUCAGCAGUUAUAAAAAUAUACUUGUAAAAAUAGCCAUGUAGGCCCAGCCCAAUAGUAUAAAAUCGGAUAAAAACCAUUUUGAUGCUUCCGUAACCCUAAUUCUUCGAUUCUCAACACAGGGUAUUCGUUUCCGCACAAACACACAAUUUCUCUGGUAAGAUCUAGUUUUAUACCCUUGAGGGUUUCUUCGAUUUGGAUUGGAUUAUUUUGAAAUAAGCAUUUUAUGUUAUUUAUAAUUUUGUUUAUUUAAAUUUUGUAACAGAAAAUAUGGUCAGGGUUAGUGUUUUGAACGAUGCACUCAAGAGCAUGUACAAUGCUGAGAAACGUGGGAAGCGCCAAGUUAUGAUUAGGCCAUCCUCAAAAGUGAUUAUCAAAUUCCUUAUGGUCAUGCAAAAGCAUGGUAUGUGGUUGUUUGAUUCAUGUAGUUGACCUCAUUUUGUGGGAUAAUGUUUUCUUUCUAUGUGAUGAUAUUGUAUACUCUUGUGGUUGUUGUAGGAUAUAUUGGAGAGUUCGAAUACGUUGAUGAUCACAGGUCUGGCAAAAUUGUCGUCGAAUUGAAUGGAAGAUUGAAUAAGUGUGGUGUUAUUAGUCCUCGUUUCGAUGUCGGUGUCAAAGAGAUUGAAGGAUGGACUGCUAGGCUUCUUCCCUCAAGACAGGUCAGCUGAAAAGCCCAGUUUUGUCUUAUAAAUCUGAUAUAAAUGACCAUAAACAUGAUAGUUGUUUCAUAGAUUAAUUUACAUGAUUGUAUUUACGCUGUUUUGAUUGACUUAUUUGAGCUUAUCCAUUGACAUAAGUUUUCUGGGGCUGUAUUGAGAACUUAUGAAAUCAGCUUAUGGCAAUGUUCCCAAGCUUUUAUCGGCUUAUUUUCAUAUGCUCUUCAGUAUAAAUUAUUAAAACAGCUCAUAGGAUAUACUAAAACUAUCUAACUUUUUAUUUUAUCUUUUUCUAUAAAAAUAAGCUUAUGCAUAAGAGCUUCUUGUGAUAAGAUAAGUGCUUGUGCUAUAAGCUGCGAAUAAACAGUCCAUCCAAACAGGCCCUAAUUAAGUUUGUUUUAUAGUUCCUAUCUUUCGUGUGGUCAUUCUUCUGUGUACCACAUUGAUGUUGGAGUCUUGAUCUCAAAUAUGAGCUUAGUUCAUUGUUUGUUUGUUGUAUCCUUGUUAUGUUGAGAUCAAACAAUUUUUUUUUUCUCUAAUUUAUUUGCUUUUGGUUCCUAGCAUUCCUUUAUGUUAGGUCUAGUAGGCUUUUAAAACUUCGGUUGGAAUUGUAGAGGGGUUAACCAGAACAAUUCAGUAGUGUUUGUCUUGACUUAUGCUUCAUAUAUUGGAAAUCACUAUAGUAUGAAUUGUCCCAAAUGCUCACUCGACUAUUUGGAUAAAAUUAAAUCAUGAUCAUGAAUUAUUUCUAAUGACGCAGCAUUUAAAUUCAAAUCGUUAUUAAUGGUUGGGCGUAUAGUUUCUUAUUAUGCUUUUAUGGGGUGUGUGAGGAGAAUAUCCUUUGGCCUCCCACUCUACCUAUGUCUGUAGAUAUCGUCUAUCUAUUUACUAUACCUCGCUAAUUAUGCUUUUAUUUAUUGGUCUUUUCAUUUUUGUACAAAAAAACUUAAAACCCAUUUUCAAUAUGUGCUAGCCAUCCUAUCUUUUAAUAUUUUCAUUUAUAUUCAUAAUACAGAUUUUACAAUUAAAGAAAAACUAAUAGUUAAAGUGCAAUUAUAUAUCGACAAUCUUUAUAAACCAUCGAAUCUUAUGUUGCUUGUUUGUAUCAUAUGAUUUUUCUUUUGGUCCCUAACUAUUGGUGCUACAAUCAUGCAGUUUGGGUAUAUUGUCUUGACUACCUCUGCUGGUAUCAUGGAUCAUGAAGAGGCUAGGAGAAAGAAUGUUGGUGGUAAAGUGUUGGGUUUUUUCUAUUAGGUAUGAAGAUUGCAUCCAAUUUCAGAUUUUGAGAAGUUUUAGUAUUUGUGAUCGAAUUCAGUUUUUUUACAUGGAUAUUGUAAUUUGGAUUACUUAGGAUUGUAAGCUUUUAAUUUGCACUUUUGUGCUUUUGUGCUAAAUUGAAUUUUGGGUAAACUAUUGUGCUCUUGGUCCCUAGCUUAUGUGUUUCAAAAUUGUUGAUUUUUUAAUGAAUCCAAAUUAUUGUUUCGUUAAUCCAUUUGUCAUGAUGAAUGGCCUCGGCUAGAGCAUAUCUGUCAUUAGACUCGUAUUCACUAAGAUUCGAACCAUGAACUUAUCUAAUGUCAGCCUCUAAAAUUGAGCACACCAAACAUAUUGAUAUAUUUGAUUUGUUUUUUUGAAUUUGAAAGAAAAACAAACCAACGAGUACACGAAAUAGCUGGAAUUGAAGGUUAUCAAACUAUCUUGAAAGGAUAGUAGACUCAAAUAUUGUCUUUCUCAAAUGAAUAUGAGAGAGUAUAUACAUUUUUAAGAAAUCUUUGAUGAUGCUAGCAACACACAUUUUAACAACUUUUUAAUACUCUUUUUGAAUUUAAAUUUAUAUGAAGUCUAUCAAAUUUGUAUGGGACCCAAAUGAUUUGGUGUAAUUCGUGUGAAUUUUAUCCAUUCAAAUAAAAUGUGUUGAAAGUGUGUGUUGCUAGUAUUAUUUUUUUUGAUAGUUUUUUCUUAUGUCAUUGUAGAUUUCUAUCACAGUUAUUUUGACAACUUAUUAAAGACAACUAAAGAUAUACAAUAUGAUUAUUGACACAGAAAACAAAUGUAAGCAAUUUUUCUUAAAAAAAAAACGAACGAUUUUGCAUAAGAGGAGUAUUAUUCGAACAAUCAUUUGGUUGAUAAUUUUUGGAACAACCAUAAUUUAUAAAGAAAAAAUAGGUAUUUGCACAAAAAUCAAAGCAAUAGAGAGAUAAAGUAAAAAGUAAUGUGAGUAUGAGAGAGAAAGUUGUCACAAAAGUUGUCGUAAAAUAGAUUGUUCAAAUAUAAUUUCUCUUUGCAUAAACGGUUUUUUUAAAGGAACUUUGCAUAAAUGGUUGUCUAUUAAGUUGUCAAACACAAUUAUUAAUCGAAACUAAAUUUCUAAAGAAAAAUAGUGAACGUAAAAUCUGAAUUCUCCAGAAAAUUUUGGGUAUCACAGAUAACUCAAACUUUGAGUUGUUCCAAUUAAAAUGCAACUUCUUUUAUUAGUUUAUUAAAUAUCCCUAUAUCUCUAUAAAUAUCUACACAUAAAUUAAUCGGAUGCAUGUAAAAAAAAAUGACACCAUUAAUGUAUGUAAUUUAAUAUUUUUUAUAUUCCAGACGACUCAAUUAUAGAACAUAUUUUUAAUAAUAAAAAUAGGAAAAUCGAACAAAGACCCAUUUUGAUGGCCUCCGUCUUUCACUAACCUUAGUUAUGGGGAUGCCUCUGCCGGCACAGAGAUGUAGCUACUUCCGCACACGCACAUCCUAUUUCUUUGGUAAGAUCUAAUUUUCUUCCCAGAAUUUAAGUUGGCUGAAUUACCUUUUUGGUCCUCUAACUAUUUAACUGGUAUCAGAUUGGUCCUCUAACUAAAAAUUGAUUUAUUUAGGUCCUCUAAGUUUCUCACCGUUGCUACAUUUAGUCCUUUCGGUUAGUUUUAUUCAAAUAAACGUUAGGGUUUGUGUUAUGUGGGUCCUCUAACUUUAUUUAUUAGUAUCAUUUUGGUCAUAUGCCUUGUUAAGGUAUUAUGAUUAAAUAGUGACACAUAUUAUUGGUAACUGUUAUGGUUCAUAUGUAUGUGUGAAACAGGAGGUCAGGUAUCCACAUAACACAAACCCUAACGUUUAUUUGAAUAAAACUAACAGAAAGGAUUAAAUGUAGUAACAGUGUGAAACUUAGAGGAUCGAAAUAAAUCAAUUUUUAGUUAGAGGAUCAAUCCGAUACCAAUUAAAUAGUUAGAGGACCAAAAAGGUAAUUAAGCCAUUUAAGUUUUAGGGUUUUUAUUUGAUACAAGUGGUUUUGUGUUUUUCUUUUUACACCCAAUGAAACGCCCACCUCUCUGGUUUGUUUGCAAUAGCAACCUUCAAUUUUGGUUUUGAUUACGUGUUUUUCAAAAUCCAUUCAUUUAUAUUGAAAAUUGAGGGUAUUUUUAGAAGGAAAAAUUCAACUCAAAAAUACUAAAAGAUAAUUUUCUUUAUAUAUAGUAUUAUAGAUUAGUGUUAGUGUUAUAUGUAUAAUAUUAUUGGAAAGCCACAUAAUUCAAAAUUAAUAAAAGAAAAAAGAUUACUCGAAUUAUAACAGGUAAUUGUUUGGUGGUUAUAUACUUAACCUGUAAUUUAUUAAAUAAAGUAUUAAUAUCCACAUAAAAUAUGGAACCUUACAUAUUUUAUGUAUUGUCCAUACCAACUGAGUUAAGCUCACGAGGACGUGUGAUUAGACCCCUUGAAUUAGUUAAUCAUUGAGCCGGAUACUGAGUUUUAAAAAAACUACUUAAAAUAUAAAAUAAAUAUAUCCUAAUUAUUUAAGUUGAAAAAAAAUAUCAAAAAUGCGUAUUUAAAAUUAAAAUAAUGAGCAUAGGCAAACAAAAUUAUUUCCUUAUAUAUUUUAAAUAAAAUAUUUCCUUAUAAAUAUAUAAAAUUGAUUAAAAUAAAUAAUUUAAUCAAAUAAUCAUCUAAAACUUUAUCUAUCAAUUUAAUAUUUAAAAAAUGAAUUAUCUAAUAAAUUUGAAAAAAUCUAUGCCAAAUAAAACAUAAUUUAAAAUAACUGUUAAUGAAGGAGAAAACUAUGAAACAAAAAAUUGUUUGAAAUAAAGGCAAAUCUCAUGUGAAUUUCUUUAUGUUUUUAAUGUGAUUCUUAGGUAAAAAUAUAUUUUUCAUGAGUAGUUUAUUUAGGAACCAUAUGAAAAUCUCCUAAGAAAAUGCAUCUAAGUUUUUUUCUAUAAUUAAAAUAAGGAUAAAAUUUAGGUGUAUUUUCUUAAAUGCUAUUCGUGUGGUACUUCACAUAAAAUACUCACACCCACCUAUGAUUUCUCAAAUCCACAUUUUUUUAAAGUUUGUUAUAACAACAAAAAAAUGGAUUUUGAUUAUGUAAAGAACCAUACGAAAAGCAUGUAAAGAAAAUGCACCUAAAUUUUAUCCUUAAAACAAAUGAUUUUUUUUAAUGACAAAUAUCAAUAAUUAAUUGUUUAAAAAGAGUGCAUAGUAUAUAAAUAAAAAGAUCAAAUUAAUAGAAUAGUAAUAAUAGACUUAUGAAAGGAAAACAUAAUAGUAACAAUAAUUCUUGUAAAAAUAUUGUAACAAUAAUUAAGGAUGCUAAAAAAUCACAGAUAAAAUCCAUCGUUGACACAAACUGGAUUGCUUAACAAAUACUCACAAAUAUUAAUGGAUACUCGGGUUAAAAUAGUGGUAACUUUAUAUACAAUGAUAAUUCAGAUGUGCAAUUUGUGUAGAGAUAUUAGACUAUAAAAAUAAAUCGGAUUUUUAAUUAAAAAAAUUGGUAUGGUGUUAGUAUAGUACAUGCCCAUGAUAAAAAUAUAUAUAUAAUUAAAAAAUAUUUAAAAAAUAUAAAAUUAAACUUAUUGAAUCAAAUUAUUUUGUAGUUAAAAUUUAAAUCUAAAUUUAAAAAUUUAAAAUUUAAAUCUAAAAGAUAAAAAAAAUGAUAAACAAUUAAAUCUCAUUUAAAAAUUAGAAUAUAAAAGAUAUUAAUUUAAAAUUUGCAAGUGAUUAAAAUUCGGUGCAUUUAGAGAUAUUGUUUGAUAGAUAAAAAAGACUAAAUGAAUUUUGCAAAAAUAAAAAGUUAUAGAAAUUAACAUAGGAGAGGUCACGUGCAUAAAAAAAAUGUAAUUUUUAAAUUAGUUGAAAAAGAUUGGUUAUAUAUAAAAUUAGAAAUUAGAAAGAAAAAAAAUUGGCUAUAUAUAAUAAAAAUUUAUGGGUAUACGCUUCCCAUGAGUAUAGCUCAAUUAAUAGAGACAGUGUAUGAUGUGGUAGGACAAUGCAUUAUUAUAUGUAUGGAUCGAGGUUCGAACCUGACACCUCAUUUUAUAAGGUGAAUUAUAUCCACUAGACUACCUGACAAAAAAGAAAAGAGACAAUGCAAUAUAUGCACUCCCCGGCUUCGAACCCCAUUCACCCCACCAAUUUUAUCUUAAAAACUGAAUUCUACCCACACGAGUCAGCGAGAUCAACGGUGGGGAUGUUCACCUGACCACAACAGAACUGAACACAAGUUGUAAGAAAAAGGUAAGACGUGACGGACGUGGCAAAGUACAAUAUAUACUUCACAGUCUCCUAUCUCGACUCGAGUAAAGUAAGCACCCACCACCAUUCAUUCAACUUUUUUUCUCUCUUCACGGAUCCGAUAAAUUAAGUAAACAAAAAAUUGGAUUCCUUUAUUUUAUGCUGAUAAAUUGGCAGUAACCAAGUAGUUCUAUAAGCAAUGUAAUUAUAGUAAUAACCUACUUCAUCGUUAUAUAUAGUCGCAAGUAAUCCUAAUGCACAUAAUUUUACGAUAGGUCUGUCAAAAAUAUUUGUUCAUUGUAUGUUCAAGAUCAAUAACAGGUAAAACAUAAAAAUCGUCAAGGAGUCCAAUUAGCUGACAAACAGCUCAUAGUAGACACGAGUGAACUUUUAUAGUAAUGGAAGAGAAACACGAAUAUAAAGGUGCACAGUUGAAUGUUAUAAUCAAUACCGUCGCUUGUUACACUGAACAACUCACAAUUCAACAUGACAAAGGUUUAAUAGUUACUACAAUCAUGCAUCCUUAAAACAAGCUUACGGAAAGCAAAAAGACCUAGCUUGCCUCAGAAUCUUCUUUAAAAUAUAGGAAUUAUGUGCCUUGUGCAACAGCUGAAGAGUUAAUCAUAGAGAUAUCUGAGCAGCAUUGUUCAUUCUGGAUCAGGUGAACCACCAGGGACCAACUGCAUUACACACCGCAUACUGUCAGUACCACUAUGACACUAGGGAAAACUAAAAAUUAUAUGUGAGAAGAUUAUUGUCAACAUUUUGCAAGGUUGCCAGGUCAAAUGAUUUAUUAAUAAUCAAUAGAAUUUAGGUUAAUAGAAAACAGUUGAGAAUUUGAAACUCACAAUGGCAAUGUUGUUUCCAUUGAGUAAAAUCUGAUCAAGCUUAGUUAUCCUUCUCCCCUCAGCAGUGAUCUCACUGUUGUAUGAAUAAUAAAGCAAUAAACCAAAUCAAUUUGUGAGGCAUCACAUGUGUGUGUGCACAUGAACGUCAAAAUCAAGGAGAAUGAACAACUAACAUAAAACAUAAAGACAUAAAUGCCAUUAUAAAAGUAAGAAAGUUUUCUGUAAGUACAUCAAAUAAUCAGAAAAUCCACUGAGAAAGAUGCUCUAAAAGAACAUAUAUACAAUGAUGUCUAAAACCCCUAUUCCUUGGCACACGCACGUACAGGGUUAGGGGGAUAUAUAUAAAUAGUCUAUCUGUUAAUUAACUUAGUACAUGAAAGAAACAUUAUGACAUUGUUUUAUACAUGUAUCAAACAACACCCAAUUAGAAAAACAUAGUUGGUGUACUGUAUUUCCAUGAUAAACUGAACCUAAACUCUUAACCUAGACUUAAUAACACGUCCCUAACAAGUUUAAAAGAUGACAAUGUCGGAGCUCAUAAUACUCAACAGGGCAUUACUUAGAGAGGGCACUUAGCUAUAUAGCUCCAAGAAACAUAGAACUUGGAGACUCCUUUAGCAUGCAUAGGGAGUUCCUACAGACCUCAAGGGGUAGAUGGGUUGCAUUAACUAAGACCCGCAUGUAGUUACUUUGGGGCAUGACCUUUUAAGUCUUAACUAGCUGACAUUUGUAGUAAAGAGCUAAUUGAAAGUUACAGGAUGUUUGCUUCGGGCUGUGAAGGUAAUUUUUCCUUUAUGCAUUGAGGCUAAGUCAUACGGGUUUUGUGGAGUUAUCAACAUGGGUGCUUUCAUAUUUGCAGAGGAUAGCAGUAAGAGAUUUAAGAUGAAUGCGAGGCUUUCUCAUUUGGUUAUCGGGAAAGAAAGUAAACAUAUGGAAGACUCCUCUUGCACCGAUUCUAGAUGAACCCUUGCUAAUAACAAUCAAGUGAAGUCAAGGAUAAUGGUAGCUCUUCAUAACAAUUCUACGAUAUUGACCAUAAGGUUAUGAUUUUGUCGUCCAUGGUUAAUGGUUGCUCGUAGCACACAAACAUUCAAAUUAAGAUAGGAGUUCAUACAAAUCAGUAGUCAAGUAACCUUUCACUUUCUUAAAUCUUAGCUAAACCUGCUCAACCAAUAUUUUGUUGUGCCUACAAAUCCAAAAACACCCAUUUACCAGUGACCAAUUACCUCCUUUCAUAAUCAUUGGGGGGGGAUAUACCAUGCCAGUUCAAAUUAAAUGUAAAUAUUCAUAAAAGUUGGGGAAACAGCUGUAAAUUAUUAAAAUUGAUGUAUUAUAACAAUUCCAGUUAGAAAAGUAUUUUAAAAAUUUGAGGGACUCCCUUGAGUAACAAACACAUAAAGCUGGUCCUAUUCUACCUUCCUACUCAUCAAACAUGUUCUUUACAGAAAAACAAUCAGAUAUGCACAAUGGAAAUGUAAAAAAAAAAACAGAUCAUCAGUAAGUUCUACGGAUAAAUGCAUAAAAUGUGGCAGUGCAAGUCUUACUAUUCAGUAACAUCUUCCAGGACCAUGUUAACAUAUACAUCAAAGCCUCUAAGGGUACCAACAAGCUCCUUGUCGCCUUUCAUUAUCACCCAUAUUUUUGAACCUAUACAGCGGUCAAUCAGCUCUGCAUAUUUUCAGCACAAAAUGAUAUGUCAUAUUAAACGAAGUUCAAAGCAAUAUUGGAUUAACUAGAAAAAUGAUUGGAGAUGGUGAAAUCAAACCUGAUGGAAGAAGCUGUGAUGGAUUAUUAGCCAUGAGGAUGAAUUGGUAAUUUCACCGAAAACCUGUGAAGGGUACAGAAAAAAUGAAAUAGAUGAGAACGUUUAUAAAUGUUUCUGAAAAAGGUUAUUAGCUUUGCUUUUAAAAAAUUCAACUAACUUAAGUUCAAACAAUAAAAGCAAAGAUGAAAAGAAAUUUUAGAGCUUGCCCAAGUUCUAAAUGCUAGUGAAACUAACAAAGCAAAACCAACCAUAUAUAAAAACAUUCACAAGUUCCCAAUGAAAUUCAAUUGAUAUUUGAAAUUAAAGGAAAAAAGUAAAGUAACCUAAGCAGGAAUUAGAGGUGACAGAGCCUGAAGAUCUGAGCAACAAAUCCGAUGAUUGAAAUGAAUUAGUGGUAACCUGGUAGUACUUCAUUGUACGAUAAUUACUAUGAAGUAAUUAAUAUGCCAUCCGUCCCAUUUUGUAUGAUGUUUAAACAAAACCAGUUUGUCUCAAGUUGGUUGUAAUUUUACAUAUCCAACGAAAUAUUACAAAUUUGUUUCCACUUAUACCCUUAUUCAUUUUCAUCGUGCUUUUUGAUCAAUAAAUGAUAAAAUCUCAUUUAAGAGGAGAUAUAAAGGACAUAACUGUACAUUACACAACACAUUUUAUAAGAUCUACACUAUUAACAACUUUUCUUAAGGAGUUUGCUACAACCUUAGUAUGGAACAGAGAGAGUACAUACAAAGUAGUUUGCCCUCAUCUACUCUUCGAUUGUAAAACUAUCUUAUAGUUAUACUGCUACAUGAACUCUUAAGUAUAUAAUAAACAAUUACUGAAUAUAUGCUUAAUUAAACAGUUUACCCUCAUAAAUCAGUAAUGGACAUUCUUGACUUAGAUGGCUUUUCUAUAUGUGUUAGCUUUAGGGUUUAUCUGCUUGGACCCGUUUGGAUUGGCUUAUUUUUGAGCUUAUAAAAAUAGCUUAUGUAAAUAAAUAAGCUUUUAUGUUAAUUCAUAAGUUCUGGCUAAUAAAAAUUGUAUCUUCAUAAGUUGUUUUUUCAUAAACUACUUUGACAACUUAUGAAUACUACAUAAAAGCUUAUUUAUUUGGAUAAGCUGUUUUGCAUAAGCUCAAACAUAAGUCAAUCCAAACGGACCCUAAUUUGAGCUUAUCUACUGGCAUAAACACUUACGAGCCUAUUUGGGUCAUAAGCCCCUUUCAGCUUAUUUACAUAACCUAUCCAAGAUAGCCUAUGAAAACAUCAUAUAUCUUAUACGAAAAUAAUUUAAAUUUAUCUUUAUCUUUUGUUAUAGGAAUUGCUUGUACAUAUAAGCUGCAAAUUAAGCUGUUUAUCCAAGAAGGAACUUAAUUUAGGGCUGGGGAAUAUCCCUGCACAUCUUUUCAAUCUGUUUAUGCCUAUCUAUGUUCAAACUAAUGAAUGAGUUAGUUUACCCUAAAAAAUGCAAAUUCUUCCAAAAUCCUAUAAAUCAUUGCACCCCAUAAAGAUGAGGACUUUUCUGGUUGGUGGAGCAGAAAGAUUGAUUAAUCGAUUGCAAAAGCAUGGUAUGAAGUCCAAAUUAAUCAAAUUAAAUAAUCUCACUAAACCCUAAUUAACUACUAAUAACAGUGGCGCGCGAGUGGAUCUCGGCUAUCACCGCCGUAAAUCGCGUGGUACAUGAGAGGGGAAAGAGAAUGCUUAAAAUAAAUUGAAGAGGAAGAAACCUGGAAAGGGAGCUGCUUGUUUCCGGCGACCAACUCCGGAUGCGUUUUCCGGCGAGUGAAUGCAGCUGCUUGUUUUAGGGUUUUAAUGGUUUUUUUUUAUGCAAUGCAAAGGGUUUUAAUCGUUACAAUAUAUUUGUUUGUUUAUCCAAUAUUCAAUUUCUGUGCGUUUUUCUUUUUAUGUAUUUAUAUAUUUUUUAAUCUUUUUUUUUUUGACAAUUUUUUUAAUCUCUUUUUAUCUAAUCAAAUAAUUGAAUUUAAUCCUAACUUUAAAUCUAAAUUAAAUUUGUUGCAAUUCUAAUUAUUACAAGAUACCAAGCACUCCCAAUAAUUGCACAUCCUAUUAUAAGACGAUAAAGAUUUUCCUCCAUCUCACAUCGAAUUGUACGUGUCGCAAUAAGUUAUCCUUUAUAAAUAUUUGAUUAUGAUGCAACUGUCAAACAAACAAACAGAUACACCUUUAAAAGAUCAACUUUGUUCAGUUAAUGUCAUAUAAUUCAUAAUUAACAAUGUGUUCGAUUUUUUCUUUAAAAAAAAAAAAUAAGUGCUUCAUUUUUGUCAACAUCCGAUAAACACCGUUAAUUGUGUACUUUUUACUAUCAUCAAUAUAUCAAUCUCAUUUAAGGGGGUCACAUUCCAGCCACGAAUCCAACUAAAAAAUGACUUUGUCCUAUUGUUCACCAUCCACACCAGAUUAUCAUUGAACCAACAAUCCAUUCGCUAUUGGUGUUAGUUGAAAAUAUAUAAGUUGAAGAAGUUCCACGUCGCUUAGAAUUGUAAAGAAAGAGGUAGAACAACACUAUGUUUGUCCUUCAUCCUAUGUAAUCCAAUUAAUUUUUCUAAUUUCCUCAGCCCCCUAAUGCUACCUCGAACGUUUAACAGUGGGAUUGAAAAAAAAAACAAAAAAUCUAAAAUAAGGGGACCAAAAUAGUGGUUUUAAAAUAGGGAGACUAAAAUUUCGAUUAAGUUAAAAUAGUAAGAUUAAAAGUGCAUUUAAACCUUAAAAAAAAGAGUGUGAAACAAACUAAAAAAUCAGAAGUAACAACUACAUAUUUUUUAUCCCUUGAGUAUUAAAAAAAAACUACACCCAUUACAAGAAAAAAAAAACACACCCAAAGAUCGAGAAUUCACUUUAAACAACCUAUGCCUAAAUAUACCUCUUGCUUAGCGAAUACAUCAAAAUUUGACUACCUAGGGACAUAAGGUGCUCUAGUCCAUAGCUAGGAAUCCAUGGAUUUUGAAUAUUGAGGACAACAUGUAUAUUAAUUUGUAGCAUUACACGCGCGCGCACCCAUGUACAAUAUGUGUGUGCCUGUGUGCGUGUGUGCGCCUUUGUGUGCAUUAUGUAACAAGUGAUGAUGUAAUUAAUCCCACCACUCCACUCAAGACCAAUUUGAUAUUGAAUUUUGUAGGUGGAUUUUCAUAUAUGGAAGAGAAAUUCCAACUAUGAAUAGAUUAUAUUUCGGUUUUCCGAAGGAAAAGGCUGAAAAUCCUGUGUACAAAUACGUAUUAACUUAAAAAAAAAAAAUCAAAGAGAUCAAAAUUAGUAGCAUGGAGAACAUAGUAGAAAGCUUGGAUUUGGUUUUACUUAGGUAUACUGAAAAAUGAUUAAUGGAAGAUUGAUAUUCCAUUCAAGAAUAGGCGUCUCCACUGUUGAGAUCCAUAAAUUGUUCCUUAAUAGUUAUUGAUGUCAGAGGAGCCCUCAAUGAAUUGUUCAUAUAAAUUGAAAUGGACGAGGAAUCUGCGAAAUGUGUAUCAACCACAACCAUAAAAAAAGGUUUUGGGUAGCCAAAUCUGUCAAGGAUGAGUUUGUGAAGGUGUAUCUAGAGUGAUGAAAAAGGAGAAACCUUCUCCAUAAUAACUAUUGUUUCUUGAUGAUAUUGAAAAUCAAAAGUAGGUGGUAAAGAAGAAUAGUAUAGGGUUAAAUAUGCUUUUAGUCUCUCUAUAUAUGUCAACUUUUUGUUUUAGUCCCUCUAAAAAAUUUCUUCAACUUUUAGCUCCUAAAAAAUUUUCCAUCUUCACUUUUGGUAUCUCCUUUAAAGUAAACUUAUAUGUAGAAUUCAUAUUUUUGAAUAAAAUUUUACAAAAAAAUUCAUAAUAUUAUAAGAAUCUCUCCUAAAAAAAAUUAGAAUUUUUUAACUCAACAUGAAUUUAAUAUGAAAUUUUAUAUUUUUGACGCUUAAAAAUUCAUAUUUAAUUUGUGUUUUGUUAAAAAAUUCUAAUUUUUUUUGGAAAAUUUGUUUACAAUAUUCUACACAUUUACGUAUAAUUUCAUUAAAAACAAAAAAAAUUAACUUAAAAAUAUGAACCAAAAGUAAUGAUUGAAAAUUUUAUAAAGACUAAAAGUAGAAGAAUAAUUUUAGAGAAACUAAAACGAAAAGUUGAUAUAUUUAUAGGGACCAAAAAUAUAUUUAAUCCUUUUUAAAAACUUCAAAAAGAUGGAUUGGAGAUGUAUAUAAUAAUUAAAUUAUAUACAUAAUAAAUUACCAACAACUUCAAGAAGUUGUUGGUGAUUUAUUUUCUUUUUUAAUAAUUAAUCUAUUAAAAAUGAAAAUAUUAAGUAUAAAUGGCGGUGGAUGAUCCAAUUUUUUAUUUUUUUUUAGGGAAAAGUGAUCCAACUCCUUGAAGGAGGUGUGAAAACAACCUUCCUUUUCUCUAUUCACUGCACAAUUGCUCCGAAACUAUUGAUGUGCAGCACAGGAAUCAUGAGUUGUUAAUCAUAUUCAUGCUACAUUUUUGUUGAUAAUGUAUCACCAACUAACACAGUGUCAUUAAUUGUGAUCCUUUUAAAGGAAGUAUAAUUGAAAUCGCCGCCACAUGGAACAAUAGUCGAAUUCUUUUUUAUCCGACCCUAAUGCCAAAAAAAAAUGAAACAUUUGACCCCCUUUCAAAAUUAUAUACCAAAAUGAUCCACUUUAGAAAAGUUUUUUUUUUCUCUCUGUUUUGUCGUUUUCCCCAUUACCGCCAAAUAAAACGGCGGUAAUGGACUGCUUUUUCUGCGCGUGUCAAAACCCAUCACUUGAUGUCUUUUUUAAUUUUUUUUUUAUUCAUUACCUCCAUUUGGUUUGGCCGUAAUGCAUUGUUAAUUUUUUUUCUUUCCGUUUUUCCUUUUUUUUGGCACUAUUAAUUCACCAUACUAUUCAUCCAAAUUCACAAUCAUUUUUUCAUACAUUUCUACUUAUUUUGAAUCAUGUCUACUUGAUUUGAGUAGUGUUAGAAUGUUUAAUUUGAUUUUAAAUGAAACAACAUUUCAUGUUUGAUUUGUCUCGUAUAUUAUUUUGUUUAAUUAAUAUAAUAAAAAUCAUAAUUAAAAUCACAAAAUUGCUUAAUUUCUUUAAACGAAGAAAUUUGAUUAAAACCGCGGAGAAAGUAGUUUUUAUUUUUAUUUCUAACACUAUGAAUAAUAUAAUUAGUGUAUUCAAAUUAAAAAUUUAAUAUUUAUUACAAUUAUCAUUAAUAUUUAUUAAUCUAUUAUUAUUUACAUUUAAUUUAAAAUACGUAUAUUGUGCCCAAGAAAAAGGAAAAACGAAAAAAAAAUCCAUUACAGCCAAACCAAAUGGUGGUAAUGAAUACAAUUUUUUUAAAAAAAAAAAGACAUGAAGUGAUCGGUUCUGACGCGCGCAGAAAAAGCAGCCCAUUACCGCCAAAUGAAACGGCGGUAAUGGGGAAAACGACAAAACAAAAAAAUAAACUUUCCCAAAGUGGAUCAUUUUGGUAUAUAAUUUUGAAAGGGGGUCAAAUGUUUCAUUUUUUUUGGCAUUACGGUCGGAUAAAAAAAUAAUUCACAAUAGCCAUGGACAUGGUGAUCAACACACAAAAAACGAGUAAAUAUGAAAUUACCCCCUGAAAUUGUAAGUUUUGUCAAUUACCCCCUGAAAUUAACAAAACUUCAAUUACCCCAUGAAAUUGCACAACGUUAAUCAAUUUACCCCCUCCGUCAAAUUUUUUGUUAGUGAACAUGACGUUUUGCAAAUACCCCCUUUUUGCACUUAUGUGCAAAAUGUCUCCCAAACUUGAAAAUUUAAAUUUUUGGGAUGUUUGGGCAUAUACAGGUGAGGAAGUUGGAACCACUGAUUUCAAUUUUUGUAUGUGCUAUGUAAAACCCCUUGCUAAAGGAGUAAUUAAGGGAAUGUUUGUCCCCAAACUUAGCGGAAAUGGUGUUGUAGGUGAGGCUAUUGCCCUUUUGGGUGCCCUUAUCAUGUCGUAUAUAUAUUCUUCCUCCUCUUUUCUUUUACUUCAAUAAAUUUACCAUACAUUUAACCUAAUUUUACAUUAAAUUCGAUUCAAAUGUUAUUCUUGCUGAUUUUUUUUUUCUGACAAAAUUAUGCAGGCACAAUCUUUUCCUCCACUCUGCUCUAGUGCUAUCUCGAAAAAUACCCGGUACUAAGCGCGACAUCAAUGUAAGCCCCAAGUGAAAUAAACUCAUAUAUGAAAUCCAUAAGCGUCAAAUAGAAUAUCUGAUUAAUUGAGUACAUGCUAAUAUUAUAUGACAUAUAUUUAAUAGAUUAUGCGGGAUGCAUGCAUAUACUUUCUCAUUGAGAGUGGUUUCACGUUGUUCGUUGCAUUUCUAAUCAAUGUUGCAAUGAUUUAUGUGACUGGUACUGCUUGCAAAGCUGAUGAUAUUUCUGGAGAGAAUGCUGAUCGUUGCAAUGAUAUUACCCUUAACUCUGCUUCUUUCCUUCUCCAGGUUCCUAAUUUAGUUCACUUUGCAACUAUUAUGGUCAAAGCAUGAUAUUAAGUUUAAUCAUAGUUAAGUAAUUAUGUACAUCUCACGUGUGUAGUUUUGAUGUCAAUUAGAAUAUGUUGGGACGUUCAAGCUCAACUAUUUAUGCCAUAGCAUUAGUAGCCUCAGAACAAAGUUCUGCCAUCACUGGAACCUAUGCAGGCCAGUUUAUCAUGUAGGCUAUUUCAUUAUAUCAAUAAACACUAUUUUAAAAUUAAUAUAACAAACAACAUAAGCCACAACAAUAACAAAAAACUUACAAGUUUUUGUAUAAGGUUUUACUAAACUUGGGUUUAUGUUAGGUAUAAGGUUUAAAAAAAUAAAAAAAUUUAAGUUCGGGUGACAUUUUGCACAUAAGUACAAAACUUCAUGAGGAUAUUUGUAAAACGUCAUGUUCACUUACGGAAAAAUUUGACGGAAGAGGUAAAUUGAUCAACGUUGUACAAUUUCAAGGGAGUAAUUGAAGUUUUGUUAAUUUCAGAGAGAUAAUUGACGAAACUUCCAAUUUCAGAGGGGUAAUUGAAUAUUUACUCCACAAAAAACUAACAUCUUUAUCAGUGUCAUGAUCACCAGAUAAAUCCGGUAUAUGCACUGCAGAAAAAAUAAUUAAUUAAUGAGACAAAUUUAGGGAUGAAAAAUGUAAAAUAAAUGUCUAAAUUCAUCACUAAAUUUUGCGAAAGAGAUUGAGGGAAACUUCAUUUUUUUUUUUUUGACGAGCAUAUGUGACCCGCGCAACGUGUGGUUGAAGUUAUUUUUUGUUUGUUUUACAGAUUUUUAAAAUGAUAUUAUAAUUGUUUUUAAAUAUUUAUAUAGUAAUAUAAUAUAAUACUGUAUAACAAUAGUGAGAAUAAAUGUAUAAAUUAUUCCCUUAAAAAAUAAAUGUAUAAAUUAGGAUCUUGUGUGAUUUUUUAUUAUAAAUGAAAUUUGUUGCAAAAACUAAAGUAGGUGAGUUCAAGGGCGUCCCUAAGAAUUCGGAGGCUCGGCUCUGGGAAUGAAAAGAGAUCAGUGAUAAAAUCAAAACGUAUUUUUUUUUAAAAAGUAAUGAUCUAUUUAUAUUUUUUAAAAGAUAAAUAUAAGGUGGCGGUACACCCAAAGGUGAAAAUGACUACCGUGUACAUGAGGAACCCCCACCUAACACCAAAAGCAAGAUGACCUAAUUCUAAUAGGCCUAAAAGGCUAAAACAAGGGGACAGAAAAUGGCUGGGGGUAUUAAAAAAAAAUUGGAAGGCAGUAGUACUAGUGGGUAUUAAUUUUUUUUUUGAGGCCCAUGACUAAGGGAGGCCCAGCUCUGUUGAGCUGUUUGCACCCCUCAGGGCCGGGCCUGGUUGUGAACAAUAUGUUAUAGUAUUUUAAUAUUGUAAUUUUUUUUAAUAUCCAUUUAACUCUUUUUUGGCAAAAUCUCAAACAAUAUUUCGAAAACAAUAUAGAUUAUAGUGCAACAUGAUACCUCCAAAUUAACAAAUUAAAAAACCAAAGCAGCAACUCUAUAUUUUUUAUCCCUUCAAUCAUCUAAUUUUAUUAAAAAGUCACCGUGAGCUUAGCUCAGUUGAUAUAGACAAUGCUUAAUAAUAUGUACGGUAUGGAGUUCGAACCCCGCCACUACAAAAAAAUCUAAUUUUAUUAAAAAAAAAACUACACCCAUCAUAAGGAAAAAAAAACACACCCAAAGAUCAAGAAUCCCCUUUAAACAAUUUUUGCCUAAAUAUACCUCCUGCUUAGCAAAUAUAUCAAAAUUUGAAUACUUAAAGACACAAGGUGCUCUAGUACAUAGCGAGAAACCCAUGGAUUUUGAAUAGUGAAGACAACAUAUAUAUUAAUUUGGAGCAUUACACACGUACGCUUGCGUGCAUGCGCCCAUGUGUGCAUUAUGCAAUAAGUGAUGCUGCAAUUAAUCCCACCACUCUUAAAAUGACACUCAAGAUCAAUUUGGUACUGGAUUUUGUAGUUGGCUUUUUCAUAUAUGGAAGAGAAAUUCCAACUAUGAAUAGAGUUUAUUUCACUUUUUCCGAGGAAAAAGGCCGAAAACUCUGUGUACAAAUAUGUAUUAACUUUGAAAAAAAUCAAGAGAUCAAAAGUAGUAGCAUUGAGUAUAGGAGUAGAAGGCUUGGAUUUGGUUUUACUUACGUAUAGUGAAAAAAGAUUGAUGGAAGAUUGAUAUUCCAUCCAAAAAUAUAUAGAAGGUGUCUCCAUUCUUGAGAUCCAUAAACUGUUACUUAAUAGUUAUGGAUGUCAGAGGAGCCGUCCAUGAAUUGUUCAUAUAAAUUGAAAUGGAUGAGGAAUUUGUGAAAUGUAUACCAACCACAAUCGCAAAAAAGGUUUCGGGAUAGGCCAAAUAUGGCAACAGAAGGAUGAGUUUGUGAAGGUGUAUCUGGAGUGAUGAAAAAGGAGAAACCUUCUCCAUAAUAGCCAUUGCUUCUUGAUAAUAUUGAAAAUGAAAAGUAGGUGGUAAUGGAGAAUGAUAUAUUCUUAGAAACAUAAAAAAGAUGGAUUAGAGAUGUAUAUAAUAAUUAAUUUUAUACAGAAUAAAUCACCAAUAAUUUCAAGAAGUUAUUGGUGAUUUAUUCUUUUUUAAUAAUUAAUCUAUUAUUUUUUAUUACGUAUAUAAUUAAUAAUUAUUACUAUAAAUGACAUGGAAAAUGAAAAAAAAUCAAUACAUAUGUCAAGUCAUUGUUGCCACAUCAUUAAAUAAUUGAUGUAUCUGAUCAAUAUUAUAAUCAAGUGCAUUCAUUAUUCAAUGAACUUAAUAAAAAAGUAUAUUUGCUUACAUAUGAGAUCAGAUGGAGUAUAUGUUUAAAACCACGAUGUGUUUUGUAAAAUUACGGUAGGAAACCACGUCAAUCUAAAAGCUAAGUUUCCUAGCUUCUCUAUUCUCACGACAACUACCCAAUGACAAUGAUUGACACUUUCAUCGUCAAACCAAAAAGGCCAUCAAUCUAAACAAAUUAUCUUAUAAUUUGUGUAUUCAAUUCUUCAAAAGUUAAAUCCUUAUUGAGAAAUGUUUUUUUUGAACAAGUUCUUAUUGAGAAAUGUUAACUUGUGUCCUUAAGAUACAAGUUAAUGAAUCAAAUAUAGAAAUAAUUUAUUGAAAUGUAUGCAUUACAAUUAAUGUUUAACUUUUUAAUAAAUUUCCUUAAAAAAAAACUUUUUAAUAAAUUAAAUCCACAAAAUUUUAGAUAAUUUUUUUUAUUUUUUUAAGUUUCUUAACAUGUGUUUAAGGAAAAUGUUAACUAGUCUCCCCCGAACACUAGCUAAAGACCUUAAAUGGUAAACUUUUAUUAAAGUUAGUGUAAUCAGUGUAUUAGAAAUUGAAAAGUUUGACAUUUUUAAAAAAAUAAUUACUUAAUUUAAAAGGUUUAAAGAGUGUUCAGAGGCACUAAUUAAUAAAACCAUUAUUUAUUUCAACCCAAAAUUUCUACUUUUGAUUAACAACUUCCCUGUGCACUAACAAGUGAGUAAGACCUUAUAAGGUAAGGCUAAAUACUCUGAGCUCUCAAGCGAUUGAGGCCAACUCGUUCUCCUCCAUGUUCUCAAUUCGAGGAAUGUGUUAAAAAAUGAGGUCUGAAUUUCUUAACCAAAAACUUGCACAAAUAAAAUAUUUGUUCAACCAAUCAACAAAAAAGAAAAUUGUUCAACCAAUGACUUAAACAUUUGAUUUUUGGGUUAUUAAUUGUCAACCACCUUGAUUCAGUAUGCUUUUAACUUUGAAGCUUAACAACAAUUCCAGUCAUGUUAACAAAGAUUUGCUUACCAAAGUUUAGAGAAGUUUCGUUAGUUAGGAGAAUUAAGCAAAAGUAGCUUGAUAACAUAACAGAUAUGGUACACAAGAAGACUCAGAAGAAAUGUGGGCAUCAAUUCAGCUUGUGAAUUCUGCAUCAUUAUAGUGCUUUAACUGCAAUGAAUUAUUCUUUUUGAUGUUCAUAAAUGUAUUUUUUUUUGCGAUUCCUAUUUUGUUUUGUAGAAGGCCGAAUAUAUUGAGAAAAACUUUCAUAUAGACUAUAUGUAAGACUUGAAAUAAAUUUCUAAAGAACGAUACUUUUAUUAUACAAUCAAAUUUUGUAAAGAUGAAUUAAACCGUAAAAAAGCCUAAAAUGGUAUUAGAGGGGAGUGAAUUAAAGCCACAAUAAAAACCUAAUACAAAAGGAUGCUAUUACUUUUUACUAUUUAGUGUUUUAUGUUUGGUAGACUAAUAAUUAUAACAGAUUGAACAAAAUGAUUCACAUAUCAACUUAGAUUGAACAUGAGUAAUCACUUAGCUAUGGUCUUCAAUCUCCAUCCAUUUGUCACAGAUCCACAUCAUAGCAUAAUAUUCAAAUAUCCAAUAAUAAUAGGCAAGACAAACAAUUAUUUGUCUAAGCAUGACUGCCGGCAACUACUUUUGAGACACCUUUGAUAUAAUUGGUCCUCAAAUACAUAUCAAUUAUCCUUUUCUUUUUUAAUUAUAUUCACUCACACUAUGUAAACUGUAAAGAGAUAUAGAAAUAUCACAAAAGCCACUUCAUCCAGUAAGAAAGUGCCAUCUUAGAUUUGGUUGGAUAAGGCAUUUAUGCUAAAUGAACUGUAAAAUGAGAAACAUGGUAAAAACACCAAGUACGGCAAAAAAACAUGGACCAUUUUUACCUUGGCUCAUUUCCUACAUGCACAAAUUUAAGAUAGAUAAAAAUUUAAGACACGCUGCAGUGCUUACUGGUUUUUAUUGUAAAUCAAAUGAAACAUCUUCUGCUGUUUUUCAAACCAAUUAUCCUUAGGUAUUGCAUUGUAACUUAAAAAAUCGUGAGGGUGUGAACUGUUUCAUUUUUCUGAAAAUAAUGGCCUAAAAAAUACUGCCAUGUAUGACUCAAACUUUGUGUCUUACAAACAAUUACAAUUAACCCAUAUAGUGUUAUAUUUCAAUAGAUUCCUCAUGAAUUAAAAUUGACCCGUGUAACCAUCAACCCUGACUUGGUUCUUUUCAUAAUUUGUCUACCUUUAUCUUCUUUAUUAUACGUUGAAAUAAGAACAUGCACCUGUCCAUAACAGGUUUUUCAAAUUGUGUGGUUCUCAAGCAACUAUUUACAAUAUGACAGCAUGUGGACCCAAAAAAAAUCUUACACUGCUGAGUCAGUUUAAAGCAUAGCCUCAUAAAUUAAGCCAAUUUGAUGGAAAAAUAAAAUUUUCAGUGAUAUAUCUAUAGGAAUCCCAUAGUUACACAUGGAACACCAACAUUGGUUACAAAUCAUAUCAUAUGAAGAAUCUAACCCAUUUGUGGAUUUUAGAGGAGUGCCAAGUGUAACAUCAAAAUCCUCAACUUCCAAUGAGAUUGUAGCUUUGGAUAACACAAGAUAAGAGAACAACAACUUCAUAACUAAUAUAAAUACACACCCAUAUUCACCUUACCAAAUCACCAUUCAUACGAGUACAUUUAUCAAAAGCACAACAAGCAUUUUAAUUUCAUUGCAAAAUGGCCGCAUCAUCCAUGGCUCUCUCUUCACCAACCUUGGCUGGCAAGCCAGUCAAGCUAACCCCUUCAAGCCAAGAAUUGGGAGCUGCAAGGUUCACCAUGAGGAAGGCUGCUACCACCAAGAAAGUAGCCUCCUCAGGAAGCCCAUGGUACGGCCCAGACCGUGUUAAGUACUUAGGCCCAUUCUCUGGUGAGCCCCCGUCUUACUUGACUGGAGAGUUCCCAGGUGACUACGGAUGGGACACUGCUGGACUUUCUGCUGACCCAGAGACAUUCGCCAAGAACCGUGAACUUGAAGUCAUCCAUAGUAGGUGGGCUAUGUUGGGAGCCUUGGGAUGUGUUUUCCCAGAGCUUUUGUCUCGCAAUGGUGUUAAAUUCGGUGAGGCUGUAUGGUUCAAGGCCGGAUCCCAGAUCUUUAGCGAGGGUGGACUUGACUACUUGGGUAACCCAAGUUUGGUCCAUGCUCAGAGCAUUCUUGCCAUCUGGGCUACCCAAGUUAUCUUGAUGGGCGCUGUUGAAGGUUACCGUAUUGCUGGUGGUCCUCUUGGUGAGGUUGUUGACCCACUAUACCCAGGAGGCAGCUUUGACCCAUUGGGCCUAGCUGACGACCCAGAGGCUUUCGCAGAGUUGAAGGUUAAGGAACUCAAGAACGGUAGAUUAGCCAUGUUCUCUAUGUUCGGAUUCUUUGUUCAGGCUAUUGUGACCGGAAAGGGACCUUUGGAGAACCUUGCCGAUCAUCUUGCCGACCCAGUCAACAACAACGCAUGGGCCUAUGCCACCAACUUUGUUCCCGGAAAGUGAAUGGUCAUUAUGUUUUUUGUUAUGUAUACUUUCUUGUAACGUUCUUCCUGCGGGAAUGUGAAUUAUUAUCAUGUGUUGUAUGCAACUGAAUGUUAGUCUUUUUUUUUAUGUCAAUCUGCUCUCUCAAUCCCAUAUCCCCAUCUUUAUGUUUCUUACAAUCUAUGCAACCAAAAUUGAACUAAUCAAAUCGCUCAAAAAUAUUGAUUACAAAUAUCCACUCAUUUUUAGGGCACAUGUGGAUGUAAUAAUAAAUAAACAAAUAAAUAUCACAAAUACUUCUAUAUAGUCUAAUCCAAUGCACCGUUACAACAAAAGUGGACCAUUAUCAAUGUCUUCCUCCUAUUCGAAAUUCUUCUCAUCGUUAAGACAGGUAUGAAAUCACAAUUUUAACAUCUUUAAACGUUGUUCUUACAAUUUUUGUUUUCAAUUAAUAGAUUAUUAAUUUGGUACCUAGGUUGAAAAAAGGUUAAAAUUAGAGAACACAUCAACACCAAAAACAACAAAAUCUGAACAAGUACAAGAAAGCAACGUUGUAUCAACACUGAGUUCACCUUUGUUCCUCCAACAAAGUUGGAACCAAACAUGUCCAACCCAAGAAAACAGUGAACCUCCUCAACAAUUCCUCUCAGUUUCUCAAGGAUUCACACUGACCCAUCAACACCCUUCUCAAAUUACCACUCCUUCAGAUGAAACUCAAGAAGAAGAUGUUGAUGAAAUUGAAGGGUUAGUAAAUCUAUUAGGAAUGUCAGAGGAAAAAAGGGAUGGUUUUGAGGGUGAUGAGGGUGGUGGUGAUUGUGAUUCUUGUCACUGUGAAGGUGGGUUUUAUUCAAAGAUUGUUGGUGUGGAGGGACCAAAGUGUAAGAAAGAGGUGUUGAGGUUGGAUGGGUGGAUUAAGCAUUUUAUGAAUGAUGGGGUGGAGAAGAAAGAGCCUUUGAGGCUGGCACAUUUGCUUUUAGGGAAAGCUGCUUUUAUUUCUGGGGGUGCAGAUAGUGGUUUUGGAGAUUUGGAUUUCCCUUCAACUAUUCAAGAAUUUCUUCAUACUGAUCCUCCCAGUAAAUGAAGCAUCAUUUCACAACUCCUUAUUUUACUUUUUAAAAUUUGUUUUUACUAUUUAACUUUAUUUUAUGAUAUUCUUCUUUGUAGCUGUUGUUAUGCAAAUACACAGUGAUUUAUUUUAUUGGUUGUACAAUCUUGUUGAUUGCUGUAAGUGAAGAUUAUUCUCUCUGUUGAGAUCUAUUCAUUUUAUAAGGAUAGGAGUAAAUGGUUAUGGUUCUUGAAUGUGUCAACAGCUAUCGCCGUAGUCCUUGAAUUAACCAAAAUUACGUAAUCAUUCUUGAAUGUGUCUCUAGUUAGUCAAUUUGGUAGUUAGUUCGUUACUCAAAUGGUCUUCCAUUGGUUAAAUUAGAGCAUCAAAUUCUUGACCGAAGAUACGCAAGGAUGUUUUGCAAUUUUGAUUCAUUCAAGGACUGUAAUGACGCCGCCUCACACAUUUAGGAACUAAAAUGACUGUUUACUAAAAAAAAAGAUGUUUAAGAGGAUAUAGCUGUGAUUCCUUUUCAAUCAUUUUUUGAACUUUUUAUUGGGGUUGUAAGAAUGAUGGAGAUGAAAACAAAGUAUUUAGCAUUUGAUAUCUGCUAUUUUUCGAUUGGGGGUAUGUAUUUCGUUAUUCCCUGCUUAAAAUUUCUCAAAGUUAUGUCAUUGCUUACAUAACAGAAAGUAACUGUUGAGCCUUUAUGACUUCUUUCAUGAUCCUGAGAAUACAUGGGAGUAAAACUUGAAAGUAACCAGAUAUUUGAAUUCCAAACUGAAUCAUUCUCCAACUAUACUAUAUGAUAGAGCAAACUCGAUUGUAUAUAUAUAGAAAUAUCUGCACCAAAUCAAAGAGUGGCAAGAGGGAGUGAAAAAUAUAGAAUAUGCAUGCAACAAGAGACAGUCAAUGCAGACUAAAAAAGUAGGGAUGAGUGUUAUUACAUGAUUGUCUAGGAAUACUGCUCAUUUGAGCAAAGUUCCACAUAUUAAUUGCAUACUCAAAGUUCCACAUACUAACAUGUACACCACAAGGCUUUGUCAUUGUCAAAGAAACUAGUUAUGAAUUUACUGACAAGCAUUUCUUUUCUCUUCUUUCCAAAAAACAGCACCAAGGAUUGAUUGAUAUUAUGCUGUUUAUUAUUUAACAACACAGCAAGAUAGCAUUGCUGUGUUAAGCUUCACAAGUGCAGAUAAAACUUCAUUCAUAUUAGGACGAUGUUCAGGAUCAGAGAGGGUGCAGCACAAUGAAAGCUUAAAGAGCUCUUCCAACACUUCUCCAUUGUCUUUUGUGAUCAAUUCAGGGUCCACAAUGCUGACAAGCUGUUCCGUUCCAUUUGCAACGGCUUUUGCCACUACAUCACGCAAACUUGUUGAUUCUGAGAGCCCUGUUGGCCUUCUUUUUGUUAGAAAUUCCAUUACUAUGAUGCCAAAGCUGAACACAUCCACUUUCGUCGUUACUUUCCUCAUGUAGGCAAAUUCUGGAAAUUACAUUGAAAAAUAUUGUUCAAAAUGUUGAAAUUAUAAAUUGGGAUAAAAACAGAUUACACAUAAUUCAAUGAUCAUAAAAGAUUAGAAAAGGCUUAUACCUGGUGCCAAAUAGCCAAUUGUGCCUUGCAAAGCUGCUGUUGAGGAAAGGGCACUGCCAUCUUGCAAAUGAAGACCAAGUAUUCGAGCUGUCCCAAAAUCACUGACAUGUGCUUCAAAAUCUCUAUCUAAAAGGAUGUUGGAAGGCUUUAGAUCACAAUGCACAAUGGGAAAAUCAUAACCAGAGUGCAAGUAAUCCAAUCCACUAGCAAUAGAAAUGAAAACUCGGAGUCUUUCAGAUAAUGUCCACCUCGACUGAUCAACUUCUCUGUCAUGUAUGAUGCUAUCCAAAUUCCCAUUCUCCAUGUACUCUAGAACUAAAGCCUUUAUUUUCUGACUUUCCCAAGCAUAUCCAUGUAUCUUAACUAAAUUCCUAUGUCUCAGCUGGCACAAGGUGCUGGCUUCUCUCUUGAAUAUCUUGUCGGUAUUAGCUGAGAAUUGGUGCAAAUUCAACCUUUUUAUGGCUACAAUCUGACCAUCUUCAAAUUGACCCUUGUAAACGGUGCUCAAACUGCUAGAACCAAUGAUGUAGUCUGAGCUGAAACAACCGGUUGCAUUUUCUAACUCCUUUGGACUGAAUCUUUUAAGAGCCAAUGCUGAACCGUUCACUGAUUCAUGAUUCUCAGUAUCAACACUCUUUAUAGAAUUACCGAACAUGGUGCCUCGGUUGAAAUAUAAAAUCAGAAGCACUGCAAGUAGAAGUACAGCAAGAGAUCCAAGUGCAGCAAUGAUAGCUAUGCUCUUCUUGGAUAGAGAAUGACCGUUCUCUCUGCAUGGACUUAGGAAUUUUGCUCCACAAAGAGCCUGGUUUCCCAUCAUACUAGAUUCGUUGAUAUGUGAAAAUAUUCCAGUCAAAGGCACAGGACCUUCUAGUUGAUUAAAAGAAAAGUUUAGCUGCAUCAGGUUGGAAAGAUUGGCAAACCCCUCAGGAAUAGUUCCCUUCAAGUUAUUCUGAGAAAGAUCUAACGAACUAAGAUUCUUAAUCUGAGACAUGCUUUCGGGUAUUUCACCAUCUAAAUGAUUUCUUGAAAGAUUUAAGCUCUGAAGCAAGUCCAUGCCACUAAAAACUUCAGCAGGGAUAGGACCUGAAAUAUUGUUUACUGAGAAAUCAAGACUAAACAUAUUUCUGCACCCGGCAAGUGUCUUCGGAAGGAAACCUGAAAGAUUAUUGUUUGAAACAUCAAUGGCUUGUACCAUUUCCAACAUCCCUAGUUCAGAUGGAACACUUCCUACAAAGUGGUUGUAAGAAAGGUUAAGAUACAUCUGCAUGUCUUUGAGGUGUGCAAUGACGUAUCCUGGAAUCAAUCCUGAGAGGCGGUUGUGAGAGAGAUCCAACAGUAGAAGAUGAUCAAGCUUCCCCAUGCUUUUCGGAAUGGAACCAUUAAGUUUGUUUCCGUGAAGAUCUAAGUAUGAAAGCAUCUCAAGCUUCGAGAUAGAAUCCGGUAUUCGACCAACCAACUUGUUUUCAUGCAGCAAAAGUAUAGUCAAUUCUUUUAGUUCAGAAAGUUUAUCAGGUAUUGUGCCUUCUAAUGCAUUGUCAUAAAGAGAGAGUCCUUGAAGGAGAGAAAGUUUGGACAAUUCUAUUGGAAUACGACCUGAUAAUCUAUUUUCAGAAAGAGACAAAAUGAUGAGUUUAUUCAAGUUACCAAUCUCUGGUGGAAUUGGUCCUAUGAAAGCAUUUUUAUUCAGCUUCAAACGCAUGAGUUUAAACAGAUUUUUGAUACCGGAUUUUAUCGAUCCACUGAAGCUGUUAUCCGCCAAAAGUAAAGUACUAAGGUUUGAGCAAAUGUAAAGAUCAUCUGGUAUUUCACCACUCAUUUUGUUGGAUUGAAGGGACAGGAAAGUAAGAUUUGGCAACCUUGAAAAACCCUCAGGAAUUUUUCCAGUUAAAGAAUUAAUAGAUAAACUCACAUUAACCAAACUAGUACAAUUGGUAAUGCUAGGAGGAACAGGUCCGUGUAAAAAGUUGUCGUUCAAGACAAGAAACUUCAAAUUUUGAAGCACACCUAUAUUGGAAGGAAUUUCACCUGAAAGGAGAUUCUGACUCAUGGACAAAGAUGUCAAGUUUCUCAAGUUUGUUAUCGACGAAGGAAUCGUCCCGGUAAACUUAUUCAAAUGAAGAGUUAACACUUUUAAGGAACUCAAAGAUCCAAUCUCAGAAGAAAUUGUUCCCUCUAAGUUAUUCUCUGAUAAUCCUAAAUGUGUUAACGAUUUCAACUUAAAUAUAGAAUCCGGUAUUGUUGAGUUCAAGUUAUUACCAAACAACCUCAAAGUUUCCAACUGAACUAAAUUCCCUAGCUCAUGAGGAAUACUUCCAAUGAACUUAUUUUCAUAUAACUCAAGGUUAACAAGAUUGCUACAAAGAGCCAGCUCAGAAGGAAUUUUUCCACUCAAUGAAUUUUGAAGCAAUAAAAGAUAUUGUAAAUUUGUUAGGUUUCCAAUCUCUCUAGGUAUGACACCUGAUAACUUAUUUUGACUAAAAUCAAGAGAUAACAAAGAUCCUAAUUGGCCUAUAGAAACAGGUAUAGAUCCAACAAAACUAUUACCAAAUCCUCCAAUCUGUAUAGUGUUAACUAAAUUCCCUAUAUUUGAUGGAAUAGUUCCAGUAAGGUUGUUGAAAUUGAAAGCAAUACCUAACAAAGAAGUUAUGUUGAAUAUGCUAACAGGUAAGGUUCCAUUGAGAUAGUUAUUACCUAUAUCCAAAUACUGCAACAUUUUAAGGUUACCUAAUUCAUGAGGGAUUGAACCUGAGAGAGAAUUACCAGUAAGGUAAAGUGUUGUAAGUUGAGUGCAAAGACUAAUUUGAGGUGGAAUUUGACCAGUUAAUGAAUUUGAAGUUAAAUCAAUAAGUUGAAGUGUUGAAAUGUUUCCAAGGAAAGGUGAAAUCUCACCUUGGAGUUGAAGUUCAAAGAGUGAAAUUGAUAUGACAUGUUUUGAAGAAUUGCUACAUGCAAUGCCUGACCAGUUGCAAUGAGGGAUUGUGUCAAUCCAAUUUGCAAGAGCUUUGUUUGGAUCAUUUGUUAUGGAUUUUUUGAAUGCUUUCAAUGCUUCAAUUUCAACUUUAAUGGUUGAUGUUUCAGCAUGUGAAACAAUAAUGGAUAGAAUUGAAAUGAGUAUGACUAGAGUCAAACUAAGGUUUUGAGAUGGCAUGACUUGGAAUUGGAUUGGUCAAUUGAAUUUGAAGUUUGAUGACUUAAUAUCAAAGUUGUAGUGAAUGAAGGCUUUAUAUAUGAUUUUGUUCAUGUAUGUAUCCACUAUUUUAUUUUUCUUUGUAGAUAGUAAUAGUAUGACCCGUGGCUAUAGAGUGUGUUCACAUUACAUGCAAUUGCAUUGUGAUAAAAGAUAAAUCAUUAGAUGACAAAAAAUGAAUAAUAUCUUUCAUUUGACUUAACUAACUAGUUGAGUACUUAAGGUUAUUGCUGUAUAUAAGUAACCGAACUUGGUGCAUCUUCUACUGAUUGAGAUGCUACAUAAGAUGCGACAAAUAUUUAUAUGAUCAAAUCAAGGGGAAGUACCAAUGGGAGUAUUGGAUAUAUCCACAAAGAUCAAAAUCAAGGGGAGAAUAGAAACUACUAGCAUAAACCAAUUUUAGUUUUGGUAUUGUCAAAAUAAAGAUUUAAAAUUUAGUAAUUCAAAAAUAAAAAAUAAAUUUAAUUUAGAUUAGCUUCUAACAGGGUGGUUUUUCAAUUCAAAAUAAAUUUAUAAAAAUUUGAGUUUAAUUAAAUAGAAAAUAAUUCGAGAGAAUAAUAGUAACAAACUGAAAAUUUAAAGAUUUUUAAACGCUCAUAAAACUAUUGGCCGAUAAAUUUGACAAAAAACAAAGUGACAUUUGUUGAAACUCUAAAGUCUAAAAUAUAAUUUUUGCAUAAAUCACAUAUAGUUUAUUAUAAUUGUCAAUUUCAAUGUGAACCAAAAACAUACAUUAAUAGAUGAUAAAAGUAUAGUAUGGUUGCUACACUUCAUCUUAGUCAAUAUGGGGUGUGAUCAAAACCACCACUUGGUUAUUUAUCUCCUACUUCUUUGAAUCACACGUUAGAUUCUUUUUGUACUUUGGCCCCAUUGUUUAUACGAAUACAAUUAAACCCUACAAAUUGAUUGAAAACAUUUAAUAAUUAUCUAGAAGAAGUCUUGCUAAUAUACUAGUUGUACGAAUGCAAUGAUUUUUCUAUGAAUCAAUUCUUGAGUCUAGUCUACGAUUGUUGAAUUUUUGAAGUGUUUAACAUAAACUAAUUUUGCAUUAGCAAGAAAGAAUCUAAAAAAUACUGUAAUCUAUGUGUUGAUGACUUUGUCAAAUCAAGGAAUGCAUAAUUGCAUAUGGUGUGUGAAUGUAAAGUACAAUUUUAGAUGGUAUGCCAAAGUUCUAACGCGGUUUGCGGAAAGCUAAAGAAAACAAGUGGCCAACUUGUAAUAAAUAAUAUCAUGCAACUAGCACAACACAACACCAAAAUGAUUUUCCAUUUGAAGCUUAGAUUUGGAAAUUGGACUCUGACGUGUGAGUGAGUCCACAGCAGAGUAUGGAUAGUGUAUAAAUGAGUACCCAUACAUCCCAACAGUGACAUGGUUGGGUCAGGAAAAUUCGUGGAAGAUGAGCACUAACGUGUCUGUUUUUCCGCUCUUUUUAUUGUGCUAAUGUUUAAAAAUUAUGAACAAUGUUUUUUUAAUGAAAUUUUGAUUUUGAUUAAAACUAAAAAUAUAUAUUUUUGUUUUUUUUUCAAGUUAUAACAAAUCAAACUACCAUGAUUAUCUAUUUAAAUAACAUCAAUAAUAUAACAAAAAAAUAUAAUCUAAUUAUUUUUUUAUAAUGACACCAAAAACAUACUUAUAGAAAAAGUUGUUUAAGAGUAUAAUUGGGAUAGUGAAAAAGUAAGUAUAAAUAUAUUCAUCUAGUUUGUUACACUUUUUAAAUGAUAAAGGAAAAAAAACCAAACAUAUAUAUAUUCAUACCGUGUUUAUUAUAUUUUUUUAAUAUUUAAAUUUAUUCUUAUCUAUUUUUUACAUGUGUCAUUUGUAUCGAAAAUUGAGGCAUUUAAAAAAAAAAAAAAUCAAUCCAAAAGAGCUGAAAGAUAUUAUUUUCUUUAUAUAUAAUAUAGAUUUAUUAUUAUUUUUCAAAUGUUUCUUCUAUCCAAUAUAAUCUAUUCGAAACAUUAGAUGUGAGAUCUCUUUUAGUAGGAUUCGAAUUUAGUCCAUCCAUCACGUUUUGAGAGUUUAAUUCAUUCCGUUAGACCCGACUUUCUCUAUCGAAGAUAUUGCAAUAUUAUUUAGGUUAAAUGUCAGGUACCGUCAAGUCGUUACUUCUAGAAUUUUUUAAAACUCUUGUGUUUUUAGCGUAAUACAUUCAAAUGACACAAAUUGUCUACAUGUACAUGUUGAGAUGUGUAAGAAGGAGAGAGCAAGGAAAAAAUAGUUAGACCCUCCUAGAAUUGUGGAGUAGAAAAUGUCAAUGUUUUAUCAUACAUCUGUUUGGAACCGAAAUGGAUCCUCUCAUAUGUGAUUUAAACAUGAGAGGUAAUACUAAUGUGUGUAAUUACUUACCAUUCAAAAUGAACGAGACACGUAAAAAAAAUUAGGAGAUAUAUAUUUCUCUUUUAUUUUGAAUAGUGAGAGGCUACACAUGAGAGUAUAUAUAAAUAUUCAAAAUUGUUGCCAAUAUAUAUAAGAGGCAUAUCACAUCCGGCUUGUUUAGCAAGAAUUCGUAGGAUAAAGAGAGUUUUCUGAAACUAAGAAAAUUUGAUAUUUUAAAAGUGUCAUAGUAAAAUUGGAUUUUUCAUAUUUUAUGGGAUACAAGUCAAAUUUAAUUGGGUAAGGAAUGUAAUUUUCUAAGGCUUUGUUUGGGAGUUUGGAGGGGAGGGGAGGGGAGAGUUUUAGAAAAAAGGAAGGAGCAAGUGGAAGAAAUAGAAGACAUUGGAAGGAGAGGACUUUGGAGGUUAAUUUUUUACUCAUAAUAAAAAAUCCCUCUCAUUUGGGGAACUCAAAAAUUGUAUUGGGGGAGGGUUUUGGGGGUUAUCGAGGGUUUAUAUGAAUUUUUCAAAUUCAAUCUAUGUUGCUAUAAUAUUUUUAAAAUUAAAAAUAUAUUAAUCAUAAGUAUUAGUUUAUCAUUCUCUAAAAAUCUGUUUUUUCAAAAAAUGUGAAUUUUUUGUCAAUUUUUCUAUAUAUUUCCAACCCCCAAAGCCCUCCCCUCCCUUCCUCUCCAAACUCCCAAACAAAGCCUAAAGAAAAAAAAAAAAUCCAGUAUAAUAUCAAGCCCGUCUUAUCGCAAUUAUGCUAUUUCAUUUGGAUCACAGAAGUUAAUUUCGAAAUUGCUUUAUAGAUCCCUCUAAUAGUUUACAGGCCCCUCAAAUUUCCUACAAUGCUCCUGCAUUAAUACAACAUCAGGUUCUAACUCUCAAUCGUUUAUGGUUCGGUGGUUAUGAAUUGAUUAAGGUUUAUGAACCAAUCUAAAAUUUGGUGGUUAGAACCCAAUCAGCCUAGUGCAUAACGCAUAAUUGAAGAACAGUGACAAAUAAGAAUGAGUAUCUUAUGUGUGAGAAUGAUUAUGAAUAAACAUCAACCAUCAAAUAAAAAAUGCAUGGUUGAGAUUAAAACAUCACAUCAUGUGCACCUCAUUCUCACCCUUGUUUAUCUCCCUCAUUCCAACAAUCUCAUCUCAUCAUUCCUCUAUUGUAGCAACCUUCAUUCACCGUUUAAUAUUUCCAUUGAUUUUGCAUUUCAGCACCAGAAACAUUCGAUAUCCAUGGUUGAUUUUGAUGUUCUUCAUCCCCUUCCUAUUGAUCUCUACAACCCAUAUUUUGCAUCAGGCACUGAGCUAUCUCAUAAGCCACCAUUGGUUGUCCCUUACUUCAUCCAAUAAUUUCAUCACAUAUAUUCAUCAUUAAUUUAGAAAUUCACAACCGUGUACCCUUGUUCAUUUUCAAUUUACUGAUUUCAAUUUGUACUCGAAAUUUGUUUUUUUUUUUAUCACGGAGGUUUCAUAAUUAAAAUUGAAAGAAAAAAUCAAUUUGAUUUGUACUUACGAAGACCCGAUCGGAAUCAAUUUAUGAAGUUCAAGAUUCGUCUAUUUUUUUAUGAAGGAAAUAAUUUGUCGUUGUGUGACGAAGAUAAAAAAAGAAAAAAAAAAAGAGAGGUGACAACGAGAAUGAGGCGCAUGUGAGUUUUAAUGUGAUGUUUUAAUCUUAACCAUGCAUUUUUUAUUUAAUGGUUAAGAUUUAGUUCUAUCAAUCUCAUAUAUAUAUAUAUAUAUAUCAAGUGAGAAUGUGUAUCCUAUAUGAAAAUGAUAAGACUAAAUCUCAGCCUAACUACCGAGUCGCUCGGUUUGCAAGUCUUGAGUAGCUCCUCCUUUUGAUCCUCACUCGAUACUGGAUUCCCAAAUUUGUUUCUAUGAUAAUUUGUUGCAGUCUAGAAUAUUGAUCGGCGUAUUCCAUACCAGUAUCAUUCCCCUUCAAAAUUAUGUUUCUAAAUAUAUCUGCAAAAACAUCCAUAGUUUCACUUUUCAUUCUCCCGCUCUAUCAGACACUCGAUACAUAUUAGCCUAGGCAGAACUUCCUCUAUAGGAGGCAAUAACAUGGGAUAAAAAAGAUCUUGUAGAACCAUGAAAUAUGUAACCAAGAUCAGUUUUCCACCUUGUCUCCACAAAUAGAUCCUACAUGUCUUAAGGUACGACAUGCAACAAGUAAUCUUGGAAUGUAUGUUCCAUCUAAAAAAACAUUUCUCUUUCAUGCAGAAGAGACGUGAUGUCUAAGGAUGCUUUGAAAACACAUCUUGGGGUCGCACUUUAUCCAUACUACUCCACACUUUACAAUUCAUUGUUUAGAUUUUUAACAGUUUAGUUGACUCACCAAGCAAGUGUUGUUUAGAUUAAUUUUUGUUUCUAUUUGCUUUCUAUUAUAUUCCUUUUGUUACUGAAGAAAAAAAAAUGAAGUCUUCGUGAGUCAAUCCGUGUCAAUGGUAGAAACAUAGAUAGACCUGACCACUAGACUAAUGCACUGGAUUUACUAAAUAUUCACAAAUUUGUUAUUGUUAUGCAAUAUCUGAUCAUUUAUAAUUAUAAUUAAUUAAUUUUAUAAAUAUUUGUUAUGGGAAAUGCUUAGGAGAAUUGUUGUUCCCACAUUUAGUUUGGCUAUGCCACACGAGUAAUUUAUCCAAAUGUCCUUCGGCAGUUAACUGCCGAAUUAUGAAACCGGCUGCAGUUAACUGCCGAGGAAAACUUCGGUAGUAAACUACCGAGAAAACUGAAAACUUCGGCAGUUAACUGCCGAGGAAACCUCAAAUCUUUUUUUUUUUUUUUUUUUAUUCUUUGAGAAUAUUCCGCGGUCUUUAUCAUUUUUGAUUGAUUUUUCUUAAUAAUUCGUUUUUAAUUUUAUUGAUUUGCCUUCCUUAUUUAUUUUAAUUGUAUUACUCCUUUAAAUCUUUUUUUUUUUUGUUAUAACUGCUUUGAUCUUCAACAAUAGUGAAUAUUUUAUUUCCAAAGAACUUUCACGGAAUUUUCUUCUUUUAUUUCCUUUUUACGGAAAUAUUCACAAUUAUUUUAAUUGUAUUACUCAUUUGAUCUUCUUCUUUUUUUGCCUAUUUUAUUUCCAAAGAACUUUCACGAAAUUUUCUUCUUUUAUUUCCUUUUUCUUUGUUUUAGGCUUAACAUUUAAGUCCUCAAAAAACAUUUCAAUAAGUGUAAAAAUUAAGUAUUUGAAUAUUGUUUUGCAAAUUACUUAAAUAAAAAAAAAAUCUUUGUACACAAUUAUUUUAAUGUAGAAAAUAUAACAACAUAUUAUACCUUAAAAAAAAUCGUUGUGCACAAUUAUUUUAACGAUUUUUUUAUUGUUAUUUGUAUUUAAGUAAUGUGCAAAACAAUAUUCAAAUGCUUAAUUUUUACACUGAUUUAAAUGUUAUUCUUAUUAAGAUAUAUAGACAUAAGUAUAAUACUCCAAUUGUUUAAAACGUACCAAAAUAAUGAUUGAAACAUUCAAAAUCAAUAAAUAUUAUUAAAGACAAUUUAUGGUUUUUGUCAAAAAAAAAUUGAUAUUAAUGACAAUUUAUGGAUUUUGUCAAAAAAAAAAAAAAUUCAGGUUUGAGAUUUCCUCGGCAGUUAACUGCCGAAGUUUUUUUUUCCUCGGUAGUUUACUGUCGAAGUUUUCCUCGGCAGUUAACUGCAGCCGUAUUUCUAAAACUUCGGCAGUUAACUGCCGAAGGGUAUUUGAGUAAUUUACUCGUAUGGCACAGCCAAACCAAAAGUGAGAAUAGCAAUUCUCAAUGCUUAGUGUAGCGAAGGAUUGCAUGACGUGUCGCCAAUUUGCGAUUUUUUUUGGUAACCGAGUUGCAUUCUUUUGUUCAGAUUCUCUCUCUUAACUAGUUUAUUUUCUCUCCUUUUUUCUGUUGAUAAAAGUUCAAUUCUCCUUUUUCUUUAACAAAAGAUCAGUUUGUGCCAUUUGACUAUGUUUUGAACCACAUGUGAUGAUUUCAUGGCACCCAAGGUUGGAGCUAAAAUCAAUGGGAGAUUUGAACUAGAAUUUGGGUAGGUAUGAUUUAACAUGAAGAUAGGGACAGUGCCUCAAAGAAGGAAUUUCUGAUGCUCUUGGAACAGAUUACGUGAUUGUGUUUUGAUAACAGUGGUCAAAAGUUGUAUAAUGGAAUAAGAGAGGAUGAAGCUGAAACUCUGAAAGAAGGGUCUUAGCUUCAUGACGGUGGAUUUAUAUUAGUUUUUUACUUAUCAAUAUUUAUUAAGAAAAAAAUAUAUAAAAAAAUAGUACUCGUGAUCAAUAAUAGUGUUAGUAUAUGUACUCCUCUUUUAAAAAAAAAAGUAUUAAGCUAUGUAAUGUAUGCAUUUUACAUAGGUGUUUUCUAAUUUUGAUCCACUCAUUGUUUAGGUAAAUGGGCAACUAAAAAAUUAGUCGGUGGAAGAUAGCAUAUCCUAUCAUACAUAACUUGCAUUCACUCGUUUUUUUAGUAAAUUAAUUAAUAAUUUCAUAGCUAAAAAUCUGUAAAAUACAAUGUAAGAUGUAAGUAGGGGUGGGCAUGAUUCGAUUAAUCAUAUUAACCGAACUAAAUCGAGCCGAAAUGUUGAAAUGGUUCGAAAUAAUUGAACCGAACCGUUUAAGGUUUGAAAUUAACCGAACUGAACCAAAGUUAUGGUUCAUUAACCGUUUGCUUGUCUAUUAACUGAACCGAACCAAAAUCAAAAUUUUGAAUCGAAAUGUAUUUUUUUUAUGGCUUAAUACAUCGUUUGGUCCCUUAACUUAUUUUUCAUUUUCAAUUUGGUCAUCUAACGAUAAAGUGUAUCAAUUUGGUCUCAUAACUCUUCUGUCGUUUACCAUUUUGGUCAUCUCCGUUAGUUUUUAACCUUAAAAUGACUAAGGUGAACCAACUUUGUAGGUGGUCCACCAUAGAUCUUAUAAAUUCAUUUAAUUUUAACCCUUUGAUAUUUUUUUUAAAAAAGAGAACUGUUGGAUCAUAUAUGUCUGUUGUAUCAUACGGUGAACAAUCAACACCUAAUUUUUUUCCCCAUUUCUUCAUCUCCUUCAUCAUCUUCAACAUCACAUUCAUACUCCUUCAUCAAUCUUCAUAUAAUACAGAAGAAAAAAAAAUUCUCUUCAUCAAAAUCAAAUCAUUUCCACACAAUAAAUAAUAUCAUUAUUAGAGUCAAACUCAAAAAAUCAAACAACAACAACCCUUAAAACCUAUAAAUCAAACUUAACCCAGAAACCAAACAAAAAACAACUUCUGACUCAACAAAAUCAGGCACUGUUGGAUCAAACGAGAGAAGGAAGAAUCAAAUUCACAUCAAGAAUCAAAAGAAGAAGGAGAUUAUCAAACUGGAAAAAUGGGGUCUUUUAAGGAAAAAAUUGAGGGAAUUAAUUGGAAUGACGAUCUAUGCUUCACUAUGCUUGUCUCUGCUUCUUCUUCGAUACUUCGAUGCUUCUUUUCAGCAUCAAAAUUUCAGCCAACAAUUGAGAGAAUUUGUAGGAGUGAAGCAUCGAUACUUCUUGUUGGCUGAAAUUGAGGGAAUUAGUAGUAAGAAGGGCAAACUGAAAUAAGUGUGAAAAUUGAAGCAUAGUGAAUCAUCAAAGAAGAUGGAUUAUAUACCCAUUUUAAUGUCAACGAACAUGUGAAGAUGGAUGAUUUUCAUCCAGGUUUCGUUAAUUAAAUAACCAUUUUAAUUGAUUUUUUUUUAUGGUUUAGUGUGAUUCAGUUUAUUAUUAGUAGGCUUAAUUGCACUUUUGGACCCCUAUCUUUUCAAAAGUUGUGGUUAUGGACCCCUAACUAAUUUAAAUACAAAACAUCCCCCUAUGUUUUGAUUCUUUGGCAGUUUUGGACCCCCAAGGCAAAAAAAAAAAUGACACGUUGCACCUCACUUAGGGUGCCACGUCAGCGUUGACCGAGUCAACAAUGGACUGGGGGUCCAAAACUGCCAAAGAAUCAAAACAUAGGGGGCUGUUUUGUAUUUAAAUUAGUUAGGGGUCCAUAACCGCAAUUUUUGAAAAGAUAGAGGUCCAAAAGUGCGAUUAAGCCUUAUUAGUAUUAUUUUUUUGAAGAAAGUGUGAUUCAGGUCAUUAUUAUUGUUAAGUUAACCGCAUAUUAUUUUUUCUGGGUUUGUUUGUUCAAAUAUUUUUGGGUUUAUAUGAGUGGAGGAGAAGAAGAAAAGGGAAAAAAUAAGAUGUUGGUGGCUCACUAUUAUAACAAUAGACCUGCAAUCGAAUGGUUUAAAUUGUAUCAAAAUUAUUAGACAUCAAAAAACUAUCAGAGAUAACUAAAAUAGGUAACGACAAAAGACAUAAGGGAUCAAUUUGAGACGUUUUUUAGUUAGGGGAUCAAACUGAAAACAGAAAAUAAGUUAAGAGACCGAAUGAUGUAUUAAGCCUUUUUUUUAUCCUUUUGCAAAAAUUUAACCAUUAACCGAAAAGUGUUCCUCAGUGUCUCGUAUCCCGUUUGAUUCAUAUUGACCUUCAAGGAGGAUAUCUAGGAAAUUCAAAUGAGCUGGAAUUUACUGGCUAUGUUUUGCAAAAUGGACUUGUUUUGAAGACAAUGCUUAUUGAUAGUUUUUGCCUAGACCGGCCUAAAAUUUAAGAUUAGCCUUCCAAUGAGAUGCUCCCAUCAUUUUGCUGACAUUCUUAACAUAGAUAAUCAUGGGGGUAAUGAGUAGCAGCUUAUUGCCUCAAACAUAUUAUUUGAUACAGUAUAUAAAUGUGUUACUUUUCAACUGUUAGUUAGAUGUUAGCUAUCACUGCUACAGUUAAGUUAUAAUUUCUGUUUUUCAACUGUUAGUUAGAUGUUAGCUAUCACUAUUAUGGUUAAGUUAUAAUGUCUGUUUUUGGCAGUUGGUUGUUUGCAGCAAUUCUGCAUAUAAGUUAUAAGCACCGUAAAUCUUUCAUACAAUUAAAUAAUCAGACUAUAAUUUGACAGAGAAAUGAAAUAUGGUUUGAAUUUAUUUAUUAAAUGAUAAGAAGUUGAUAGGGUACUAUUUCUUUGAAAAAUUUAACCAUUAACUUAGCCUCAUAACUAACAAAAGAGCAUGAAAAAGAAUUUAUUUUUCAAUUUCAUAGUAGUGGUUCAGUUCAGUUAAUUGAGUUUGGUUCGGUUCGGUUAACCGCUCGGUUCAGUUAAUGAACUGUUUUUAAAAUAACUGUUCGGUUCAAUAACCAAUGCAAUAGUUCAGUUAAUUUUAGUUUAGUUCGGUUCGAUUCGAUUUUUAAAUAUUUUUGCCCACCCCUGAUAAGAAUCUAAGGCCGACCAUGACAACAACAAAUCUAAGAAUCACUCGAAUGAUACAACAAGAGAACACAUAUACCUCAACUGUAUGUUACCGAUCCUAAACUACCUAACCAUCCAAUUGAUGUAUAAAAUUUAUAUAAACCUAGUAAUCAUUUGUCAUUUAACACUAUUUAUUAGUUUUGUAAUAAAACGAUAAAGAUCUUAAAUGAUUAGGACUCGUAUAGAAGUUGUCAAUCACGAUAUUUGGCAUAAUAUUGUAUGGUUAAUGGGACUCUUGAGUGACCUACUGACCUUGAUAUACUGGAGACGUUUUGACUAAUUUUUUGAUGUGUCGAAACCAAUAACAAUAAAAAUGAUAGCAUGAAUUUGCUCGAGAGAUUGAAGAUUGAAUACAGUUUUUCUACCUUUCACUUUAUCUUUGAUUGAAAAAGUGUUUUGUUUGAAACACUAAAACCUUUGUACGAUGAUGAAAUAGUAAAGACUAGAGGCGGAGUCGUUCACCUCUCACAAUAAUACCAAAAUAAUAAAUUGGGACAUUUUUUAUUACUAUAAUAAUAAUAAUAUAUUAAAAUAAUUGUUUUCCUAAUACUUAUACACAUAACAAUAAAACAUAAAAGGUAAAAAAUUAAAAUAAACAAGAAAAGUAAUUGUAUGAUAAUAUUGACACAUAUUGUAAUUGCCCCUAAUAUUUUAAUUACUUUUUAAACAAGAUUCGUUGAUUAACAACAUAUUUUUGAUUAUAUUGACAUGAUUGUUGGUGGCUCAGGAAUUGCCCCUAUACUCCGGCAGUUAACUGAGAAACUAUAUUGAAUUAUGAUGACAAAACUCAUGUAUUGAUUUAUGAUAAUGUUUCUCCCAAAUGAAAUAUUACUUCAACAAAACUUGACAUUUUAGCCAAAAGUCAUCCAGACUUAAAAUGUAUUAUACGGAAUCAAACAAAAAAAGAUGUAGACUACGUAUCGAAGAAUAUGGUUGUGAAAGGCUACCUUGCUCCAAAUAAUGAUAAUAUUGUUCUUGUGUAUUGGUCCCUAAGAUGAUGCAACAUAUAUUUCAAGAAACGAACAAGGACUAAACAUAAAGAGAGUUAUCUGACAUACUCAAAAUACUCAAAUAUGCACGAUACACUAAACAAAUGAUUUAUAAAUUUGACAAUUUUUAUUUCCAUCCUCUGAAAGUGUGCAUGUCAAACACAAAUGAAUUGCUACAUAAUUUAUGCACUCAAGUGGUUGUUGCCUUUUUGGAAGAAAAAGAGUUAGAUGCAAAUGAAACUUAUAAAUAAAUCUAGAAUUAUAGAUGAUAGAUAAUUAUUCAUUUUCCCUUCAAAAAAAAAGAUAAUUAUUUAUUUCUAAGUCUUGAAUUUUUAAAAUUUAGUAGUUUGGAUGUCAAUAAAGGGCAUUUUGUGGGGGUAAACUUCUCACACUCAAUUGUCUUAAAAAAGGCAUAUUGUAUAUGCAUUGUAUAAAACGAAGAAAGAAAAAGAAGAAAAUAAAAAAUAAAAAAAAAUAGGUGAAAACAAAAGAGAGACCAAAUAAAUAAGUAGUGUUGUUUAUGUCUUUCAUUUAGUUUCAAAGUAAAUGAUGCAAUUUAUAAUAUCUAUACUAUAUAUAAAGAAAACAAUAUUUUUCAGUAUUUUUGGGCUGACUUUUUCUCUUUCUAAAAAUGCUCUUAAUUUUCAAUACAAAUAACACAUGUAAUAAAUAGCUAAGAAUAAAUUUAAAAAGUGUAACAAACUAGAUGAGUAUAUACAUGUUUUUUUUUUUUUACUUUAUCAUUUAAAAAGUGUAACAAACUUGAUGAGUAUAUUUAUAAUUACUUUUUCAUUAUCCCAAUUAUACCCUUAAACAAUUUCUAUACUAAAGAUUGCUGUUGGUGUCAUUAAAAAAAAAGUCGUUGAAAAUUGAAAUCGAUAAUCAUUGUUAGUUUGGUUUGUUAUAAUAUGAAAGCAACAAACAUUUAUAUUUAUAUUUUUAAUCAAAAUCAAAAUUCUAUAAAUAAAUAAAAACAUAGCGCAAUAAUUUUCAAACAUUAGCGCAAAAAAAUAUAACAAACACGAUAUGAAUACUCAUGUGCCCAUCUUUUCGCUAGUGUCUAUAUAAUAAUUGAAUGUUAAAAAAUUUUGAUGCGGUUUUUUAUAAUAAAAAAUUAGUUGUUUGAUAGAUAAUAAAUACAUAAUAUCUCCGUGAGCUUAACUUAGUUGGUAGGGACAAUGCAUAAUAUAUGCAAGGUCUGGAGUUCAAACCCCGGCCACCACAAAAAAAAAAAAAAAAAAGAUAAUGGAUACAUAAUACAUAAAUGUGUCAUGGGUUAAAAUUUACUAUCUCUUUUUAUUUCUAACAUAUAUAAUAUUUAUUCGAAUGUGACAUGGGUUAAAAUUUACUAUCUGUUUAUAUUUCUAACAUAUAUAAUAUUUAUUCGCAUAUGACAUGCAUGAUUUAAAUUGUCAUGUUUAAUACACGAAGAACAAGAGAGAUAAUCUUUGCAAGAUAUAUUGGUUGUAUGUGCACGUAGUUGAUAUUGUUGUUUGUGAUGUAAAUGCAUGACUCUAAUAUUCAUAUUUAAUACAUGAAUAACAAGAGAUAUAUGUAUGUAUUCUUUGAAAGAUAUAUUGGUGGCUUAUGCAUCUAAUUGAUGGUUGGUAUGUGUGCUUAAAAUUCAUGACUUCAGGAGUAACGUUUAAUUCAUGAGAAUAAGAUAAUAUCAAUUAUUUAUGAUUUAUCUAAUAUUUUCAACUGAUUUUUUAAUUUAAAAUUAAUUAUUCUUAAAUGAAUUUCUAGCUUAUAUAAAAAAUUAUAUAUUAAUCGUGUUUUAAUUAACAUUUUAUUUAAUUGACAAAGCACGCGUUCAUCAAAAUAUUAGGAGUUUUUGAAAUGAUUUUUUUUUAAUUGAUUCAAUCAAGUUACGAAUAAUUUUCAACCAUUAAUUUUCAUAUAAACCAAGAUACCACAUGCACAUACAGAGACUAGCUUUCAUUCUUUGUAUUGGUCUUAUUGUAUUAAUCGUCAAAUACAAGAAGCAAGAGUGUGAACACUAAUUAAUGAGAAGAUGAGCUAGAUUUCGAGUGUGGUAUAGUUGAGACUUGGUGAUCAUGUUGAGUUAAAAUGGUGUCUCUUCCAUUGUCGAAUUGAAACGAGAUAAGUUUAUUAAUUUGUUAAAGUCCUCUUGAAGGCUUUAUCAUGGUUAUGGAUUCAACUAGAAGUGUUAUAUACAUUGUAACUUGCAGUAGGUUUGAGUUUUCCAUCCAUAACCAAAUGAAUUGGGUUUGUUUUAAAAGUAAGCGAAAUGUCAUUCAAUUUAUUUUUCUUUUUAGUAACAAAAAAAAAUUAAUUGAAUGACAUUCAACUUACUCUUAAAACAAACCUAAAUCAAAUUUCAAGAAGAAACAUUUGAAAGCUUGCUAUUAACAACCUUGUGGCCAUUUUCUUUUUGAGUCUUCAUCAUGAGUGCAUGUUAAAGGGUUGUUAUAAGAAUGACUACAUGUUAAAUGAUGCAACUUUUAUGGACUAGUACACAUAAUUAAUAAUUAUAUUUCUCUUCCCCGAUUUAAAAUAAAAUAAAAUAACAAUACAAUACAAUACAAGAAAUCCUAUGUAUAAGUGAGAUGAGUUGUGUUAUUUGAACAUCUAUAUAUGUGAUAAUUUUUGUGACAAUCAAAAUUUUACAAAGAAAAUGAGAUAGUGGCACAAAAAUCAAAGUAAUAGAGAGAAAAAGUAAAAAAAAUAAUGUGAAUAUUAGAGAAAAAGUUGUCAAAAAAAUUGUAAAAAAUGAUUGUUCAAAUAUCAUUUAUCAGAUGAGAAAUAAAACCAUUUACUUGGUGGGAGCAUUUUACAAGCAACAUACUAGUUUGUCAAAAGCUAGUAGUGAUGUGAAGUUGAGCCAGUCCAUUAAAAUUGAAUUGAGGAAUAGCAUUGGAAUUUGGAGGGUUUGACGGCUUCAACAAGAAACCUUUCAAAAGCGUGCUAUAGUUGUUUUUACGAGUUCUUGCAAACAAUUAUGUCAGUAAAAUAACCUCCAAUAAAUAAGGAAAAUGUUAACCAGUACCUCUCUAGUAUCCGCCUUCGGGGCACUGGUUAAGGAAACAAAUAUAUUAGUUUUUGCAUCGAAAAUUGUGUAAUUAAUUUUUCAAAAAUCAAAAAAGUGUCUUUUUUAAUUUAAUUUUUCUUUUUUUAGAUGCCUUAAGCAGUGCCAGUUAACACAAGCCAAUAAAUAAAUCAAAACAGCCCUAAAUCUAACAUGCGGUGAAACUUUAACAAGUUAGAAUAUUGGAAUUAAAAAAAGAAACAUAAAAAUGCACUUCCAAUGAGGACAUUGAUCUUCUCAUGAGAUUUUAUAGCUUAAGAGCAAGGAUUAUUUUUUACAUGUUGCUAGUAAAAGAUAUCUCAUUACAUGAGAUAUCUUACUUUUAUAGUAACAAAUUAAAAAUAGAACACAUUGUAAUUAGAGAUCAGUAAUAUCUGUUAAGUUAUAAGCAGCAUUCAAUUACAAACAGAUUAUGUAUGAAAUUUGUUCUUUGUUAUAUUUGUGUAUAUGUCAAGCAAACGUAGGCUCAAAUUUUGUUCGGCAUAGAACUUUUUGUUAUAUGUAGUAAUAAACAUGCAAAUUUCUUUAUGUGGUAUAGAACUUCCACUUUCACAUUACUUAAAGUGGCACCGACAACCAAUAGUGUUAUACUAAUUUCCAAUACAACGUGCAAUUGUAUACUUUGGAUUAAUUAAUAUGUUCCUUUAUACUUUGGAUAAAGGAACAUAAUAGGAUUGAUAAAUAUAUGAUUGAGAAGGAAAUUUAAUCAGAAAGUUUGGUGCAAGAGAGCAUGCAAAUCCUAGAGCAUGUUGAUGUAGCAACAGAAAUUAAAUAUUGAACCUUUCAGACAGUUACCAACCUCCAAACUUCAUAUUUUCUCACUCUAUAUAUAUAGUCCCCUUGUUCAAUAACGACUAGCUGCAUAGUUACACAUCAAGUCCACUUAAACAUGGAGAGACCAAACACUGAAUCUGUUUUGAAGGUUGGAGAGCUUAAUUAUUGUUUUUCGGGUUAAGUAUGUUUUUAGUCCUUACAAAAUCACAAAUUUUUAAGUUUAGUCCCUAUAAAAUUUUAAUGGUAAUUUUAGUCUAAUUUAUAAGAAUAGUCCCUAUUUUAAAAACUUUUUAUAAAAAAUGAACACUUUUAGUCCUCCAAAAUAGUCCCUAUAAAAUGCAAAUAGGGAAUAAAAGUGAAUAAAAAAUUUUAAGGACUAAAUUUGAAAACUUGUUAUUUUGUAAGAACUUAAAACAUAUUUAACCCUUGUUUUUCUAAUGUUGCUUUGUUCAGUUUAAUUUCCUCUUGGUUAAUUAAUACUAAUUCCUAAUUGUUUCCAUUCUACUUUGCAUUUUCCUUAAUUUUCUGCGGUGAAAAGUUUGUCAAGAACACUUCACAGUCUUCAUCUCAUUGGAGUAUUAUUGAUUCUAAAGGAAUGGUGAGAUACCUAGAAUUUUUAUACACUCUCAUAUACUUGACUAGAAGGUGAUACACAUCUAAAUAUGUAUGGAGCGAAGUUGCAUUGCCACUUUGUGCCUCUAAUCACACAUAUGAGAAAUGAUAAGUUACAUGUAUAAAAAUUUAGCACAAGCACACACAUGUGUGAUGAAAUCAUAUAUAAUUUACAUAUAUAAAACCUAUUUUAGAAAUGUAGGCAUAUGAUAUGACAUAGCUAAUAUGUAAAAAUCAUGACUAACCCAUUUUACCUUUUCAAAAGUCGUCUUGAUUCCAUCUAACAAGUUUAUCCAUGCAACUUUCUCCUUGUCGUCAUAAUUGACUAAGCUACAUAUAUCUCUUUAAAACUUGUGAAAAGUAUCAUAUGCUACAGUCAAUAUAUUGAACCACUAUUUAGCAAGUGUUCAUAGGGGGAGUUCAAAUCCAAACCGGUUCAAAUUAAAAUUGGAAACCGGUUGAUCUAAAAAAAGCGAAAAAAGUGACCAAAAUUGAAUAUUAUUAUAUGUGUUUGGAUAUCAUUUUAUGAAAACCGCUCAAAUUUGUAAUUUGGAUAUUCAAAAAUCUAUCCAAAUUAAACCAUCAAUUACACCACAAAUUAAAAUCAGAUAUCCAAAAAAUCUUCCGACUAAAUAGACAUAAUUGAAUGUUUUUUUAGAUAAAAGAUGUACUCAAAGACAAGUUUUAUGACAAGACUAAGGUAAGGAGUUCCCCUCAAAAAAACAAGACUAAGGUAAGGAGUUACAUGAUACACUUAAAUGUACUAGACCACUAGACCCUCAUUUUCUUCUUUAAAUUAUGGUGAGCUAUUUUUCUGUUUGUUCAGGCUUCAAGAAAAUCUCCUACCAAAGAAAAUACUAGACCAAAAGAAUUCAAACUCCACACUCAAGAAAGAGCAGUCAAACGUGCAAUAUUCAACUACGAAGUAAGAUAUACAUAAUGAAUGAUUAAUGUUUAAGUUAGCAAUAUAAGUUUCUUUGUUCGGUGAAUGUGGUUUUCAUUAGGUGACAACAAAAUUAUAUCUCAUGGAGUUGCAAAAGAGACAAGAAGAGAAGUUGAUGAAGGUAUUUAGGCACAUAAUAAUGAAGAUAUAUAUGAUACUAAUUAUGAAAAUGAGAUUAAUAUUUUAGAGAAGCUAAUUAAUGAAAUGUGGAAUAGAUGAUUGAAGAGGAAGAGAUACGUGUGCUAAGGAAGGAUAUGGUUCCAAGAGCUCAAUUAAUGCCUUAUUUUGAUAAGCCAUUCUCCCCAAAUAGGUAAAUAACAAUGGAUCAAUUGUAUAUACAUACAUACUCAAAUGCGCAAAAAGAAAGAAGUGUGGUGACCCGUGAUACAAUUGGGGAUUCCACAUAGAAUAACCUCACAUUAUAUUAUUGAAAUAUUGUGAUUAACUUUAAAAAGAUCUCACUUGAGUUACAGAUCAAGCAGAACAGUUCCAAGAGAAUCAUGCAUCCACAUGAUGAGUAGCAAGUGUUGGAGCUGUGCUUUUGGCAAUGGAUUCUACAACAUUGACCAAUGUGGUCAUCAAACUCUCAACAACUCCAUUGGAUAGUUUUGUCUUGUCAAAUUUUAUUUAAUUUAAUAACAAGAUUUAAUGAUUCAAUGGUGGAAAAAUAAAUUUAUCCAAGGUGUAAUGUUAAUUUAUUUGUGCAUAUCAGAUAAAAUAAUAAUUUAUUUAACUAUUUUACACAAAUUAAAAAAAUGUAUAAAUGAAAGAUAUUAAAUAAUAUUUUUAUUACAUUACUCUUAUCAAGUAUUUAUGUAUUUGCAAUUAACAUCAUUAUAAAAAAGAAGAUAUUGUGCCGUAAAUGUAGCUUAGUUGGUAACUAUCAUGGGUAUGCAGAGACCGAUGUUUGAAUCUCAAAUUUUCCAUUUCUCCAUAUUUAAAAUAGGUGAAUCUAGACUAAAUUAUUUGUCAAAAAAAAAAAAAAAAAAAGAUAUUGAAUUGGAAGUGGUACAUAUAGUAUUAAUUUGAUUAGAUUGUACAAUUGAAAUAAAUAUAAAUAGGAAAAUAUUAACUAGUAUCCCCGGGACACUAGUUAAGGAAACCAAAUAUAGUAUAAGUACUUUGGAAUUUGUGUAGUCAAAAUAUAAAAAGUGUAAAGAAUAAUGUUUUUAAUGUAAAUAUUUCCUUUUUUGUUUUCUUCAUUAACUAGUGCUCCGAUGCACUAGUUAACAAGACUCAUAUAAAUAAGGGUCUUGUUAACGAGUGCCGUUAUCUUUAAAGUUUCCCAAUUAAUAAAUUUUUCUUUGAAAAAGUUUAACACUUCAAUUUCCGAAGCAUUAAAUGCAUAAUUUUCCAUAAAAAUUUACUAUUUAAAGUCCUUAAAGAAUGCCCCAAGAGCGUUCGUUAACAUUUCCCUAUAAUACCACUUUAAAAAAUGAAAAUGUCAAAUAUUUUAGAAUAUUUUUUUAUAAAUAGAUCGAUUAUUUGUGGAAUGGAUGAAGAAAUUCGAAAGGCUAAGCUACUACUAGUACUACCUUCUUGCCAUUAAAAGAAAGUGUCUAGUACUACGUCUUGUAUAUAUCAUGAGCCGACAAAAUAAUCAAAGAAGGAAGGGAAAAAAAAUUAACUAAAAUCCAAUCAAAAAAGGGGAGAUAUGGUUUUGAUUAGUUCGUAGGUUCAUGCAAUGGUUAGCUUCUCUAAAAUUGUGAAUGUGUGAGAGACAAACGUUGUCCGAUCAUAUAUUGUUGCAUAAGAAAAAGAAUGAUCUCACUAAUAAAAAAUUCAAGUUGUGUUAAACAACCAUUUGGUUGACAACUUUUAAGACAACCAUAAUUUCAUAAAGAAAAAGAGGUAUUGGUACAAAAAUCAAAGCAAUAGAGAGAGAAAAUAAAAACAUAAUGUAAGUAUGAGAGAGAAAAUUGUCAAAAAAUAGUCUAAAUAUCAUUUCUCUAAAAAAAAAGUUGGACACAUUUACCAAAAAAAAGAAGAAGGUUGGACACAUUUAUGUCAAGCCUCGAAACCCAAAGCUCGAGCCACACUCCAUGAGAUUUUUGAAAAUUUCUUCAAAGCAUAAAACCAGAAGCAAAUGGAAGUAUAUAAAAAUAAAGGGCAAAUUGCAUUGACUUGCAAAAAUGUCCCUAACACCUCCUAUAUUUUGCAAAAUGACAUUGACCUCCCUUAUUUUACUUUGAAUGUGACACAUACUUCCCUUGAAGGUUAACGGCGUUAGAUCUCUGUGAAAACAAAACAAAAAUUGUAAGAUUCUUAUUCUAAUUUUACUGAGCAACCAUUUUUCUUCCUUUGCAACUUUAAUGCUCCAAGAUUGAUGAACGACAUAACUCCGGUAGUUGUGAGCAUGUGAAUCUCACAAGGUUAUACUCAUACAUGGUUGUUUGUCCAUGGCAUAAAAAAACAGUAGGAAUAACAUGUGAUUGUUCUUUCAAGAACACCCAAACACAUACCUGCGAAAGUAUGCGCAACAUAUGCUAACUGCCAUUAACCGAGGUGCUUUUGAUUUAUCGCUCAAUUAGAUAAAAUCAAUUAAAUUUAGUUGAUUUGAUUUAUCUUAGAAAAUAACAGACUAAUGGUUCAUAAAUCAAUCUAAGAUAUUCAACAACACAUAUUACUUUGAGGCGGCUUUUACGGUAGGAGAGGGCAAUAGGUCCCCUACCGUAGGAGAUCAUAUAAAAUGGUUUUUUUUUUUUUUUAACUAAAUUGACAUGUGUUUGUUGAUGGUUGGCACAAUAGAUACUAGUGUUGCAUUUUUUAUUUAUUUUUUAGAAAUGACGCAUCCUCCGGUCACUAUUAUAAGCAAAAAUUUACAUUUUAGAUUCAUUGAUUAAAUGAUGUAUGUGGUUUAUAAUACAGACUACAUACAUCAUUUAAUGAAUGUAUCUAAAACGUUGAUUUUUGCUUAUAAUAGUGACCAGAUGGUGUAUUUGUACAACCACUUUAUGAUAACUUUUUGACAACCUUCUCUCUCAUACUCACGUUAUAUUCUUAUUCUCACUCUUUCUUUUUCUCUCUCCAUUAUUUUUACUAAUGAAAAGAGAGAGAAAGAAGUUGUUUGUCUCAAAUGGAUGUUUAAAUAUCACUAUUUUUCUUCAGGGAGUUACCUGCAUGUUAGUUGUAUUUAAGUAAUGAGAAAUAAUAUUUAAACAACUAUUUUUUGAUAAUUAUUGUGACAAUUUUCUCUCUCAUGUUUACAUUAAUUUUUUAUUUUCUCUCUCUAUUGUUUUUGUGUCAAUACCUCAUUUUCUUUAUAAAAUUUUGGUUGUCUCAAAAGUUGUCAUAUAAAUGGAUGUUCAAAUAACACAACUCUUAAAUAAUUCUAGAGUCAAUUUUGUGAUUUCCUUCUUAAAUAAAAUAAUAUUUUUCCACCUAGAGUAUAUAGACAAUAUUUUCCAACUCGUUCAACAAUAAGACAUUAAUAUAAUGACUUUAUAUAAUGAGUGGUAGUUGAAAAUAUAUUAACGUUUUUACUGUAGAUUGAAUGUGAGUUUUUUUUUUAAAUGAUUGAAUAUUAUUAGGUUUUUUAACAAUAAAUUAUAUUAGCAAUGACAGGGGUAAUCUCCUUAGCACAAAGUGUAUAAAGGAAACCACAUAUAAUUACAAGCUGUCAAUCUAGGAAUACACAAAAAGGUUAAUCGAUUCCCAAUCUCCUAAACGGGUUCAACCACGAGCCAUAAACAAAAUUGGCCUUAUUAACUUUAAGCCAAAAUAACAAUAAAUACUUUACUUUUUCUAAUAACUGUGGAAUGGUAUUUUCUAAAUUUGUAAACGAUACUUUUUCUAAUAACAAUAAGUAUACCAUUGUGUUCGUUCCACACAAUCCAAAUAUUAUUAGUUGAAUGGUCAAUAGAGAUGAAGGUUGAAUAAGUUUUUAGUCCCAAUAAAUAUACCGAAUAUUGUUUUUAGUCCUUAGAAGAAGAAAAAAAUUGACAUGUUUGGUCAUAUAAUUUUUCCAACAAUGUCAAAAACACCCUUUAUUAAAUUUGAUUCCAAAAUCAAUUGAAUUUUUUAAAUCAUUCUAUAUGUUUAAAAAAUAGAAUUAUAGUGAAUCACAUUACCUGAAAUCUCAGCCAUUCAAAAACUUCAUCCUAUAUUCAAUGAUUGAUAUCUAUUUUUUUUUUUUAAAAAUCUCAUUUUACAAAAAAAAAAAAAAAAAAAACAAGUUUCCUACGGUAGGAGACCUAAGGAGGUCACCUACCGUAGCCUUGGCCCAAGUUUGAAGUUGAAUACCUGUUUGGAAUUUGAACAAACUUUUUUCAAAGUGCAGAAUCACAAUUUUUUGUUUUGUUUUUGUUCAAUGGUUUAACGGUGUUAACCUUGAAUGGAUGUAAAAGAAAAUAAGGGAGGUUAGUGUCACUUUGCAAAAUAGAGGGGGUGUUGGCAACAUUUUAGCAAAACUCAGGGGAGGUCAAUGUAUUUUACAUUUACAUUCAAUCACAUCGUAUUAUUUAGAUAUUUGUAAAUAUAUUUUAAAAAAAUGGUUACAAAGAUAUUUUAAAAAUUAAUCUAACAAAGUUGCAUAAUAGUAUGAUUUGAUUGGGUGCAUAGAUAAAAAAGUUUUACACUGUAGUGCAUCAAAAUUAAUCUCAAAACUUGUUUAAAAAACAAAUCAUCUCAGUAAUGGUUCCUACUAGAUACCUUUCAAAACUAGGGAAUUAAGACCCAAAAAAAAACUUGUGUCAGGCUGAUUUUUUAUUUUUACUGAACUUUACGUUAAAUCAGGCUGCUUCCAAAGUCUAAACAAUUCACCAUGCAUGCAAGAACGACAGAAUACAUAGGAAGGCAAUAUUUUCAUUCAAAAAGAUACAAUUAUUCUCCCUGGAUAAAGAGAAAAAAAAACUCAACCGAAUCUAUGCAGCUUCCAUACCUCCGAAGUACAGUCCAUACAUAUAUUUGAAUUUUAAGCAGAUAAUUUAGCCGUUCUAAUAGAUGGCACGCCAUCGAACAUAUAUAUUUAGUAUUUUAAAGUCCACUUCAACGUAUUCGAAUGACAUGAGGUCAAUCACAUGGGUUUUGUUUUCCAAUAUAACUCACCAGCUGCUCAUUUGCAUUUGAACCUUAGCAUUUUGAGAUGACCUACCACCCUUGUCUUUGUGAGAAUUCCUGGAUCCAAGUUUCUUCCGUCCCCUACGAGCUGAUGCUAUAGCACUUUGUCUUUGCUUACUCAAGCUCUUUGUGAGUUCAGCUUCAAUUCCCACUGCAUUAUCAUUGUUUUCCUCCUGCAAAUCAAAUUAAUAUCAUUAUGGUUUUCAUGUACAGGCUAGAUAACAAAGAUUCUAUAAACUAGAAUAAUAUUAGUUUACUUUCAAUAAAAAUUCAUUCAUUCGAUCUUGACAGUCAAUUAAAUCAAAUCCAAUUGCAUUCUCAUUUUGGGAUUUUUACAGCAUUCCUUGUUAACGGGGGAUACAGUACUUCCCAAAAAAUGCAUCAUGAAGAAGAAGAAAAGCAAAAAAAUGAGAUAAUCACCUAAUAAAAAUAAUAGAAAUUAGCUUACCAUAUCGCUCGCCUCUUCCUUUUCAGAUCCGCUGUUUUCACCUUCUUCAAAUCUCUCCUCUUUUCCAUGACUUUCAUGUCCCUCAUCCUAAACAUGGUUUCAUUAACAAUCUUUCAAUUAGAAUUGUAAUAUACGAAAUUGCAUAACUAGUGAAAUAAGCUGAAAAAAAUAGUCAAUUAGUGAACAAAACAGAUCUUAGAUAAACUACAGGACAUUCAAAUUUACUUCCCACAGUUCACUUAGAAUAUCACAGAAGUUCCCACACUUAAUCUCACAUUCAGAGCAAUAAAAACUUUAAAUUCAUCCUCAUAAAGCCUAGAAAGCAAGUUGGAUAUCCUUCCUAAGUUCUCCAACACUAAUGUCCUAAGCAAAUACCCAAAACCUUCUAUUGAUUAUGCCGUGUCAUGUUAGGGUCACCGGAAUGGGUCCUAUUUUUCUCUAAUAAGGAUACCAAUAGGGAUGAGCUUUUUGACUUCAUCCUAGGUUCGUCUUGGAGGUGGUUUUUGGGAAGAGUAUCAUCGGGGCCUUGUGCUAACUCGCUGGAUUGUAUAUCUAGGCUUUAGGUGGUACUGUUGUUUUAUGUUUGUUGUCCUUUAAAUGGGUUUGAACUUUGAACUACCUGUAGUUAAUUAAUUUUCCCGUUCAAAAAAAAAAAGUUACGCAGUGUCAUUUUAUUAGAAUCAAGGGCAUCAACAGUUUUCAGAAAGGCAAUCCCCUAACAGAUGAGUCUGUUUAUUUUAUCUUGUUGAGACACUAUUGUUUUAUAUUUCUUUACCUGUACUUCACUCCUCCUAGGUCCUAACUAAAUUCAUCAAAAUAAAACAAAUGAACAAAUAGCACAUACCAUUUCCCAUAGCCAGUGGAUCUUGUAUGACAACAAAAGCUAAUGGAUAUAUUACCUGCUCCGACAAAUGUAAAGAAUCAACAUUUAAAUCAUCUGCUUCAUUCAGGUUUCUCACCAAGUCACCAUCUUCACUAUCAGAAUUUGUAUCACUCUCCACCUCGCCUUCAAUAAACUGCAGAUAAAUUUGAAGAUAUUUAAGGUAAAAUGUUUCACAAUCAAUGCAUUAUAACUAAGAAAAGGCAGAAAAACCACCAUACCCUUUGAAUAUCUUCCUCAUCUUUUUUACCAAAGCCACUAGCAGCAAGUUCCUUAUCUAGAAAACCAGCACUGCUGUCUAUUGAAGAAAAACAGAGUUUUCCAGCUUCCUCUCUCCCUUCAUUAGAAUUGUCGUUAUCAUCUAUGCUUUCUUGAAAAGUCAUAUUGAACCUAAAACAGAAAAGAGGGACAAAUUAUCAAGACAACUGGUUGCGCAGCCAAAGACAAACCCAAAAUCUUUCGAUAAGUUAAGCAAAAGAUAAAUUAAAGAUUCAAUCAAAAUAAGAGAUGCAAUAUACUAAUAGUGUGUAUAGUAGUAGUACGUACUAAAAGUGAAUGACAAAAUAAAAAUCAACACUUCAAGUAAAAUAUCAGUUAAAAAACCAAACUUAUAACCAUCAGAGAUACCAAAUAGAAAAUUAGGAUAAAAUCAAGUAGCAUGAAAAAGGCAAGGAAACAAGAGUAUGCUCCUAUCAAAGAUCUUAUCAUGCAAAACAAGUGUUACAAAUAUUUGUAUCAAAUUGUAUCAAUGAGUGAAAAAACACUUCUUUUUUUAUUUCUAGAAAAUAUCACAGGACACAAAUUAAGGGAUAAGACACAGGACCAAAAUAAAAAAAUUGAUUGCUAAACAAAGGGGAGAACUGUUUGAGUUAUCUGGGAAAGAGGAGAUGGAGGAAAAAAGGGAAUUAUGAAUAUUUAUUUAUAUUUAUAAGAUAAAAAAAAUACACCUAAAAUAUAUCGACUGAAUUAAUAAAAAUGUAAAUAAGAGUAUAGUCCGAAAAUAAUUUAACAAUAAACAUUAAAAUAAUUUUAAAAUGUCAACAUAUAAUCCUAUAUUCCUAUGUCUAUCCUUAAUGCAGAACAAACAUUAGACGGCACAGAAGGUAUGUAUGCAUAUUAAACAUUAAGUGGAAAAUUGUCGUAACUCAACUGCUAGGUAUGUAAGGCCUUAACAUUACUUAACUAACAUUACUUUACUCUCCCAUUCCUCUCAAACCAAGCAGUGAAAUUCACAAACACCAACACAUAAUGUCAAAAUAACUACAAACCUCUUUCUGAAAAACUUAAAGAUACAUUCAACAUCACGAUCAAAGUACCUGAAACAAGGAAAGAUUAUAAGUUAAGGCCUAACGAAAAUAUAUUAGUUGAAAAUAUAAUAUUGUGUUAGGUAUUUGUGCUUAAUAUAACAAAAUGACAUACUAGUUAGAUAUGAUCGAAUGCAUGUGUAAAACUAUUUUAUACUGACAGUGCCAGUACAUACUACGUACCAAUUAAACUCAAUAAAAAGUUUAUUGACAUAUUUGAACUAAAAAAAUUUCGUCGACAUCAUAUCUUAAAUUUCUGUGGACAAUAUUUAAAAUUCAAACAAAAGAUAGAAAAUGAGGUUCAUUUCAGAAUUGUCACGAGAAAAAAAAAAAGUUAGCGUUCAUACAAGCAUGAAAUCAAAGGAGAAAAAACAGAAUUUGAAGGGACAUAAUACCAUGCAAGGAAGAAGCUCUUACAUCUUUGCAUUACGGUGCGACACAGACACCAUUUGUGGAAAAUCAAUCACAGUAAUUUUUUCUUCAUCGUCAAUCUACAGGAAACGGAGUCAAGAUUGUAAGCCAGAGGCAAAAGCCACAAAAAAUGACAUGUAACGAAAAAACUUUAGUGUUGUAUCUAAUGAUAAUGCUGACAAGUGCACACAGGUUAUUAAAGCAUACCAUGAUGUUAAAUUCAUUGAAAUCACAAUGAAUGAGACCAUGUUCUGCCAGCCGAAUAAUUAUACCAAUAAUUGUCUCAAAAACUGUCUCUGGGUUUUGUAACUGCUUCACCUGAACGCUGCAUUUGCAGAACCAAGCAUACAACAAAUUCAAGCAAUUGUUCACCAAAACCAGUGUUAAACAUGUGGAAUGGAGUAGUGGUACAAACUACAAAGUCCAAACCAAAAAGCAAGCUUAAGAACAAAAGACUGUUAAAAUAUAUGAAAACAUCCCAUAAUAUUUAACUCUGUCCUUAGAGUAAUUCAAAAUAUCUAUAAAUCUCUUAGGGUUGAUAAUGUUUCAUUAGAUUUUAGAUUAUAUUUCACAAUUUAAUUAGGAUUAGUAAUUAUCAUGAUUAGUUGUAUUUAAUUAAGAUUAAGAGUUGAGUAAGGCUUAGUGGUUAGUCUUUCAAAUCAAACUAUAACCACAAUCCGAAAUCUAUAUUAUUUCUCAUCUUCAUUCCUUAUCUAAAAACCAACAAUAGAGAGGACGGUAAAAGUUAGCAAAGAUAGUUGUGUUAACUACUACAACUAGUUCUUAAAAGCAAAGAUGACUUUCAAUUUUAAAAUUGUGGUAUUAUUAUCCCUUCUAACACACACUUAUGAUUAUUCCCAAAAUUAAAGCCGAAAAAAAAAAAAAAAAAUACUUAAUCAAUUCACUUUCUCCAAUCAUCAUCUCAUCUCAUCACUCAGACUCUAUUUCAUUUCUACUAAAAUAGGAACCCUAGCCGUUAACCACGCCUAUGACCUAGCACAACGUUCCUCAUCACCAAUGAGAUCAUUCAUUUGUUGGUUAGUUUUAUCAUGUUUAUGCCUGCAAACUUUUUAAAAUAUAUCGUUUUCUAUGCCUUUGUAAUAAUGAGUAAGGUUAGUUAUAAAAAGUUGUUUGAAAAAUAGAUAACAUGAAAAAACAACAUAUUAAAUACAACGUUCCAUGAAAUAUUUUAGUAUGACGUAUGUUUUAUGCAUGAAAUACAAAUUUGUGAGAAUAAGAAUUUUUUACAUUGUAUUUUCAAAUAAACCAAUCAACCGAACCAAACCGAUUUGUUUCGUUCGGUUACUUUUUUAAAAAAGAGUGAAAACCAAACCAAACCGAUGAAGAUUUCAUCGGAUUGGACAGUUUUUUGACUGAAAACCGAUCCAAACCGAACCGUUACACCCCUACUAAUCCAACACAACAAUCCUAAAGGAUUGAAGUUGCGAAGAGUUAAAAAUCCUUUACAUUUUAGCCACAAUUGUGGUUGGAGACUGCGAUUCAAAACUAUAUACAUGUGACUUCAUUGCAACUUAGAUUGAUUGAUGUUUCGUGCUUAAUCCGUGUUUUUUUUUUUUUUUGUUCUGAAUUGGGAGGAGAUUCUGAAGAAGCUGUCAGCCUUGAAUGGAAUGAUACGUGUGUGUAAGCCUUACUUUUCGGCGUGCUUGUGGCAAAGGAUAUGAGGUUAUAAGAUUUGCAAACAACUGUUACUACAAGUCGUUAUAGAUGGAUUAUAGUGUCUGAUUCCCUUAUAUGUACCAUUUGGUUUUUAUUCACUUUUAUGAAACCACAAUUUACUACAUGCGACUUCGCAACUAAACCACGUGCAUCCAAUGCUUUAUGACGAUGAUAGUCAUUAAAUAACUACACUGCUUAAGAAAUGGUAGUUAUUCUACACGAACAAGAUAUAAAAGCGAGGGAUCGCCUCACGGUCAGAUCUCAAGCAUAUCCCGGUACUAAUGUAAACACCAAUUCAUAGACCACACAUCAAAUAUUAUACAAUUUUGACAGUCACAAAACAAAUACCAUCCCUAAGAGUACUUAAUCUUGUUUGGUAAGUCGGGAGAUACAUGUGGCGCGAAAGUGACUUUUAUGUUUGAAACAAAUACCAUCCCCUAAAUGACUUUUAUGUUUGAAACAAAUCGAAAGAAGGGCACUUACAGAGGAUAACCUUGGACAAGCGACAUGAUUACACAAUGUCGAUUAUGUUCCACAGCCUCUGGAACAGGAAAGCCAUGUGUUUGCAAAGCCUGCUCAAGCGAAGAACAUGUCACUAGAAAAUCAAGUAAAAAAGUAACAAUUCAAGUACAUAACCAGGGAGAGUAAAAGCACCUUCAUGAAAGCAAAUUCUUUAAGUGCAGCAAGGCGAGAUAAAUAGAGCCAAUUAUAACUACUACGAUGUUUUAAGUAGUCACGCUUGGAUUUAACAGCUCUAAAAGAAACUCUACCAAGCCUAUGUAACUUCAUAGCCAUAAUUUUUCCAUCUUCAUCAGCAACCUCGAAUAUAUCUAGCAAAUCAAUCACAAAUAGCACAAUCAAUUAGGAGAGUAUAAUUGAAAUGACACAACGCUGACACAUCCGGUAAGGUUCGUGUCAGGAAACGUCUUCCAUCAGAAGUGUUGGUGCUACUUACCAGAUUCUUUUCCAACACCGAUUUGGCGACCAACAGAGACAAAGACACCUUUAUUGACCAUAGUUUUGAUGGCAAGAAAAUCAUAACCAAGGUAGGUAAGGCGGAAGCCAUCGUAUUUAGUAGAGUCAUGAUGCAACAGCUUGUGUUUAAGCAAGUUUUUCAGAACCUUGUAGGUGCCACCAUGUUUGAGACGAGCAAUUCGGUCGAUGAGUUCAGCAGGGACAAUUUCGUGGUUUCUCAUGCCCAAUUCAACGGCGGUGAGAACCCUAAAAUCAUCUUUAGAGAGGUAUCUCAAAACAUCUACGUCAAGCUUCAUUUUCGAAUUUUAUCGUAGUUAUCAGACUCUCACUCUCUGCUGAUUCCGAUAUGUGAAAAUUGCAGCGGACGACGGAGAAUGGAGCGGUGGUGUAAGUCGUCGGACGGCGGGGACUGGACUUUCACAAUUUGCAUUCCAGUUUUGUGUGCGAGUGUAAUAGCUUUCGUGAAUCGGGUUAAGUUUCGUGAAUCGGGCGGGUAUUGGAUUUAGGGUUUAUCAUUAACCUAAUAAAAAAAUUUACCAAAAAAAAAAAGUCUCGAUAAAAAAAUACACUUUUUGUUUUUGCUCUUUACUCUUCACAGAUAGCACAAUCAAGUAGGAGAGUAUAAUUGAGAUAAAUUUUUAGUCCUCUAAUUCUAAAAUCAGCUUUUUAAUUUUUUUUUUAAGAAAUUAAAAUGGAUUAUAUUAAACUUCCCAAGCACAAGGAAUCCUAAGGGAUCACCAAAAAUUUACAAAAGCGUAACAACAUAAACAUAGUACAAAGAAUGAAAAAAUAAGCACCAAAAUCAACAUAUGCCCAUACACAGUAGAGGACUAAGCCACUACCUAUGGUAAUCAAAGGACAAGUUAGGGAACUUUGCCUUUAACCACCAAAACGAGAGAAGCUUAACAUUGUCAAUAAGCUGUAAAGUGGAGGCCGGUUUAUCUGAAAACAAUAUGCUACUUUUGUCCUUCCAAAUAACCCAAAUGCAAGUGCACCAAUUCAUUACAAGCCAAACACGGUGAGAUUUGGAAAUUCCAACAAUAUGAGCAAAUUGUUGAACAUGCAAGUUCAAAUCAUAGGAACAAACUAACAAUUCCUAACCAACGGUAAACAAUGCACCAAGGAGCUCUAAAAAAGGAACAAUCCAAGAAUAAGUGACUCGCCGUUUCCAGCUGACCACAACCUGACACACACAUUUGAUCACCAACAAAUAUAAUGCGACGGUGAAACAAAUUAUCUUUUGUCGGAACACGAUCACGAAGAAGACGCCACAUGAACAAGGAUACCUUCAACGGAAUGUGCCUCUACCAAAUAAUAUCAGGCGCAAUUACAUUGAGAGAAGGACCAACACUAAUGAGGAGAGUGUAUGCACCUCUCGUUGUAUACCCCGCAAAAGGAGGACCAACACUAAUGAGGAGAGUGUAUGCACCUCUCGUAGCAUACCCCGCAAAAGGAUUUGGUGACCAAACCCAUCUGUCAGAACACUAAACCUGCAAAGACACAUCAGAGAGUAAUAACUGACACUAUACUAAAAGUUCUUCCUCCCACACCAUGAGGCUCUUCCUCCACCUCCAUGCUCCACCAUCGGCCCCCACUUCAACCUAUUCAUAUUUGACACCAACGCCUAUUUGUCAAUUGACAACUUAAAUAGACGACGGUACCGGACACUAAGAGCUUCACCCCCCACUCAUUUGUCUGUCAAAAAAUAAGUGUUUGUGUCAUCCCCCACCCCUUCGACACAACCUAUCCUCAAACCAUCCCACACCAAGGCCCCCCAUCCUCCCUAAUGCGGGCCAUUUGCCGCCAUCAAUCCGAUUCAGAAAUCCCUCCCUCUCUAAGUCGACCGCCCUCCACCCCAUACCCAAUGGCCAACACUCGAAACCACAAACCACCUCUAUCUGUCACCAACCUCCAACACCGUCUACCAAAUAGAGAAAUGUUAAACUCCCUAAUUUUCGUUACAUUUUUUUACAAUAUGUGGAAUUGUUUUGGUCCCCUCCAUUUUUUAUGGUAUGUUAGUGAUGAGUUGGAUAUAAAUAAAUUCAUUUUUUUAAGAAUAAAUAAAUUCAUAUAGUUAGUUAAUAUUCGAGUAAAUAGUCAAUUUUCCCCUUGAAAUUGUAGGUUUCGUCAAUUACCCCCCUGAAAUUAACAAAACUUCAAUUACCCCCCUGAAAUUGCAUAACGUUAAUCAAUUUACCCCCUCCGUCAAAUUUUUCUGUUAACUGUUUACGGUUAUGAUCAAAUACCCCCCUGAAAUUUUGCACUUAUGUGCAAAAUGGCCCCUAAACUUGAAAAUUUAUAUUUUUUUUAUCCUAGAUUCAAAAGAUAUUAAAGGCAAACAAUUAACAAUUAUUAAUCAUAUAAAUCUUUAUGGAAUGUAUGUUUAUGUAGCUAUUGGUCAUAUAAAUCUUUAUGGAAGGUAUGUUACUCUCAUGUGUUUGAAAUAUAUACAUAUAUAGAAGAAUUUUUCUUACGCAAGUUGGUAAUUAUGUUAGAGUAUGCAGUCAUAAGUACACAAGUCUUUGAAAAUUGUGUGUCCAUAUAGAAAAUUCAUAGGUUAAUAUCUGCAGAAGGAAGAAGAAACAAGGCUUAAGUUUGUGAAUUUGCAAUUUAAUUAAUGAUAUAAUUUUUAUAAUGCAGGAAAUGCCACAUCUAUUAGCUGCAACAUGUUAAAUAGAUUAUGUCAUAUACCUUCUGGAUGAAGCCGGUAGAUCACAUUGUACUACAAAGUUAUGUGAUAGAUAUCAAUUUUCUGCUGCUAUGACAUUCUUGUCUUGGUAUAAUUCAUCAGCUUGAUAUCUUUUUAAUAUUUAGUUUAUAGUUUUACCUUCUUUGUAAAAAAAUUAUCUUGCUCCUUGUUGAUAAGUAUGAAAUAUGAAUGAAAAGACUGCACAUGACAAAACCAUGAUUUCUUUCGCAUAUAUUCAUUCAUUUCCUUGUGAAUAGAAUUUUUAUGACAAUAGGUACAAUAUACUACUUGAAGAACUAAAUGUAUGAUUUUUGGUAAGAAAAAAAAAAUCUAAAUUUUUAAGUUUAGGGAGCAUUUUUCACAUAAGUGCAAAAUUUCAGGGGGUAUUUGAUCAUAACCGUAAACAGUUAACAAAAAAAUUUGACGGAAGGGUAAAUUGAUUAAUGUUGUGCAAUUUCAGGGGGGUAAUUGAAAUUUUGUUAAUUUCAGAAAGGUAAUUGAGAAAACUUACAAUUUCAAGGGGAAAUUGACUAUUUACUCGUUAAUAUUCAUGUUGUAAUGAAGUUAUUUAACUCUAUUAAUUAAAAAUAAAAAAAAUAAAAAAAAUUCAGAUUUGGGUCCUCUUCUAGUCUACACCUUAAACAAGCCAUAUCCUUCAAAGCACCUCUUCCCUGUGCAUUUGAAGCCACCUCAGAAAAACAACAUUCCAUCUUCAUACACUACUUAGGAAAUUUCUCAAACUCACAUACAUCUUGAGUAAGUAAUGAAAUUGUGCAGAAAAAGGUGAACAUAAGAAAAAUGGAAGAAGAAUAUUAACUGGAUCUGUAAACAAUACAUCACUCACGAUCUAUGCGCCGCCAAUGAUUUAGGAUCUGUAAACAUAAUGAAUGAGGUUUUUAAUUGGAAAAAAAAGAGUUCGACGGUUAAACAUGAAAAAGGGGCAUUCCGAGAAUUGAACUCGGGACCUCUCGCACCCUAAGCGAGAAUCAUACCACUAGACCAAAUGCCCAUUGAUGACGAAUGAGUUAAUACAAAAUAUAUAAACCCUAAUCUAAUUUUAAUGUUUACUUAUUUUUGUAACUCAAAUGUUAAAUUUUAAACGCAAAAUUGUCAAACCUAUCAUUGGUACCAGCACCUUAAAAAAAAUCUUUAGUCGUAUUGUAGAAAUCAUUAUGUUCUAGUUAAAAGAUUAUGUUAAAAUAUAAUUUUGAUCUAUUGAAUACUUUUCCGGUCUAUAACUUAUAAAUUAGAGAUUGCUAACUUAAAUCAAUUUAAUUGGUCAAAAAAAAAACUUAAAUCAAUUUAAAAAUAUUAAGGUCUAACUUAAUAAGUGUAUGUCUUUUUAUUUUGACAAAAAACUCCACUUACUCCCAUUCAAAUCAAGAUAAGAAAAACACCAAGUGACGACCCUUGCAAUGCAAGCACCAUAACAUGUGUUACUUAUCCUUAAAAAAAAAUGUGUUACUCAUACACCACACUAUGUGUACAUCGUGCACGUUGCUACUUGUCAUCACAUGCAACAUUCUAUUUUAUCAAAUGUAUGUUGACCACGUGACAAUGACUAGACCCCACAAUUCACUCAAAACCUUGAUCUUGUAACCUCAAAUUUUUAAGUUAGAACACCUCACUUCACUCCACUCCACUCCAAACCUUGACAUUGUAACCUCAAAGGCCAAAGUUUAAAAUCUACUUGAAACAAUUGUAAUAUGACUAUCAAUGCCACUAUUAUUAAUAAAAUUCUCCCUUUCUCAUUUUUUUUUUAAAUACUCCAAGCCUUGAAUAAUGUACAUCAAUAUGCAGCCACAACGAGUUCACUAAUCACUACUACAUUGUGUGUUUAUUUGCGUAGAUUCUCAAUUACAUGAAAAUUUAAAUCAACCAUUGCUAGGUUCUCUAUGGAGGGCAAAUACAGUGCUCUUUCCUACAUCAAAUGAAAGAUACUAAAUAAAUUGAAAUUGAUUGUGAUUUUAUUAAUCAACACAGCAUGUAAGUAGCAUGUAAUUAUUUUGGGUGUGUUUGUUUCAAGUUUACCAAAUUUAUUUCUAAGACUAAUAUUUCUUAGAACAUAAAUAUGAGAAUUUUAUUUCAAGGUAUUUAGAAAAAAGAUGUUUGCUUAAUAUUAUAAUAUUUUUGGGAACCAUAAAAAUAGGAAUUAUAAUAGGAAAUUACUCAUGAAUUUAUUUCCAUCUCUAUCAGAACUUUAUUCCCACCCCUUUUCUUUGGGAAUUUUUUUAUAUUUCCAGAAAUAUUUUAUACUAGGAAUAAAAUUUAGUAAACUUGUAACAAACAUAAGCAUGUAUAUUCCCAUCGUUUUAUUCUUAGGAAUCUACGGAUAUAAUAACUUGAAGCAAACGCACCCUAUGUCUACGAUUUCCUUCGUUAUAUUUUUCAUUCAGUAAUGAGAUAGAGAAGUCAGUGUUCUCUCUUCUCUGUCUCAAUAUCACAUCUAACAUUCAAUUGGGAGGAUUUUAAACAUAAAUUAAAAAAGUUAUUUCAAAGUGAGCUUCUACCAUUUGAUUUCAUCCAAUAAAGAAUAACACACAUGAUAUAUUACAGACAAGAACAGUAUAAGGCGUUGUUAAUUUGUAAUCUUUUUUUGGUAGUGAAAAAAAAAAAUGGUAUAUAGAAUUUGUAAUUAACCCAACUGAAAGUGAUUCAAGCAUAAAUUCCAACAACUUUUCUAUAUAAUUAUACAUAUAGAAUUGGAUGCAGCAUGCAAUUGCUAUCACCUUAUCCAAUCUUAUCGUUAAAUAUGCCCUAAUUGGUAUAAUUUGUUGAAAAAAGAAAAGAAGCCUCAUCAAUUGGUAUAUGUCAAUAUUUAUCCUUAGCAUUUGUCAAAAUAAAAAAAAUUAUCAGCAAAGAGGACAUAUACUUUAUACUUCCAUUAAAAAUUAUACCCAAAUAUUUUACUAAAAAAUUAGACUUGAAGAUGUUUAGGUGAAAUGAAAUGAUGAUACAGGACGUACAGUAUUCUUUUAUAGACAAGAGCCAGUUUGUUUAGGAUUUUAAAAAACACAUUUUUGAUGUUUUAGUUGUGUGUAAUCCUUUUUCAAAAAUCAUUUUGUUAGAAAUUGAUUUUAAUGUUAAAAAUGAAAUUAACUAUUUUGAUUAGAAACAAUUUUUAAUAGAAGAGGAGAAGAAUAUGAUUUUUCGUGUCUAUGUUUUUUUCAAUCAUAUAUUAAUGAAAAGCUAUUCUUUUUGGCGCACCACGAAAAACAAUUUUAACAUGCAUAAUUGUUCAGCUUCAAUGUUUUUCCAACUAUAUAACUUACGCUUUUCUUUAAAAUCUGUAGAGAAUAAUCUUCAAAUUAUUUAUAUUGAUAUUUUUUUAAGAAUCUUAAACAAAAAGGCUAUAAAAUUAAAUAAGUUUUUUUUUUUUUUCUUGAAAAAAUUAAACGAGAUAGCUUCACGUUAAAGGAAACAAUUGAGAUUCUCCAUUAACUUAACUUUUUUCAUCUAUAUAAUGAGGGGCUCAGUUAGCAACUAACAUCGCAAAACCAAUAAGCAUAUAUACAACUAUAUAUCGAGAGAGAUAAUAUCAUAUAAUAUGGCUGGUUUAUUAAGGAAUAUCUUUGGUUUGAACGACGGUGGAAACAAUGGAACGAUUGAUGCCUUUAACAACAAGGGUGGCAAACAAGAUUUCACUGAGGCUGAAUUCAAAACUGGUGCAAAAGUUACCAAGGGUUACACUACUCAUCGUAACAAUGGAACCAAAAAUGCUUUCAACAACUCAAAUGGAGGAACUCAGAAAUUUGGAAAGGCCAAGUUCGACACUGGGGCACAUAUUGGAAAUUAAACCCUUAGGAGCUUCUCAAACAUAUAUACAACAGUCAACAUACAUAAAUAUAUGUAUGUGUAUGGCUAGUAACUAUAAAAUAAAGUGUUUUAAUUUCUGUGUGUAUACGGUGUACUAUAUGCUUGAUGUAUUAAAUAUGAAAUAAUAAUGAAACUGGUAAUGUUUGGUGUAUCAUGUCUUAUCUUGAAAUUUAGUCCCUCCUUUUGGAGGUGCGUAUAUUAUCAAUUAUCAAUAUUGUUUUUGAGAAAAAUAAUUUUAUGAAUAGAAAGAGAAAAAAAAAAGUAGAAAAACAUUGGAGACAAAGAUCAAAACUUAAAAUCAAACAUUUUUUUAACAACAAGAUAAUUUUAAUUAUAAAAGAUGGAAACAAGUACAAAAGUGGUAUUAAACUCAUAUAAAGAAAGAAAUACAAGAAGUAGUUCUCCAUUCUAAGGAGACAUGACCUAAACUCAACACAAGGAGGGUUCGUCUUAGGUGGUGGAUUUUAAGAUAUAUUUUUAGGACAAAAAUAUAUAUUAAUUUCAAAAUUAUUUUAUACAACCAAUGUCUUAUCAUUAGAAAUGCAUUUAUUCCUUAAUUUAAAAAUACAUAUUUUUAUACCGUCGGUGCAUUCCUAAUAAAAAAACCAAAAUUAACUAAAUGAUUGAGUUUAAAUGGUUAAUGAACUUUUACUAGGAUCAAUAGUUCAAGAAAAUCGAGUUCGAUUCCUAAUAAAAAUAAUUCUUGACAAGGCUCUACUGACGUCUUAACUAAACUCUGAAUUACUACUAGGUCUCUUCUCCUAACAAUGGAAGGGUUAAAAAAAAAAACAUAAAUAUACAUUCAUCUUUUAUUUUGCUUGAUAAAAGAGAAUUAUAGAACUAAAAGUGCUUUUAUCCCCCUCAAAAAAAAAAAAAAAAACUUCUUAUAUUCCUUAAUUUAAAAAUAAUGUAAAAAUUAAUUGAGAAAUUCGUUGGUGUAGCAAAAAAUAGGUCUAUUUUUUUGUUUUUUUGAGGGACAAAAAAUAGUUCUAUGUUAACCCAUCAUUCACACAUUUCAGACAGGUGUGGUUGCAGGGUUGAUAGUUGAGACGCACCAAUGGCGAAAAAAGCUAAAGCUUCUAACUCUCUCAAGAACGCUUCUUCUUCUUCGGCCUCCACCUCCGGGUACCCUUUCACUUUCUCUACUCUCCUUUUCGUUCACAAUUUAUGACAUGUGUAUAAAUUGUUUUCUGCUUAUUUUCACAAGCAGAAAACAAAUUGAUUUUAUUUUAUUUUCAUAAGCUCUUCAGGAUAAAUUGAUUUUUAGACCUAUAGGGAUAUUAAUAGAGUGAUAUGAUUGUAAAAAUUAGAAGAUUCAGCGACUUCAUUAUAGUAAAAAAUUAUUGGAAGACCUAAAUUGCGCACUGGUCAUAAUAGAAGGAACCAACAAAGCAGUUAAGCGUUGAGGAAAGAAGUGUAAUUAAAAUAUUUAAAAGUUGUGUUGGAUUAUGUUAUUGAUUUUUAUGUGUUGCCUUUAGUCUUGUACCCAAAAUUGAAUAAAAUCAUGGCGGCAUUAUGACUUUCAACUGUGUCUAUGAUUUAUUACAUUUAAGUAUAUGCCAAAAUAGUUUCCUUAACUAAACACAAUGCUGCAUUGAGUUUUUCAGGAAACUAGUGUUAGCAAUUAAAUCGAAUGAGGGAAUGAAGAGAUCGUUGCGGCAGACUAAGUCAAGAGACAUAACCAAAGCCGUGCAAAAAAAGAACAAGCAAAAGAUUGAUGCUAAAAAGCCGAAGAAACCCCCCACUGCUUUCUUCUACUUCUUGUAAAACUUCUUUUAUUCCUCCUUGUUCUUUAUUUAUGAUGUUUAAUUCUUAUUUUUAAUGUGUUAGUAUAAACUACUCUUUGCAUUUUCCAUUUGUUCUAAAUUUUUAUGGAAUAUAUUAUUAAUUUAAUAAGAGUUUAGCUGCAUUAAGGUUUAUUUGUCUGUAUAUAUGAAAAAGUAGCACCACAAUUACUGGUUCAUUACUAGAAUGAACAAGUAUAGUUAAUGUUCUUACUGAUCUGUGUGUUUCCUUUGGAGUUAUACUACCGCUUAAGUUGAAGGGGUUCUGUUGUAUUUUACGGAUUUUGACUUGGAGGAAUGGUGCAGAGAAGGUAAUCAUUUGUUGAUUAAAAAUUAGCAUUAUCCCCUCAAGUUCAAGAGUUGAGACAACCACUCAUCUUCACACAUGUUUAUCAUUAGUCAUUUUAAAACAAUUUUCUUCUGAUAGUUUCCUUUCCUUGUUUCUACUUUGUCUUAAUGUCCUCUGUUCAUUCAUACUACUAUUUACAGUAUAUUUGGCAUUGUGGUAAUUAAUCUAGCACAGUGACUGUGUGUAACAAACAAUUGCUUCUUUUUUAUAUGGAAAAUAUUACAAUGCUUCAAAAUUACUGUGUUUACUGGACAUUCUUUUUCAUUCUGAAGGGAGGAUUUUCGGAAAGAGUUUAAAGAUCAGAAUCCAGAUGUUAAGUCAAUGCGUGAUGUAUGUAUAGAAUCCGUCAUAUUAAUAUUUCGUCUAAUUUAUUUUAUACUUUUAAUUUCCCAUGAAGCAACAUUGCUUUACAAUUGAUCGUUUAGAAUUUUCAAAAUUAUACAAACAACACAGAUGUCUAACAUCCAUUUUAAAAAUUGCUAGUUAUUUUAUGUUUUUGAGACUGAAAAUAUCAUCAUCAUCAUCAUCAUUGUUUAUCAUCAUCAUGCAAAGUAAUAUUUUUCUGUUUUGUUUUCCUCCUUUCCGUGUUCAUACAGAUUGGCAAGGCAUGUGGAGAGAAGUGGAAAACAAUGACUUUUGAGGUUAGUUUCUUUGUUCUUCUCCCUUGCAUAUUUAACCUGAAUUGUGUUAUUAUGGUUGUGAUGUUUGACUGCUGAAAACUGAGUGAAUAAUAAAUUAAGUUUCAAAAAUUGGCUCAGAGAAUUUUGUCAGUUGUGAUGUUUGAGUUUGACGGCUAAAAACUGAGUGAAUCAUAAAUUAUGUUUCAAAAAUUGACUCAGGGAAUUUUGUCAAAACUGUUUAGGUUUUUAACGUGGCUGAAUGUUUGAACUUGAUUGCCAUGUCUCGAUCAUGACUUGUUCAAAUAUCAAUGAAUUAAAUUUUGAACAAAACUCUUGAUGAACAAUUGGAAAGUUGGAAUUCAUUUCGACAAGCAGAACUGAAGAUCACUUUGGAAUUUCUAGGUUAUGUACAAUUUUACAAUUCAGCUACUGUAAUGCAAAAGUUGCAGAACUAUCUCCUCUGGUUGGAAUUCCAGGCUGGCAUGAUCAUCUGUUUUUUGACUCAUUUAGGGACAGUGUUUUUUUCUUCGUUUUUUAUGUUUUAUUGUUGAUGUUGAUAGCAUUAACAAGAGUACCUUUGUAGGUUUGUCGUACUUGCAUUAACUGCACAAAAUGUUGAUUCAGUCAUUUCAUCAAACCUUAUAGCACCCAGUUUACGUGUCUUUAUAAAAAAUUAAAGAAAAGGUUUUCAAAACAGUUUUCUAAAAUACCAUCCAUUGUGGAAACUUACCUGGGACUAAGGCACGUGAAGCCCUGCUGCUAUCGAGAAGAAGCUUCUGCUUGUGCUAACCGUGCUACUAUUUAUUCCAAAUCAAUGUAGAACUAGUUUUUCAAGUUCGUUUCCUGUUUAAAUUCCUGACAAUGGAGUGUCAAGUAUCCAUAUAUUAUGUUGAAUUUGAUCUGUGCAAAAAGGAAACACCACUUUGGUUGAGCUCUAUUUAACAAAAAAUGUAUCUGACAGGAGAAAGUUCAAUACUAUGAUAUAGCAACAGAGAAACGUGCAGAAUUUGAUAGAGCAACGACAGAGUAUAACAAGAAAAUGGUAACCUAUCUGUCAUAUUCGUGGCUAGUGAACUGACUCUUAUUUGGCAUGUUACUAAAUAUACAAUUUGUUUUCUGAUGCUUUGCAGGAAAGCGGCGAAUAUGAAGAAACCGAUGAGGAGUCAGAGUAUGACGAGUAAAACCAUCGGUUUAUUCAUUUUCUUAUUUACAAGGCUUCACCUAUGUUAAUUGAAACUACUCGAGGACCUUAAGUUGUAUAUUCAAUUGUAGUCAGCUCUGGUUGUCCUUGUGAAUAGUUAUCAUUUUUCUAUGUUAGUUUUUUUUAGUGAAGUACCUAGUUAGUUAGAUGCUUAAAAAGGCAGUUUUGGGCAUAUAUAUUAAGUAAACUGAAUAGAAGGUAUUCCUUUUACCAAACUUGGAAUCAGGGUCUUCAACAAAAAGUAAAAAUCUUUCACUCUCAUCAAUACAUGUAUGUGCAAAAAUAGUUCAUUGCUUUAUAAUGAAGUUAUUAAGCUACAUAAAAGAUUUUUUUGAAACUGCGAAGACAAAUAAUGAACAGCACAGUAAGUUGGGGGAGUAGAAACAUUAUUUACCCUAAAAUUUACAUAGAAGAUAUUCUCACUAAAUAAAAAGUGUGUUUUACUAUGUUUUCAAAGUAUGCCGGAAAAGAGUGAAUUUCACAUGAAUUUUAUGAUACUGUAAUUAAAAGUAUACUGAAAAUGUGUUACUAGUAUUCCUCUUGUCAUUAUCGUUUAACAGACAUACUUAGUUAAUUACUGCUUAUUAGUUCCACUGCGGCCUAAGUUUUCAACAUGAAUGUCAGAUGUUCUCAUUGGGAAAAAAAAGUAACAGGUUACAUGAAUCUAUGAGGACUUUUCAAAGCAGCAAACAAGGCACCUUUUGAUGGCAUCUUUGAAUCUAUGAGGACUUUUGAUGAUGUCUGAUUUUAAAAUCAUUUGGUGAACGCUUAGUGUUUUUUUUUGGGUAGAACGUAAAUGUUUAGUGUAACAAAGCUUCAUACAUGCACUACUUUGUCAAAAGAAUAACAUGCACAAUAUCACUCAACUGACCAGCUCCAUUCAUUAAGAAGCAAAACCCCCAAAUAGCUCAUUAAUCAUUUCACUUUGACAGUGUAAUUUCAACACCCAUACAAGAACACAAACUACAAGUAAAACAGAAGUCUAAAAUAGAAAAGGAGGAAAAAAGAUGGAUCCUAGCAGUUCUUAUUUUUAAGGAAGGAUCCAGAUUUUCUUCAAACGUUUUAUUCACUACCUAAACCACCUUAAGCUAUUUCUUCCAUAUAUUGAACUACUGGAAAUGAGUUUUGACUUCAUGUGUAGUGUGUAUCGGAAGGGAUGUCUUCAAUGAAUCAGCAAUGCUUCUAACUUCAGCAAUCAUAGCGACCACGUCAUUUAGUUUGUUAACUGCGGAGCCCACACCCUGUGAUUUAGAAAUACACCGAACCGAAGUCAAUGAUCAAUAACUCGCCGCCAGAAAGGUAUAGUAAGUUUAUCAUUAUGAUUUCUAAUUUACAGUAAAAAAAUCGUUGGGAAGAAAUCCUUACCACACCAGAAGCUCCGGCAGUGAUAGCCAUAGGUGCUGUGACAGCACUUAGCCCGGAUGAACACAUGACAGGUAUCUUAACAGCUCGUGAUAUAGAAUAUGCAGCUGCUAAAGUUGGUGUUGCCUACAAUAAUCACUGAUUAGAAUUUUGAUAAUUUAAGGAAGGGUUUGUCAAAUGCAAUCAUUAUCUAGCAAUUAAAAGGAUUCUCUCAUGAUGUCAAAUUGUGUCUAUCUUAACCCAACAGAAUCACGUGUCUAUCAUGUUAAAUAUUUUUAAAACACUUAACAUGAUUUACUAUAUAAUGAUAAUGCUGGUUGGAUGUUUUAAACUAUGUAGCAUUGAGUUUUAGAUUGAAGGCGUGUCAGGUGUAUGACAUGUGACACUGACACGACAUCGACACAUGAGUUUACAUUUCAAUCAUUUCUAUUUUCUCAAACUAUUUUCAGCAUCUACGUGCAAGUAUCACAUCUGGUGUCGCUGUCUAUGUCACUAUGUUAGUACUUCGUAGGUUUUAAACCAUUUUGAAAAUUACCACAAUCAUUGUUGUGAUGCAUUUUGCAUUUGCAGUAAUGAAAAUGUAGGCAAAUAGGAAAAGACACAGGCAAAUCAAAGACAUCUUCAUGUUUACCUUCUCAAUCAAACCAAGAACACCAGACUUUGUAGGAUUGGAACAUUUUCCUCCCUCAGUUUGAAUAAUAUCCACACCUUCUAGUUCAAGUGAUUCUGCAAGCUUGACCUGUCAAAGUUUAAGAUUUUUUGUUUAUUUAUAGUACUAUUUAAAUACCAAUAGUAUCAGAAUGAUUUUGCACUUUGGAAGUAUAAAUGCUGUAUGUAACCUGAUCGGGAAGGCUUAGUGUGUGAGGAACAGUGACAGACAAAACCACAGAUGGAAGUAUCCUCCUUGUCUCUUUUGUUAGACUCAGAAUCUGCACAGAAGGAUAAAUAGAUCAUGAAAAUACAAGAAAACUAAGUGUGAGUUUCUGUUGAUGACUGUGUUAUUUAAAAUCAGUAACAAUAUGCUAACAUUCAAUACAAAUAUAAAUUAAGAGUUAAUUUAUAUACACCUUUAAUUUAUGUACACCUUUAGUCAAUCAAUCAUAAUUGUUUAAUCAUUAAAAAAGCUUGACUUUCAUUAUACCUAGCUUAAAUAAAAGUCAUGCAAAUGAUGGUUGGUUGAUAAUGUAAAACAUUUUACACUGACAGUACAUCAAAAUUAUUCUCUACAUAUCAUUGUCCUUUUGUUCCGUGAAUUUUAGUGACUACCAUACACAUUCAUGAUUGAAUACUGAAAAUCACUCUUUACCUGCUCUGGAGUAAAAAUCACUCCCUUCUCAUAAAAUGAAUCAUAAUUUCCAAUCUCAACCUGCCAAUGCCAUAUAAUAUUAAGAACAAAUCUUGUAAGGAUGAAUUUUAAAUGUUUAUGGUUAUCCCAUCUUUUGACUAGAAUAUGAACUUGGAACUGAUACUAGAAAUGGAAUUAGACAAAAGGUCAAACCAUUAGUGCUCCUGCUUCAACUGCAGCUGGAAAUGUUGCAGGAUCUACAGAAGAAACACAAACCUGCAACAGCGAUGAAUCAUAAAUUGUUGCCUCUUUUAAGAGUAUUGUAAAUGUACAUUGAAAUUAGAAUCAAUAUGCAUGUUCAAUACCAACUUUAUAAAUGAUUAAGAUAUCCUCUGAUUAUAGUAAAUUUUGUAGAUGCAAAGGCAUUUUUCAUUUCCUCUCUGCUUAAGUCUGGAAACCAUAUAAACGAGAGUGUUAAAGACAUUCAUUAGAAAAGCAUGAAUAUACCGGACAAGAAGUUAGGCUGAUAGCUAGCUUCACCAACUCCGGGUCACAUGCUAUAUCGACGUGAGUUGCUCCUCCCUGCAAGCACGACAUUGACAAGAAAAGACUCAUUUACAGUUCACAGUUGUAUGUUAGUUUGUAAUGUGAAAUACUUUUAAGAAAAAUAAAAGAAACCAUCAGAGAACAUCAGUUAAAAUUUGGUCAAAGACUUAUUAAAAUAUCAUGAAGAUUCAGGAGGAGUCCCAAACAGAAGAUGAUUCCAAAUGUCAAUUCAUAUCAUAUCAGUUAUCACCUAUCAGCUAUGCCUCUUAGGAAGAGAAAAGGAGACUUUAGGAUAUUCCUGAUUGAAAUUUGCUUCUAGAUAUUUUCUACAUUUUUCCAAAUUUAAAGCACUUCAAGAUUUUUGAAUUGAGUCAUUGACAACUCUAAAUAAUUCUAGAUUUAACUAAUUUCAAAUCAUAUAUAUCACUCAGUUCUUUUAAGCUAUCUGCUUUCAGAUACAAAAAAAUAAAUAAAUUACAUAGAUACUAAAUCUUAUUUUUUAGUUGUCAAAUACUAGAGCACUAAUCAUCGGAGCUGAGAAUAAACAAAAGUAAUGUAGAAUGAGUGAAGUGAAGAACCUUUUCUGCGGCAGUGACAACUGAGGCAACAUUGUCUUUAUCAAAAUUCUGCAAGCCUGUGAUAAUCUUCAAAAGAAGCCAAAUAUUUAUCAACAUGCACAUUACAACAUUUAUGGCAAAAGAAAAUAAAUGAAAAAUGAGAUAGAAAUGGGUUUUGCAUGGUUUACUUAACACCUUGAGAGCUGUUCUUUCGCGAAAAUCCUUUAGGACAGAUUCUUUGGUUGAUGAAAGUAAUGCUCUAGUAGUAAAACUGGUUUUUCUUUUCAAUGUUAGUAGACAUGGCUUUGAGGCUGCACCUAAUAAAGGGUUAUAGUUAUGAUUUGGCUUUAGAGAUGAGAUUGAAGAAGGAGAAGAAAGUGUUAGACAUGUUAAGGAAUGCAUGUUUGUGUAUUAAUUGCAGUUAUGAGUAGAAAGCAAGAAGAAGAGUUGGAUUGAGAAAUACUGUGUGUUGUUGUCUGUCUAUACAAGAAGAGAAGGAAAAUAACAGAUAAGAUAUGUGGCAGCUUUGAACUGUCCUGUUCUUGAGACAGAUAUUUUGUCUGCCUUUGAAGGGUUAAUACUAAGGAUGAAAAUAUUUACAGCACCCCCUAGUGUUGAUGAAUUAGAGGAGUCUAAACUCGUUUGUUUUAGAUUAAAAUAAAAUUGAUCAUGUUCCUUAAGUACAACUCAAUUAAUAGUUGCAAAGAUAUUUGAUGUGUUCAAUCGUGAAUUCAAACUCACAAUUUCUCUCUUCAGCACACUUAAGAUGUAUGAUUUGUUUCAUUUUUUUUCUUCUUCUAGUAAUAAGAUGUAUGACUUUUAGGGAUAAUCUAUUUAACAAAAAGUAAAAUAAAAGUGAUUAUAAAAUCUCAAUUUUUAAAAAUAAAAUAUUUUCCUUCAAAAAAAAAUUUAUAGUACUCCCUCCGUCUCUAAAUUAUAGUCGUUUAAGGUUUGUGCACGAUUAUUAAGGAAAUGAUUAAUUCUGUUGAUUUAAAUGGUAAAAUUAAUAUCAUUUACUAAAAUACCCUUAUUAAUUGUAGUUAGUGGUGUAGUUAAGUUGGAUGAAAUUCAAUAAAUAAAGGUAUAAUAAUGGAAAAAAAGUAAUAAAUGUUGCAUUGCUAUUCUAAAGUGACAAUUAUUUUGAGAAAAAGAAAAAAUGGUAAAAAAACAAUUAUUGUGAGAAGGAGGGAGUAAUAUCUAUUAGAAUUUGAGCUCGGUCUAACUAAACUCUUACAAAACCGAUUUGUAAGGUCAUGAUUUCUCCCACUUCGGAUUAUAUUUCAUUUAGUGUGAAACUCGUCAUACAUCCCCUCACACCAGACACCGUGACGAGUGUGACUUGAGUGGUGGUCCACGAGAAAUUAUACAUGUUUUAUUUAUACACUAUAAGAAAAAAAAUUAAAUAUAAAAUUAAUUUAUAUAAUUAAAUAUAUACUACCUCCGUCCCUAAUUAUAGGGCCACUUUGAAAAAAAUAACGAGAAUUAAGAUAAUGAAUAUUUGUAAUUAUUAUUGUUUUUACAAUUUUAUCCUUUAAGAGAGAGGGUUGGUUUAUGUUUUCAACAUGUUAUUUAUUACUGAUUGAAGAAAAAGAUGUAUAAUAAAUAGGGGCAUGUAUGUAAAGAAAUAAUUAAUGGAAAUAACAAAUGAGUCUUAUAAAAAGAGAUAAAAAAGGUCUUAUAAUUAAGGACGGAGAUAACAUAAACAAAAAUCAAAUUUCUAUGAAAACACGAUAGUGACUACAUCUUUGAACAAGAAUAGUGUCGUCUUCAGUAAGAUCUACUAAUGACCAAUAGUUGGUAUUAUGAUUGUUGUUUUACCCUCUGUAAUAGCAGUAAGCAUCCAGACUUUUCAUCAUUACCCAAUUGUGUGACAAUUAAAGAGGAUGGUUAUUAGUUACAUAUCGCUUUAAUUUUGGAAUUAUAAGAACUGCUACAUUCACGUAAUUAAUCAGAAAGAAGAAUAAAUUAAAUCAACCCAUUUUAUUUAGUUUUGCACCCCUCAAGACAUAUGUACACACGCAUAAAAAUGUAUAGGAUACCCCCAGGCCCCAACUAGUAAUAACUUUGUUCACAAAGACCCCAGCUCCAUCGAUGAAUGAUAUUUAGUUUUUUUAAGUCAAUAAUAUGGGUCCCACUUAUGGGAGUCAAACAAUUACUUAUGUUAGUUUCAUGUAUUUUAGUUUUGUCCAGUGCGUAAGUAAGUUGGUUUUGCCGUAAGGACGGAAAAGGUUGUUUUUCACUAUUUAAUUUAAUUAAUAAAUCUUAUUUAAUCCAAUGAUAAGAUUUAUUGAUUCAAUAGUAAAAACGAACUUGUGUAUAAUGCAAAACCUAUCUCACUUGUGCACCAUAAAAUAAAGUUGUACUUGGUUAUAUUAUGUGAUUUGGUUUCUACUUUGAAGUUUUUACUAUUUUUGUUAUUACAUAUGUUUACUAUAAACAUCAAAUUAAGAUUAUGUAUGAUUAAGUAUCUCCAUUAAACGCAUAUGCCACGUCAAACAAUGAAACAAUUUUACCAGUACACGCAAUAAAUUGUAUAUGCAUUAUAGUAAGAGCAAAUAGAUCCAUUAAAUAGCAAUUGAUAAACCACAUUCCACUAAUAAACAUAGUGCAUUUGAGACAUUGAUGAUAAAAUUGUGUCAAUUCAUAUUAACCGCUUCAAAUGAAUCCAUAUUCCAUAUACAAUUUUACAAGUUUAUAUCUUCUAGAAAAAUUAAAAUUGAACGUUUAAUUUAGAAAUGGAGAGAGUGGGAGAUCUAUGAUGAGUUGGAGAUAUCCAAAAUCAUGGUGUCUGAAACGAAGAGAAAAGGUAGGCCGUAUAAAUGAAAUUUAUUAAGAAUCUACUAAACGGUACAUUCAUGCAUUGGUUUUGCUGUUAUCAUAGCUUACUGUGCUGCUUGUAGAAACUUUAUUGCAGAUUUUUAUACAGGAGAUUUCGUUGCAACUGUAUUGCACGGUUUGUGAUAGUUUUUGUGGCUAGAGAGUAUAUAUAGUUUGUGCUGUGUAGGCUUGGUAACACAGAAUUUUGCCAUUUUGCAUUGUUCGAGUGCAGUUUGCGUUAUCAUCCUAUGCUUGAAAUUGUUGUUCUGCAUUUUGAGCUCCAAUUGGCCUCAUUGAAGUCUCAAGGGUGACUUAGGCAACAAGAGGUCUGGUUGAUAACAAGAUCAAAUAAUAAACUAUACCAAUGGAUCAACAAUGUUGAGGAAAAGCUUGAAAUAUGAGGUUUGUGUGAUUCGCAUAUUUUUGAAAAUAUUAGCUUGAAAUAUGAAAGAAAAAUGAUAUAAUGCUAUGAAAUACAGUCCUUAAGACUAGUAAGUUUUGAGAUCAUUGGGCUAUGCCUAAUGAUGCAAGAGACUUACAGAAUCUGCUAAUAGUUUCUUUAGAAAGACACUCAAGCAAGCAAACCCAAUGUGAUUCACAAAUUAGCAUUAAUCUUUCUGUGGAUAUUGCCAUUAAAAAAAAUCUUUCAAUGGAUUUUUUUUUUUUUUUAAUCUUGAAGCAUUAAUCUUUUCAAACAAAAAUGUUUACAAUGAACUCACUUGGGACCCUUAAAUAUAUAUGAUUAAUAUAUCCAAACAUAGGAACUGAAAAUACUAAAGUGGUUUUGAAUGAACAUAAUUGAAAUUACAAAAGCUAAAAAGCUUUGAUUACAGGUUAUGCCAUGCCAGGAAUCUGACCCAUAAACAGUAAAAAAAGUUGAUAUAUUAUAUAAAUUUUAAACUAGAAAGUAAUUCCUUUCUUUAAGGGAAAAUGAAGAGAUACCAUUAAUUAGUUAACCCAUCAAAUUUUAAACUGAUUGCUUCUGUACUGUUAAAGUACAAUCAUACAAAGGAUUAUGGGGAUGAACACAAGUUUAAUGAGAGGAAAAGGUCAACAUUGAAUUUGUUUUACUUUCAUAAUACACUUAUUUGUCAACUAGUUAAUGAUUUAUCAUUUUUAUUGUGCAUCACAGGAUUGUCAACUUCCCAUGUGUUGAGUUUGGUAAUGGAUAAACUGUACAAGCAAUUUGUUGAGAAAGAUAUCAGAGAUUUUGAAGCAUUCCAUGUUGCUAUUCUUGAUACCUUCAUGUAAGCAUGAGCUUCCAAUGAAAAAUUCUUGCCUCUGAAUGUUUAGGAAAAGAAGAUAAUUGAAAAUAAUAUUUAAUAGGAAGGUUAUGAUUAAGACUUAUGAAUUAUGAUAAUAUGCUAAUUUGAUUGAAUCCAUAACCAAUAGUUAUAAUUGAGAAAGUAUUUUUAAUUGAUUUUUUUGACAAAGAUAUAAUGUCAAUUGAGUGGUGAGGGAGACUUUAGGAACUGAUUCAACAUUGAAAAAAAAAUAGAUUUUAAAUUUUGCACAGAUUCAAUUUAUUUUAACAUCUAAUCACACCUAUAGAAACACCGGCCCGUGACAACAUUACAUUUAUUAGUUCGAGUUUAUUUUGACUCAGAUAUCUCAAGCAAGCUCUCGGUAAAUGAAGAAAAACAUGGUUAUGAGGAGAGAUUCCACUGAAGGUGGUCAGUCUGGAUCUACGAUAUAGAUUAGUCAUCAUCAAAGACGGUGAAUACAUGACACCUAUAACAUAGUUAGAAAAAACCACAAUGAAGCAUGAUAAAGCGUAGCUUGCACUCUCACAAUUUGGUUUCACAUUAUCACCAUAACGAAGAGUUAUACUUAUAUAAUUAAAUUUUAUGCAGCUCUAUCAACAUGGCUGUACCAGGGAAGCAUUAUUAUGCCCCAUCCUAUAAGGAUGUAAAGGUUUGUAAUUUUCUCGUACAAUUUGUAGUCAAUUGCUCGUAUCUUGUGAAGUUUCUUAUACAUUUAAGGUAAUAGUUUAAUCUUCAUUCAGUAACAGUUCAGAAACUUUUACAUUUUGUGAGAGUUAACUUAAAAUUAGAUUUCUGCAGAAUCGUGGCACGAUUGCUGGGCAUCGUGGCACGAUUGGAGGUUUCAAGUUUGAGGCAAAGCACUGGAAAAAUCGUGGCACGAUGGGGUCGCAUCGUGGCACGAUGGUGCGUUGGCGGCGAAAAACAGAAACAUAUUUUUGAGUGCAGAUUUGUUCCAAAUUUUAAGCGAUACUUUUACUAUAAAUAUAGACCUUGUAUCAGAGCAAACUUUGAGAGGGAGAUAGAGGGGGCUGAAACAAUGGUUUAAAAAGGCAACAACAAAACUAGGGUUUGUAUAGAGUUUGUCUCUUCGGAACAAACACUAGGGUUUGUGGGUUGAUUCACCUUGGGAAACACUAUUAGGAUUGAGUCUCUUGGUUACGGGAAGAGGCUGGGACUUUGGGUAGAAUUAGGCUGGAGACUUAUUCUUGUAACCCAUUGAUUUCUCUUUGUAACGAUACUCAUCAUAUAGUGGAUCGGAGGGCUGCUCUCUCCCCCAUACUAGGUCAAUUUGGACCGAACUGGGUCAACAAAUUCUUUUGAGUUCUUCUCUUCUUUUUGUUCUUCUCGCCGUUGUUUUCUACUUUUGGCUUGUAUUUAAUUGUUCCAUACAAUUUGUUUUAGUUGCUUGAUUAUCCCUUGCUCCACACAUCAAGUUGUUAUUGGUGUGUUUUUCGAUUGAAUUCACAACACAUUUUAUUUCAAUUUAAGUUAAAAUUUAAACUACGUAUAGUGUAAAAUAUGUUUACACCUAAAAAAAACCAAUUAUCUUUGAUAUUUAAAUUUUACCUUUUCACUCACCUUUUUUACUUCAAGUUUCUAUAUAAGAAGGGAGACUCGAGAAUCCCACUAGGUGAGAAGUCUAAGAAGGGUAGAUGUGCUGACUUGAUUAGCCUUGAAAGCAAGAAAUUGUUUUCAAGACUUCUGUUCGAACCUUUAGUCUGUUGCACCGGUUUUCUGAGGUAUGGUUCUUUUUGGAUCUUAUGUCUCAAUUCAAAAUCAAUGUGGGACUUUCUGUUGUUCCGGAGUAGUGGCCCCCCACUUUUCCAUAGACGGCUAUUUUGCCCUCGAGUCCAUUGCAACGCUUUUCUGAGGUUGGUCCGCUUUGUGUCUUAUGACUAAGCCCUCACAGUUUUGUCCUUAGAGGAGUGUUUGUCUUUAUAAACUACUCUUAUUCUAAAUUCUCAAACAAUGUGAGUCUUUUUGCUAUAACCAAUCACUCACAUAUUUUUGCAUCAUGCAGGAAAUUUUCGAACAAUGGAAAGAAGCUAAUGAGGAAGCCAAAGAGAAGAUGUUUGCAGACUUCAUGAAUAAGAAUGUGAAUCUCAACAAAGUAGAUGAAUCUAUGAUAAUCGCUGGAAUAGUGGCACCACCAGCAGCCAUAGUGGCUAAAAGAACAGGACAAACAACAUUUCCUCAGCUAAAAUUUAUGAAUGUCAUUCCUGAUGUUAUCUUUGUUCCCUCAGCUACAGUUUUGGCUCUCAUUGCUGUCAAAAUUUUAAGGUUAAUGUUCAUAGCAAACACCGCAUCAAAGGGUGCAACAAGGUCACUUGUUAAUCAUGUAAUGGAGCCCUCAAGUGUGGAUAACAUUCAUCCAUUUGCAGCUGAAACUGCAUCAGAUCAUUCACAACAAGACAUGCCAAAAACUGCAUCAGAUUCAAAUGCACAACAAGAGAUAAUAAAAACUGCAUCAGAUGCACAUCAACUCACGCCUAAGGGAAAUUAUUGUGCUUUGUGUAAAAAAGUCCAUGACUAACCGUUAGAGACAUACAUGAACCUGUUUGUGUAUAUAUGCUAUUUUAUGUUUCAAUCUACUACCAAAGAAGUAAAUGGUAGCCGUAAGACCGGCCUUUUUAUCAUCAUUGCCAGUUGUGUUGUGUGUGGAAAUGAAAAUGAAAAAUAUAGACUGGUGCCUCUCGUUAGGGGUGUGCAUGGUUUAAAACCAAACCAAAUUUAUGGCAGUUUGGUUUCUAAAUACCGUUUUCAUAAAAACCAACUUUUUUCUAAAACUGAUUCAGGUUAGCCAACAAGGAUGUAUGAUAUCAUAGUCGCAGAAAUGAAAUGUCAUUUUAUUAGUAACCAAAUGUUAUUUUCUAUUCUCCCUCCAAACCAAAACUUCACCUUUCAUCAGAAAUGCAAACGAUCGCCGUUCUUUUGCAUCGUUUACCUUAAUUAGUUUCUCUACUGGUCCUACCCAUGUCUUCGUGUUGUCGUGCCCUCGUAUCCCCAUCAGCUUUUGUCAUUCAAAUUAAGGGAAAUGACCAAUCUAUAAGUAACGGAAGAAAAGUUAAGGGCUUCUCAUCAUGCUUUUCUAUAUUAUAGGGGGAUAUCAAUGUUUUGGUAAAGCAAUUGAAUAUCAAACAAAUUUCAAUGAAAAUGAAUUGCUGUACUCCUGUUAUAUAUCUUGUUAGUAUUGAACAUGAAAUUGAUAAGGAUGAACCAUUUUUGAAUAUAUAGCUUGAUAAGGAUAAAAUAAAAAUAAAAAAUAAAAAAAUCACGAUGAAGUGAAUCAUAAUCAUGCUUUCAUCCUUCUAUAAAUAACAACAUAUCCUGAUCAAUCCCAUUUCUUAGCAAGACAAGAUGUUAAUGCCGUUCCGACUGCGAGUCUCCCUAGUUUCAGAAGAAACUGAAUUCACAAAUAUAAUUCACUUAAUAUCAUAUAAGAUGCUUUGAUGAUCACUCACAACUAUAUAUGCUUUCCAAUGUAACAUUAUCCAAAAGUACUUGACAAUAUAUAUAACAUCAUCACAAAAAUAUUUUUAGCAGCCGAAAGGUUUUAAACAACGGUCGCGUUCAAGGUCCAGGUCAUGUAUAUGAUUUCACCAUUUCGGCUGUUACAGAUAUUGUAUUAUAGAUUGCGGUUGUCGCGCUGUGAAUUAAUCACAACAUUGCACAACUUUUAAACAAUGAUAGGAAUGUAAAUAACUUAACCUAGAGAUAGAUUUGGAGUUCUAAACUAGAUAAGGAAAUAACAUUAUGUAAUUUAUAAUCAAGUAUGUAGUAAAAAUAUGAUUUUCAUCUAUCUUAAUUGAAAAGAUAUUCAGAUUUGGUGUCUAUUGUCAUGAACGACAUUCUUUUGCGGCCGUAAUGGUGUUUCGUCGCGGCUGUAACAGCGUUUCGUCUUGAUUUUUGUUCACUCUGUGAAAACGGUAACCGGUAACGUCGGCUACCUAUACUUUUUGUCGCCGCCUUUUUCUCGGUAAUGGACCAUUUUUUAAAACCUCUAAGACUAGUAUCAACGAUAUAGUAGAGCAAACUAAAUGUGAUUCACAAAUCAGCAUUAAUCUUUCGGUGGAUAUCGCCAUUAAAAAAGAUCUUUCAAUAAUUUUAUUUUUUUUAAUCUUGAAGCAUUAAUCUUUCAAACAAAAAUGUUUGCAAUGAACACUCACUUGGACAAUGUUGUCUUGAGUAAGAUCUACUAAUGUCAAUGGUUGGAAUGAUUGUAGAUAUUGGUUGGUUAAUAUGAUAAUUGUCAUGUGUUUUAUAUCACAUAAUGGAUAUUUUGUUGCUUCACAUAACAAAUGUUAAACUCUUUCAAUGGAAAAUAUCAUUUUCAAGUUUGUCAUAUAUCAAGAAUUGUCCUCGUUGUUACAGUCUAGUAGUUUUGUAUGAAGACAUUUUAUAUCGUGUUUCCACCAUAUGGCCAUUAGGUAGGGCACUUAUCUAAUAAAAUAAAAUUACUUUGAAUUAUGUUGGGAGUGAGAGAAGGUAAUAAUAUAAUUCAUCCAAAACUCAUCCUCUUUGAUUCAAAAAAUUUGAUGAUCAACUAAUUUUCUUUAGUUUUGCACCCUUAAAUAUAUGUGAUUAAUACAAACUUAGGAUAAGAAACUAGAAAUACUAAAGCAGUUUUGAAUGAACAUAUAAUUGAAAUUACAAAAGCUAAAAAGCAUUGAUUGCAUUGAGUAGGAAGUUAGAAAAAUAGUACAUUACCCUUACAUUAUAUAUGAGAGAGAGAGAGAAAGGUGAAAAUCAGAAGCUGCAACCACAACAAAGGUAAAAGAAGCAGAGGGUGAGAACAAGAACAACAGCCUCAAAGGCAGAGACAACCUUAAAAACAAUAUCUUCCAUGAAUGAAACCGGCGAAGUAAGUCUGUUCCACCUGAAUCCUGAUGAAGAUUGCCACAAAAACUUCAACCUCAAUGUUUCCUUCUUCAGCCUCUUCAACAACGAUCUUUUCUUCUCAACCAUUGACAUUCCGUUUUUCUCUUUGAUUAUUUAAAUCGAUUUUGCGCGUUGUGGGACUUUAUAUUGUAUUGAGGAGAAAAGGAAGCUUCCCCGUUACUACUCUUUUUCGAUGGGAGAAAGAAAAAGUGAAAGUAGGGAAUAUAGUUGACAAACAAAUGUUUCCUUAACAGGGCAAAUGUUCACAAGUUCUUUUUCUAACUUCUGUUUAAAAAUUGCGUGUUUAUGAUUAAGAUUUAAGACUAUUACAAAUGCUUAUCUUGUAUUAUUAAGAUACAAUUUCUUUUUAUAGUUUUUUUAAGAUACUUGUUAACACGAUUUUAUUAAUAAUAAUACUCAUUUUCUAUCCCGUAAGUUUAUGUCAGUUGAUAGAGAUAUUGCAUAUUAUACGUAGAAGUCGGAGUUCGAACCUCGAAUACCUCACUCCUUCAUAUUUGAAUGCGUGAGCUCUAACCACUAGCUUAUUUGACCCAAAAAAAUUAAAAUACUCAUUUUCCCUAAAAAAAAAAAAAAAACUCCUUUUACAAUAACACGAUAUACAUUUAUCUUAGUUAAAAAAAAAGAGCAAAAUAUACAGUUUAGUUAUAGAAAACAAGUAUUGCCUUCAUCUCUAAGUAUAAGAUUUUUUUUUUUUUUUUGCAAACUUUGUUGUCCCUUUUUCUUAGACUUUCUUCGAAUAUCAAGGUGUAUUAAUUAACUUUUCGCAAAAAUACCCAGGGCGUGUUUGUUUCAAGUUUACCAAAUUUAAUUUUAGAAAUAACAUUCCUUGGAAUAUAAAGAUGAGAAUUUAAUUCCAAGGUAUUUAGAAAAAAUAUGUUUGGUUAACUUUUUUUUUUUUUGAGAGAAUGUUUGGGUAACUUUAUAAUAUUCUUAGAAACCAUAAAAAUAGGAAUUAUAAUAGGUAACUACAUAUGAAUUUAUUACCAUCUCCAUGAGAACUUUAUUCCCACCCUUUUCCUUGGGAAAUUUUUUAUAUUCCCGGAAACAUUUUAUACAUGGAAUAAAAUUUAGUAAACUUAUUACAAACAUAGACAUGUAUAUUUCUAUCAUUUUAUUCCCGAAUCAACAAAUAUAACUUUAGACAAACACACCAGGUGAUGAUCAAAAGAAGAGAAAUAAAAUAUCACUCGUUUUCCUAGCUCUCUUAGCAAUUGAAGAAUAUAUAGUUUUACAUAAAGAAUCUAUAUUAUUGAUUAAUUUAAUGCAAAAAAAUAAUUCAAAAAGAGAUUUUGUUAUUAGUAAGCAAGUACAAAUUAGUUUGAGUUUCUUUUUAAUGAAAAAUAUCUAAAAUUUCAUCUCUAAAUUAAUAAAUAUUAAAAUAAAUUUUAUUUGUAUAUAAUUUGUUGCAAACGGACCCUAUUUAUUUACUAAAAAAAGUCAAUAUAUUUUUUUCUAAUGAAAUGACCUGCCCUUAAGUCAGUCAUCGCUUAGUACAAGAAAAUAAUAAGUCAUUUUUUAUUCAUAUGUAAAAAUUUUAAAGCUAAAUAAAUAAUUGAGAUGAAGGCUGAAUGGAAUUGAAAGAAUUUUUUUAAGGACUUUUUUAAGAGAGUCGAUUGUCAAGUUCUAAGUGUGUGACGUGAGUUCGUAUGCGCGUCAUGUGUGAGAGGUUAAGAUCCUCUCCAUUUAUAACUUUUUAGACUUCUAAUUCUAGACACCUUUUAGGGUUUUUUUUUCUCUAGCUUUUUAGUUGAAGACAUUUCUAUCAUAAACCUUAUAUAGGAAUUGGAUUGGAAACAUGUUCCAUCCAAUAAGAAAAGAGAAGAUUCGAGGAAUUCUUUCUUCAAAAAAAAAAAAAAGAUUCGAGGAAUUCUAAAUCGAAAGAAAUGCUAGGGUCAUAUGAAAAUCUGGUUAGCCAAAAAGAAUGAAGAAGCAACAAGAGCAGUUGUCAUCCUAGAGAUGCGAGACAUUCCAUGCAUGAUUAUGAAAAGUUUGACAACUUAAGAGGACGUGUCUUUUGGGUUCCAACAUGUGUAUCCAGUCUCAUUUGAUAUCAAGAAUUUAGUCCUUACCUCUUUAAGGAACAACCAUGUGUAUCGUGAAGUAAACUUUUAUACACAUAGGUUUGCUAAUAUGAGGAUAACAAGUGGAGAUGGUUUGAUUAUUUAUGAUGUUUGUCCUUAUCUAUCGGACAGUUUUUCCUUGCUGAUGUUGCUAAAGUUAUCUCUUUUGGUCAAGAUGAUCCUAAAGUUUUAACUAUGUGUUUAAUUGCUUAAUAAUUUUCUUUUUCCUAGACGUAUACUCUUUCUUAUUCAAAAAAAAAAAAAAAAAAACUCCAAUAAAUAUAUUUUUUUUUUUGUCUAAGUAACAUAGUGGCUAGAUUCACACACAUUAUGUAUGAAGAAAUGGAGAAUUUGGGGUUCGAAUCCUGACCUCUGCACAAAUUAUCCUUGAUAGCUACCAACUGAGCUACACUUACAUGACAUAAAUAAUAAAGUUAACUCAGUAAAAUUAUUCUAUGUAUAUUCUUAAGUCAUUUAUUGGUAAUUUUUAUUUUUGGUCUAGUAACUUUAUUGGUAAUUUUAAUUAAUGUAAGAAAAACCUCAAACUACACUAUGAUAAAUGAGGGAGUACUAUUUUUUUUUUUUGAAAAGGAAUGAGGGAGUACUAAAUUAUUUAUUGUCUUUUUUAAAUGAUAAAUAUUAGUAUAUUAGUUUUAAAGAUUAGUUGAACUUUUGACCAUCCGAGGAUCAAAAUCUAACAAUUACGAUGCAUGAGGGUCAAAAUGAAAUUCAUCCUAGCAAAUAGGCUCUAAAAUAGCACAAUGGAUGCUAAUUCAAAAGGCAUACAACAUUUUCUUUUAAUAAUUGUAUGAUAUUACCUCUAUUAUCUUUUUGGUAAAUAUGUUAAUUGUAUUUUUAAAUCAUAUCUUUGUGAGCUUAGCUCAGUUGGUAAGGAUAAUGCAUAAUAUAUGCAAGGUAUGAGGUUCGAAUCCCAAACACCACAAAAAAAAUCAUGUUCUAAAAUAUUAAACGAUGUAGGAGAAAGUCAGUAUUCAAGGUUGUUAUAUUUAUUGAUGUUGUAUUUUCAAAAAAUAAAAUAAAAAACGUUAAAAAUUUAUAAAAUGAGCGAUGUUAUAUGUGAGACCUGUUUAAGCAUCUAAAAUGAAGAGUUCCAUUGUAAAUACUCUAACCCUCCUCAUAUUUUCUUAAACACUUUGGAUAUUUUGUUCUAAUCUUAAAAAUUGCGCCCAUGAUAAAACGAAUAGUUGUUGGGCCUUAAAAAUUAAUUCAAAAUAUUAUGAGUAUUACUUUUUCCAUCCUAUGUCAUUCUCACGUACCCUGCGUUUUUGAUCAAAAUGUCCUUGAAGUUUUCGAAUUUCAUAAUCUGAAUAGGUGUUUUCCUUUGUUAUAGGGUGAAAAAAUGAGUUGCGGAUUUUUUCAAAUUUUGUAAUCCGGAAACAUAAAAAAAUAGGGCACGUUACAUGAUUUUUUCGGAUUACAUAAUCCGAACACCCCCUAAACACUACUCCCUCCGUUUCAAAAUACAUGUCCAAGUCAACCACUUCACAUAUGCCAAUGCAUAAUUUUGACUGUUAAUAUCUUUAAUUUUCUAAAGUAAAAAAUUAUAAAAAUUUAAUAUUUUGAAAAUAUUUGUCGACACAAAUCAAACAACAUCUUACAUGCUAAUAUUUGUAUUUAUAUAUUAGUUAAAAAGUAUGGUCAAAGUAAGUCAAGUGAAUAGUGCACAUUGCAAAAAUUGGACAUGUAUUUUGAAACGGAGGGAGUAUUUUUCAAGGGAAAAACAGUUCAAAUUAUAUAAUCUGAACUGUAUCAGCACAAAUUUUAAACAUGUUUGUAACAUUGGAUAGUCAUUUUAGGUAAAAAAAAUCAUGUUUGUUCUUAGUCAAAAAUCGGGUUUUCGAGCUACUUGAUCGGAGUGCUCUAAAACUUCCCCAAAAAAUUAGAAAAAUUCAAGGACCAUGACUCACGUAGAAGGGACUUCUUACAGGACUCCGCCCUUCAAAAUCCAAAAUUUCAUCGUUUAGACCAUUUUUCAUAUUCUCAUAAAAAUCCGAAAAAAAAUUCAUUAGUUUUAUUUGAUUUUUAUAUUUUUAUGAUUUUAUUUGAAGGGUUUUUAGCAUUUUUUUACUUAGUUUUUUUUGUUGAUUUUAAAAGGAAAACUCAAAACUGUUGAAAUGUAAGAGAGUCUGAUGGCUGCUUAUACAUAAGAAUUGUCCUGAUUUUAGAAUCCGAAUUGUGAAACAUGAAUUCGGAUUAUAAAAUCUGAACUGCACAAGGGUAUUUUUGAAAAAUUUACAAGGUGCAGGAGAAGGCCAUAGUGUAAGAAAAGUAAUACUCAAAUAUUAUUAUUUCACAAAAUGAAGCACCAAAAAUUAAAAUUUUGGGCCCUAAAAAAAUCUAGGCUUAAUACAUCCUCCUGUCCUUUAACUUAUUUUAUUUUCUCAGUUUGGUCCCUUAACUAUUAAGUGUGUCAAUUUGGUCCCAUAAAUCUUAUGUCGUUUACUAUUUCGGUCCUCUCCGUUAGUAUUUUAAUGUUUAGAUUUUUUAAUAUGAUUUCAACCGUUUGAUUGCAGGUCCAUUGUAUACAACACUGACCCAUCAACACCUAAUCUUUUUUGUUCUUCUUCAUCUUCUUCAAAAUACAUAAAAAAAUGGAGAAAAAAAAAACCCAGAAAAAACCUUAAAUAACUUUAUAUCCAAAUAAAGAAAAUCAAUUUACCACCCACCUCCACCCUUUCAUUUCUCUCAUAUAUGCAACGACUUAUUUUUAUUGCAUUCUAAAGUUAAAAAAAAAAAAAAAAUCAUUAAUAUCAUAUAUGGAGAGAAAAACGCAGAAAAAUGCUGCUCAAACCUAGAAAGAGAUGAAAAAAAAAAAAAAAAAAAAAAACCUUAAACAUCUUGCUGCUCAAACCCAGUUUCAAUUAUCUAAAUGCUUUUUUCAUCUGGAACCCAAAAUCAAACCCUUAAACAUUAUAUUGCAGAAAAAUGAUAUUGUGAGAAAUAAUAAUUUUGAAUUCUGAGAAAUCAAGAAAUGGAUCUGAGAAAUUGUGAGAAAUGGGAAUUUCAAAUUCUAAAAACGCAACUCAGUGAUGAUGAAAUUAAUGGCGAAAUUGAUAGAAGAAAACGCAGGUCACAACAAACACGACAGCAAAAUCGUGACGGAGGGAGGUCGAAAUCGCGAAUCCAAACGAGAAGAGGAAUGAAAUUGAGAAAUCAAAUUGAUGAUGAAUGAAGGUCGAAAUCGAACAUGAAGAAUGGAGUUGAAACCCUAAAAUCUCAUUCUCCCCCUUUCUCUAUCGUGUUAUGUCUUAAUCUCUUUUCUUUUCUCUUUAAUUUCUCAGUCAUGUUCUCUCUUUUCUUUUCUUUUUAAUUUCAAAUUAAACAAAAAUUUUAAUAAUAAUACUAAUAAUAUUAUAAUAAUAGUUUUAAUUUCUAAUAAUAAUGAUUAUAUGUUGUUGGGCUAAUUUUGAUGAAUAUAAACAUAAUUUCAGUUUUUAAUUUUGGAUUUUUUGUUUGAAGAUAGUAGAUUGUGAUAUGAAGAUGAAGAAGAAUAUUUAGGAACAAGGAUGUUGAUGAUGAUAGAUGAAGAUGACGAUGAUUGUGUGAUUAUUAAAUAAUAGGUUUAAUUAGUAUUUUUGGGAUUUUCUGGAGUUUAUUGAUGAAGUUGUUGUUGAAGAUGACGAGGGAAGAAGAAGAUGAAUGGAUUAACUUAGGUGUUAGUGGUUCAUAGUAAAGUACAAUAGACCCUACAUGAUUUAACAGCUAUUUUUUAAAGAAAAAAUCAAAUGGUUAAAAUAAAAAAAUUUAGUAAGGCAUAUGGUGGACCACCUAUAAAUAUGGUUCAUCUUAAACGUUUAAUGUUAAAAACUAACGGAGAUGACUAAAACAGUAAACGGCAGAAGACUUAUGAGACCAAAUUGACACACUUAAUAAUUAAGGAAUUAAACUGAGAAAAUAAAAUAAGUUAAGUAACCGUGGGAUAUAUUAAACCAAAAAUCUAUAAUUUGUUGCUGGACCCUAUGUUGUUUGUUUGCUUGCAUAAGCCGAUAGACAACCCUAACCCUCCUCUUUAAAUACGAUCCUAUCUCUUCCUCAGUUUAUACCAAGAACAAAGUUUGUGAAUCAUGGGUCGUAAAAAAAUAGAGAUAGAAUUAGUGGAUAACAAGAAGGCUAGGAAUGUCACAUUUUCAAAGAGAAGAAGUGGUCUUUUUAAGAAAGCAAGUGAUUUAUCAAUUCUUUGUAAUGCUAGAGUUGGUAUAGUUGGAUUUACCCCUGGUGGUAAACCAUUUGCUUUUGGUUCUCCAACUUUCGAAGCUGUGACUAAUGUGUACCUUCAUGGAGAAGAAGGUGAAUCAUCAAGAAAAAAUGUUAAGCCUUCUCGAAACCAAAACAUCAACAAGCUCAACAAAGAACUGAGUGAUUUGACCGAAGAGUUGGAGGAAGUUGACAAAGGUAAAGCCUCUAUGGUACCUACUGAUCUUGACUUAGAAGAACUUCUAAAAGUGAAGACAUCACUGAAAGAUCUCCAUGGUAACAUUGAGGCAGCAUCAUCUUUGCUUCUCCUUGCAAAGAACCCUGUACACAUCAUUGAUUUAGAUUGAAAAAGAAAGGGAAAAUCCAAUGUUAUGGAAACUAAUUAUUAAUUGGAGAUUGUUUGUUGUUCAAUUUUAUAAAUCUACAGUGAAUAACUGGAAUUUGUUUUUCUUCCGUCUAAAAUUUAGGAAUUUGACAUCAUCAGUCCUAAUAAAAAUAUAAUGAAAUCAUCUUUCGAUAAUAAUUUUAUCUCUCUCUUCUUCUUCUUUUUCAGUUUUAGUUCAUAAUAAUUUUAUCUCUCUCUUCUUUUUCUUUUCCCAGUUUUAGUCCUGUAAUCAUAAAAGGUGAUAUGUAUUUGGUCUGAAUUCCGACUAAAUUCAUUUGACCAUUUACACAUAUUUAGGACAAAGUGAGUAAACUUUUAUUAUUUAAAAGUUGUAACAAACAAUUUGAAAGUUAUUUACAUGUAGUUGAUCGAACGAAUGGAAAGAAAUUUAUACGCCUUAAAUAAGUGGUUAGAGGUUUGACAACUUCCUCCUGUGUAUGGAGAAAAAUCAUUGAGCACAAAAAACUUUUCUUGUGUUCCCGGCAUAACUUUUUAGGGAGAAAGAUUAUCUUGCUAAAUUUUAGUUGUUCAAAUAACGUUACUUUAUUAUUAUUUUAAGAUGUGACAACAAACAAUUUAAAAGUUAAUGAGAUGUAGUUGAAGGAACUAAUGAUAAGGAAUUCAAGCACCUUAAAAAAUGGUCAAUUUUUUUUAAGUAAAAACUAGUUAAAGUUUUGACUACUCUCUCGUGUAUCAAAAAAUCAUGGAAACUUGUCUUGUAUUCUCAACAUUGUUUUUUGGGAAAAAAAAAUCAUCGUUUUUUUUUCUUUCCCUUUUUCUUCGUAUUAACUCUAUAUGAUCUUAAAUAAAAUAAAAAGUAAUAUGCAUUUGGUCUAAGUUCCGACCAAAAACAUUUGAAUAAUCCUUCCUAUCCAUUUACAUCAGUUUCAAAGUAUCCAUAGUUUUUUUUUUUUUUUUGGUUUAAAAGUAUCCAUUAGCUUUACUUCAUGUAAGUUUACUAAAACACAGUUAAUGAUUUUAUUAAAAUCAAUCGGUUACAUUUGUUAGUUUAUAUCUUAUUGUUAUGCAUGCUAUAAGAAAGAAAUCACUAACCACUUAUGCAUCUUCUCCCACAUUGUGACUCCAUUUUCAAUUUGUGACAAUUUAUGUUAAACCAAAAACUAUUCCUGUAUUGUGAAUUACUUUAGCCGUUCAAAUUUAAUUGUUUGCACGUGCAUUAGCUUUGUUGUACACCCGUGCUAGUUUCUUAACAUAUGUAGUUGAUUCUUGCUUCUCAUGAUUAUUAUAAUGUUCAAACUUAUAGUGAGUACAUUGUUAUCAUGAAUAAUGUUAUUUUGAUAACUUUUCGGUUGUCAUAAAAUGUAUACUAUUUGAUUUUUAUUUACCUUUUUCUUUCUCCUCAAAUCACAUCAAUAGUUGUUUAAAUAUCAACACUCUAAUAUUAUUUUAAGAAGUCGUAAUCCACUUGAGUUAGUCUGGUGAUAUUGGUUUGAGAUAUGGGAGUGUACUCCAUCUUAAAGUUUUAAGUUCGAUACUUUCCAGUAUCAAUUUGGAUGGGUUAGUUUAAUUUCUUAAAAAACAGUUUGAAAGCUAGUGACAUAUAGCUGAUGAAAAGAAUGACGAGGAAUUCAGACACCUUAAAAAAGUAGUUAGAGGUUUGAAUACUACCCCUCAUGAGUAUGGAGAAAAAUCAUCAAGCAUAUAGCUGAUGGAAAGAAUGGUGAGGAAUUUAGACACCUUAAAUAAGUAGUUAGAGGUUUGAAUAUACACUACCCCUCCUGAGUAUGGAGAAAAAUCAUCAAGCGGGGAAAACUUGUCUUGUGUCCACAACAUAAUUUUUGGCAUAUCACAUGACAUUCUCAUCAUUUAGGUAAGAGUGAUGUGUUGUUAGAUAUCAUUCACAAUUUAUAAUUUUAUACAAGUGAUUCGAUAUUAUUACCAAUGUUACGAAAACCCACAAAGUCGCACACAUAAAGACUGAUGGAUAGGAGAUUGAAUAAAAUAUUGUGUGUGGUUAUUUUUUCUUAAUAAAAUGUAAGAAAUAAUAAAAUAAAUUUAAUAAGGUUAAAAACAGAAGUAAAUGUAAAAAAAAAUAUAAGUUAUAAACGUUACUUGAAUUAGCAUCUUAGAAAAAACUACAUGUUGGUGAAAAAAACUUUUUACCAAACAAGCAUCAUUAUAUCAAAACAAGCUCAUAAUUAGUUGAAUAAAUUAUAACUCAGCUUAUUUGUGUUACCAACAUAACAACGAAAAUAUUGUAACAUAAAUACAAUUGAUUUGGUUAGUUGGUUAUGAGUUCCAUCGUAAAUAUUUAUCUGCAAUGAAUUCCAUAUGUAGGAAUUAACAUAUAUUUCCUUCUCUUUUUCUUAUUUUGGCUAAAUUCAAUCUAUUAAUGACAGAUCACAGUGAAGUGAAUCUACAAUGUAGCAUUCAUACGAGCCAUAAUCAUGCAACCCACUUAACAUACUCUUUAGCCCACAUUGAUAUUGAUGGUUGGUAUGAUUAAUCUUGCGUCAUUAAUCUUUCAAACAGAAAUGUUUACAAGGAACUCACUUGAGACAAUGUUGUCUUCAGUAAGAUCUGCUAAUAAUGGUUGGUAUGAUUGUGGAUUACACUUUUUGCUUCAAUUCUUGUUGUGAUAGCAAAUGCAAUUGUAGGUGUUGUUUGGUGGGUAUGAUAAUUGUCAUGUGUUUUAUUUGACAUAAUGGAUAUUUUGUUGCUUCACAUGACAAAUGUUAAAACUCUUUCAAGGUAAAGUAUCAUUUUCAAGUUUGUUAUAUAUAUCAAGAAUUGUCCUUGUUGUGAAGACGUUUUAUAUCGUGCUUCCACCGUGUGGCCAUUAGGCCACUUAUCUAAUAAUGUAAAUUACUUUGAAUUAUGUUGGCUAGGGCAAGGGAAUAAUUCAUCCAAAACCUAUCCUCUUUGAUUCAAGACUUUUCAUGAUCAACCAAUUUUCUUUAGUUUUGCACCCUUAAAUAUAUACAAACUUAGGAUAAGAAACUAGAAAUAAAUACUAAAUCGGUUUUGAAUGAAAUGAACAUAAUUGAAAUUACAAAACCUGUGAUUGCAUUGAAUAGGAGGAAGUUAGAAAAAUGGUACAAAUUGUAGAUAAAUCAGAAGCUGCAACCACAACAAAGGUAAAAGAAGCAGAGGGUGAGAACAAGAACAACAGCCUCAAAGGCAGAGACAACCUUAAAAACAACAUCUUCCAUGAAUGAAACAGGCAAAGUAAGUGUGUUCCACUUGAAUGAUGAUGAUUUCCACAAAAACUUCAACCUCAAUGCUUCCUUCUUCAGUCUCUUCAACAACGAUCUUUUCUUCCCAACAAUUGACAUUACGUUUUUUCCUUUGAUUAAUUACUCAAAUAAUCAACUUUGCUUUGUGUUUGCAACUAAGAGAUGGGUUGGGGUUUAUAUUAAGGAGAAAAGGAAGGUUCCACGUUGGCUUUUCUUAGUACUCAAGGUUUUUUUAAUGGGAUAGAGAAAAAGAAAAUUAGGAAUAUAGUUGAAAAACAAGUGUUUUAUUUAUGAAUAAUAAAUAAUCCUCAUAAUAUGGUCAUGUUUGGUGGUUUGAACUUGAUGGAGAAGUUUUAAACAUUGAAGUAGUGGGAUUGAUUGGGAUAGAGAGAGAGUCAAGUCGUGCGUGACGUGAGUUGAGUAUACGCGUCUUAUGAAAUGGGAAAUUUAGUAGUAUGUGCCAACUGGAUGGAUUUCAGUAUCUACUCGUGUCUGGUAAGUAAGACCCCUUCCUUCUAGUUUUCUAUAAAUUCAAAAAAAUGCUAAUAAUUGUUGUGUAUUGAUCAAGAUGUAUGGUUCACAAAAGAAGCUAGAAUUCAUCUUUAAAAAGAUGAAUUUUUAACUAAUAGAUUAUUUGACAAAAAAAAAAAACAGUUUUUUUCAAUGUAAAACUUUAACUUUUAUUUUCUUUAACUAGUAUAUCGUAUCACCAGUUAACCUCCCUAAGAACUCAAAAUUAAAAUUAACAUUCCUUUUUUUUUAUGUUAACAUUCUUUUCUCUAACUGAACCAAAAAAACUACUAAAAAUAAACGUUAUUCAUCGAUUAAAUUUGGUAGAGUAAAUUGAUAACAAAUAAAUUCAAAGCCACUAAAAAAUAAAAUAAAACAAAAUCACAACAUAGAGGUUAAUAAAUAUGACUAUAUUCAAGUGUGCAGAAUACUUAUGUCUCCACCUAUAAUGUUGAGAAUGUCAAAGUCAAUAAUUUGAUUUGCACCGUAUCAAAAUCAAUCUUUCAAUUUAAAUAAAAUGAGCAUUGCAUCAAGAUCGAAAAAGAAGGGAAAAAAAAACAGCACUAAAACAAGAAACCUUAAAAAGCAACUAAGGUGAAAAAAUCACAACAAAUAUACAUGAAAAUCACUUAUUUAACUAAAAGAUAAAGAAGAAAACAAUUUUAAAGGAUUGUUCAUGUGAAAGUUGAGCUUAAACCACCUCUCUCCGAACUCAUUAUAUUUCUUCACGUACGUAACGUAAUACGAAUCGUUUGAGUUAUCUUGCAGGAGUCUGUUACUUGUGAGUUUUCUCUUCAAGGGUCUUAUAAUAUUUUUACGGGGUUAUAGGGUGGCAACCUGCCAUGCCACCAAAUCUUUUUCGUUUGUUUUCAGUGUUCGCCUCUUUUGGAGGAUAAAGUUUAGUUCUGCUCCAGAAAAUGGUUCUUCAGAAAGUCUUAUAUGAUUUCUCAUGUAACCAUGUUCCUUGCAUGAAUGAGUAGUAUAGCCUUCCUUUUGUUUUAGGCAGAUAGGGUGUGGAUUCUCCUUCAUUUUUUGCUCAGUGUUCUUUAAUCUCAUGUUUGAUCUCUUCUCUUGUUUUGUUUAUGUGUAUUUUCUUAUUUGCCUCCUGCAGAGGUUUUCUAAUGUUUUAUAUUUGGUUUUUCUGUAUUGAAUCGACCAUUACACUUCGCUUGUUGUCGUUAGGGGUGUAUCCACCAUAUGGCAUGGUGUGGCUUAGCCGCACCAGAAUUUUACAAAAAAAAUUGCAAUUUCUUAUUUAGCGACCGCAAUUUUGAUCUCUAAAUUAUAAAAAAUCGGUCGCUAAUGUCGUUAAACAUAUUAGCGACCAAUUUUUAUACUUUAGUAACCCGAUUUUUAAAGAUCGAAAUUUCGGUCACUAAUUUAGUCAUUAAACAUUAAAUUAUAGUGACCGAAAUUUCGGUCUUCAAAAUAUAAAAUAUUAAAAAUCGAUUGUAUUUCGGUCGCUAUUUGUUUAGCCACAUUGUUGAUGCAUUUUUGGAUCCGUUCCUUGUUUGUCAUAUAUUACAUUUGUUAUUUAAAAAAAUAUAUAUGUAUUAGGAAAAAUGAGUUUAUAUAUAGAAUGUCUAAGUAAUGUAGAAUUUUGAGUAAUGAUCUAGACUUGCCACCCCAGACAACUUUGAAUGGAUCUAAUGGAUUAGUGGUGGAGAAUUGUGUUUGAGAAACCGUUAAAAAGCUACUACAACUUUAUAUUUUUUUCCUUAAUAGUAACCAAAACAUGAUGGUAUAGGGACCAGUUCCAGCAAGUUUUUAUAAACACUUUCAGAUGGUAUUUUUAAAGACAACAUUAAUUACAGAAUUCAAAGAUGUUUUUAUCAUGUGAUGAAAUUUACAAAGACUCGAUGUUGUUUCAACAACAUUAUUUGUGGCUUGUCCUAUAGAAGCCAAUAGCAAAAGUAUUUCCUCCAAUAUGAAAAUUUAUAAGCCGAAGGUUAUUGAAUUGUGCAUUGUGGAACCUGCCAUUCAAUUGAGUUUGUUUUGUUAUAUAUAUAUAUAUAUAUAUAUAUAUGGGUUUGCUAGGAUACACCUACUAGUUUUUAUGUUGGAGUGUUUUAGUAAAAAUAUAACUAAAAAGUUGUUAAAUACACCUUAAGGUGAAUGUUGUUAAAACACACCUUCUAAAAAAGUUUUUAUGUUGGAGUGUUUUAGCAAAGAUAUAACUGAAAAGUUGUUAAAUACACCUUAAGGUGAAUGUUGUUAAAACACACAUUUUAAAAAAUAAGUGGGUGUAUGUUAGCAACUCCUAUAGGCAUUUGCUAGAACACACCCAUUUAUUUUUUAGAAUGUGUGUUUUAGCAAGUUAUAACUAAAAAGUAGUUAAAUGCAACUUAAGGUGUAGCUUGCUAAAACACUCCCACAUAAAAACUCGUGGGUGUGUUCUAGCAAAUCAUAUAUAUAUAUAUAUACAAUGAUUCAAAAUAAGUGUGGGGGGAGCCUAAUAAAGUGUCUUGAGUCGUAGUGUUUUCAAACUCCCUUGAACUUUAUUCUUUUGUUCUGUUUUAUUGUGAAAGGCAUGGUUAAGUAGCUUGUUUUUAUUGAAAAAUAUCAUGACAUAAAUUUUUUAUUGUCUCCUCUUAAUUGGUUAUUUCUUGUAUAUGAAAGUAAACUCUUGUGUUUUAAGUUUUUCUGAUAUACCCACAUCUUGUUUUAAAGUGAAUAAAUUCUCCAAUGAGAAAUGCACAAGUUGCUUCCCUUGAGUAAAUGUAUGGAUAUGUAUUUUAAGGAAAUGCGUUCUAAUAUUAGUGGUACGCUGACCUUUAAAAAUUCUCAAAGUAAAAGUAGUAUAAGUUAGUAUAAGGGAGUCUAUAAAAAGCCAAAUAGCCAAAUUGAUUUCAAGGUCGCAUCAUUGGAUCUAGAUUGGGGAAGAGGGUAGGCCCUCCGACUUCCUACGUGAAGGUGAUGUUAUCUUGAGAAACUUUAAAAAGCGUCAUUGAAUCUAGAUUGGGGAAGGGGGUAGGCCCUCUGACUUCCUACGUGAAGAUGAUGUAUUAAGGGGCACCAUUGAAUCUAGAUUGGGGAAGGGGGUAGGCCCUCCGACUUCCUACGUGAAGAUGUUGUUUCCUUAAAUAAAGUACCCAAAAAUGUGUAAAUAGAAAAGAUCAAAAGAUCACAAAUACUCCCAUCUCUCUUAUAUGAUAUGAAGAAAGAAUUUUUCUUGGUUGGUUUAGCACUAGGAUUAGAAUAUGUUUCCUCAUAAUAUCUAUCUUAUACAAGAGCAAGAAUAGGGUUGGAUUACACACACACUCACUUGAAACUUGAUUGUUGGCUUGAAUAAGGUUUACAAGAAAUGCUUGAGUUUGUGAUUAGUGUACGCUUGAAAUUAAAGCCCUUGAGGAGACAUGUGUUUUAAUUAAAUUGUCAUAUGAUAAUAUUAUUUAUGCCUUUUGCUUGAGGACAAGCAAAGAUUCAAGUGUGGGGGAGUUUGAUGAGUCAUUUAUUAUCUAUUUUAAUAUGUUAUUUAGUUUCGUUUUAAUUAGAUUUAAGUUUAUUUUAUAUUUAUAUUGUUUCCUUUUUGAAUUAUUUUACUUUAAUUGUCACUUAUGCUAGAAGCCAUCCAUGAAAGUGUCUUAGCAACCACACCUUAAGGUGUGAUUUUCACUUUUUAGUUAUAACUUUGCUAAAAGACACCUUCAUAAAAAUUAGUUGGUGUCUUUUAACAAAUGUUAAUAGAAUAACUUGCUAAAAGACACUUUCAUAAAAGGUGUCUUCUAGCAAAACAUAUAUAUAUAUAUAUAUUGGAUUGCUUACGGUAUAAAUUGUGUCUCGAUAUUUCGUUCUAGCUUUAAGAAAAAUUUGCCACCAGAACAAUUAAUGAACCAACUUUUAAAGAUUAUCUUUUGGAUCACUUUUUCUUUCAAUUAGACUUACAAUUUUUGUAUAAAUUGUUCUGGUAAAUUACAACUGUGCUAACUUUGGUUAGGUCUAUAUUUUCUGAUGAUUAAUUGAAACAAUUUGUCGACCUCUUUUUUAGGAUUAGUUUAUAUUAAAAUAUAAAAGGUUAAGUUAUAAGUUUAAACAUAGGACAGUUUAUGUAUAUAGUUUGAGAUGAGUUGAUUGAAACAUUAUGUCGUCAAAGUGAUCUCUUUUGUGGAAAUUAAUUUAUUUUGAAAUAUAAAAUGUUGUGUGAUUGUAACUUAUGUGAAUAACUAAUCGGUCUCAAGGAAGGUUGUUAUUUUAAGAAAUGCAAGUCCACAUGUGGUAAUAAACGUGUGAUAUAAUUAUUCGAUCUUACAAAUGAAUAAAUGAAUUGGUCCAAAGGAAAAUGUAUUGUUUACGUGUUCUUAUUAUUAGUGUUUGGUUACUAGUUACUACCCCAAUGUAUCACUAAAAAGUUAAUUUUUUAUCUAAAGAUAAAAUGUUAAUGGAUUCUUGAUAUCUUGUAAUGGGAUUUUUUUUAAUUCGAAUUUAGUAUUACUUCUAUUUUAAGAAGUGCAAUAUUUAUGCAGUAAAUGAUAUACUUUGUGAGAAAGAAUGAGAAAAACAAAAGAUUGAUCUUUUGAAGAUGAAGAUUGAUGAUAGUCGUGGCGGAGGGGAGCUCAAAAUUGAAGAACUCACUUAUGACAAAGCUAGAAAAGUGAAAGCAUCCAUAUUGAAACUCCAAAAGAUAUUUUAUAAAUCAUGUUGUUUAUCUCUUAAAUGAUUGCGCAUAAUGCAAACCCUAUCUCAUUUGUGCAUCAUAAAUUAAGUUUGUUUUUGGUUAUAUUAUGUGUUAUUACAUUCAUUUAAAUACCUCCAUCAAACACAUUCUUCACAUCAAACAAUGAAACCAUUUUAUGAGUACACACGGUACAAUAUAUAUGCAUUGCCAUAAGAGCAAAUAGUUACAUUAAAUAGCAAUUGAUAAACUACAUUCCACUAAUAAACAUAGUGCAUUUGAGGUGUAUAACUCAAUUAUUUAGAGCUCCUUGGAUCAUGUGUUGAAGUGUUGAUGAUAAAAUUGUGUCAUUUCUUUAUGAACAAAUUAAUGAUAUAAAUUUAAUGAAUGACAAUUUCAUGAAUAAAAGUGAAAAAUAUGAUAUGAUUGUAACGCAACCACUUUUAGUGUCAAUUCAUAUCAAUCGCUUCACAUGAAUUCAUAUACAAUUUUAAAAGUGUUUAUCUUUUAAAAAAUUUGUAAUUGAGGGUUUAGAUAUGGAGAGAGUAGGAUAUUUAUGAUGAGUAAAAGAUAUCCAAAACCAUGGUGUAUGAACCGAAGAGAAAAGCUAGGCCAGUUUAAUGAAAUUUAAUGAGAAUCUAAAUUUUGAAUAAAUGUGGAAAGAAUGAUGACGAUUGAGUGAGGGUGUUUCGAAGAAGUGAGACAUUAGCCACAAAGAAGAGGGAAAAGUUUUCAUAGUAGUGUGAGUGAAAGGGAGAGAGUUAACAAAGAAAUUUAACGGUUAGUGUUAAGUUUAAAACUAAUGAAAAUAUUUUUAAUUUUAUUAUUUAAGAAAAACUCAAUGGAGGUUAGGGUAGUUUGCCCUUUUUCUUUCAUUUAAUCUAUGUUUAGCUUAUAAAACAAAAAUUACACUUUGGAUAUAAAUGUAGCCAUGUUUAGUUUUCAUAUUUCAAUGCAAAUUAAUAGUAUAAAUAAGGGGUGUAUUUAAAAAAAAUGCAACUUAAAAAUGGUAAAGAAUAUGAUAUUUUAGAACAAACAAAUCUUCUAAAAUUGUUUUACAAUUAAGGAGAUGGAGAUCAUUCAAAAAUUAGACAUAUGGAUUCGUUUUUUUUAUACAUUAAAAUAAAAAUGAUCGUCUACAAAUAAGCUUAUUUACAGUUUUUGUCUUCUUAUUUUAAUUUUUUACAAAAUCGGUUCCUCUAUUUUAAAAUCUCCUAAUUGUGGUCGUUCAUUCGAUUGAUUUCUGCACUAAAAAUUGAAAUGUGAUAGAUUUAAAAUGACGUGUAAGACUAUAAUAUGAUAAUGUAGAAUGAUGUAAAUGAAUUAAUUAUUUAUAUGUUAUAAAUUAAAUUACCAAACAAAUAAUUUUUAAGUUGAAACUAAAGCUUCUAGGUGGUCUGCAUGCAAUUUCAAGAUUGUGUAUCAUUUUACUUCAUCAUAUUGUAUGUUAUAUCAUUUAAAAAACACACUACAUCACUAUUUUUUAAGUCAAAAAAUGUGAGGGGAAAGACCGAAACUGAGUGAGUUAAAAGUGAGGGAACCAAAGUCAAAAAUAGUUUAAAUGUAUCCAUGAUUUUGCUUAUGUAUCGGUUAAUUAAAUUGAUCUAGUUGGAUAGUUUAUGUUGUAUGGUAUUUUCUUAUAGUUGACCUUUUAUAUAUUGAUGCAUGUUGGUAAUAUGAGAUGCAUUUUAAAAAAAUACAUCUAAUAAUUUGUAGAUAGUUUUAUAUUAUGCACAAACUAACCUUAUAAAAAGGUCUUAAACAUAUGGAUUCCACUAUUUAAUACAUUAAAAAAAAUAUGAACGUGAAAUAAAACAAUUAAAAUGUAUUAUUUAGAUUUUUGUUUCAAAAAAAAUGUAUUAUUUAGAUUUUAUAUAUAAACUAUUAUUAUUAUUAUUAUUAUUAUUAUUAUUAUUAUUAUUAUUAUUAUUAUUAUUAUUAUUAUUAUUAUUAUUAUUAUUAUUAUUAUUAUUAUUAUUAUUAUUAUUAUUAUUAUUAUUAUUAUUAUUAUUAUUAUUAUUAUUAUUAUUAUUAUUAUUAUUAUUAUUAUUAUUAUUAUUAUUAUUAUUAUUAUUAUUAUUAUUAUUAUUAUUAUUACUACAACUACUUCUAUUAGAGGUACUUGUUUAAAAAAACUAUAUAUUAUUAGAGGUACUAAUGGAUAUUUUACAAUUGUCUCGUAUGAGAUUUGAAUCAUGUCAUAAAAAAAGUUGAUUUGUGUUUUUCUAUAUUAGAAAAUUUAUUUGUUUAAAAUUGUCUCUCGUCUACUACAUUAAUUAAAAUCGAAUAUUUUGAAAAGAAAAAAGAAACUAAAAGUAACAUCUCUUUUUAAUAAAAAAUUAACUUUUUUUUAUUCUUAGUCAAAACUUCUUUUUCUUUUUUGUUAAAUUUUUGAAAAGAAUAAUAAUAAUAUAUAUAAUAAGUGAAUCUGUGGUGAUCAAUGUGAUGAUUUAUAUAGAAAUUUGAAAUUAACUUUAUACAUUUUCAUUAAAAAAAUGUCAAAAGAUAAAAAGAAAAAGAACAUAAAAUUUGAUUUACUUUAUGAAUUAUAUCAUUAAACUACUAUUUAUUUUUUGUAUAUAUAUUAACUCCACAAGCCAUACAAACAUCGCUGCAUAGCUUCUUCCUAUCUCUUCUCUUUGUACUAUCUUCACUAGAUCUGAGGAUAAUUAAUAUGGCAAGAGAAAAUCAAAAGGGCAAUUUGAAAAAAAAUUGUGAAUAAUAUAUCUGCACUAAACGAUAUACUUUGUAAGAUAGAACAAGAAAAACAAAAGGUUGAGAUUUUGCAGAAGAAGAUUGAUAGUCGUGGUGGGGAGCUCAAAUUUGAAGAACUCAGCUAUGAAGAAGCUAAAAAAGUGAGAGGAUCCCUAUUGGAACUUCAAAAGAUGUUCAAUGAUAAAAUCUCAAUCAGAAGAGAGAAUGCUUCACAGGAUAAGAGACUUCUUAUUAGUUAUAUAUGUUAUAAACUUUAUAUAGUACUAGUAGGAUGUCAAAUGAUUUAAUUCUCGUUUGUUGUUCUAUUUUUUUUAUGAGUAGAAAUCAAACUGGAUUGGUAUCCCAAGGUAUAAAAUACGCAAAUACAUUGUGUAUUAAUUGAUUACUUCCGUUAGACUAAAAUGGAUGUUUAUUUUAAGUGAAAGUUGUAAAGAGAUAUGAUAUACAUACUAUGUGUAAAGAGAUAUGUUUAUUUUAAUGGAAAACAUAUCUCACUUGUGCACCAUUAAAUAAAUUUGUAUUUGGUUAUAUUAUGUGAUUUGGUUUUUAGUUUUAAGUUUUUACUAUUUUUGUUAUUACUUGCUUACCAUAAACAUCAAAUUAAGAUUAUGUAUGAUUAAGAACCUCCAUCAAACGCACAUAGUUGUGCAAAGACGAUAAAAUCAAAACAAAUAGAGUUGUGCAAAGAUGAUGAAAUCACAAAAGCAAACGAAAUAAGAUUGAAAAUAUGUGAAAAUCGCUUAUUUAACUAAAAUAAAUAAAGAAAAACAAUUCGUGAUGAGUGAUUUUUGGUCAGAAUUGAUCCUAAAUCACCUCUCUUCAGUAGAUCAAGAAGAAGAAAAGUGGUGACGGCAAGGGUUUGGGAAGGAGAAAAGACAGAGUAUUGGUGUUGAUUUUGUAUUUUGCAUUAAGUCAUUUUUUGGUAAUCGUAAUCUAGUUCAUGUAAAAAAAAAACAGUAGACUGUCAACACUAUUUUGGGAUCAAUGCAUUAUGUGUGAAUAUUAGAGUUUAGUGUUAAUAGGAUCACUAUGUUGAUGAUCAACACUACUUUGGAGCUGAGACAUUAUAUACAUAUGAAAACUAGAGUUUAGUGUUAAUCUAUUCACUAUGUCGGCAGUCAACACUAUUUUGAAGCUGAGGCAGUGUGGUUUCUUGCGAAGCAUAUAAUUUCUCUGAGUUCGAGGCAUUGGAGAGAAAUUGAGGACCGACAAAGAAUAAUAGUAUGAUUGAUGAUCAAUAGAAAUGAGGGAAUUCCCUCCAAAAAAAAAAAUGAGGGAGUAAUAAUUUUUUAUGGGAAAUGUUAAUGAAUGCUCUUGAGGUAUUGGUUAAAGUGUUAAAAUUAGUAAUUUGUAUUAAAAAAAUGCUGCACAUGGAUUUUCUAACAGGGGUUUGCAAGUGGAGUGUGUUUUAUCAUUUAUGAUGAUUGUCUUGACGAGACAAUUUUAAAUUUAAUUGAACUUUUGGCGCUCCGAGUACCGUGAUUGUGUAAUUUUUAACCAUAAUUUUUUUUAUCGAUAUAUGUCUCUUAUAUUUUUUCCAUAGUAAUUUAGUGAUGCCCCUCACAAUUUUCUCCAAAGUUUAUGAUAAGUUGACGUGACACCAAACUUUCAUAGUCACUGUAUCAUUCAUUUGCUUUCAAAUUGAAAAUAAAUAAAAAAAACACCAAAAAUCAACUUGUACAUGUGAGAACAAAUGAAAUAUCUAAUUAGAGUUUUAACGUUUAUAUUUUUGUUAGUUUUAAAGAAAAGUUGCACUAAUUGUGAGAGUUGAGUGUCACAUUAAUAAAAACAUGCAACCUAAACCGAGAUUUAAUGGAAAUUAAAGCAGGGGAAUAGGAAAUCACAAGGUGGAAAACAUAGCUCAAAACAAGUUUGGGGGCGGGGAGGGGGUGGUCAUAAUCUACCGAUUGCGAUACAUUAGGGUUAAAAGAAAAAUUAAGCCAAAUUUUUAUGUUGUGUGUGGUGAUAGAUUCGUUGAUUUCUUUAUCACUUUAUCCUUUAACUCUUUCACCCUAACCACUAAGUCAAACUUAUUUAAUUGGCUUGAUUUCAUGGUAUGGUAUAAUAACUUCACCCUAUAUUAUAAUAUGACAUUUUUAAAUAUUAAUGAGUUAUUUAUUUUUUAUUUUUUAUAAUAUACACCCUUAAAAAUUGUAAUACCAUUUCAACUCUUGUAAGUAAAUUAAGGACGUAUUUGUAACAAAUUAUAAAAAAAAUAUUAAAAAUUUGAUACUCAGUGGUUUAGAGAUUAGAAAAAAGAAGUUGAUUUUUGUUUGUUCACCAAAAGAAGAAUAAGCUUUAAAAGAAAUCAAUAGGAGCUAUUCAAAACAACUUUUCAAGUUUUUUAAUUAUUUUUAGAUUCACGUUUUUUUAAGAAUUUAUCACAAAUCUAUUAAACCAUUUAAAGUGGUUUUUAUUAGAAAAACUAAUCUUUUUUUAAAAAAAUAUAUAUAUAACAAGCGGGCUUUAAAAUGAAGCAAUGGAUGUCCUGUGAACAUAGUUCAGUUGAUAGGACAAUGCAUUAUUAUAUGUAGGAGUCGGAGUUCGAACCCCAGACACCCCACUUAUUCACCUUAUAAGGUGAAUUCUAACAACUAAGCUACCUGACCAAAAAAAAAAAAUUAAGCAAUGAAUGAAAAUUCAGAUUUUUUUGAAAAUUAAGGAAUUAAAGUGUAAGUAAUAGAAAUAGCUUCAGAUUUUUUUUUUUAAAACUCUAUAUUCUUUUAACUUUAAAUUAUUUUUUUUAAAGUUGAAACAAACACACCCUUAAUCACUUCAAUAAAUUUAGAUGUAAUUACAGUUUUGGUCCUUUUAUUUUUACCAUUUUGUGAAAUUGGUCUAACUAUUUUAAUGUUUGAUGAUUUGUGCAUUUUUUUGUAAAUGCACAGUAUUAGCUGUCUUUCUAAAUCAUAUUCUAAAAUCUUAAGUGAUAUAGCAAAAAAGCCAAUAUUCAGGGAUGUUAUGAUUAUGGAUGUUGUAUGUUUUCAUAAAAAACAACUAAGUAAUUACUCCAUUCGUUCCUUUUUAAGUGUCGUUUUAAAAUUUUAACACAAAAAUAGCGAAGUAUAUUUUUGCAAACUUUUUUCCUAUUAUACCCUCAUUUUAAUCCACUAAUAAUUUCCUAUUUUUUGCACACACUUUAUCUUUCCAAUAAAUUUAAUAUGUAACAAACAAUUGUGAGUUACUACUCUAUUUCUCUAACAAAUUCCGAUUUCUUUGUGCGCUUUAUCUUUCUCUCAUAACAAACAAUUUCCAAUUUUCUAAAUAUUGUGCAUAUCUCUUGAAAUUUUUAACAAGUACUACUCAUGUUAUUUAUAGAAUUUUAACUCUUCAUGGAACUAUUAUCAUCGGUAACAAAAUUUUGUUUAAAUUUGAAGAUACAAAUUUUGUUUUAAAACAAAACAAACAAACUUUCUUUAAAAAAAACUUUAGUUUUUCAAAUAUAUAGCACUAAUUAGUUUUAUUGAAAAAUAUAAGAAUAAUUGAUAAAGGGUAUAAUUGAUAAAUUAUACCUUUAAAAUACCAAAACGACAGUUAAAUAGGAACGAAAAAUUCACCCUAAAACGACACUUAAAAAAAAAACGGAGGGAGUACUAACUUUUCAUAAAAAACAACUAAGCAAUCACUAACUUUUCCAUACUAUAUUCCGUUGUUUAGGUUGAAAAAGCCAAUUAUAUAAACAUUUAAUUACUUCAAUAGAAUGCAUGAAAUUAUUUUUUGGCUCUCUCUUCCCCUUAUCUCUUGUGAGCCGUCACCAAAAUCCUAAUUUUUUAUCCUUCAUCCACCAAAGAGACCCGAAAUCACCCCUCUAACUCGUUUUUCUAUUUCUCUUUUAUUAAAAUAAGUGAUUUUCACAUCUAUUUUAUUUUUUUCUUUUGUGAUUUCGUCGUCUUAGUGCGACGUUGUUUUGUUCGUCGUCUUUGUCCGACGUUGUUUGUCUUUCUUGUUUCGUUCAGGUAUUUGUUCAAUUCAGAUUACUAGAUCAGCUUCGAUCCAGUGCAGAUAAAAUCAAUGACUUUGGAGUCGUCAACGUUGCAGAUCCGGGACAUGGGUAUUCCGGAGACUUAAAUAUAGUCAUAUGUGUAGGCUUUAGUACUUUGUCAUUUUAUGCUAUUAACAUGGAUGAUGUGAGUUUGUUUACAGAUUCAUCCUUUUUAUUUUUGGCAAAUUUUCAUUAUAUCGAUGUACUCUAUCAAUUUGAAUGAAUGAAUAUCGUUUAUUUUUGUAAAAAAUAAAAAUAAAAAUUAUUUCAAUAUAUUUAAUCUUAAUUGCAGUUUUGAUCCUCCUAUUUCCAUCAUUUUGUGGAAUCGGUCUUCCUAUUUUAAAAUUUGACAGUUUUGGUCCCUCCACCAAAUGUUUGGUCUAAAAUAUGGUAAUAUAACAUGUUUUAAAUAAAAUUUUUAAGAUUUUUUUCUUACAAUUUCAUUGAUGUUGAUCUUUUAAAAAAAUGAAUUAUAACAGGUGAGCUCUAUAAUAACACAAUAGAUGGUAAUUCUAAAAGUAUAAACAGUUUUUUUUGUAAAUGCACAGUAUUAGCUGUCUUUCUAAAAUUUUACGUGAUAUAGAAAAAAAAGCCAAUGUUUAGGGAUGUUAUGAUUAUGGAUGUUGUAUGUUUUCAUAAAAAACAACUAAGCAAUUACUAACUUUUCAUAAAAAAAAAACAACUAAGUAAUUACUAACUUUUCCAUACUAUAUUCCGUUGUUUAGGUUGAAAAAGCUAAUUAUAUAAACAUUUAAUUACUUUGAUAGAUUUAAGCUUAAUUGCAGUUUUGAUCCCCUUAUUUCUACUAUUUUAUGGAAUUGGUCUUCCUACAAAUAUAUAGUUAUUUCACCUUUUAAGGAAAAAAUGUAUCAUCCUCUUCUAUAAAUACGGUCAUCUAUUCCUCAAUUUCUACAAAGAAAUAAAAUUGUGAAUCAUGGGUCGUAAAAAGAUAGAGAUGGAACUUGUGGAGAACAGGAGUGCUAGGUAUGUCACAUUUUCAAAAAGAAAGAGUGGUAUAUUUAAGAAGGCAAGUGAGUUGUCAAUUCUUUGUAAUGCUAGAGUUGGUAUAGUUGGAUUUACCCCAAGUGGUAAUCCAUUUGCUUUUGGUUCUCCAAAUUUCCAAGCUGUGGCUGAACAAUACCUUCAUGGAGGACAAGAAUUAGAAGCUGGAUCAUCAAGGCAAAUUGUUACACUCUCUGAAAAUCCAAAUAUCAAAUUGAUGAACAAAGAAUUGAGUGGUUUAACCGAAGAGCUGAAGAAGGUGGAGGAAGUUAAGAAAGGUAAAGCCCCUAUUGCACUUUCUGAUCUUAACUUAAAAGAACUUCUAAAAGUGAAGUCUUCGCUGAAAGAGCUUCAUGGUGACAUCGAUGCAUCAUCUUCUUUGCUUCUUCUUUCAAAGAAGCCUAUACGCAUCAUUGAUUUGGUUUGUAAAAGAAUGGGAAAAUCCAAUAUUGUGAAAACUAGUUACUAGUUGGGGAUUUUGUGGUGUUCAAUUUUAUAAAUAUAUCGUGAAUAAUUUGAAUUUGUUUUUCUUUGUUUUAUAUUUUGGAAUUUGACAUCUUCAAUCCGAGUAAAAAUCUAAUGAAAUCAAUUUUCCAUUAUAAUUUUUUUUUUCUUCUCUUUCAUGGUCUUAAACAUAAACAAAAAGACAUGGGGGAGUAUAUUAUUUUUCCUUUACAACAUCGCCUCUUGUAUUAAUGCAUUUGUUUUUUGGUAUGCACAUUGCUAUCCAUGUUUUUUCACAACUUGUGUAAUAAUUUGAUGAUGUUUGACUAACUUUAUGGUUCACGAUCGAUAUAGGUUUUGCAAUGUGCUUAAAUUUUAUCAAACAUCAAAUUGUGAGGUUUUAGUGAACUUAUGAUGCAUCGCCUAUAUAUGAUUUCACUAUCUCCUUCUUAACCUCCACUUCACCACACCUCAUCUCUAAUCUCUCCCCCGUUUUCAUUUCACCUACAUCUUUAUGGCUAUUAACUCCACCAUAGUCAAUGUGAAAACUUUCAUAUCUCUUUGAUCUCAAAAUCUCACCAUAAUUGGACUUCAAUCAUCCCAUCAACGAAGCUCCAACGAAAAUUAAUUGUUGUAAACAAGGACAAACAUUAGAUUAUGGAUUCAGAAUGUAAAUGCUUUUAGGCCUAAAUAAAUAAAUGUUUACUAAUAAGUGAAAACAAUACAGUAGAUUUAGGUACCUCGACGAUAUGGUCCAAGUUCCAUUACUCAUGGACAAGGAUUGAUCCUUAAAGGAAUUUACCAGAGUUCUUUGGUACUUAUAGCUCUUCUAUUUUUUUACAGUAUUUUUUUUUCAACGAUUUAAGUGCGUUAAACCUUUGGGAACAAGAGUGCUAUUUAUUUCAACAAAAAUUGUUAUUUAUGUCUUUUUUAUAAAGAAAGUAACUCAAAAUCACAUCCUUAUUAAUAACAUUAACAACACAAAACAGUAUUACCUCAAAAAACUGAGAAUAAGCAACAACAUUAGCUUAUCUCGUAGUAAACUCUGUAACUGAGUUUGGACAUAAAUGUUUAAGACUUCAAAUAGAAUCACUGAAAAUAAAACCAAAAUAAGAUAAAUUCUUGGAAAGAUUGUUGAAAUUAUCUACUACUAUAGCAUCAAGCUCAAAAAUGUCUCCAUCCAAGCCCAUUUAUGAUACUCAUUUGAUGGCUCUCAAAAGAUCAUAUGUUUCAUCUUCUUUCAUUGACAACAUAGGAGAGUUUGUAGUUUUAGCUUUGACAAACAACUCACAGUGAUCCUUGAUGCACGUACCAAUACCCACCUUGUUGUAUAGAAAAGAUGCAUCAGCAUCAUAGAGAAUGGUUGUUUUGACACAAUAGUAAAAUAACCAAUUGAAUAUCUCAAAAAAAUUCUCAUAGUAAAAUACAUUGUUUCUAAACAUUGUAAGAUCAAUAAAUCAUCAUUAUGCAUGACAUGCCACCUUUGCAAUGUGAAAAUUAUAAAAUGUUUUAAGGCUCAUACCACCUUUCUUUUCCUUACGUAAUAUCUCUCAUCUAAUCCAAUGGAUUCUACCACUCCUUGUUUGCUAUCCCAACAAAAACUUACUAGUCAUGCAUUCAAUGUGCUCAUAAACUCAUAUGAAGUAGAAAACAACUCAUAACUUACGUAUGAAGUGCUUGAACCAUUACACUACAAUGUAAUAAUCAAAUGGGGUUGUUAUAUUUUUAAGUUUCAUUUUCAUCUUACUGUAAAACAGAAUGCUAGGUUUACGCUUUAGAUCUUACCUCAAUGAUUGUUUUUAUCCAAAAGAUUUAAACAAGAAUUUAUGUCAACAUAAAAAUUGUUGAUAAAUAUCUAGAUUUCAUAUAAGAUAUAUACGUGAAAGAAAUUUGAUAGUAUAGUUCCAUAAAUAUUGCAUAAAAAGAAUAUUAUAAGAUAAUUUUUCAUGUGAAGGUUUUAUUACCUAUCGUGGAUAUUUUUAAGUUUAUUUCAAAUGAACGGAUGAUAGAUAAUAAUGUAUACUCGAGUUUGGAAUAAUGUCAUUAAUAUUGAGACAUGUGCAUGUAAUGAGAGUUGGCAAAUAUGAAACAACUCUAAGUUUUCUUGAGGUAGACUAAUGGCUAGAUUCAUACACAUUAUGUUUGGAGAAGUGGGAAAUUUGGAGUUUGAACCUCGGCUCCUGCACACAUAGUAGCUAUCAACUCGGUUACACUUAUGGAACAAAAAACAACUCUAAGUUUAAUACACGUAAAAGAUGUAUUCAAAUAUCUAAAAAAAAAUUUGUAAUAUUGAACGAUACAAUGACUUUUAUAGAUGGUUUGCGCGCGCAUAUGUGUGCAUAUCCAAAUUAAUGCAAGUGUUUUCAUUAAAUGUUAAAAGCACAACAUAGUUAUAUUUCUUCCCCUAAAAAAUGAUAUUUCUUGACAACUUCACAUCACAAAAACAUCUAAAAUAUAUAAGAGAAACAUUCUUCAAUAAUAAGGGAGGAUGCAACAUAUGUUGCUCAAAAAAUUAGUGUUUGUAAUUGAUAGCUAAUUUUGAAAAUUGUACAUAAUUGGUACAAGUAAUUGUAUAAUGACGAGUUAAAUGGGGUAAUCUUGAGGUUUGGGAAGUAUUAUGAAACAAAACAAUGCAAUCAUAAAAGUCUUGUUUUAUGUAUGUGUAUUUUGUAAUAAUGAGUCUUGUAUAAUAGAAUUUAUCUCUAAUGCGGGAUGUUGAUGACUUCAAGUCAAAUCAAUGUUUAAUAUGAUGCUCAAGUCAACACACAUCUCAUUGAAGAACAUUUAGAGUUUAAGGAUUGCAGUAGUACAAGUGAUAUAUGUAACGCCCUCUCUAAUUAUUUGAAUAUUUUUAAUGAGUUUAGAAUACAUUUAUAUGAUUUGUAUUAUUUAUAUGAUUUAUUUUGAUGAGUGAUAUUUUGUUAUGAUAUAUGUUGGUAUUUAUUAGUAUAACAUAUAUGUGUUAUUUGAUUUAAAAAUAUAAAUGUUAUUUAUUAUAGAAAUACAUAUGAUUUGUUGCAGAAAUAAAUGUGAUUUGUUAUAGAAAUAAAUGUUAUUUGUUGUAGAAAUACACAUGAUUUGUUAUAGAAAUAAAUGUUAUUUGGUGUAGAAAUACACAUGAUUUGUUGUAGAAAUAUAUGUUANNNNNNNNNNNNNNNNNNNNNNNNNNNNNNNNNNNNNNNNNNNNNNNNNNNNNNNNNNNNNNNNNNNNNNNNNNNNNNNNNNNNNNNNNNNNNNNNNNNNNNNNNNNNNNNNNNNNNNNNNNNNNNNNNNNNNNNNNNNNNNNNNNNNNNNNNNNNNNNNNNNNNNNNNNNNNNNNNNNNNNNNNNNNNNNNNNNNNNNNNNNNNNNNNNNNNNNNNNNNNNNNNNNNNNNNNNNNNNNNNNNNNNNNNNNNNNNNNNNNNNNNNNNNNNNNNNNNNNNNNNNNNNNNNNNNNNNNNNNNNNNNNNNNNNNNNNNNNNNNNNNNNNNNNNNNNNNNNNNNNNNNNNNNNNNNNNNNNNNNNNNNNNNNNNNNNNNNNNNNNNNNNNNNNNNNNNNNNNNNNNNNNNNNNNNNNNNNNNNNNNNNNNNNNNNNNNNNNNNNNNNNNNNNNNNNNNNNNNNNNNNNNNNNNNNNNNNNNNNNNNNNNNNNNNNNNNNNNNNNNNNNNNNNNNNNNNNNNNNNNNNNNNNNNNNNNNNNNNNNNNNNNNNNNNNNNNNNNNNNNNNNNNNNNNNNNNNNNNNNNNNNNNNNNNNNNNNNNNNNNNNNNNNNNNNNNNNNNNNNNNNNNNNNNNNNNNNNNNNNNNNNNNNNNNNNNNNNNNNNNNNNNNNNNNNNNNNNNNNNNNNNNNNNNNNNNNNNNNNNNNNNNNNNNNNNNNNNNNNNNNNNNNNNNNNNNNNNNNNNNNNNNNNNNNNNNNNNNNNNNNNNNNNNNNNNNNNNNNNNNNNNNNNNNNNNNNNNNNNNNNNNNNNNNNNNNNNNNNNNNNNNNNNNNNNNNNNNNNNNNNNNNNNNNNNNNNNNNNNNNNNNNNNNNNNNNNNNNNNNNNNNNNNNNNNNNNNNNNNNNNNNNNNNNNNNNNNNNNNNNNNNNNNNNNNNNNNNNNNNNNNNNNNNNNNNNNNNNNNNNNNNNNNNNNNNNNNNNNNNNNNNNNNNNNNNNNNNNNNNNNNNNNNNNNNNNNNNNNNNNNNNNNNNNNNNNNNNNNNNNNNNNNNNNNNNNNNNNNNNNNNNNNNNNNNNNNNNNNNNNNNNNNNNNNNNNNNNNNNNNNNNNNNNNNNNNNNNNNNNNNNNNNNNNNNNNNNNNNNNNNNNNNNNNNNNNNNNNNNNNNNNNNNNNNNNNNNNNNNNNNNNNNNNNNNNNNNNNNNNNNNNNNNNNNNNNNNNNNNNNNNNNNNNNNNNNNNNNNNNNNNNNNNNNNNNNNNNNNNNNNNNNNNNNNNNNNNNNNNNNNNNNNNNNNNNNNNNNNNNNNNNNNNNNNNNNNNNNNNNNNNNNNNNNNNNNNNNNNNNNNNNNNNNNNNNNNNNNNNNNNNNNNNNNNNNNNNNNNNNNNNNNNNNNNNNNNNNNNNNNNNNNNNNNNNNNNNNNNNNNNNNNNNNNNNNNNNNNNNNNNNNNNNNNNNNNNNNNNNNNNNNNNNNNNNNNNNNNNNNNNNNNNNNNNNNNNNNNNNNNNNNNNNNNNNNNNNNNNNNNNNNNNNNNNNNNNNNNNNNNNNNNNNNNNNNNNNNNNNNNNNNNNNNNNNNNNNNNNNNNNNNNNNNNNNNNNNNNNNNNNNNNNNNNNNNNNNNNNNNNNNNNNNNNNNNNNNNNNNNNNNNNNNNNNNNNNNNNNNNNNNNNNNNNNNNNNNNNNNNNNNNNNNNNNNNNNNNNNNNNNNNNNNNNNNNNNNNNNNNNNNNNNNNNNNNNNNNNNNNNNNNNNNNNNNNNNNNNNNNNNNNNNNNNNNNNNNNNNNNNNNNNNNNNNNNNNNNNNNNNNNNNNNNNNNNNNNNNNNNNNNNNNNNNNNNNNNNNNNNNNNNNNNNNNNNNNNNNNNNNNNNNNNNNNNNNNNNNNNNNNNNNNNNNNNNNNNNNNNNNNNNNNNNNNNNNNNNNNNNNNNNNNNNNNNNNNNNNNNNNNNNNNNNNNNNNNNNNNNNNNNNNNNNNNNNNNNNNNNNNNNNNNNNNNNNNNNNNNNNNNNNNNNNNNNNNNNNNNNNNNNNNNNNNNNNNNNNNNNNNNNNNNNNNNNNNNNNNNNNNNNNNNNNNNNNNNNNNNNNNNNNNNNNNNNNNNNNNNNNNNNNNNNNNNNNNNNNNNNNNNNNNNNNNNNNNNNNNNNNNNNNNNNNNNNNNNNNNNNNNNNNNNNNNNNNNNNNNNNNNNNNNNNNNNNNNNNNNNNNNNNNNNNNNNNNNNNNNNNNNNNNNNNNNNNNNNNNNNNNNNNNNNNNNNNNNNNNNNNNNNNNNNNNNNNNNNNNNNNNNNNNNNNNNNNNNNNNNNNNNNNNNNNNNNNNNNNNNNNNNNNNNNNNNNNNNNNNNNNNNNNNNNNNNNNNNNNNNNNNNNNNNNNNNNNNNNNNNNNNNNNNNNNNNNNNNNNNNNNNNNNNNNNNNNNNNNNNNNNNNNNNNNNNNNNNNNNNNNNNNNNNNNNNNNNNNNNNNNNNNNNNNNNNNNNNNNNNNNNNNNNNNNNNNNNNNNNNNNNNNNNNNNNNNNNNNNNNNNNNNNNNNNNNNNNNNNNNNNNNNNNNNNNNNNNNNNNNNNNNNNNNNNNNNNNNNNNNNNNNNNNNNNNNNNNNNNNNNNNNNNNNNNNNNNNNNNNNNNNNNNNNNNNNNNNNNNNNNNNNNNNNNNNNNNNNNNNNNNNNNNNNNNNNNNNNNNNNNNNNNNNNNNNNNNNNNNNNNNNNNNNNNNNNNNNNNNNNNNNNNNNNNNNNNNNNNNNNNNNNNNNNNNNNNNNNNNNNNNNNNNNNNNNNNNNNNNNNNNNNNNNNNNNNNNNNNNNNNNNNNNNNNNNNNNNNNNNNNNNNNNNNNNNNNNNNNNNNNNNNNNNNNNNNNNNNNNNNNNNNNNNNNNNNNNNNNNNNNNNNNNNNNNNNNNNNNNNNNNNNNNNNNNNNNNNNNNNNNNNNNNNNNNNNNNNNNNNNNNNNNNNNNNNNNNNNNNNNNNNNNNNNNNNNNNNNNNNNNNNNNNNNNNNNNNNNNNNNNNNNNNNNNNNNNNNNNNNNNNNNNNNNNNNNNNNNNNNNNNNNNNNNNNNNNNNNNNNNNNNNNNNNNNNNNNNNNNNNNNNNNNNNNNNNNNNNNNNNNNNNNNNNNNNNNNNNNNNNNNNNNNNNNNNNNNNNNNNNNNNNNNNNNNNNNNNNNNNNNNNNNNNNNNNNNNNNNNNNNNNNNNNNNNNNNNNNNNNNNNNNNNNNNNNNNNNNNNNNNNNNNNNNNNNNNNNNNNNNNNNNNNNNNNNNNNNNNNNNNNNNNNNNNNNNNNNNNNNNNNNNNNNNNNNNNNNNNNNNNNNNNNNNNNNNNNNNNNNNNNNNNNNNNNNNNNNNNNNNNNNUAUUGAAGAAAUUCCGCUGCGAAGUAUUAAAGAUUUUGUUAUUGAAUUUUAAAGGAUAAAUAGUUAUUUAUUCAGUUUAUGAUUUUAAGAAAAGAAGUGUGACAUUCCGUUUUUGUGAAUUACUCUGAUUAAAUAAAUGAAAUUUUCACGUUGGGAAAACGGGGUGUUACAAUAUAGGUUGAAAUUUGUUACCAUUAUAGUAUUUGAUUUAAACAUAACUCAACUUUAUAAUCUGACUCAGGGGAGAUGGUUGUCCCCACUUUUAACUAUUAUUAAUUGUAACAUAUCACUAUUUUAUAUGAAAUGUUGAUGAUACAUAUAUGAGUUAUUAUGUGUUGUGUUACCAUCGUUCGUGUACUUCUACGAGAAAGGUCGACUAUUUUGCAUACUAUUUAACUAACAUUUCUUUUUAAAAUCCAUUUUUUUAUCGAGUAUGAGCCCCAGACCUUGCAUAUAUUAUGCAUUAUUCUUAUCAACAACUUAGUUAAAUUCAUAGGGGACUUUGUAAAUCCAUUGGCACCGGAUUUCUUUGUUGGAUACUCUUCCCUUAUCUAUCUUUUAUCUCAUAUAUGCAUAAUAUAUCAACAUGUGUAAUAUGAAUGUUCCUAUGCAACCAUAAAUCAAUAUGAUUAGAUAAAUAUUUUUGCAUAUUUAAAAAUUAAUAAGAAAUGGAAGAACACUAUAAAGGUGAUAGCUAUAAGUGAAUUUCAUCUUCUACCAUAACAACAAGUCAUAAAGAAUAGCAAAUAAAAAAUAGAUUUUAUGGAUAAAAUGUUCACGCUAUAAAUAGUGUAUAGUCAAUAGACAUUGUUAAAUUAAAAUUUGUUUAAAUUUAUGCUUAAACUUAUAACUUUUUUUAAUGAAAACAUUAUAUGAAACUUUCUUAUAAAAAAUUAGAUUCUUUUAACAUGUAAUGAAUUAAAUAUGAAUUUGUCUAAACGAAAAAAAUUUAAGAUGAAAGUAAUGAAAAUUUGGACCUAAAAAAUAAAUUUUGAACUAUUUUUUUCGGGAAAACUUUGUAAAAUGUUUUAAAUAAAUAUGUAAAAAAUUCUUCAAAAAUUUAAAAGUUGAAGCAUAAUUAAACACAUUUUAAAUUUAUAACGACUAAAAGUAUGUGAUAAAAAAAUUAUAGGAAUUAAAACAUGUCACCUUUUUUUCGAAAGAAUGUCACUUUUUUAUGAAGACUAUGACUAUAUUAUAGAGAUCAAAAACUUAUUUAACCCUAAUCAUAAUUUUUUUAAAGCAAUAGUCGUAAUGCAAUUGAAUUAACAAUAAAAUACUCAAUGGGUCUUUCAAAAAAAAUUAAUGGGAAAUUUUUUAUACAAUCACUCACGUCACCACCGUAAUAAUCAAUGAUCAAAAAAUUGUACACCAGCGGGAUGGAGUUAUUGUAUUAAGCAUAUUUUUUUGUUUAGGUUUUAGUUUAGGCUUAAACAGCUAAAUAAAUUAUUUAAUCAUACAAUAAAAAAAAAUACUUAUAAUAUUAAAUAAAUAUAUAUGUGGGGUUGCGGGGCUGGGCAGUAUAGUACCCUUACCCGUACCCAUACCCAUUUAAAUUCGUGGGUAUUACCCGGACCCUUCCCCAGACUUAUGAUAGUGGGGUUUUACCCUACCCAUUAUGGAUAUUUUAUGGGUAUCCAUUGGGCCUGGGUCAAAUUAUCAUCCCUACUCAUCCAAGUUUGCUGAUUACUCACCACGUUGAUAAUAUCCUUCUUGCCUUGGUAAAAACUCUUCACAAAAAAUAAAACUUUCUCACAACUGUACAUCAAAAGUGCUAUGAUGAAUUUGAUGAUUCUUCAUGGUCUAUAACUCAAACAAACCCUAACAAAAUGAAGGAAUAAAAUCAUAAGAGACUUUAAGGAAUUGAAAUGAAAUUUAAAGCAUGUAGAUUGCGAUCCACCUAGAUACUAAGAACAAUAUCUACAUCAAGUAAUUACGGACAAUGACGUCUAAAAAAAAUAGAUUUUUAGUAAAGUGGUCAAUCUUCACUUUUUGAAAGAUAAUAAGCUUGAAUUAUGAUUAAAUUAGGCCUCAAUAGAUGACUACGGUUUCACAAAAACGAACCUCAAAAUUGCACAUUUUUUUUAAUAAACAAAAAUGAAUUAUAUUAACAAUAUCAUAAAGUCUUUAGUAGCGCAAGGUAUGCCGAGAAGAACUUCAAAAGCUUACAACCAAACAAUAGUAAUCAAAGGAAACGAAAAUAAGUUAGUUGAUGCCCAUAUAAGCAAAAUAGCUCGACCACCACAUAUGAAAGUUUGAACCAAAAUUGACAUUAUAAGUUUUCAGCCACAAAAAAAAAAUGUAACUUGACUUUUUCUAACAGUUGAUGAAUUGUAUUCUCCUUAUUCUUGAAAACUCUAUUAUUUCGCUCAUUCCACAAAACUGAAACACAACAUAACCAAAUAAUCUACAUGAAAGAACGACGUGUUUGCGUGCCACCAAGGAGUAAAAAAAAAAACAAAACAAGAUGAUCCAUAAGAGAGUACGGAUCGGCUGAUGAGAUGCCCAUCCAAGAUCUGACCAAGCUCCACGGAGGGGCAAAGACAAAAUAGAAACAAAUGGUGACCUGUCUCUAAGCCUCUGCAAUCAGUCACACAUAACUGAGAGUCAUGAGAAAUAAUGUCAUGCGCCGCGAAAUUAUCUUUAGUCGGUAACUUGUUUCGAAAAGUCUUUAAACCAAAAUAGAAACUUUCAGGAAAACUUAUUUGUGCCAAUAGAUAUGAAGUAGUUGCAACCCCCAUUCCCCCUCCUCAAACCACCAUNNNNNNNNNNNNNNNNNNNNNNNNNNNNNNNNNNNNNNNNCCCCCCCAACACCUACACAAAUUCUCACUACCUCCUGCCACCACAAAGAACCACUUCGGCCCUCAACCACCAACUUCUACACCUCCUCACCAUAACGAACUACCAACACCCUGUACAACAAACCUCCUCAAAAUUGCACAAUUAAAUUCAAAAUGAAAUACACACCAAUUCUCUCUCAUUAAUAAGUUACUUUAAACAAUAAUAAUCACUUACUUGUUUACGAGAUAAUCAAUUGAAAUAUUUGUAAAAUUAUAACCUCAAGAUCGUUGGAUAGUUUAGGAAGAAAAAAAACACAUCAACACAUUGAAUGUGUUCUAUCCUCAUUUGACUCAUCUUAGCCCUUGGAAGAAGUUUUCGCACCACAUGGAUCUAGUAUUCGAGGCAAACUCUCUUUGUUGUGUACACUAUUUUCAUUAUGGUUGCUCUUCAAGCAAUCCUUUUUGCCUUCUUGUUCGCUACCAUGUCACAAUUUUAAUGUUUCUUCCGAUGUUGCCAUUUUUCUAAAUAUUAUUUCACUAAUUUUUGUUGUCCUGAUAAAAGAUGCAACUACACUAUGUACAUGGUUGGUAUCAUGUGGGUUGGACAAUUUGAUUUUCCAAACUAACCGCAAUAUCAAACAUGUACUAUCUUUCAUAGAAGUUUUUUUUUAUAAACAAAAUAGCAAUGUUCAUUAUAAAUUCAUACAUACAUGAAUGAAUGUGUUGGUGUUCGAACUCUGAUUACAAUGUCGGAUAAAGAAUUGUUCCACAAAAAAUCUAACUCAUAUUCUCUCAAACGAUAGUAUUAUCAAUUUUGUAUUAUCUAAAAUUUGCCCUUCAUAAAUGUGACAAUAGAAAAUGAAAAUAUAUUAUAUAUGAUUGACCAUCUACGAUACAAGUUUAAUCUACAAUUUCCUCAAUUCAUUUUUUUAACACUAAAAAAAACUCAUAGUUUUUUUUUUUUAUCUUAUUGGACACCACAUUAACAUAAAAUUAUUGUCAAAUUAUCCAUUGACGAGAACCACAUAUUUUAAAUGUGUGUAAACGGCGAAUGAGUUAGAACUCUAGAUAUCAAAUAUGCAAAAUUCAUUCAAUUUUUUAUCACAUGUAAUUACAACUUACAAGACAUAAAAAUCUUUUUUAUACCAACAAAAAGAACAUAAAAUUCAUUCACCGAGAUGAUUAAAAUGGAAUUAACCAAUUGACUUUAACAGUAUACAAUUUGACAGAAACAGUUACGUUUCAAAGGUAAGAAAAACGUGUGCUAAUGAUAAUCAUAAGAAAAGUAAACAAAACCCAAUAAUUCAUAUCAUUAUCAUAUGAUAUCAUUAUCAUAUGAGAAAUAAUAAAAUUAAAUUCUAAAAACGAAAUCAGAAAGGAAGAGAAAAGAAAAUGCGUCUUAUUUUCUCCACACAAAAACGACCAUAAUUCUUUGCUGGCACAAUCGUUCCCAUUGUUAUCACAAAAUCACAACAGAUUCAUUUCUGUUUUUCCCAUUUUACCCCUCUUCACAAUAUCCUCUUGCGAUGUUUCAUGUGGCGGUGUUGGUAAAUCUCUCUCUUACAUGCACUCGCAUAUAGAUAUAUCAAUAUAUAUAAGAUCGAUCUCUCUCUUCUCUGUGAAUUCAACAAAACCUCUUUCUUCUUCUUCCAUUUUCUUCUACUUUCCUUCAACAACCUUCAGCCAUGGCGGGAUUCGGUGGGGGCCACUGUUUCCCGUAUCCACUCUUCGCUGUCAUCAUUGUCCUUGCUAUUGUUCACGCGAUUCUUGCUUCCAUUGCAACUAUUCAGGUUAUUUUUUCAGCAUUUUCGUUUAUUUUUUUAGAUUAUUUGAUCAAUUUAGGUUUUGAUUUUUAGUAUGAUGGUGGAUAGUUGGAUAAGGAAUUUGAGAUAAGAAAAUGUGUUGAAUUUUACUGAAUGGAUUGAGAUUAUUAGAACUGCAUUUUGUGAAUUUUUUAUUGUUUUGUGAUGAUUGUGAAAUUCAAUUAGGCUAUGUUUAUGUGAUGUUUCUUCAAUGGCCUAAAGAGUUUGAUAAAGUAUACAAUUGGAACUAUUUUUUUAGUAAAAUGUAAUUUUUGAUUAAUAUUUGAUUGAAGACUUAUAUAAACUCUAUGGGAAGAGUGUGUUAUGUUGAAUUAAUAGUGGUUUGUGUUGGUAUGGGGAAAUUGUGAAGUUAGGUUUGGUUUUUAGGGUUAAUUAACCCAAUCUUGAUUUCACUUAUCUACUUGAACUUGAUUAUGAUUCAGUUUAAGAAUGAAGUGAUUGGGAUGGUAUUUCAUUAACAUUGACUUCGAGAAACUGAGAUUUGAGCUCUUUAUGCUGUAGUGUACUGUGAGUUCUUAUUGUACUCAAUGUUGGUUUUUUGUUUUUGGGUACCCCAGUCGCUGAGGAUUCACUUGAGAAGUUUACAGCUUGGUUGGACUCGUCAAAAAGUAAGUGCAUUUUCCGAGCUACUAUGUUUCAGAUUGCUACUAUGACUUGAUAUUUUGUGAAUGGAUGAACUUGUUUAGUUUUUAAAUGUAAUAAUAAUAAGUGAUAAGUGAAAUGUGACUGGCCACUAUUUGCCAAUCGAUGCUCUAGUUUCACACUGCAUAUAGUUGUGCUGUUGGAAUUAUGUCUUCACUAUACCAAUUAUCGAAAUUUGAGAGCCUUUCCAACUCAACAUUCAUUUUGAAUUCCGGAUAGAAAUAAAUGGUCUUGUGUGUUUAUAGUAAAGGCUGGUAGAGUAUGCUUUUGUUGCUAUUUAAGUAACUAGCAAUUUGUUACUUUUUAGAUGGCAACAUCUGCCACCCUUAUCUUUUCUCCUCUUGCUACCUAUCCUCUCUAAUUUUUGCUGGUGGUGUGGGGAUGUUACAUGUUUGUGUGUGUAUCUUACAUGAUCAAUGAAUGCAUCAAAUUCUAGUCUCAAUGUAGUGUCCACAUGUCUAUAAAAAGUAAUUUCAAUGCUGGCAUUACAAAAAAGAAAGGAUAGACAUGUGAUGGAAUAUCGUAAUGUAGUUGCAAUUUGUAUAUUGGACAUAGGUAUACGGUACUUCUAUUACUUAUUCUUUGAGCUUUUAUGAGUAUAUAAUUUUUCUAUUGGAAUGUAGCUUUAUUGUCACUCACCACUCUAGGUUUUUACUUGCUAUUAGACCAGCUUCUGUUAAAUAUAUUAGCUUCUCACGAAAUUUAAAUAUAUGGAAUGCAGGUGUUUCAUCUAUUGAUUGGCUCUUCUAACUGGGGUUAGUUGUAUUUACCUUUAAUGCUCAAGUCUCUUUUAAAUGUCAAGUGGUCAGCACGUUGCACACUAUAUUUUAGGCCCCGGUUACUGAUUUUUUUUUAUCAUUUCUUAUUUUUAAUGGUUAGACUGAGCCUUUUAUUAUUGCAUAUUUUGCAACAAUAUAUGAGGCCAUCCUGAAGAAAUGGCUGUGUUCAUUAGAGAUCUCCAUUUCUCGUGACAAAUGGAGAGGAUCUCUACUAAUCAACGUUGAAGUUUUAUUUUACAAAAGUACUUUGAUAGUUGGACCUGAUUUUUCUAAGUAUCUUCUUUUUUUUACACCUUCAUUCUAUUCCAUUUUCUUUUACAUUAGUAUCUUGUAAGAAAUGGCUAGAGAUCUCAGAUUUCUCUGCCAGAUAUCCACUGGGGUUAUAUCACGUCUUAUACUUGCAUAAGUUUUGAGAGGUACAUCGGAUAUGGUUGAUAACUCACAUAAUUGAAAUCAUGUUAUUUCAUAUUAAUGAUAUAUUCUUUAAGUGAUAUAAUUGCACUUGUAUUAGUUAAUCUCAUCCCGCCAACUUGAGAUGUGGAAAAUAUCCUGCGGAACUCACCCAUCUCUUCCUUGUGUAAACUUUGCAUUUUGGUAUUAUGGACGCAAUGACCAGUGCUGCCAUUUCCCUUCUUCCAUACAUGCUUCAAAGGUUGCUAAUAUGAUCAUUCAAAACUCACCGCAUUAUUUGCACUACCUAACUCACACUUGCCAUUAUCAUCACUACCUAAACCAUUGGCUUUCAAACCCAUCAUCCUCACCUCACCCCAUUCAUUAAUAUUUUUGUGUCACUCGUAGAAUUUGGGUUGGGCCUAACACAACCCUUACGAAACCGGCCUGUAAGGUGAUUAUGUCUCUCAUUUAUAAACUCAUUUUCAGAUCAGAUCUCAUCAAAUAUGGGACUCCUAACACACUUUACACAUUCAUGAUUGAAUAUCUAGAGCAUGACUUGAAUGGCCCAAUAACAGAUGACCAACCAUAUCUUAGAUAAGCUCUGAUGUCAUCUAUGAACUUUCCUACACCUAUAGGCCCCAAUUCUCUCUCUCACAAAUGACAAGUUUGAUCUCCCUCCUAAUCUAUUCUCUUAUUUAAAGGCUACGGGCUUUGUUUCUUGUAUUUAUCACAGCCAAACUAAGCAACUAACUAGGAAACACCUAGCAUAUCUCUUUCUCAUGUUUUUUCGUCCUAGUCCUAAACUUGGCAAGUCUGACGUUCUUUUGGCAAUCUGAUGCUUCUAUGUCAGAUAUCAUGUGUAGCUUGCCUGCUUAUCAAUUUCUUUUAUGUAGAAACGAUGAUCUUUAAUAACUACUUGAUACAAAUAGUGUCCAAUGUGUGAAUUUGUGAAAUGGUUCUAUUUUAGUUACUCACAAAAUACAUCAGCAAUAGUUAACAUUGCCCGUCCUCCUCGUUUUCUCUUCAUUUCAUCUUAACUGUUCGAUUUCAAAUUUCAGGUUACUCCAUUUAUUUGGCAUUGAUACUUCUUGCUGCUUGCAAGGGAUGGACAUAUUGGUCACACUCUUGUGGUUUUAUCUUUAUGGGUAUGCCUCUGUUCAGUAUUAACUAGACACCGGUGAUAAGCUUUUAUUGUUGGUUAAAAUAUUUAAACUGUUGAAAAUUGUUUUGCAGCACUCCCCAAAGUACUUUUUUUUGCAGCAUUUCUUCUUCUUUUAUCCUUCUGGUAUGUGAAUUUACUUGUUGUUAAGAUAUUUAUUUAAUUUUUACUGACUCGCAGUGUUUGCUACAAAAAAUUUACUUAUAGCAAGUACUAACAAUCGCUCUUUAGCCUUGAGAAAUCUCUCCUGCCAUCUCUUUCUUAUUUAUUUGUAUGUUCUUCACUUUUGAUUCAUUUCCCUUCUUACACCUGUAGUGGUGAAUUGUUGUUUACUGUAUGCCAGCAAAAUUUAAUUCAAGCUGCUUUAUAUAUAUCACAAACAAGCGGAGGGGUUGGGUAGCUCAACUGGUUUGAGCUAAGGGUUAAGAAGUUGGAGGCUCUGGGUUCAAAUCCGGACGAAUAAGUAAAUAUUAUCUAACAAUUAAUUACUAAAAUUUGCCUUUCAAAAUAUAUAUAUGUGUGUGUGUGUGUGUGUGUGUGUCUGACUUUUUUGAAAAUGAAAUGUGCAUAAAUAUGCACGCUGACAGUUAGGUUUGGUUUUCUGAGUUGUCAAGAAAACAAACAUUGUUUUGUUUUGGCGUUUUGAGACUUUGAGGUAGUAUUGUGAUUUAAUUCAAUUCGCAGGCAUUUCUUGUUUUAAACCAUUUCUAUUGUGUUGACUAUUUUUGUUAAAUGGUCGAACUGGACUCUUGAAUCAGGUCUUUAAAUAUAAACUUGAUUUAACUAGUAUAAGAUGACAUGUAUAUCCUCCAAAGUAGAAAUUGUAUGUUAGACUCCCAGAAAAUAAAUAUCGUGGAAGAAUUUUUUUUUAUUUACGUAUUACAUUGAUUGGUAUUGCAAAAUAAAACACCAAUAUUAAAUUUUCAAUUUUUAUUAUUUCCCUUUCUCUUUUUUACAAAGUCAUGUUAGGAUAAUGAUCUUUAGCUACAGAAUGAAUCACAACCAGAGAAUGACCGAAUGACAUUAAUGAUGCUAAAACUUUAUUAUAUAUUUUGGUGGGUGCAUAGGUGUGGUCUUGAUAUUGAUUUUUUAAAACGAAAAUGAAAAGUAUUGGUGAUGAAAACAAAUUUAGGAUUUUGUAGCAAUGAUUGAAACAUUAGAGGAGAGCAAACUUUUAUGCAAAAGUUAAAAAUUGUGAAAAUUCAAGGCGGUCAAGGAGGUGUGUUUUGGUGAUGGGGGUAUGUCUGUUGGAAGCUUGGUCCCCAUUUCACCCCACUGUUGCAUGUAUACUUGACCAUCUAACUCUACAGGUCAUCCACUCGCAUUAACAUGAUAAUGGAGUGCUUUAUUGAAUGAGAAUUGAGCAGCACCUAUAAUGAUGUAUAUCUAAUAUAAUUUUAGGCUAUUGUAUUGCUAAAUACUAACUACUUUCUAUGUUGCACUUGGGUCCCUUUUCCAGGGUUGACCUAUGCCAUCAGCCAGACGAUGACGAUGACUAUGAAGGAAGUUUCUCUGAGGAACCUUUGCUGGGAAAGACUUCAAAUGAAUUGAUUUUAACGAACAGGGAUAGACAUAGAAAGUGUUUUCCUAUUCGCUUUUCUCGUCUUGGAUAUCGUCAAAAGAUUGUGACUUUGGUAUGAGAAACAAAAAGUGCUUAUUCUCAUGUAGCUCUUAUUUUUGUCUUAUCACUCUAUCCUUAAUUUUGACGGUCAUAUAUAAAUUUCACAAGUAUUUCCUUCAAAUAUAAUGACUUGGAUAUGAUUCACCAGGUUAUGUUGCUACUUUUCAUCACCAUUGUGGCAUUUGCUGUAAUAAUCUGGAUUGGGCUUGGAAAGAAUCCCAUUGACUCUGAAGUGGCAGCUCGGGUAUGGUAACUGUAACUUGACUUUGUUUUGUGUAAUACAUAAUGCAUUAAAAAAAAGACUUAGAUCUAAAUGACUUGCUGGGAUUUUAGUUUAUGAUGGAAUGCAAUGGCAUUGAUUGACUCAUGUAGUCAUACUCAUCUAAUGGAAAAAGUUCUGGUAGUGGUUGUUAUUUUUGUGAUCUAUGAUGCCAUACACCACUAUGACUUUCUUGGUAGUGGUUGUUAAUUCUCCUUAUUCUAUAUCCUUAACGGGGCCUAAUGCAAUUCAUCAAAACCAGCUUGUAAGGUGACAGAGAACUUAGUCUAAUAACAGAAAUAGGAUAGUCUCUAAUACCAUCUUAGAAUUUGGCUUAGGGUCUAACUCAAUCCCACAAAACCAACUUGUAAGGUGAAGACUGUCCAAGCCUUAUAAGCAUUGCUUAGGCAAAUAUCUCUAGUCGAUGGGGGACUUCAACAUGUUUGUAUUUGAUUGGGCCAAAAUAUUUUUGUGAAUAUUUUCUAGAAGGAAAAAAUUCAACACAACAAAACAAUCAGAGAUGAUUAAAAAGUGUUUUGAGGAAAGAAGAUUCUCCUUAAAAUGUAAUAAGAAAAAUAGAAAAUAAACAGGAGAUAUCAAAGGAUCAAUGAGACAUAGUUACCUAAUCUCCUAAAUAUCUGCCAGAGAAACCUUUGUAAAAUGGUUAUCUACCCUGUGUAACUGACACUUGUUUCUUUCGGAAGUCUAGCUGGCUUUGAAUAGAAAUGUUGGGGGGAACUUCUAACUUUCUUAUCGAAAAAGAGUCGGAAGAACUAUGGUAUAUGUUGUUUGGAUGAGGAUGGAUUCAUAUGAUAAGCUUAGAUGCCAUAGUUCUAAUGAACCGUGGAUGUUUUCUCAGUCUUUGAACAAUCCUUUCAAUCAUGUUUUGGUGACGAAAGAUCUCAUGCAGGUGUACUUGGAUAUUUCUGCUAUUGGAAUGCUUCUCUUAGGCGGCGCACUGGCAUGUUAUGGUAAGCAACUAUUAUUCUAGUUGUUUUCCAUUUUAAGUUAAGUAGGUUUGAAGUUGAUUAUCUUCUCUUGCUUGAAGGGAUGUACUAAUUUGUAUAUCUGUGUCCUCGUGAGCUUAGCUCAGUUGGCAUGGACAAUGCAUAAUAUAUGCAAGGUCCAGGGUUCGAACCCCAGCCACCACCAAAAAAAUAAUUUGUAUAUCUGUGUAAAAUGCAUCAGCAUCAAUCAAUUUAUGAACCUGCAUUUAUUUGGCUGGUUAUCUUGAUGGAACGGUUAUGUUGUUAAAUCAGAUUUUUUUUUUUUUUUUUAUAUUCUACAUGACACAUGUACUUCAUGUCUUUUACCAUUUGUGUGAUAAGAGAACUCAAACUCUGCUGUUAUAAUUUGAUUAACUUGCUGCUUAUCAAAACAAAAAUAUGAGACAAAGUUGUAGUGAUAAAAAAAAAUAAAAAAAACCUUACUUAUGGUAGGGUACACUGAGCCGGUACUCUGUUCUUAACAAAAGAAAUGUUUAUUCUCUAUAAUAAUAACAAUAAUUUUAGGGUAAUGUUGGGUGAGCAACGUGAUACCGAAUUCAAACAUAAUAUAGGCCCUAUUUUUCUGGAAAGUCAAUCAUAAAUAAAAUCGUAGAAUACCAACAUUACCUUGGUCCGAGUGGAACUGGGUUCUGAUCCUUAAACAAGUUCUCAGGUUUGAGCCAUAGUGAUGGAAAAGAACGUGGUUGGGAAGGAAGACUCUCCUAAAGGUGGUCCAGCCAUGUUCCCCCGAGGGAGAUUGGUUAUUGGCAAAGUUUGUUGAUACUUCACACCAAUAACAUAAUUAGCAAAAAGAAGUCAAUAAUUUGUAUUGUUGAAAUGUUAAUGACUAUUGAGUACUGAGUCGUGAGAUGCCUGUUUUUGUAGACAUAGUUUCUCAUAGUAAUUUUUGUGUAUGUUCCUUUGUAGGAAUCCUAUUAUGCUUGAAGAUGAGCAAAGUGAGAGCUGAGAAACCUUCGUCUGAAAUGGGAAAGGUACGAAAUUUCUGUUUCCUCUGGUGUGCAUAAUAUUUUUAUAGAUUAUUGAAAGCAUUCCAUUUUAUCAGGUUGCAGGUUUAACAAUAGUCUCUGUACUAUGCUUCACGUCAAGUUCCUGCAUAGAACUUUUUACGGACAUUCCUGUAUGUAUAAGUUAAAUGUUUGCAAGAGUUUUUUAUCCUUGAUAAAAGUGCUAAAAUUUCCUCAACUAGCCUUCACGCUAUUAUUUUAUUAUUGCAGAUGAUGUUUCACUGGCAUCAGCAGCGUAUGAAUGAUGUAUAUGCCUCUCUUCUGCUGAUUUUGUAUUUUUUUGUGGGUAUGUGCUGUUAUAAGAUAGUUAUCGCCUCAUACUUGUUGAUGGAAUCUUUUAUUCUUUCCUUUUACGAAAGUAAUGACAGUCUUUGAAAACAUUGUACCUGGCCUGCUGCCUAUAAUACUUUGUUUAUGUUUUCCAUUCAAUUAUAGAUUGAUUGCUUUUUGAAAUGGUUUCUUCUCCUUUAAUUCUGAACCUGACGCUGUUUCCAGGUUCAUCAAUACCUUCAGCAGUAGUGCUGUGGGUAAUGAGAGAAUUACCGCCAGCAGAAGCUGCUGAUGUAGUAGAGGAAUCAAGUACAAUCGCUUUUGUUGCUAAUAGUUCAGUUGCUGCUCAUCAUCCUCGGAGCUGGACUACAGCUACAAGCAUGCAAAAUCAGGUCCCUAUAGUACACAUCUUGUCUUUGGUUAAAUUAUCUUUGCAGUAUUCAGUUGAUUCUGAAAUAUUUUUCCUUAUCUUGUCCUUCAUCAGUAGAAAAAUAAUUUUUUACAUGGAUUGCUCUUGACGGUUGAGGCUUUAAGAUUCAAAUUCAUAUUGUUUCUGACGAGUGUCAUCACACAAGUCACAAGGUGAAGUUGAAUGUCGAUCGAGCAUAUACAGAAAUAGUACAUAUAUGCAGAAUAUUAUGUUGUCAAUAAUUUUCUUAAAAUAACUUUGUUUAGUGAACUGGCUAGCACGGUACAUUUUUUAUUGUGUAUUAGUUUCCUUCAUCUUACAAUAGUUAUGCUUUUGUCCUGCCUCAAUAGUUUUUAAUCAUGGAUUUAUUUUCUUUUGUAUUUUGUUGUCAUGUUUUGUGGUUUUGUUGCACAUUAACCUAAUUGUAUAGUGACAUAACUGCUGUCAUUUUUGCAGACGUCAAGAGCUAGUCCUAUAUAAUCUUUCCAUGUAAAUCUUCUUGUUCCGCUGGAAUUUGGGCACAGCAUAUUGGAGUUUCUUCGGAACAUGUUGAACCUUAGAGCAAAGAUGAGAGAAAAUGAUGAUGGUGGAUGCAAGUACUAAAAGGCCUUGUGAUUUCCAAUCCUAAUGUACUUGCUUUUUAAAUCUAACUAACUGUAUAUAGCAGCGAUUUGAUAUAUGAAAUUUCUUUUCGUGCUAUACAAGUUUUGGGAUGCAAUGUUGGUUUGGAAUCUCUCGGUUCAAAUAACACUUGCCUGAUGUGAAUAUAAAUGUUGCCAAGCGAGCAUGUUAUUCCAACCUGCUUGUAAACUGAAUCAAUAUCACAGUUUUGACAAGGAUCUUUUUACUAGCUUCUACCCUUAUGGUAAUGGUAUGACUUGCUUUAUAUUUAAAAAAUAAAUAAAAAUCAAAUCGAAAACAUCUCAAACCAAGGGUCUUUUUAUAUUAGAUUUUUUAAAAAAAUACAUCCGAUAAUAUAGAGAUAUUUUUUAGAGAUUUUAAGAAGUAUGAACUAUUUUGUUUGUUUACCAUGGUAACAUUAAUUUUUUGAAAGGUAUACAUACUUAUUGAUUUCCAAUCAAAUGUGUUCAAAACAUGUUCUCAUUUUGAGCGGUUUUUAUAUUAUUAUUUUUGUAGAUUUUCAUUUUUUUGAAGUCGUAAAAGAAGGGUUAUACUUGGAAAGUUAUACUUUUUCUAAUAAAGAUGUUUUGUUUAAAGAAACUGUACGAAAUAUACCCACAAAUCUUAUAUUUUACAACACGUUGUAUAACAGGUCUAUUCAAUAAAAUCUUUAUAUUCAACUUUUGGAUUUGAUAAAUUCCAUCGAACCUGCAGAAUAAACGUGAGAAAAUGCAAUUGGUGAAGCUGAUAAUUAGGUUAUCAGUUGAUAAUUAGGUUAUCAGUUUCAUUGUCAAUUAUAUCAUGAUUUAACUUUUAAGGGUUGAUUCGUUUGUUUCCGGAUGAAAGAAGAAAAAGGAAAAAAAGAUACCGAUUUUUUUGUGUGCAUAUUCCAGUGCACCAAUGGUUAUGUAACGAGAUGAAACUUGAAACACCGUGGGGCCUAAACCAGUAUAAAGUUAGAAGUCACUGAAAAAAACAAAAGGUUCAAUAGUGCGCCACUAAAUGCAGUAUUGGGAGCCAGUGGUACGAAAAUGCACAUUCAAUGCAUACACGACAGUGAUCUGUGUUAAUUGAAACAACUUUUGUACAUUUCAAUGAAGGUUGACCACAACAGUAAUAAAGAAAAUCUACACAACAGAGAUUUGAGCGAGCUUUGUACAUAAAGCAUGCAAAAUAAAUCUGUCUUCUUUCUAGAAAAUAACACUUACAUGGCACUUGACUGCAUCAUGCAAAUACGGAUCCAAGGUACAAGAAGUACCGGAAAAAAACAUGUAUGAAACCACAUGGGAGAAAUUAUCAGUCCAAUAAAUUGAUAGUACAUUACAUACAUGGCAUAGCAACAUGCAUAAUAGACAUUAUUUUCAGAAAGAGCCUUCAGUCAAUCCCCACAAUUCAUACAGAAAGUAAAUAAACAAGCAUAAGUAAAAAAUCACUAGCUAGAAGUACAAUUAUUUCAGAAUUCUCUUACAUGACCAGAAUAAGUAAAAUGUCAGUCAUUAUUAAUUUGCAAGGCAUCUUCCCUCCAACGGUUACGAGGAAGGUGCGCAGGGCCGGAAAGUAGUCGGCAACGAUAGAGUUCCAACUGCAGCAGCAACAUAUAUGUAUCGUCCGACAUUUUCACGGUCCAACUCCGAAUUGCUCGACUUCAACCUUGAGAGACUUGAGGUAUUUUACAGCUUCGUCCAAAACGGUAACGGUAUCCAUUUGGUUGCCUCCACCAGGCACGAUAUUUCUCAAUAUUUUCACCAUCCUCUUCAUCUCUAGGUGUUGUUUCUUUUCACUGAUGCAGUAACCCUUUGUCCCUGACGAGUUAUGUGCGGAUGAUAACAACCUCUUCUUCCUUGAUUUCGUGCAGUAACUGGAGCAAGUAUCAGACGUACUAUCAUCUUUUUCAUGAGUCCUUGCAGUGCUGACUUCUUCUUCAUCAUAGUCUUCUAGUUCAUCCGAGUCUAGGCUCAACAAUGCAUCAAUGUCCUUAGAGUCCUCUACAAAAGAAGAUGACAAUUCCGUUUCCAUUUGAUUAAUUUUAUCCUUCUCGAAAUCUUGAUUGCAAGUAGCAUGACUGUUGAAGCCAGGACUGUUAAACUUGUAGGUCGUUGCAGGAUGGAACAAAAUCCGGUUUUGUUGAUCUGUUUGAUCAAAGACGAUGAAAUUCUUAGGGCAAACCUCAGAGGGCUGCAAGUUAAACCUUUCAAAGGGUGUUAUCUGCCUCGCACUUGGAGGUAAAACUGCAUCAAAGGUAGAAGCAUGUGAAAGAUUCAUAUAAGUACCAAAGGCAGAACCAUGUGGAGCAUUCAUGUAAGUACCGAAAGCAGAAGCAUGUGGAGCAUUCAUACAAGUACCAAUGGCUUCAUCUGCCAGAGGAUGUACUGCCUUUCCUGAGAGAAAAUACUCGUGAGUCUGCAUUAAAUAUCUGGUCACUCUCACUAAACUAAGCGCAAGCAAUGCUGAUUUGGCCUAUGCAACUGGAAAUUAUUUUGUACUAGAGCUGGAUGGAUGCUCCUACAGGGAUGUAACAACUAAACAGCAGGUACUAAGCUAAUUCCAAUUCCAUCUAACAAAUAAUGGCAACUUUUACAAAUUAAAAUUUCGUCUUUUCCAACAGCCUUCUAAUGAAGAAUUUCAAUACAAGGCAAUCUCUCCCCAAACCCAAAUCAAUGUUACUUGAAGCUAGACUACGUAACAGGCUUAAGCAACUGACGAAAAUAUUCAGCCUGCAUAAGAAAACAAAGUGGUAAAUAAUGUAGCAGUAAUAGAACAAGAAAAAUGCAAAAACUAUUUCACAACUAAUAGAGACAAUUAGUAAAUUUAGAGAUGUUGAUGUUCAAUACUACAAUUCUAUACCGUGCCAUUCAUAAAGUGUGUAUGUUCAAAAAGUUACCGGUAACCUUCAAAGCAUGUUGCUUUAAAAAGCCAUUAGCCAUAACAAUAUAAUGCAGCUCAAUCUUCAAUAUUUUUUACAAACUAAAAUAUAGAUAGAUCCACUUUUUGAGAAAUAUUUUUAGAAACUGAGAUAUAGACAGAUCCUCCUUUUGAGAAUAAUUUUAUGUCAUAUGAACUAAUAAUUGUACAGAUUCUAAUAUCUACCAGGCAAAAUUGGAGGAAUGAUGCAAAAUUCCAUUUAAUUUUCAAAUUCCGUAUCCAAAACCAUGGCAAUCCAUAAAAGGGGAGAAAUAUUUACCUGGCAAACCAACAUCAAUUGACUGUAUGCAAUAACUCCAACACUCAUUUUAAUGUACCCAACUUUGGCAAUGAACAUUCUCAACCUUAACAGCAGUUUUGAUAAUGAAAAAUAAAAAACACUGAUUAGAGGAUUUCCUCUACAGCCUAAUCACCUGCAGCAGCAAGACAGGAUAAAAUGAUCAUCAAAUCAGAAGAAAUAAGAAUCAAUGUACAACAUGAAAUAGUAAAACAUGAUACGAACAUACGAUAUUCAAAAUAAAGUAUGAAACUAAGGAAGCUGUAGUCGGUGUAUUGUUUCUAUCUACGGCACUUAUGUCAUGAGCUAUAUGACAUUCCCAAUCAAGCCAAAACAAUACUUCAUAACUUCUACUUUCCACGGCAAGUAGUAGAAAAAGUUGUAAAUAUGAUUCUAUAAACUAUAGCAGCAGGUCAAGAGAACAAAAUAUUUUACCUCAGCUAAUUAAAUUACAGAAUCACGCGAAAAAACACCACCAAGCAAACACAAUUACUCUUGAAAAGGGAAAACCACGGCAUCUUGAUUUAUCUCAAUUCCAGAAUAUCUUUAAUGACAAACCCAAAACUCUGACCUGAAAGUGUCAAAAUUAAGAUUCUAUUAAAUGCAAAAUCAACUAUAAAUAACAGAAAACUAAUAGAAGUAAAAGACCACCUCACUCCAAUCUAGCUCUAAAAUCAUAACCAAAUCCAAAACAAAUAAAUGAAGUGACAAAACAUAAAAGAACAGUUAUUAUACGAGUUCGAAAUUAAUAAAGCAUUUACAUACCUAACAUAUAAAAAUCCUAAACCUAAUCUCAAGAACAGAAUCCAAUAUUCAACUUUCAUACCCAUUAACUUAAAUGAAUUUUUACAGUCAAAUAUAGCAUAAAGUUCCAAACUUAACAUCAAAACCAUACACAGUACCAAAUCAAUUAAUGAAUUCAAAAAUAGAAAUAAAAAAAAUAGUAAUCAGCGAAAAAAAACUCAAUAUACGUAUAAAUCUAUGUUGUUGAACCAUAAAUAGAAACUUUUUAACUGAAAUCAAACAAAACCCAAAAAAAAAUUGAAUUUCAAAAAUCAAAAUUGAUGGAUUUAAAGGAGUGAAAUUGGAGAGAAAAGCAAGACCUAGGAUUAGUGAGGAAGAGGAAAAGGGUGUGAAAGGAAAUUGAAGAUGGAUCAGAGAAGAAGGGUUUGAGUGUUGAGAUGAAAAUGUUAAGAAGAUGAAAUUUUUGCGGAGAAGAGUUUUGAGAUUGGGAGCAUUUUCAAGAUAUGAAGGCGUGAUGGGAUGGGUCAAACAUGGAUGAUCUCAGCCGUUGGAUUAGAUCGACAUUGUUCUUGGAAAUGCACUUCCGUUUAUCGCGGGUAUGAUAGUGACCGUUCGAUUAGAGCACGCGUGAAGAGGGAUGGGUACCCGUGAGGUUGACAAAUGCUCGAUUAAAAUAAGGAAAAUGUUAACAAUUGCUCUAAGGGCGUUGUUUAAACAUCUAAUUAUAACAAAUUUUGCAUUGAAAAUUGUACGAUAUUAACUUUAAUAAGUGUUUGACUUAUAUUCUCAAUACAUAAUUUCAAAUUGCAAACACAUAUGCUAUGUGCAUACAAGUAGGUAGUGUUAAAUACGGUCUUUUUUUAUAGCUUCUAUCUGACACUCGCUUUUUAAUUGGUUGAAGUAAAUGUGAAUGUAUUACUUCUAACCACGCCUUAUCAAAGAUAGAAGAGAAUUGCUAUUGCAUAAUGUCUGUCACAAGUAAAAUAUGUUUUUGCUCCCUAGGAAUUUGAAACUAGCUGCAGUUAACUGUCGAGGAAAACCUCGGUAAUUAACUGCCGAGGAAAACAAUUAUGCAGUCAGUGGGUUCUGCAUAAUUCUAAAGCAUUUCCAAGCCAUUUUUCGGUCAGUUUUUACCUGUAAUUAAACCAGAGCAUUUUCAAAGGCAAUAUAAAUCAUACAACAUUGAAACUCGGUCAUAAACAAGAAAAAUAUAAUAUCUUUUACAAUUGUCCAUAAUUAAAUUAAACCGACAUUUGAUUCAAAUUACACAAAAGUUUGAAAUUCAUCAAAAUGUUACAAAGUGUCCAUAAUUAAACAACUCAUUACACAUGAUUAUAUUAAAUCCCUACUUACAUUCAUCACAAUUGCAUAUGCAACAAACAUACAUAUAUAAUAUAUUAUUUUCCACCAUAUUCUGAAACAUAAAUCCAACGUCGCUAUCGUCUUUAAUAAGCCAAGGCAUAUAGCUUGCCGUUUUCCAUGCGCAUUCAUCUCUAUCUUCUCCUAGGUAUAUGCAUGACAUUUGACCAAACAAGUGACGUGUAUAUUGAUUUUCAUCAAGAUGCUCAAAAUAAGUGUUAAGUUGUGCCUUCAAAUCAUCAAGAGAGUCUGUCGGCGUUAUCAUAACCUUAAUUGUCUUUUUAAAAGCGGAGUACCUAACACGGCCUUCAAUUUUUGCAACCUCAUACAUGUUUCACUUGACAAAAGCUUUAAGAAAAGAAUCAUAGAUCAGAACAAAAUUAAAUGAAAUGUAAUAACGAAUAAAUCAAAUGCGUAAACAUUAAUAACAAAUAAAUAAGUAUUGCAUUAGUUUCACCACAUAAAAGUUAUAUUAUCAUAUAUAUCAAUAUAAAUUACAUAAUGUUAAUUAUAUAUUGGCCACAAAAAAUUGGCGUUACAAUUUCGACCCCAAAAUAUACUUCGGUGUAAUUUCUACAAAAAAAAAAGACUAACAACGACAAAAAAAUCACUCAUCAAAGACCAAGUGAUUGGGGAAGAUCAAGUGAAUUAGAAUCUUCCUCAUCUUUCGCAAUAACUUCAAAUUGUUGCUUUUUUUUUUUGGAGUGUCCAACAAAAUAGGCGUCGCUUUGUUUGACUCCUUUUGUGGUUUCGGCAGUUUGUUUUCACUUUCAAUAGCCAUGAGCUUUCGGAACAACUCAUGUUGAUCCAAAUACUCAUCUUCCCAAGUCACUGCAUCUUCUUUCUUGUGAUUGUGCCACUCUGUAGAUGAUGGAGAUAGUGGACAACCAUUUUUCAAAUAAAUAAGCACGAAAUGAUUCGGAAUUGCCCCAGGGCACAAGAUGGGAGUUUUUUGCUUACCCAGCGGUGGUGGCCCUCUUAUUGGGAAAAAAAAUUCCGAGUUUCCAACUUCAAGAUUUGUCAACACGAUCACACACCUUUUGUAAUAAUUAGCAACAAUGUGUCCCAUGUCCGGAAAAGUCAACCACUCAACAACAAGAUGUGCACAACUUUUUGUAUUUGCGGGAGGAUGUAAGUCAUUUAAAAUGUAGUUAUAACGAUCCUCACCCGCAAAUACUUCAACAUAAUCAUCUCUAUGAUCUUUCAACUCUUGAAUAAGAAGUGUACGAAUCAUGAUAUGAUUUUAUUCGGUCAAGCCCAUGAACGCGGCUAUAGCCCGGAAUCCACAAUGUCCAUCGCCAAUAACAUCCACCAUUUUUUCAAUAAAUGGAAGCAUGUAGCGUGACAUAUAAUCAAUAGGCCUCAUAACCAGGAUAGUCUUAGGCUUUGGAUACCGAAAAGGUGGUGAAAGUGGGUUAAGUGAUGUUUUACCAAGACGAACAUCUUUUUUUUCUUUUAUAUGAUGAUGUUGUUGGUGAUGGUGACGGUUGACUAUCCGGAUUUUGGGAAUCAACAACCUCCCACGAAGAAGGGAUCCGACUAGUCAUGUAAUUUUUCCUUUAGACCUUGCAAUGUCCACUUUUUUCUUAGCUCCCUUGGUUGGUACUUUUCGUGGUGGUGGAGACAUCAUGGUGGUUUCAGAAAAUGUCAACUGCCGCAAACCCUCUUUGACUUCAAGCUUCAUUUGGAAAAGGAGUUUCUUAAUAUGUUCUACAAUAGCCUUCAACUCAACCUUGACACAAAAACCAACUUCGUUACUUUCUUCGCCCAUACGUAACCUAUGUCAAUGGUGGAGUAACUCAUCCAAUAAAAUUGGCUUCUCUUCAAGGAGUUAUGCACAUGGUAGCCCGUAAGAUGUCCUUUGAACAAUGUUAUUUUCUAUGCACAAUGUUUCCCUACAACGUGUCUCUUCCAAAGCACUGUUGUCCAAAGCAUAUCUAGACACAUGACCACCUAAGUCGGAGUACAAAAUGACAUCUUUGAAUCUAUGCUCCAACACGGUAACGCUCUGACCAAAGGUUGUUUGUAUCGCAGUGAACUGAAGCAACAACAUGUCAUGUAUUUUCUCCCAAAAAGUACCCAAAUCACCCACACUAUUGUCCAAAUAUUUCUUCAAUAAAGCAUGAGCCGAUUCGACCAUGUUGCUGGUCCUGCAACCAAGAUGCAACACAUGGUCUGUCCAUGCCCUCACUAUUUUCUCCUUCACUUCAUUCAAGGUGGUCAUGGCAUAAUUUUUGAAAAGUGAGAAAUCACUACAUGAAUUUUGGAACUCCACUGAUGCAUUUGCAUAUAACUCUUGAGUGGGCAAUUCGACCAUAGCUUUUCAUGCCCUCAUUAUCUUCUUCACAACAUCGCGAGGUUUCACCUCUUUCCCAUCCCUUUUUCCCAAAGGAUAUUUAAAAUCUAAGACGCACCUUUGUUUAACAUUUGCUUGCACAUGAAAAUAACAAUUCAUUGUAUAACUUUUGGGGAAAAUAUUUUCAACCGCUUUCAUCAAAGACAUAUCCCUGUCGGUCACAAUCACCUUAGGCAUAUUCAUUUUUGACGUAAGAAGUUUACGCAAUAUUUUUAAAACCCAAACAAAGUUUUCCUCUUUCUCAUGUGUCACAAAUCCAAACCCAACCGAAUAUGUCAAAUCGGUCGAAGUGACUCCAACUACCUCAAACAUUAGCAUCUUGUACAUGUUGGUUUUGUAGGUGGAGUCCAUAACCAAAACCGUUGGAAAAUUGUUAAACAACUUAACGAAUGUUGGAUGAGCCCAAAAGAUAUCUUCGAUUGUAGUACUUUCACUUUGUGUUCUUGAGUAAUAAGUAUAGUUGUGCUCCUCCAACUUCGAGAUUAGAUAUUGCAACGACUUCUUGUCACCUCUAUUUGCCUUCCGUAUUUGUUGACGUUCAUUGUACACUUGCUUCACAUUUGUCAUGCAGUGUGGUCUUUUGUCCUUCAAAUGUAUCAAAAUAUUUUUUGGAAGCAUCUUGCUCUUGGUCAAGUCACGUGCAAUCUUCUUGUCGUCCUCCUUUAAGAAUGGUUGUGAACUCCAUUAAGAAUGUUCAAUCCCCAUUCCUUUGUUUGCUUACUUUGAUAUCCACUAAUCAUGAACAAGCACCCACAUUUUCUUGAGCCCGUUCUCGCAUGCUUCGGUUUUUUUUUUUUUUCCGGCACUUUGUGAGCUUCACUCGUUUCACACACUAGGCGGAAUAUUGGAUUGAUCAAGCUUGAUCUUUGUGUAACAAUUGUAAAUCCCGCCUUAUUUGCUUGACGACGUGCCCACUCAAGCAAUUCUUCUUUAUCUUUCGACUUAACGUCGUCUGAAAAAAACCUAGCCGUGUCAACUUCGUGGGCUUGAAGUGGGAGGACAUCGGAGUCAACAUAUUUUGAAGCUCCAUUAAUGUUUGGUUUCGCUUCAACCUUAGGCGGUUUGACAUCUCUGAAAAAUUCGACAAAAUUUGGUUUUGUCUCUCCUGGAACAUCUUCUGCGUUCUCUACCAUUACUAUAAUUAAACAACACAAAAAUAUGAAUUAACAACUAACUAAUGCAUAAACAUCAAUGCCAUAAUGAAUUAAAACCAAAAAAAAAAAAAAACAAAAGAUUUUUUUUUUGAAUUUCGUUGUGAAAAUUUUUCACAAGUAUUCCUCGGUACCUUACUACCGAGGUUUUCCUCGGCAGUACACUACCGAUGUUUUCCUCGGCAGUAAGCUACAAAGGAUUCCCAUGACAGAGUUCUACGCAAACUGACGUAAAAACCCAUAACAAAGCCAAAAAAUGAACGAAUUAAAAUGCUCAAUACCUGUUUUUUUACGUCAAAAGUGUGCUAAUACCUCUUAUGCUUGAUGCUUGAAUGAUUUUGGAUCAAGAUUUGAUGAACAAAAUAUUGGAUUUGGGGAUUGGAUGGAAGUGGUAUGGAAGUUGAUGAUGAAAAUAGUGUGUAGGGGGAGGUGACUGUUUCAUCUGAUGAAACAUAAUUAUCGUCAGUUAACUACCGAGGUUUUCCUUGACAGUUAACUGCAGCCGGUUUCGAAUUCCUCGUCAUUUAACUGUCGAGGAAGCAAAAUCAUAUUUUACUCAUGUACCUCAACCUUAUGAAAUGUGUCAACAACAAUUCUCAAAUUAGAAAGGGACAAAUUGGACUGUAAAUUUGUUAUUCUAUUAAUGUCUUUAUUAGUAUGACUAGACGAAAGCAAAUCAAAAUUAAAGCCACCAAAGGGUUUCUUUUUUUCAAGCCCCAAAAUCAAAUUACAAUGAUCGUUUCCUAUAAUACACUUUUUGCAACACAACUUGUAAGUAAAUUGAACACUGAGCAUUGCUUAGUAGCUUUCAUCUUCAGGCGCUUUCAAAUUCCCGUUGUUUGCCUAACAAGUAGCUGUAAUGAUAGUUUCAAAAAUCGGAUCUUUGAUCGAUUUGGAAAGGGUACUGAGUCAUUGGGUCAUUGGUUGAAUCACUGAGUCAUUGGUCGAACCGCAUGACUGAAUUAGAUUGAAUCGAAUGGCUCGGUUAUAUGACUCGGUUUAUAUAAAAAAAAUCUUUAUGUUAAAUUAGACUGAACCGAAUGACUUUCAACUAAAAAAAAUUAAUUUUUUUUACACUUAAUAGAAGCAAAUUUUUAUGAGAUAAAAACAAUUUGAUAGCUGUCCUUUGAAUUUAGGUGCAUAAAUUUUUUAUGAGAUACUAUAAUACAUCUUCAAAUAAAUAUUAAAUAAAAGCAAAAGAGUGCUAAAAAAUAGUAGUAAUCAAGUAAAAAAAUGUUUAUUAAAAUAUCUGAAAUGUCCGACAAUAAUAUUUAAAUGAUUCCUUCAAAAGGAAAAAAAUAUUUAGAUGUGCUUGGUUUCUUAAAAAAAAAAAAAAACAGUGUGCUUGGUUCCCCUAAAAAAAAGCUGUUUAGUCAUUAUAUAUAAACUAGAACAUUUACCCGUACCACCGCACGGAUCAUUAGUAGUUUAUAAGGUAUAAAAAUGCAAAAUUAUCCAUUACAAAGAAAAUAAAACAGUACACGAAAAAACAGUUAGUAAUAUCUUUAGACCAUCCCUUGAUGUAACGUGUGAUACUGCAACAUAUAACUGCCCAUGUGUAAAGACAGGUUCUGGAAGAUAGAUACCGAAUUGCUUAAGGGAUUGCCCUUGGCUUUUGUGUAUGGUCAUUGCAAAACAUACAAAUAUAGGAAACUGCUUACGCUGAAAUUUGAAAAGAAUUCUUGUAUCAGACGGCGUCAGCGAUAAUCUUGGUAUAUAUACCUUCUCCUCAAUAUUGCUACCAGAUAUAACCCCGCCUUCAAGAAUAUAUAUUCCCAUCUUUGUAAGAAUUAACCGAGUUCCAUUACAAAUGUCUGCUGUAAUAUCCAAAUUUCUCAACAACAUAAUAGGAACUCCAACUUUCAAACAUAUUUUGUGAUUUGGAAGACCGGAAGAAUUAAUAGAGUUAAAAAAUUCUGGUGUGUGUACAUCAUCCAGCCUAUUGAACUAUUGACCCUCCAGAUGCGUGAAACAUGAACAUUGAGCUUGAUCUUUACUCUUCCAGCAACAAUAGCAGAAACAAGAGUGAAAAUUGGAGCCAUUAGCUACUUUCGGUGUGAUGUAAAUUAUGAGAGGAUAGUACUUCAUCCGUUUCUAAAUAUAAGUAAAAAUGACUUUUUAGGCAUUUUCCAAUAACCUUGUUUUUUGGGUGUGGCAGACAACACAUUUAAUGUUGGUGGGAACUGGCCUUCCAAAUACAUUUUACAGUUUGUAAGGCAUAUACAUAAAAAAAAAUAAAAAAAAUACAUUCAUAAUUCGUUACUGGCAUUAAGAAGGCAUGCAAAGAUUAACCAAAUAAAAAAUUGAAUAGUCAUGCAACAUUUUAAAAAAAAAAAACAAACACUAAUUAGGCCAAAACACAAUCAUGCUUGAGUUAGAAUUAUCAUUAGAAUUAUCACUGACACAUAGAAAUGAGACACUGCAAAAGGUAAUGAAGAUUUGUCUGUAUGCAUUAGACCAUAUGUAACUUAAAAAAUACUUGCAAGGUUCACACCACAACACGUAAAAGUUAUGCAAUCAUUUUAAAUUGCCCCUACCUCCUACAUAAACCAUAGAAACCCAAGAACCAACAGGGACGUUGAAAAAGUCCUUGAGGGGGUGCCAACCUGUUGUGAGGUAAAUCCGACCAUUGUUUCUCUCAACCAAAACCUCAAAUUCGUUGUAGUUACGGUCCACCAACAUAGCAUAUCGACCAAGUUCAUCCCCAAAGUCAUGACCAAAAAGGGUUGGCAAUACAACCAUCCCGUGAAAACCAAAAGAUAAAAAAUCAGCAAUUAAACCAAUGUAUUUCGUGGAUAUGAUAAAACGUAUAUACAGACACAUCAUUACUUACGUAUUCAACAUCAAGAUCAACGGCAUAGGUUCGGUAUUUGAUUCUAAGAUCAUUGACGAUCUUCUCCAGCUCAGUCGUUGGAUUUGGAUUCAAAUCCUCUGGAUUACGAAAACAUGAACGUAUAUAAGUAUCAGGAACAAAAAGUUGAAUAUUGUACAAGAAUAAAUCAAAAUGGAUUGCACAUACCAGGGCAUGGAGUAGUGAAAGCAAAAUAUGAAUAUCAGCCAUAGCCAUUGCAAAACGUAACUGAUGGGGACUUGAAAGGAUGAGAAUUGAACAGAGUGAAUGGAAUAUAUAUAUACUAUCAGAAAAAUCAUAUGUCAUAAAAGCACCUAGCCUUGGUACAACACAUUUGCAUGGAAAACAAAAGCCUACUUAAUUUGACGGCAGAAGUUGGAAAGCAUAUACACAGUGCAUAUUGUAACGUAAUGCAAGGAGGGAAAAUUUGAAAUUUCUGUGUGUUGUGACGCGAGCCUUGUAUAAUCAAGAUUAGUUGUAGGGCUGAGAAAAUAAUGGCGCACUAAUAGUUAGAUCCAAUGGCUAAUACUGAUUGGCGCCUAAAAUAAGUAGAAUUAGGGUUUUAAGUGUUAAUUGGAGUGUUAACUAGGAUUAUAAAUAAGUUAGAUUAGAUUAGAUUAUAAGCAGCAAUCUAUAAACAAAAGAGGUUCAUGCUGUAGUGUAGUGGAUAAGUGAUUGCAUUCCCAUCUGCUGGACGCGGGUUCAACACCCAGUGCUACCAUUUUUUGGUAAAAUUAAUAUAACUAAUUUCUGCUUCACAUUAAACCGGUCCAGUUUGUCAAACCUGCCGGUUCACCGGUCUUCCCCGAGUUUGGCCGAGUCACACCGUUUUAGGCCGGUUUGAUUACAUGACCGAUCCGUUUAGCAACUCGAACAGGUCACCCCACUGGUUUUCGGUCGGAUCGGUUCAACCAGCCGAUCCGGUUCAGUUUUCAAAACUAUGACUGCAAUAGAUAAACCUUUGAAAUCCCAAUCAUACAUCCAAAACCACAUGUAUUCACUAAAUUGGACGUAGCAUCAUGAAGAAGGGCGGGGCAUUUAGAAGUAGGCUUUGGAAUAUUAUUUUGUUCCGCAUGAUCUAGGUUUGAACAGUCUGAGUUCGUAACAAGGCCUUUUCUCUCAGCUUGAUAUUUUCAAGAUACUUUAGAGUCAUGGAAACUUAUUGCAUAGCAGGUAUGUAAUUUUCUCAAAACACAUUAUUUCAAGCAUAUCAUAUGUUUUAGAUGAUAACUAAAAUGGCGCCUAGGGCUCGAGGAGAAGCAGGUAAAAAAGCAUCUUCGGCCCAACUAGAAAAUGAAUAGAAUUGUGUGUGUAUUUGAUUUAUAAGGGAGAAGCAAACCAUGCUUGUUUAGUCAAUAUCAAUUUAUAAAAGAGUGAUAUAGGGUUUUCGUAUGUUCAUUGCAUCUGGAACAAAGAAUAGAAAAACUGAUCCCAUUAGAACCAAUGUUUGCUCUAGUAAAAAUUGAAUCAGAUUUCUCCAAACCAACAAAGAGAAGUGUUACAGUGAUGGAAAUUGGUAUGAAAUCAUAUUGUACCAGCUAAUUUAAAGGCAUUGAGGUCAUAAAUUUCGUGCAAACCAGUAGACAUGAGGCUUAAAUGCAAAUAAUUGCUCAAAUGUAUUUGAAUCCAAAAAACUUAUUCGACGAAUUUCUAAUCAACAUGUUGGUAUGGCUGUAACAACUAUUACAUGCACCCAUGAUUAAAUGAUAUGUCUUUUGUAAUUUUCCUUUUUUCUCUGAGCUAUGGUGACGGUUUCUAGUUAUUUGGCAACAAUUUUGAGGCGUUACAUUUUGAAUUUCGACUGUAUUUGCAUCGAAGAAGCUUUCCACUAUCAUAAAUGGGUUAUUGACCAUCAAGACUUCAUCAAAUAUAUUCGGCUAAAAUAUGGUUUUAGUCUCUAGAAAUAUAUCUCGUUUUGAUUGUAGUUCCUAUAUUUUUUUUUUUUAGAAAAAGGUCCCUGCAAAAUAUGGAGGGACUAUUUUAAAAAUCAAAAAAAUUUACAAGGACUUUUUUAAAAAACAAAAUAUUUUGCACACAUAGUUUUACUCUUAAGUAAUCAUCAAAGGACUAAAAGAACUAUACUUGAUUUUCUCACCUGGAAAUUGCAACAUAGCAUGUCGUUGAAAAAUAAUUUUGGCAUUGUUAGACUGCAUUGGAUCUACGCUUUUGAUGAAAGUGCUGGUCUAGUUGAAUAGUGUAAGUCUAACAUUGUCUUGGUAUUGUCGUGUUUGAUAUUAUCUGUAUAUUCGUUUGUAAGAAUUAGCUGUUUUAAUUUAUUUAUUUUUUUUCAAAAAAAGUAGAAGGCGAAUGCAGACUGAGUUACUUAGCGACCAAUUUGGUUUUAUAAUCCGUCGUAUUCGGUCAUAAAUUUGGUCUCUAAACUCAGGCACUAAAUCAGUUGCUAAGUAGUCUCUAACUAAUGUAGUGACUGAUUUUCUUAUCUUAGUGGCCGAAAAUUCAAUCUCUAGCCGAAGUUUCUUGUUUUUGGGGAUAACAUGAAGAAAAAAAAGUUGAGAAAUAAUUUGGUGUGGCUAUGCCUAACACUAGUUCCGUCCAUGAUCGUGACAUGAUCAUUGCCAGUAUGCGCCCAAUUUGUAUACAAUUUUUUCUUUGAAUGUUGUAUGAGUGUUUUGACUUUUUUUUUUGUGUUACAAGGCUAAUCAAAACAAAAAGGAAAAGAUAAGGAAAAAAAAAACAACAACAACUAAACUCUAGAAAAGUAAGUUCGAGCCGCAUCAAACUUGAGGAAAUGCAGCAAGUCAUCUGAAGGAGAAGCAUGAAGUAAGAAAUCUAUAUUCGAAGAGGCUCCUAAUUUCGAUUUGGUAUUCGGGGAAGCACGCGUUGUUUUUGCUCCUAAUUUAUUUUUGUCUUACUUUACCUUUCAACCUUCAUCGAACAUUUGCAACUUUUGAUCUUUAAGUUUUUUUUUUUGUUUUUCUUAAUGUUUUAAUCUUUAUUGAACAUUUGUUCAUUCAUAAGGUUAUCCGGGUAGCAAUGAAAGGGUUGAAAUGUAGUCUCCGUAAACUUAGUUUAGUUGGUAAGGACAAUGCAUAAUGUAUGCAAUGUCCGGAGUUCGAACCGCGGACACCACCAAAAAAGAAAAGGUUGAAAUGUGAAGAUCGUGAAAAAAGAAGAGUCUUUAUUGAAAUUUACGAAUUUUUAGAUUGAGGAUGGAUGAAUGUUGAAUUUUUUAAACUUUUAUGAUUUUGAACUCUAGCAUUUGAUCGAACUUUGAUUUAAGUCUUUAAGAUUAUUUUUUUCUUUAUUUCGUUCCAUUAAUUUAGUUUAGUAAAAAAUAUUGAGGUAAAAAAAUUAGAUUUCUAUAUCAUAAAAAAAACCCACAAACAAUAGUCGCGAGACAAUAUUUCAUACUACUCAAUGCCUCUUAUGCGAUUAAGCUCCAAGAGAACAAAAAUACUAAGGAAUCAAAUUUACAAUGGUUAUUUUUUUCUUUCUUUCUAUUUUACGAGGAUUAUUUUUAUUUCCCGCGUAUAUUGCAAAAACUAUUUAAACAACAGAUAAUGUUAAGCAUACCCUUAAACACCGGUUAACCCCAUAAAUUUUUAGUAAAACAUUUACUUAGUAAAAAACAACAACUUAUAUUUUCAAAACAAAAUUCUAUUUAUACACUCCUUCACCAAUGUUAGUUGAAGCACUUAUUAUCAACAUUCUUAAACAAUGAAUCUUGUUAACUUAUGUCCUUAUGGUACAUGUUAAAAUUUCAUAAAAAGUAAGUAUUUAUUGAAAAACAUUAAAUUUUAAUCCUAUAAGAAAUAAAUUGAUACAAUUUACAAUGCAUAAUUUCCAUCUUUAAAACUUUAAUAUGUGUCCUAAGGCACAAGUUAACAUUUCCCUUAAACAAUUAACCGUACUUAAUUUUAAUGUUUUUCUUUUCUUUAUUAUAUUUUUUGACAAAUUUUUUCAUUUCUUUGGAAAAACAGUAAUUUCUAGAGAGUAGUUCACCUAUGAAUCACCUAAUUAGAGGGACGACAUGUCAAAAUUGCCGCUCAAUUUAUGGAUCCCGGAAUUUCCAAUGUAAGAAAACAUAGUUUUUAUCAUUUCAUUCCCUUGUUGUCAAAAUAAAUAAACCAUUAAAUACCAAAGUUUCAUCACAAAUUAUCAAACACACUCUUUUUUGUUACUUCCUCAUCACACCAUUUAGCUUCGUUCUCUCCGUCAUUUCAACAAACACAAUGCAAUCACUUCAGCAUCAACUACCCUUCACUCUUCGCCCUUCACCACUCGAACCACUUCGCAAAAAACCCUCCAAUGCGGCCACCACCGCCGCCAGAACCCCAAAGAGACUCUCCGUCGUCUCUUCCUCCGUCACCACCGCCGCUCCUCAAAGAGAGAAGGAUCCCAAGAAGCGUGUCGUGAUCACUGGCAUGGGUGGCGUCACUGUACAUGGCAACGAUGUCGACAUUUUCUACGAAAAGCUUCUCGCCGGUGAUAGUGGGAUCACAUUGAUUGAUAGGUUUGAUGCUUCCAAAUUCCCUACUCGGUUCGCUGGUCAGAUCCGUGGGUUUAGCUCCGAGGGUUACAUCGACGGGAAGAAUGACCGGAGGCAGGAUGAUUGUCUCCGGUACUGCAAUGUCGCCGGGAAGAAAGCACUUGAAGAUGCUGGUCUCGGUGCCGAAAAUCUUGAUAAGGUUUAACACUCUUUCACACUUUUUCACUUAGAUCUGCAUUUGCUGUAUCUGAAUUGAGCUGAACCGAACCCUAAUUGGAUUUUGAAUUGUUUGAUAUAUUGUAGAUUGAUAAAGAACGUGCUGGUGUUUUGGUUGGGUCAGGAAUGGGUGGUUUAACGGUGUUUUCUGAUGGAGUUAAGAAUCUGAUUGAAAAGGGACAUAGAAAGAUAUCACCUUUUUUUAUUCCCUAUGCUAUUACCAAUAUGGCUUCAGCUUUACUUGGGAUUGAUUUAGGUUUCAGAGGUCCAAAUUAUUCUAUUUCAACUGCUUGUGCUACUUCAAAUUAUUGCUUUGUUGCUGCUGCCAAUCACAUUCGUAGGGGUGAAGCUGAUUUGAUGAUUGCGGGUGGUACUGAAGCUGCUAUUAUUCCUAUUGGUUUGGGGGGUUUUGUUGCUUGCAGGGCACUUUCUCAGAGAAAUGAUGACCCUAAAACGGCUUCUAGGCCUUGGGAUAAAGACCGUGAUGGAUUUGUUAUGGGUGAAGGUGCUGGAGUUUUGGUAAGGAUUCGUUUUGUGUUUUCCUUUAUGUUUUGUUAUUGUUCUUUUGGAUGUUGGUUACCUUAAUUAACGUUUGUGAAAUUCAAUUGCAAUUGUUAUGCUUAGUUUUUAAGAAGUAUUUGUAAGACUAUUAUUAGCUUUGUAACAACACUAUCUUUUCCUUUGUACAUGAUCCGUAAAAGAAUAACUCUAAAUCUUGUUUCAUGAAGUGUCUAUAAAGUGGCUAUGUUGUGUGUCCUGUUGUGUGUCUAUAAAGUGUUUUUUAUUUUAAAGAGAGUACUGUAAUUUAACAGGUGAUGGAAAGCCUGGAACAUGCCAUGAAGCGAGGUGCGCCUAUCAUUGCUGAAUACUUGGGAGGUGCUGUAAACUGUGAUGCUUAUCAUAUGACUGAUCCAAGAUCUGAUGGGCUUGGCGUGUCUUCAUGCAUCCAGAGCAGUCUUGUAGAUGCCGGUGUGUCACCCGAGGAGGUAUUGUUUUACUCCUUUUACUACGCUUUUGUUGUUAACUUUAUCUGUUUAAUUAAUUGUUGUUCUCGUCUCCUAUUUAAUUCACUGUUUUUCUCCUUCAGCAUGUUUUUCCUUUCCAGCUUACUCUACUUUUCUGUUUGCUUGUAUUCAUAGUAGGUGUGUGUUUUCAACAUCUUUUGGUACACAGUACUAUAGGGGAUGUCAUGUAUGAAUAAUAGUAAAAAACUCUUGUAAAGCUGCUGCUAUGUAGUUAUGAUUUCAAGCAGGUCUACAAAAAUUUAUAGCAUAUUGAGUUCUGGAUAAAUAGACGUGAAGAAGUUGCAUUUUUUUUUUUAUAGAUAUACAAUUCCAUAAAUUAGGAUGCAAAUGAAGUUUAAAACUCAUGUAUGUAAGGCUGUCCGCACACACGGUGGGGGUUGUGGGAUGGGGAAGCACUAUGGUGUUAGCAUUUAGUCGCAUGAUAAAUCCGGAAAAAAUUUAAAAAAAAAAAAGGCAAAAAAAAUCUGCAUAGUGAGAGCAUUAUUGAAGGUAAAAACUAAGGGCUCUAAAAAAUCUUGGCUUGACUAACUGUAUUUUAUUUUAGUAAUUUGUGUUCAUUUUUUCUCUUGCAUCUCAGCUUACUGGUACGGAUACCAGUACCGGGAUCCUAUAUUAUGUUUGCAAGAAGUCGGGAGUUAGAAAUCCUGUGUGAUUAGAAUAUAUUAAAAACAUCAAACGGAUGCAAGGGGCCAAGUUGAUGCCUCCUCUGCAAAUAAUAAGUUUAUACCCAGUUACCCGUUCAUUCAUCAGGUCAAAUAGAGGGCUUAAGCUGCUAACAUAAAUAAGUGUAAAGACAAUUUGUUAGGCCAUUGCUGCACCUGCAUGUUGAUUUGUCGAUUCUAGAAGUUAGCCUUAAUGUCUGCUAAAUAUUUUAAUUUAUAUUCCGUUACUGAUUAAUGCAUGCCAUAAAUUAGCAAAAUGAAAGCGUGUCAUUUGCUUCUUUUUAGGUCAAUUACAUAAAUGCACAUGCAACUUCCACUCUUGUUGGUGACUUGGCAGAGAUCAAUGCUAUCAAAAAGGUUUUCAAGAACCCAUCUGGCAUCAAAAUUAAUGCCACCAAGGUAUUAUCGUGUCAUUGGCUUUUAUUUGACAGCCAAAGCUUUCUGUUUCAUAGAUCAUCGCAGGUUAUUUUUGAUUCAUUCCCUGGCCAUUAACUGAUGCAUAUGUUUUUCUUGUAAUACCAGUCUAUGAUAGGGCACUGCCUUGGCGCAGCUGGGGGUUUGGAAGCUAUUGCCACAAUAAAAGCCAUAACAACAGGAUGGCUGCAUCCAUCAAUCAAUCAAUUCGUAUGUUACUUAAUUCUUGGUUUUUCAUGAUUAGGAUCUUUGUGUCUUUGUUAGAAUCAACUGAGAGAAUGGGCUUUCAUUAUUGGUAGAUAAAUUGUUGCUAGCUCUGUCACAUUUUGUCUGCCACUCUUUGAAUACUGGCUUGGUUCAAAUUAACUUUCAUUUUAGAAUAUCAGUAAAAUGUUAAUUUUUUUUCCCAUUCGAUAUAACCUUAUUUAUUGGCAGUUGACACCUCAACCUGUUAUUUACGUUUUAUUGAACUCUUGCUACAAUAAUACAUUUUAGUCAAAACAAAGAUUUUACCUCCGCAAGAACUAUAAUUAAUCAUUUCUUUACUGUGUGGCCAUUAUCUUAAAUGACAAAUAAAACAAGAAAAUCGGAGUAUUCAUCAAUGUCAGUAUUUUAACUGUCUUUUUACUCGUGUUUUUUUUUUUUGUUUUUUUGUGCUGAUAUAUGGACUAUCAUGUUAUUAUUGAGAAGUCAAGUCGUGUUGUUUUUGUGGGGUGGACAAGAGGUGUUUGGGGUUUCAUUUACAAUUAUAUGGUUAUCUAUUGAAAUACUAGUUUGAACAUAUCAUAUCCUUUUAUUGGCCCCCUAUCCUGCCUUUCAGAACCAUAUGUAAUCAUUUUGUUUGCCUUGGUCUCUGGGUGCAGAAUCCAGAACCUGCAGUUGAUUUUGAUACGGUGGCAAAUGUCAAGCAGCAGCAUGAAAUCAAUGUUGGUAAGAUUCUAAAUAAUUCAACGACCAGUGCGUUUCUCAUUUCAUGUGAUAAGGACCAUAAUUUGGACUGGUAACUAACUGGCCUUUUUUAUCUUCCAGGCAUUUCAAAUUCAUUUGGAUUUGGUGGACACAACUCUGUCGUGGCUUUUUCCGCUUUCAGACCCUGAUUGCCAAGCUUGCCUGCUCUUCUUCAUGUAGAACAACUACAACCCAUGUCAUAGAGAUUCGACAACGUUUUACGUUGGCUAUUGAGGCCUAACACAAGCCUCUUCUUUCAUUUGGGCUUGGAACCGGCUAUGCAUAGCAAGGCUCUUCAUGUAGAACAUGGAAUCUAAAUUAAUUAAAAUUUUGUUCUCUGUGCAUCGUUGAGUCUAUUUAUUGAGUCCAUCCAUAAUAUUUAAAAGCUGUAGUCCUGUAAUUGUUCAUUUUAUGCUAAUUUUGAACAGAUAGUUAGCUCCAAAGAUUGUUUUGCUGUAGAACUUUUUAAAUGUAGCACGGAGAUUUCAUUGUUUGGUAGGGAGACUUGCGGAUAGAAAAUGCCAAAAGAGCUUAUUUGAGCAUUCUUCCUUAUUGUUAAGUAAAGAUAUUUAAUAACAAGCAUGUAUUUAUGGUACUUAUUGUUAUUGAAUCUUUGUUGGUUAUAUUUGAAUCAGUUCAUAGCUUUUUAGAUACAUGAUACAUUUAGCUUGUUAAGAAUGGUUUCGUCUUUUGCCAUUUUCAGUAUAACUUUGUAGUUCCUGAAAACCAGUUAUAGGCAUAUAUAGAAUCUCGGAAUAAGCAUGUGUAGUUUAGUUUAUUUUUUGGUUGCACGCUGUUUUCAGUUAUCUGUUUUAUGGUUAGAUUAUUCUCAGAAAUAUAGAGUAAUAUGCUGUUGGUCUUUCUGCUAUUUAACAUAUUCUCAGAGAAAUGCAGAGUAAUAUAGUUAGUCUUUCUGCUAUUUAACAGAGCAAGAAAUGCCUAUAAAUGAUAUCCUUCGGUCUUGAAUUCAAAUUAUAAGUCAUUUUGGCCAUUUUAUACAAAUUAAAUAAUAUAAUUAAUUUUGUAUACGAAAGAGAAUUUAUGACUUAUUUUACAAAAUUAUUUUUCAUUAAUGUUUUUUGAAAAGAUAAAUUAAACAAUUGAAAGAAGAUAAAAGUAAUAAAUAAUUAAUGGAUAAUAGAAAAAGUAAUAUUCAAGAUCAUCCACGACAUAACACUCUAAAUUGGGUGUUUAAAUUGAAUUCAUAUGUCCACAUCAUUCAUUUUACUGUAAUAUUUAAUAAGCACCAAUUUUCUCCAACGUUAGAAGAAAUUAUUAAAUAGGUCCCAUAAAUUUUUUUAUAUCAUUACAUUUCAACAAAAUUUAUUUAUUUUAUUAAGAUUUAUUAAAUGUGGCCCAUGAAAAAUGAAGAGAGAGAACGUGCUUCCAUAACCACCUUUCUCCAUAACCACCCAUAUAUUAUACUUCAUAAUGGGGGUGUCUAUUUAAUGUGGUGCUAAAUAGGUGAAGCACCCACCAUUAUAGAUGGUCUUAAUUGGUAUCGUAAAGUGACUUAUAAUUUAAGAUAUUUUUCCUAUAAUUACUUAUAAUUUGUGAAGGAUGCAUUGAUGUACAAGUAUAACUUAUAUAGAAGAAACGUUACUUGAUAGUUUAUUAUUCUUUGAACAAAUGUUCAUUGAUAGUUGAAUAAUAAGAAUCACUAGAGACAGGGAUAAAAGUAGCUAAGAAAAUAAUAAAUUUACAUAUCUUUUUAUGCGCAAGAAUUUUUCAAUUCUGCAAAACUGUUUUUUUAAAAGGAAUCCUUCAAAAUUGUUCAAAUUCCAUAAAACAAAACUUAAAAUAAUUUUCUCUCAAUGUAGGCGGUUAGUUUGCCUUCUUAAACAAUUUUUUCUCUCUCUCAAGACUUAAAAUAAUUUGAUGCGGUAAUAACUUUAUAUCCUGUCGCCUGAACAAAGCUUUAUAUCUUUUUUUUUUUCUUUUUUGAAGUAAACAAAGCUUUAUAUCUUUUGUUUUGUAUUUUGAAUUUUUUUGUAUGAACAGAUAAAAGGGUGUUCUUUCAUUAAGUGUCAUUGAAAGACUAAGGAAAAUGCUAAAAAAUGUCUCAUGAGCAUUGGCUAAGCAUACAUAACAAAUAAAUUUUAAUAAUUAAUUAAUAAGUAAAUAGAACAAUAGAUGCAUCUUCAAGGGAUAUUUGUUUAGCUUAGAAAUCUUGUUGCACCAAUGUACCGCCAUUCUUCAACUUGUUUACUAGUAUACUAAAUACUAAUAUAUUUAUUUCAUCUUUAUGCAAUUUUUUAAGGAAUCUUUUAUACAAAACUGAAAGGCAAGCGUGCAAUAAACUAUGCCGUUAAAUUUUUUUAGAUGGAAAAAUCAAUUCUUUUAAAUACAAUGUUCAUAAAUAUCGAUCACGCUAUAAAUAAGUUAUAUUAAAAAAAAAUAGAAUAGAAUAUAAAUAUUUUUAUAUUUGUUUUCUCUAUUGUAUUUUUUUUCAACAUUGACAAGAGUGUAUCAAACAAAUAUAAUACGAUCGUGAAUAAAAGGAUGAAUUGACUCAUGUUACAUAGAUUUAUUUUUACUUCAUCAAAUAGUAAUGGAUUCGUUGUAUUUAAUUUGUAUCAAACAAGAAGUUUUUUCAUUAGGUUUACAUAUUCUUCUUCUUCUUCUUCAGAAAAGAAAAACUAUAAGGUUUACAUAGUAUUUCGAAGGAUUUUAUUUAUCUUUAUAUCAAAUAUUUGUUUAAUAGAAUUAUAAAUCGGUUUUAAGAAAGAGUUAAGCGUUGAAGGUCUAGUGUAAAAAAAUAACGCACAAACUUUUAUAGUAACUACUUUUUUUUUUUUACGGAAGCAUCAAUUACAUUACAUACAUCAAAUCAAAUAGUAUUUGGUCAAGAAAAUCAAAUCCAUAGUAUAGUAUAAAAAUAAACAAAGAAAAGCGUGAAGCAUAAGCUGGACCGGUCGAACCGAACCAAAUCAUACUCCAUUUCCCGCCACAACGUGAGCUCAUUUCCCGCCAAAACAAUGCCCUAUCUCUAAAAAAACACUCAAACCGCAACAUUUCUCUUUCUUCCUCCAUCGCCCCUCUCUCUCCCUCUCAGAAACCUCCGAAAAUGGAUUUGAGCGAAGAAGUUCGUCAAGCUCACAAGCGAGAAUUCGUUGAUUUCUUAGAUCAAGAUGUAACUUAAUUCCUCACUUCUCCCUAAUUUUCACUUUUUACCCUUUUCUUCAUUUCUAACAUUUUCAUUUUUUUUGUUGAAUCAGAUCGGAAAAAGCAUUUACAUGGAUGAAAUCAAAGCUCUAAUCAACCACAAACGCCGCCGCUUAAUCGUCAACAUCUCUGAUCUCCACAACUUCCGCGACUUAGGAAACAGGUUCUUAACCGCUUUUACCUUUACUGUUUCCACUGUAGAAUUCGAUUUUGUUUAAAUUCUAAGAGAUUUUUGCGUUUUUCAGGAUUUUGAGAAAUCCGAGUGAGUAUAUGCAAUCAUUCUGUGAUGCGGUGACCGAAACUGUUCGUGGUAGUGAUCCAAAGUAUUUGAAGGAAGGGGAACAAGUGCUUGUUGGAUUUGAAGGUCCUUUUGUUUCUCGCCGAGUUACGCCUAGGGAUCUUCUUUCUGAAUUUAUAGGUUCUAUGGUUUGUGUUGAGGGCAUUAUCACUAAAUGUAAGUUAAACUGUUUUUCGCUUUAGUUAGUAUGAUUCAUGAGAAAUUGGCGUUAUAAUAAUUGAGUUUUAAUUCCUAGGGUUUCUCUUGAACUUGUCUGUAUGAUCAAAUGUUUUUUCUUUUUAUAUAUGAUUACUCCUUGAUUAGCCACUAUUUGGAUAAACAACUUAUGUUGUAGCAUACAUGCGCUUAUGAAUAAGCUAUUUCUAUAACACAAGAUAAGAUAAAGUCAAACUGCUUUUGUUAAACCUAUUAUCCUGGAGAGCUUAUAGGAAAAAAAAUCUGAACGCAGCUUAUGAAUUAGUUCUUCCAAACAGUGUUGCUAGCUAGUGCUUAUGCCAGUAGAUAUGCUCAAAUAAGCCAAUCCAAACAGGCUAUAGCUUUGGGAAUUUUUAUUUUCUGUGCUAAUUGCUGUUUACUGUGAAGUUGGUGGGAUGUGUGGGUUCUUAUGUUUAAGGGUUUAUACUUUACCUUUUAUUUUGGUCAUUGGUCAAUGAUCUGGAAGUGGAACUCUAUUUUUAACUAAUGUUCAGCUUCAUACGUUUUGAAACAGCUUCAAUUUUAAUUACAAUAUAUAAUACAACUGAAUAAUAAUCUUAGUUUAUCCAAAUCCUAAUUACAGAACAUUACAGACAAAAGCAUUUAACUUCAGUUUUUUAUAGAAGAUCUUUCAAUCUUUUUUUAGUUUUUUUUUUUUAAUUUCCCAAAUUUAAAUUAUCAAAUAUAAAAACGUAAUAAACAUGUUAUGCAGGUAUAGGUAAGGUUGAGUGAUAAAGUGCCUAUAAUCUUAAUCAUUUCCACCAAAUUUGGUCUGUAAUUAUUGCUUAUGUUUGUAUCCAGACUUACUUGGUGGGUAAAUUUACCUGUUUAUUUGAUUCUUUUGGGUAUCCAUUGAGUUUUAGGAAAUGAUAAAUAUUUUAAUGUGUCCUUGGGUGGCAUGUUAUGCAUUAUGCUAGAGGAUAGUGGUAAUGUAAAAGUCGUUUUCCAGUUAUAAAGCAUCUAAUCUCUUUUACAAGCUGCAAUUGGUGUUAUCUUUUGGUAGUUUCUUUUCACAUUUUCUCUUGUUUCUGUUUCAUACAGAUUAUAAGUUCAUCCAUGCUGGAAUCUAACUUGUUAAUUUCACUCAUAGGCUCUCUCGUAAGGCCAAAGGUUGUUAAAAGUGUUCAUUUCUGCCCCACCACUGGAAGCUUCACAAGCCGUGAUUAUCGCGACAUUACAUCUAAUUUGGGUUUGCCCACUGGAUCUGUUUAUCCCACAAGGGUAAUCACAAGAUCCUUCAUUUCUAGCAUUAUUUUUAUUACAAAAGGAUUAAAUUUACCGACUAAAUGUUUAUUGUAGGAUGAAAGUGGCAACUUGCUUGUGACCGAGUAUGGAAUGUGCAAAUACAAGGAUCAUCAAACCUUGUCCAUGCAGGAAGUUCCUGAAAAUUCUGCACCUGGUCAGCUCCCAAGAACAGUGGAUAUCAUAGCAGAGGAUGACCUCGUUGAUUCUUGCAAGCCUGGAGAUCGUGUAGCUAUUGUUGGGAUAUAUAAGGCUCUUCCAGGAAAAAGCAAAGGCAGUGUGAAUGGUGUAUUCAGGUAGCUUCAGAAAAUAUACUGAGUAAUUCCCUUGCUCUUGCUUUAUUGAACAGAAACUUGAUUGAUUGCUGUGGAUGCAGGACUGUGCUCAUAGCGAACAAUGUAUCUCUUCUCAACAAAGAGGCUAAUGCUCCAAUCUACAGCCCUGAAGACCUUAAAAACAUAAAAAAGAUAGCUGAAAGAGAUGAUACAUUUGAUCUUCUUGGUAAUUCACUUGCACCUUCUAUACAUGGCCAUUCUUGGAUAAAGAAAGCAGUGAUUUUAUUGAUGCUUGGUGGAGUGGAGAAGAACCUAAAGAAUGGAACUCAUUUGAGAGGGUUAGUGCUUUCCCCAUAUAUCAUUAUAUCCCUUAGUUUUUUUGGAAGAUGGUAUUAUUGCAGUCCAACACAUUCUUGAAAUUUAUCUCUCUUAAUAUUGUUUACAAAAGUUGUAAUACUGGUGUGCCUUCUUCUUUUAGUGACAUUAAUAUGAUGAUGGUUGGUGAUCCCUCUGUUGCUAAGUCUCAACUCUUGAGAGCAAUUAUGAAUAUUGCUCCCUUGGCCAUAUCAACUACUGGCCGGGGUUCUUCUGGGGUUGGUUUGACAGCAGCAGUUACUUCAGAUCAAGAAACAGGUAAACAUUCUUCAAGGACAAUACAUAAUUCUCUUAUGACUUUUGCCAUCUAAAGAAAAAUUAUAAUUUCUUUUUGUCAGGAGAAAGAAGGUUAGAAGCUGGGGCAAUGGUUCUUGCUGACAGAGGUGUUGUCUGCAUUGAUGAAUUUGACAAAAUGAAUGAUCAAGAUCGUGUAGCUAUACACGAAGUUAUGGAGCAGCAGACCGUAACUAUCGCUAAAGCUGGGAUCCAUGCCUCACUUAAUGCUCGUUGCAGUGUGGUGGCAGCUGCAAAUCCCAUAUAUGGAACUGUAAGUGGCAUUCUGCUAUUUGCAGUUCUGUAUUAACAACAAAAGUUACUAAUAUUCUACUGUACCUUUAACUCUUCCAAACUUGACUUUGUGGCUUUUUUCGUUUGAUUCUACAGUAUGAUCGUUCACUGACUCCAACUAAAAAUAUUGGACUACCGGACUCUUUACUUUCUCGAUUUGAUCUGUUGUUUAUUGUGUUGGACCAAAUGGAUCCUGAUAUUGAUCGCCAAAUAUCAGAGCACGUUCUGCGUAUGCAUCGAUUUCGUUCUGCCAUUGAUGGAGGUAGAUAAGCAGUUUUGAAAAAAUGCUAUGAACCUGCAUACACUAGAGAAUUCAAAUUAAGAUACGUAUCAAUGCAGGUGAGGCGGCACAUGAUGGGAGCGCAAGAUAUGGAAGAGAAGAGGAAGCUGAUACUGAAUCAUCUGUCUUUGUCAAAUAUAACAGAAUGCUACAUGGAAAGAAAACAGACAGAGGUCGCAAACGCGAUACACUUACGAUUAAGUUCCUGAAAAAGUAUAUCCAUUAUGCUAAGCAUAGGAUUCAACCUGACCUGACCGACGAGGUGAUAUUACUAAUAGAAUUAUCAUUCUUUUCUUGAUUAAUAGUGAAUUCCCUCAUAUAUUACAAUUUAUCUGUUUUAAGGAACUUUUGGGUCUGCUGUCUUUUUGCUAUUGCCACAUCUGAAUGGCUAUUGUGAAGUCUGACUUUUUCCGAUGAUUUUUAUGCUCUUGUUCCAAUCCCUUAUAUCAAUUAAAUUUUUCCACAGGCAUCUGAGCAGAUUGCUGCAGCAUACGCUGAGCUCAGGAAUGCAAAGUCAAAUGCGAAGGUUGGCAUCAUGAGUGCAAUUAGCCUGAAACAUAUCAAUAGUUCUACAUAUUGGUUUUGUAUUGAUAUCCUGCUGGCUUUGUGCAGACUGGAGGAACACUUCCAAUAACUGCCAGAACUUUAGAAACUAUAAUACGUCUCUCUACUGCUCAUGCUAAAUUGAAGUUGAGCAGAAAGGUACUGUAUUUGGUUCCACCUUUUAGAUAUUCGUAACAUACUAAUAUCAUGAGUCGUGAGAUGCAUGUUCAUUUUGACAACAAACGUAGUAUGUCCAGAGGCCAUUUCAAAUUAAUUUUUCAGUCUUUCUUUAGUUACACUUGGACAUUUGGAUACCCUUCCAAAGUUUCCUUAUGGGGCUCAACGUUUUGCAGCCCAAAAGUGGUUUAAUCACUUUCGGUGUUUAGCUGGUCGAUUUUGGAGUAAACAUGUCAAUGUUGUCAUAACUUUCAUCCAAAAGUAAUAGUUGUAUUACCGCCAAAUGCCAUAAAAUUACUUUUAGGCAAACGUUUGAAAACACAACUCACUCUUGCAAAAUUAAUUCUUCUAAAAUACUUGAAAGUAAAUUACAUCAAUUGCUCAAAUAUGCAUUUGGCACCCUCAUUGGCUACAUUUUUUCUUGUUACAAUUGUUACUCGCUCUUCUUAUUAAGUUGAACCUUGUUGUACUUUUACAACUUGUGAUUGUGUUCAGCAUACGUGGUGAUUGAAUCCCCAUUUGUCCUUCCAGGUUUCAAAGUCUGAUGUUGAUGCUGCGUUGAAGAUUCUGAAUUUUGCAAUAUAUCAUAAAGAACUGACAGAAAUGGAUGAGCGUGAAGAAGAGAGGGAAAGGGAACUGGAGAGGAAGCGUAGGGCUGACGGUGAAAAUGAUGGUCCUGACCGUGGUUCUAAAAGUAAAAGAAAGUAAGUGAAAAUUAGUUUAUGCUAUCUUUGGGGAAGUUAAAAAUGUUACAAGUGUCUUUAUAUCUUAAUUUUUACCAUAGGUUCAUUUAUUUCCCAUACCAGAAACUAAAUUAACAUCAUUUACAAUAGUUCAUAACGACUUUGAUACAUUGAUACCAUGUUAAUGGUGACAUUUUUGUUGUCCUGAUUUCUUAAAUUUAUUUAGCCAUUAUUGAACUCUGCCUGUUUUUCUUUUCACUAGCUCAACAUCAGAUGCCAUGGAAGUAGACGAUACCUCAGAAGCCCAACCUGCUGUUGGUCUCACUCCUGAAAGGUCUUUCAACUGCCAAUCUUUAGCCUCUUAUAACUUUGUUUUCUUAUAUCGAAAUCUCAACUCUACCUGUUUCGGAUGUAAACUGUUUUCCAUUGACAUGCAGAAUCGAAGCAUUCAAUUCCCUAUUUGGUCAGCAUAUGCGUUCCAACCGUUUGGAUCAAAUACCUAUUGCAGACAUAGAGGAUGUAAUCAAUAGAGGGGCAGGUUCCACUUACAGCUCUGCAGAUGUAUUGCUCCUGUUAGAGGUACAUCUUUUGAGGCUUUCUCUAAUUUAUUCCAUCCGUAUUCACUACACGUAUCCAGGAAUAGUAUUUUAAAUAGGCACACACACACACACACACACUCUCUCUCUCUCUCUCUCUCUCUCUCCCUCCCUCUCUCUCUCUCUCGAAGCAAGGCGCUAUCAUAAUGUCUGGUUGUACAGUUUCGCCCCCUUUUUUUUUUCCUUCAGUUUCUCUCUUUAGCACUGUCUUUAUAAUUAUAAAUGUGUCGCCAUGUUCCAGCCACAAACUCCAAUUACAUUGUCUUGUCUUUUUUGAAAUUUCAGAAGUUGCAAGAAGACAAUAGAUUAAUGAUAGCUGAUGGAAUAGUGCAUAUGGUAUCAUAAUUGCAAGAUCAAUAUCUCAACAAAGAUUCUGGGAGGUAUGCAAUUGUUAUUCAACUUUUAUUUUCUUUGUGGAGAUGUAUCAUGUAUAGUUCAUUUGUUGGGUACAUCGAUUACAUCUCUAUGAGAAAUGAUGAAGGAAUGAGUUGUUUUUGAUAGGCUGCAUUACAAACUAAACGUAUAUUUCAGGGAGCAGGUUUUGCUGCUAGGGUGUAAGCAGUCUACAUUGGUGGGAGACUUGACAAAGAUUUUCAAUUUUCAGAGUUAAUUUGUUUACAUACUGCCAGAGAGCUAUCUGCUAAUACCUCAACAAGGACAUAACCAAUGCAAUGCUGUUGGCAUAUUUAUAACUGAAUUAUUUGGGUCAUAAGGAACUUUGCAAUCCCCUCUCAAAAGUUCUUAGUUGUGUAUAAUUGACACUCCCCGUCUUUAUCGAUUUCAGUGCUGCUUACCGCCAACUUUUCAUGUGUACUGUAAACAAUGCUUCUAGAAUUGAACCUUUUCGUUGGGUAUGUUUUAUGAAAUGAACCUAUAUGUUUCCCUCAUCUGUGCGGUUGCACAAUUUUCUUGCCGCAUACUAGUUCAGUUGGAGGAUCGUCCUAUGUGUUGAAGGUUGCAGUUUUUUUCUCAGACAAAAAUUUGGGGUCCAUCAUAUAUAAAGAAAAGAUGGGAUUGCCAACAAUGAACGAUGCAUAUUUUUAAUCAAUGAAAUAAGUGUUGAUAAUGUGGGUUUGUCCACCCUACCCACCCAGUCUCUUACUAGACCAAAAUAGGAUAGCGCGGAUCAGUUAUUUUUUUUUUAAAGAAAUGAGUUUCACAUGGCAUUGACAAUUUGUUUCAGAUGAUUUUAGGCUUAAAUAUUGCACUCGUCUCUGUAAAUAUGGCCCGUUUAAGUUUUGGUCCUUGUAAAAUAAAAAUUCAGAAAUCAGUCUUUGCAAAAAAAAUCUGUCUUUUAAAAAUAUCCCUGGGUCCAUUUAAGUCAUGACAAGUCACCAAAAUGCCUACGUGGCGCACGCUGAUUGAACAUAUUUUGUAGUUUUUGGUCUCUGCAAAAUAUUUUGUUUUUUAAAAAGUUUUCUGCAAAAUUUUUUGUUUUUGAAAAUAGUCCCUCCAGGGACUAUUUUCAAAAACAACGUUUAACUCUGGUCAUUGAAUAAGUGAGACUUUGAUGAAUAACUAUUUUCUUUUUUUCUUUCGGUUAUUCUUUUAUCCUUACCUAGUCUAUUAAUAACAAAAUGGAUUUUUCCAAUGUAUAAAAUAAAAAUUCCAAUGGCUUUUGCUGCUAUAACCUUCCCAACCACGAUUUUUUUUUCUAAGUAUUUAACCUCUUAAUAAGAAAUUCUAUUGAUACUAGGUAUUCAAAAAAGCAUAGUUAAUUUAAUAGAAAUAGACAAAGAAAUGGUGGGUUCCAUCGUUUCUAUGAUUACUUGUUAAACGGUAAGGUCCUCUCUAUACACCGGAGCCCCUUCUUUCAUUGAAUCCUCAUUCAAUCAAUGUUAUUGUGAACUUAGGGACUAUUUUCAAAAACAAAAAAUUUUGAGGGACUAUUUUCAAAAGCAAAAACAAUUUUUUUUUUACAGGGACGAAAACUUAAACGGGUCAUAUUUGCAGGGACGAGUGCAAUAUUUAAGCCAUUAUUUUAAUAUAAGAUUAUACUAGAAAGAAAAUAAUCACUAUUUAGGAUUCUAUGUUUAUUCAUUUUGAAAAUUUCGUUUGUGUUUUAAUCUUUAAAUCUACUCAUUCUCAUUGUGUUUUUGCGUGAUCCGAGUUCGAAUUUGGCUUUAAAACGAAAAUGGAUGUUGAAAAAUGGGUUUUUAAAAAGGGUGAGUUUGGUUUUUCGGUACGGCAGCCGCCUUUGGCCGGCGACCACCGUGCCGGAAUUAUUAUGUGUGGCCGGAAGAGAUGAAGACUCAUAUGAGUUUUUCGUUUUUUUUUCCAUAAUAUUGAAAAUUGUAGAGAGAGAGGGAGAUCUUUAUGUUUUUUAGUGAGAGAAAUGUUUGAAGCAAAUGAAGUUUGAUUUAAUGUAUUUUGAGAAGCCUAGGAUUAUUACACGUGUACAUUAGAUCUGAUGGUUGUGAAGCGUUUAUGCACGGUGCAUAAUUCCUUAUGCACCAUAACUUUUGACAACAACAGCAUGCAUCACAACAAACAAGGGAUAUAGACAAAAAAUGGGGAUGUUGUUGAAAUGAUCCAUGCUCAUUUGCUUGAGGAUGUAACUCAUCAGGAAAGAAAAACUUAACUGUCGAAUUUUUUUACCAUAAUAGUAUGUAGUAUUAACCAUGUUUCUGAACUCUCAAAAACUAACCUUGUACAGGAGGUUAGCUGGUUAAGAGGAGGUAGCCGAUAAAACUAAUCAAAACUUGCUGCUCCAUUUUCUUCCAAUCUUAACCGGAAGUUGUUUGAAAUAAAGUUAAAAAUACAGUUCACCAAAGAAUAAAAAUGGUUAAAAAUUGCUUGUGACAAGAAAAGAGAGGAGAAAUUUAAAAUUGUCGGUAAUAAAUUAUAAUACUAUUCUUUAUGGGUGCGUUUGAUUUGCUAAAAAAUGAAGGACAUGACAGAACAACUCUAGUUGUCCAGUGUUUGAUUUGUAAAACUGUUUCAGGUACAGGAUAAACUGGAGGCAAGGGACAUGACAAAAACUCAUAUUUUUGUCCCUCACCAAACCACAGCACAACUUUUUGUCUAACGUACAAGUUGUCUAAAAUAUCAAAAUAGCAUUUUGUCCCUCAAAAAUAGUAUAAAACAAAAAAUUACUCAACGCCAUAAAAAAUUUGUCCUGUGCUGUUCUGCCUUGUGCUGUUCUAUCUUGCACUGUUCUGUCUAGUACUUACUGUUUUGCAAACGAAACACACCCUAUAUAUUGUAUUGUACCCCAUAAAAUAUCUAUACAUUGGUGUUUUAGUUUUUGGAGGAAAUAUAACAUCGAGGUAAAGAGUACAAAUAAAUUUACUAAUUAAAAAAAGUACAAUACGAGCAAGUUAGAAACCAACUCUCACCAUUUUUAUUUUGUAAGAAAAAAACUCUCACCAUCUUUAUAUAGAUGGAUUUUCUUACCAUUAUCAAGAAAAUCACACAUAUGUAUUUGAUGCAUCUCCUUCAUGAAGUUUUACUCUCAUCGGAUUAGAUCUAUUGAAGUUCUGAAAUCAAACAUAAUUACCAUGAGGUUAAUUAUUGUGUUGAUAAAUUGACCAUGGUGAGAGUUUAUAUUGACAAACUUAUAUAAUCCUCCUCCUCCUUUAAAGCUUCUUUUGAACGAUGAUAGUAAGUAAAUAAAUAGCUUUCCCUCCUUACCAUCGUUCAUUAAUGAAAAAAUAGUAACUUGUAUGUUCUACCUUCUAUAUAUAAAUAAAUUUGUUUGAGAAGCAUUAACAAGCAUUCGAUUAAAGACUCCGUGGCCCAAUGGAUAAGGCGCUGGUCUACGGAACCAGAGAUUCUGGGUUCGAUCCCCAGCGGAGUCGUUUUAUAUUUUUGAAAUUACGUUAAUAUAUUAUAUAAAAUAUGCAACAAAAAACACUCUGCAUAGAAUGGCCGAGAGGUCUAAGGCGCCAGUCUUAAGAACUGGUCCUCGUGAGAGGGCGUGGGUUCAAAACCCACUUCUGACAUUUUUAUUUUUUUACUUCCAUCACAGCAUAUAUUUUGAUUCUCUAUUUCACAUACCAGAUAAUCAUUGUUAUGGUUCUAGUACUUCUAGAAUAAAUUAUGAUGUUGCAUGUCUUUAUUAUCAUAUCUUUUGUUUGCAUUGUGGUGAAGAAGCUCAUACACCUGUGGAUUGUGAAACUGUUACUAGAUGGAUGAAAAAGAAGAACUCUGAUUUUCAGAUUACUACUACUACUACUAGGAUUAUUGCAAACACAAAACCAUGUCCUAAAUGCAAGAUACAUAUUGAGAAAAACAACGAGAUAUACAAAUGCUUUGUUUCUCCCUCCACAUUUAAUCUCAUUCAAAUUCAAUCAGUAUUUUCAACAAUCCUCAGGCAACUGCAUUAUGCAUUAUGUCCGUACAUUAUUCAUGGAUACACUUGAAGACAAGGCCAAAAAGGCAAAGUCAUAACUAAAAAAUUGAUUGAAAACACACCGGCACAUGAAAAUCUCUAGCAUUUCUCUUAGGAUAAAUAGCAGAGAACAAAGUGUAUACCAAUACAAAGGUACCAAUGAUCUCAACACCUAAUCCAACACCAGUACUAUACCCGUCAUCUUGGAGAAAAUUAGCUAACAUGCCUUAACCUAAGCCUAAAGUGAGUAAAUAACAUUCUUUUGGCAGUACUUAACCUUUCACAUUACAACCCAACAAAAAAGAAAAUAGUUGAAAGACUUCAGAAGCCACUAAUUUCAAAACCAUAUAAAAAGUAGUAUUAUCUAAAAACAGCUUAUGCUAUACUUCAUCUCACAUAAAACACCAAGAAGUAGUUGUUGGAUUACCUAAAAAUAAAAUUUAAUAUCCACACUAGAACUUUAGAGAUUCAUACACCAAAACACACCUCCGACCAACCAAAAAAUCAAGCACUUACUCUAUGUUAUAGAAAGCAUAACUUAAAAAUAAAAACAAAGGGUUGCUACUUAUGAAAAAAUAAAAGCAGAAGCUAUACUUUGAUUAUGCAGAACCAUACCAAAUUAUAGAAGUUCUGCAUUAUGCUAAACCAAACCAAAUUAUAUCGAUAAACAGGAUAUACUGAAUGUACUAGGAUAGUAUUGAGGAAUCGCCACUAAUAACAUACCUAAUUAAACAUAACUGAUUAAAUUAAUUAACAUAACUGCCCCUAAUAAUAUAAUAAUUACCACUAGUAACAUUAUAACAGCCUAAUAGUAUUUACCAUAAAGGUCUAACAAAAAUCAAGCCAUUAGAAUGAAGGAUCUAUACAUCCAUUUCAUAUUUUACCAUUUCAGUUAUAUUUUUUCAAAGCCAGCAACUUCUGCUCUUGCAAUGUGGACAGGGGGGUUGUGAAAGAGUUGUGCAUGUGCAUGUGCUUAAUCAACAGUUGCAUAUAUACUAGUAAGCAUUAAACAUGUAUCCGGGAAUUUAUAUUACAAACAAGUACAAGUAUCAAGAAUUUCUUCAUGUUUUAAAGAACUAGUAAAAUAUGUACAACAUUAAAAGUGUUAAUUCAGUCCAUUUGGAAAAUACAAAAUUUAUAUACAUCAGUAGACAGUUUUUUUCUUCAUGUCACUCCAUUAGGAGAAUAAAAAUUUAGCUGAUGUUAAAUCAAAGGGUUGCGAUUUUGUGGUAGGAGAUGGAGGGGAUUAAGAGCAUUGAAGUUCAAAUUUUACAUGCUUAGUGACAUGCACGAUUACUUUCAGAAAAUUAUUACAAAAUCAUGUUUUAACUCUCAGAAACGGUAAAAUUUCAUAAAAUAUCGCAUGGUUGCAAGACUAACCAUAAUCUAAUACGAUAGAACAACAUAGAAUUUGUGUCUCACAGACUGGUUCUUAUCAAAUGCAUGAAACAGAUUGGAUAUGAAAGACUUCAUACCCCUUAUAAAUUCACUCAAUUAGGAAAACAACCAGUCACAAGAAAAGUUCGAUUUCCUUUUUACUCUAAACACUUUGACAUUGCAAAAAUAUUUGACAUCUACGAAUCAAUAGCAUUAAACAGACCCCAAAAAAUGCUAUGAUAUUUUUACCGACAAAGCAGUGAAACAACUGAUAAACCAGCUCUAAAGAGAGUGAAAUGGAAGGGGAUGAGAGAUGAUGAAUGCCAAAAGAAAAUUGAGAAAAAUGGCAUUGUUGACACAGGGUCUGUUUGGUAAAGCCAUCAAACGAGCUUAUAGCUUAUAAGCUCGUUUGAUCAAAAAGCUCAAGUACGCACUUAACAUAAGGGUUUUAGCAGUAAAAGGCCUUAUAAACCAUCCAACAACUAUGAAAAUUCUUAUGAGACAUUAUAUCCAAUUAAUUUGUUUCAAGCAAGCCUUUACCAGUUAGCACUUAACCAUAUAAAACAAUCAACAACUGGAAAAAAAGCGAGGUAUGCAACAAAGAAAAUAUUCAAGCUGACAACAUAACCUUUAUCCCUCAUUAAUUUCAUCAGUCAUUGAAAUCCUCUUUGUUUUGACAAACAAACAUUGUUCAAUACUUUAUGCCUACAUAGACAUCGAAUGUUAUAUUUUGACAGAACCUAGAUUUCAUUCAAGUUUCAAGCAAUCAAUUAAAACUCAAAAUAUAUCAUAGCUUUACAUUUUACCAGUAUUCAUAUAAUCGAAAGGAGAAUUUGAUUACACGGAUUUGUUAUUUUUUCACUGAGCAAAGUUAUAUAAUAUAACUCCCAAAAAAAUUCAUACAUAAAAAACCACUACAGGUUCUUAAAAAAACAUGGUGUAUACGUCAUUAUCAAUAUAAUCAAAUAAAAUUUUACAUGCUGUAGAGCCCCCCCUUAUGUAUGAAUAUAAUUUCACUAACACUUGGUCCUUUUCAAGGCAGUUUCUCUGAAUUUUCAUGGUCUCUAGUACCUUUGAAUGGUGCAUAAUAUAUUCUGCAAAAUCGAACUCAUGUUUUGUGCCUUUGUAACCUCUAAUGCAACAUGUUCUGAGCUGUGAUGAAAGACAUUUUGGAACAGUGGGAGGAUGCUUCCAAAAAUUGUAACAAAUUAUUUCCUUCCUUCGCAUUAUCCUGUAAACAGUUCGCAUAAUUUUUGUUUUUAGAAAAUAAAAUACGUGAAAUUAGAAUUGAAAAAGAAAGCAAAUCCUAAACAUCAAAACCUGAAUGAUAAGAUGUUGAAGUUUGGGGAAAUGUGGAAGUAUUCCUAACAACGACGUGCAUUCAAAUCUUUUUGGUUGAAGCGAGAAGAUUGACCGCAUUUGAAGGUAAAAGAAUGGAUUGAAAUCUUUUUAUCUAGCAACGAGAACAUGGUUAAGAAAACAAAUUUGUGAAAGCUGUUGAAGUCUUGAAAGAGGGCGAGGACUGAGAGCCACACCGAUUUCCAUCUCUUUGAGAGGAAGCUUGUGAUGAAAGCAAGAUUGGUUGGGAGAAAAGAGAGAAUGUGACAGAGUAUCGAAUCAGGCAAGUCGCUAAUUCUAUCUGCAGUGGGAAGGCGACAUCAUCUCCAACAGGGAAUGCAACAAGCCUUGGUUUAUAUGACUUGUAUUUAAAAUUAUCGAAUCAAUUUAUAAAUAAAUGACAACAAAAUAUUUUGAAUAAAAAGGUGAAAUCUUCUUUCUCAAAAUUACAAACAACAAUUUUUAUGAAAUUUUAAUUAAAAUUAUAGGUAUAGAUAAUUAAUAUUUUGCACUUUCAUAUUGUAAUGUAUCUUUUUCAAUGUUACAAACAAUAUAACAAAUAUAAUAUCUUUCAAAAAUAAAUAUAACAAAUAUAAUACAAAUUCUUAUCUUUUUUAAUAACAUUAAUAAAACAACAGUUUUAUAAUCAAAUUUGUUUAAAGGUAUAAUUGGAAAGAGAAAAAGUCUGCAAAAAAUAACAUAUUUUUUUUUCAUAUAUAGUAUAGAUUUAAAUUAUUACGUUAAUUUUGAAUUUAAAAUAGUCUAAAUGUGAAAUUUAUUUUUAAUUAUAAAUUUCAAAUUUAUUUUAAAUCUAUUUUGAACAUAAAAAUAAAAUGUACUUUAAUAUAUAUUGAAUAUAAAUGUGAAAUGUAUUUUAAAUUUCCUAAAAAAAAGAUUUCAUUUAUUUUUGUGAAAUGUAUUAUGAAUAUCAAGACCAUGUAUUGCAAAUAUUGAAUUAUUUUUGUGAUAAAUCAUUUUUUUCUAUUGGAAACGUUUUUAAUCUUUAUUUUGAGUAUAAUAAUUUAUAAAAUAACAAAUUUUGUCUCCCAUAAAAAAAAUUGUCUGGAAAUUUCAUUUAUAUUGUAUCGAUAUCAACAUUAAAAAAAUAUAUAUUAAGUUAAAAAAAACAUUAAAAUACCAUAUAUAUAUAUAUAUAUAGUUUAAUUUUCUCAAUAAAUAAAUAAAUAUAUACUUUAAUUUUCGUACAUACGGCUAAAUGUUUUACACUGUCAAGUAUCAACAUAUCACUACUUUUGUCAAGAAAAAAAAAUACCACUAAUAUUAAUAUUUAUAACUUUAAAUGCUGUUAUUAUUUAAGAUUUGGCUAAGGUAAAUCUAACAAUGGAACGAGUGACCUCAAAGUCAUUGGCAUAAAAGCAUACCAUGUCAUGGAUGCACCUAGUAGACACACCUAAUCAGGACAUGUGAUCUAAUCUGUGAAACCCGGAUACGAGAUACGAUACGGAUACGAUACUGCACCGAUACGUCGAUACGGAAAAAUUUCAAAAAUCAAGAUACGAUACGGCUGUGAUACGUUAAUAAAAAAAAAUUAUAUAAUUAAAUGUAUUAUAUAAUUAUAAUCAUUUUUUUAUUAUGCAAGUAUAUUGACAAACACAAGAAACCAGGCUCGUAACACAUUAAUAUAAAUAUAAUAUUGACGAUUAAGAGAGUGGUAAUUACAUACGCAAUAUAUACCAAAAAGAGCACCAGAUACAUCAAUGCUACACUAUAUCCAAAAGGAACUUGUUAGUGCUAUACUAUAUCGAUCCAAAAAAGAAUCCCUAUAUCCAAAAAAAGAACACAUCAUUACUAAGAGUUAACACUAACAAGUAACUAACGUUUAUAAUGUUUUUGUUCUUAUUUUUUACACAAAAAAAACAGAAAUCAAAAUAAUAUAAAAAAAACACAAGUAUCCGUGCGUAUCGGGAUGUAUCGGAUAAUUAUUUUUUAAAAAAAUAAAAUUUAAUAUUUGGAUACUCUCCGGAUACGUAUCGGGCAGGUAUCGGUGCAGGAUACGCAGGGGAUACAGUACGUCAUCCAUUUUGAAGUAUCGGGGCUUCAGAGGAUCUAAUCAAUAAUGUUUGAACGAUUGUAAUGGUACGAGUCCCAAAUACCCUCAAGUUUGCAGUCUUUUCUUGCACUUUGAAAAGAAUUGAUUUAUUGUGUUUUUGCAAUUUUCAAGAAGCCAAGUCAAAACUUGGGAAAAAACGGCUGAGAUGUUUGUAGCUUGUUCAAUAUGAGUCAAAUAACUCAAAAGUGUACAAUAUGCUUGGUUGGACUAAGACAUAGACAAGAUGAAUCUGUGAGUGCUUUCGUAGGUUGUUUUAAUGACAAAAUGUCCCCAAUUAAAGACUUGAUUUUGUCUUGAGCGCCCCAUGCAUUGGUAUCAUGACUCAAAAUAGGACCAUUUUCUGAUUCAUUGGCAAGGUGACCCUCAAAGACCCUUUACACGUUGCACAAGUGGGAAGCAGGCUACUUCCCCAUGGAAGAUAUAACAUUGAGAAAAAUACAAAGCCUCCAUCACAAACAAUGGCCAACGUCAAGAUAGGAUAAGGAUGAGAAACAUGAAUACAUACCCAUUUUCUCCGCUCAGUGAUAGACCUCGAAAUUUUUUUCUAGAUGCCUAUGAUUCCAACCUUAUGAAUCUAUCCCACCAAAGUUAGAUCAAAUCUAGGGCUAGCAAUGAACCGAGUUAACUCAAAUAUGGUUCGAAGUUCGACUCGACAAUUAACUUGUUGAAUUUGGUUCAUGAACCAAAUGAGCUGAAAAUUAAGUUUGUUAAUUAAAUGAGUUGAACUUGAGUUAUAUAUAAUUUGACUCGUUUGGUUCAUAAAUUAAGUCGAUAAUAUGUUAGAGAAAAAAUAAAAGCUAAUUAUAAUAGUGUAACACAUAAUGUUGAUACAAUGGCAGUCUUAUAGUUCAAGCUUUUAAAUUAUAAUAGUCCCACAUCGGGGAUUAGUAAACAAUAGAGAGGAGUUGUGUCUAUAUAACGGAAGCGCAUCACUUCAUUGGAGUAAUUUUCUGAUGGCGAGCACUACAACAUAUAUAAAGUGUAACUACAAUUCUCCCUUAGUAAUAUUUAUUUCUGAGGGACCUUAGUAUUAUUAUUUUGUUUUUCUGGUACAUAUUAAUCUUCCAUAUGGAUAUGAUUUACCAUGUACUAAUCUGAUAGAGGUACAACGUUUUGGUACUCAUAGUUUUAUUUUAGUUUAAUCUUUGCCUUUUAAAAAAAUAAAUUGAAAGGCCAAAGGUGUAGUUUUUUUGAAAAAUAAAAGACAUUUAAAUUGUAUGAUUUGAGCCUAAUGAGUUGAGUUGUUCGUGAAUUUUAAAUGAGCCGAACUCGAUUCGAGUUUCAAGCCGAUCUAAUUCUUAUCGGGUCGAGUCGAACUCAGACGAGUUCGAUUCGACUAGACUCAUUUCCUACCUUAAUCAAACCUAAAGAAUAUCACACGCUAUAUUGUGAAUACCAUAUGAUACAUGGUCAUUGCACUAAUGAAUAUAUCUACCCAAGACGAGGGACAUCUACAAAAGUUCGCAGAUAUGAAGGAACCCCCUCAAGACGAGGAGCGACAUCAAAUUCAAAGAAGAAUUUCGAGAACAUUUGAACCUCGUAGAAUGUCCAGGGUCCUAGAUAAAAGACACAAUUCAGAGAAACGCAAAAGUGAUUUAGUGCCCAUUGCAAUCAGACAAUCCCUAAGAAGAUGUAAUAUUGACUCAAUAACAUCACCACAAUGAGAAAAAAAAAAAAAAAAAAAAAAAAAAAAAAAAAAA